Molecule: long non-coding RNA, 226173 nt
Filed under: Eucalyptus grandis
Lineage: Eukaryota; Viridiplantae; Streptophyta; Magnoliopsida; Myrtales; Myrtaceae
Description: long non-coding RNA (EGRA_LNC003203)
Rfam family: Bacterial large subunit ribosomal RNA (bases 138567-138946)
Source: RNAcentral
UCAGUGGAAAACAGUCAGGUGAUGGGCACUCAGUACCCCCAACCAAUGCAAGGUUCACAGGUGGUCGUCCUGCAUGCACAACCUGCACUGAGUGGAUUGCAUCUCCAGGCACCUUAUCCAAUGGGGAAUGAGCAAGCGAUGGGCAUGUACUUGCAACCAGUCGCAGGUGGCCACAUGCCAUUGCUGAAUAGCCAGGUUGUUCCGAUAAACCAAAUGGUAGGACUUACCACCUCAGCCCAUCCAAGGAGGUCCUUAUAUGGGGAUGGUUCCUCAGCCAAUGCAAGUAGGUCAGAUGGCUUAUUUAUAUCCCCAGCAAAUGUAUGGCAGCCAGGUGGCAGCCUACGGCUAUGGCCAACAAGGUGCUCAGUACCUUGACCAGCGGAUGUAUCGGUUAGAGAUGACAGCAGCUUAAGGAACUCUUCAUACCAGGUGUCCACUUCAUCAUAUGUGACGCCCAUGAGGCCUUCAAAGCCAGAGGACAAGCUAUUCGGAGAUCUUGUUGAUAUGGCUAAAGUGAAAUCGUCUGCAAAAUCUACUCCAGGCAGAGCUGGUAGCAUGUAGCAUUAGUAUUUGCCAACCAUGUUUUGCUUGUUGAGCUGAUUUCUUUUGAUUUUCUUAUUUCAAAUUUUUCUAUUAUACAUAUUUGGCAGUUUCUUCUGUUUGUGGCCGUGUACUAGCACUGCUUGUUUGGCAUUGAGAUCAUGUACAUUCUUUGUAAAGGGAAAGAAAAGGAAAUCUCCUCGACCUUUUAUCUCUUAUCGGGGCAGAACCGUUAACAAGUGCAAGUCAUUAAGUUGAUAUAAUUCUUAUAGAAUUUCGUAGUUAGAGUUGGUGCUACAGCAGAUUUUUAUGAGAAUUAGAGUGUGCUGAGAGAAGAAUUUUUCAGAAUGAUACUAGGAUUUUCAAUCUAGCAUGAUUAUUGGCUUUUGAUUUUGAGCAUACCUUCAUCGCAAUGGGUUCUCUUAUCUUCAGAAGAUGUACUUGUCAGUGAAGGUUUUUUUUUUUUUUUUGGUCGAAACUGCUACUUCGAUUAAUACUUCAAAGGCGGAUUACAACUCAUAGUAAGAUUUAAACAUAGUAUAAGAUAAAGUUCAUACAGGGUAAAGUACCCAAUUAGGUGAAGAGUACCGGUGUUGAAGGAUUUGGCAAUCCAAUCCGCUGCCCGGUUCCCCUGUCGCGGUUCAAACAGUAGCGAAAUGUUCUUCAUCUGGGCCAGCAGGUAUUGACAGUCCAUAAUGUGAGGUUGCAAGGCCCAAGGGAUCUCACUACGGCCCAAAAUGGAGUCCACCACAGGGAGAGAGUCGCUGGAUAUGUACACGGCAGUUUCAGUUCGCGUGUUUGAAGUACUUUCAUUCAACUCAGUUCUAUUCUCCUUCAACCACACGAGGGCACGCCGGAUAGCUAGGGUUUCACCCAAAUUGGCCGAUUGGGCGCUGAUUUUCUCCGCAAAUCCCCCAAUACAUCUUCCGUCGGCUCCUCUGCAGAUUCCAGCAACUGAACUCCUCUCGCUGUGUUCCACCCAUGAGCAAUCCACGUUGAUCUUCAGCGUACCCGGCUCUGGAGGUACCCAGCUGUGUGGUUUUGCGGUACGUUCUUCCCUCCUUGGCUGUGAUUUCUCAUAUAACUUUUGUAACAAUCCCGCUUCGCUGAUGAGGUGGUGUUGUUUUACUUGCUUACCUUGAAAAAUCAUAUUGUUGCGUGCCUUCCAUAUGAGCCAAAGGGAAGUCGCAAAGAUCGCUUUUUGGCUUGCUGACCUAUCCAAGGAGAGGUAAUCACAUACCCAUUGAUCUACUCUUGUGAUAGCUGUUGGGGUAACAUCUAUUUCGACAUCAUAGUUCAGCCAGAUGUUUUUUGUCCAUUGACACAGGAUAAAUAGGUGUUCAGAUGAUUCUGGCCACUGAUGGCAAAAGGGGCAAGUGGGCUCAGGUAUGAUUUUCCUCCGGUAUAGAUUGAUUCGUGUUGGUAGACCUUCAUUACAUAGACUCCACAUGAAGUGUCUGACUCUGGGGUUGAUUUGGAGAUGCCAUAUUUCUUUCCAUAGUCUUUUCGGAGCUUGAUGUGAGGAUGACGCCUGUUGUCUUGUGGUUGCUGAUGUUUCUGUUCUAAGUUGCUGGUAUCCACUUUUAACAUUAUAGUUCCCCGAGUAGUGCCCUAUCCAUAUCAGACGAUCUGAUCUGGGAAUAAUGUUGAGUGUGGUUUGCCGAAUCUCUUCUGAUAUAGGGCUGUUGAAUAUCUCUUGUAUAAGUUGAUCCUUCCAUGUGCGUGUGUUUGUAUCGAUGAUAUUUGCCACACAUUGGGGGGGUCGUUUAUGUUUGUUGGUCCCCCAAUUGGUCCAAACAUUAGCCACCGAUCCUCUCUCAAGUUGAUAGAUUUACCAUCACCAACUUUCCAUUUAAGAUCAGGCCUUAGGGCAUCUCGGCCUACUAGAAUACUUUGCCAACCCCAUGAUGGUCUGGCACCCCUUGUAGCAUUCCAUAGAUUAACAUGAGGGAAGUAGAGGCCUUUAAAGAUUCUGCUCCAUAAGGCCUCGGGAGCUUGAUCUAGUCUCCAACCUUGUUUCCCCAGCAUCGCCUUGUUAAAGUCCACAAGGUCCCUAAAUCCCAUUCCCCAUUCCCCCUUGCUCCUUUCUCUUCUUCAAAACUUCCCAACUAUUCCAAUGAACACCUUUUUUUUCUGCAUUGCUCUUCCACCAGAAAGCUGAAAUUUUUCUUUCAAUGGCUCGACAAAUGGAUAAAGGAAUUUUGAAAAUAUUCAUGGCAUAUUGGGGUAGAGCCUGAACAACUANNNNNNNNNNNNNNNNNNNNNNNNNNNNNNNNNNNNNNNNNNNNNNNNNNNNNNNNNNNNNNNNNNNNNNNNNNNNNNNNNNNNNNNNNNNNNNNNNNNNUGCUCUUUCCAACCCUCCAGUUUUCUAUCUACUCGCGCCAUGAUCCAAUUAAACAUCUGUUUUCUAGUUUGUCCCCAAUCUGAUGGUAUCCCCAAGUAUUUUCCGGUUUUUUCUAAUAUGGGGACCCUCAUUUCAGCUGCCAUGUUUCUUUUCAAGUCCUGUGGACAACUUGCCCCAAAGAACAGCCCAGAUUUAUUGAGAUUAAUCAACUGACAAGAUGCGAAGCAAUAACAGUUCAGUAUAUUUGCAAGAUUCUGAGUUUCCCUGAUUGUUCCAUCCAGAAAAAAGAUAGCAUCAUCCGCGAAGAGUAGGUGGGAUAAAGUAGGACACUGAGAAUUCAGUUUAAUACCUUUUAAGCUCCCGUCUGUCUCAGCCUUGUGCACAAUGUUAGAAAGAACAUUGGCCAGAAUUAUGAAGAGAUAAGGUGAGAGGGGAUCCCCUUGUCUAAUGCCUCUAGUUGGCGCGAAACUUUCUCCUGCUUCCCCAUUAAUUAGGAUGCGAAAUUGAGCCGAGGAGAUGCAAAAUCUGACCAGACUAACCCAUUUCUUGUUGAAGCCCAUCUUUUCCAUACAAUCACAAAGAAAGUCCCACUCAACUCGAUCGUACGCUUUCUGCAUAUCCAGCUUCAGCACUGCUUGGAAUUUUUUGCGUCGUUUCCUCACUCUAAGUUGAUGUAGGACUUCUUGAACUAUGAAAAUAUUGUCCUGUAUUUGGCGGCCUGCAACGAAUGCACUCUGUUCUUGGGAAAUAAUGGAUGGAAGCCAAGGUUUGAGUUUGUUUGCCAUUACUUUAGUGAUCACUUUGUAAUUAAAAUUACACAAACUGAUGGGUCGGAAUUCAGUAAUGCUCUCGGGGUUGGCCACCUUGGGGAUAAGUGUGAUAAAUGUCUCAUUUAAUAUUUGAUCAAAGGAACCAUCUCUAAAGAAAGAGUCUACCAUUUGAAAAAUAUCUUCCUGAAUAAGAUGCCAUUGACUUUGAUAGAAGAGGCCACUCAAACCAUCUGGUCCUGGGGCCUUAGAUGCCCCCAUAUGGAAACAGCUUGCUGCACUUCUUUCUUUGUAAUUGGGCUUAUCAACAUGUCGUUCAUUUCUUNNNNNNNNNNNNNNNNNNNNNNNNNNNNNNNNNNNNNNNNNNNNNNNNNNNNNNNNNNNNNNNNNNNNNNNNNNNNNNNNNNNNNNNNNNNNNNNNNNNNCAACCAGCGGGCACUGCUCUAGGAUUGGCUGGUAGUAUCUAGUCCCCACAGAUGAAUAUAGAUCUUUAUAAUAGCUUGUGAUAUGCUGUUUGAUAAUCUAAGGUUCACGGCUCCAUACAUUCUCCUCAAGCCGUAACAUACUGAUUUUGUUUCUUUGUCUUCUUUGAAUGGUUGUUGCAUGAAAGAAUUUCGUGUUCUCGUCCCCCCAUUUGAGCCAAUUAAUUCUUGAUCUAAUGCCCCAAUACAUUUCUUCUUGACGCCAUAGAGUGCCCAAUUUCUCAGUUAUUCUGUUAUAUUCCUCCCUCAUAUUUGUCUGGUCUGUACUGUUUGUUAUCUGAGUAAGCUGGUUUCUGAGUUGAUCAAGUUGUAUUGAUGCAUUUUUAAAUGCUUUUCGGCUCCACUUUCUCAAUGCUUGGGUCACUUGUUCUGUCUUCUUAACCAGGUAUCCUUGCUGGCCAUGGGAUUUCUUCCAUGCCUUCUCCACUACAUCUGCACACUCAGGGUGAUCUAGCCAGUAAGCUUCGAAUCUGAAUAAUCUUUGAUGUGUCUUUGUAAGUGAGUGUAAGCAUAAUAGGAUAGGGCCAUGAUCAGAUCCUAUGGCUGGAUAUGCAAAAGCUUCAGCAUUAGGGAAGAGAAGUCUCCAUUCUAAAUUGCAAAAUGCUCGAUUAAGCCGUUCUUUGACUAGAUCCUCUCCUGCCCUGUUAUUUGUCCACGUGAAUGCACCCCCCCCCUGCUUUCCAUAUCUAUUAAAGAGCAUGAAUCAACAAAUUCCCUAAAUGUCAUCAUUCGAAAUAUUUCCACUUGACGUCGACCCACAUUCUCCCAAUUAUAUAACACUUCAUUAAAGUCACCUAAGCAAAGCCAAGGUAAUGAUAUCAUACCGUUUCUAGCUCGAAGUAGGUUCCAAAGAGAGACUCUCUCUUGAAAAUUAGUAGAGGCGUGUAGGAAGGAAAUCUUCAUUUGAACUCCAGUACUAGCAUCUGUGCAUACACUAUCAAUCAUCUCCGGACUGCUAUACUCCACUGUGAUGUGCACCGACUCAUCCCAAAAUAAGACCAAACCCCCCGCAAUACCUAUAGGAUUUAUAGCAAACAUAGAUGAAUACUUAAGUCUGUUUUUGAUUUUUCAACCACCUGGAAUUGAUUCUUCGUUUCCAUAAGAAAAACCAGAUUAGGUCUCUCACGAGCCACUAAGGCUUGAAGGUGCUGGACUGUCAAGGGAGAGCCUAAACCUUGACAGUUCCAGCUUAAUACUUUCAUGGCUUUCUUGGUAGCUCAUUAGGGCUAGCCACCAGAGCCCUUGCUGAUUCGCCUCCCCAUAUUUGAAUGGGUGUAUCCAGCAGCUGAUCCAUAUCAUCAAGAGUCAUUAGUGAGACCCUUUUUUCAUAAGGGGCAAAUCUUUUGAGUUUUUUGGGUGGUUGUUGCUUUGAACCAGAUUUGACUACCCUUAUAUCUUGCAUUGAACGCCCCUUUGGCUGUUCCGAACUCUGCUGAAUUAUUUUCCCUCUCUUCUGUUCAGCAUACUCAUCCAUAACUGACACUUCUGAAAUUAACUGUGUGGCAGGGUUGUAAAUCACCAGGGCUUGGCCACCUUCAGAAGAACUCUUCCUAUUCGAUUCCUCAUUAGACGGGAUGACAGGGGUCUCGGGAACCAUCUCAUCCUCAGUUAAGGUAAGAUCUAUCUCACCAUAAAAUGUAUCCCAACAAGGGCUGGAAUUUUUAAUCUCAGCUUUCAACCAAGAACCAUAGCGUCCAGGUUUAUCUUGUGGAAGUCCAAAAUUUUCAUAUGGUAUGGUCGGACAAUAGUUAGCGUAGUGACCAAUGUAACCGCAUGAAUAACAAAAGUGCGGUAGUCUCUCAUAUUUAAAGUCUAUCCAUCAAUUACGAUCCCCCACAUGGAUAAUCGUUCCAGUUUUAAGAGGAUGCAGAAGAUUUAACCUCACUUUUGCUUUACCGAUUUUCCGAGAUCCAUUGGUUCUCGCAUUUCCUCCACCUCUCCCAUUUUUCCAGCGAUCAUUCGGAUACACUCCUCCGCCAAUGCAGCUCUUGGAAGUCCCAUCAAAUGCACCCAAAAAGAGCAAUGAUUAAAUUCAUAGCAGUGCUCGGGAACGGUAGGAUCCCCUUCCUGUAAUACUAACAGAUUGCUUGAAAAAGACGAGGGGCCUGUUUGGAGUAUUCUUCUCUGAUCUACUGCUGACUUAAAGGAGAAAGCAAAGAAACCUGUUGUAUUACCUCACAUCUAACUUCAUCAACCUUCCAGGCCUUCUUCAUGGUUUCCCAGAAUGCUUGAAAAUUAGCAUUUGGUUUCGAAAAUAAUUUCCCAUAUAACAGAUAUUCAUCGGCCCGUUUAUCUCUCGCAGGAAUAUGGGCAUUCAGUUCAGUUAUGUCAUCCCCAGUCCAUAGAUCGCCCAUUCUUUGACAAAGGGCUAGCAGUCGGAGCUGGUUUUCCUGGGUACCCUCCAUGCAACUAAGAAACAGAGACCUCCGAAGAUGAGGAAGAUUCCGUGGGUUUCAAAGUCAAGUAAACAGGAAAGGGUUGGUUGGGAGUGAAGGGAGUUCUAUUCCGAGAAUACCCCAUGUUAGGUUUGCAGAGAGCUCAAUAUCCAUAUUAGGGUUUGGGAACAAGUUUACAAAGAUGAUAAUCAGGGGAGUAAAUUGGGGCACCACACACUAUUUGAUGGAUGCGAAUCAGGUUGAAGAAACGAAGCAGUCGUCACCCAUCAGGAUGGAGGAACACGCACCUUCAGCGAGGGAGAAAACCAUUGACGACAGGAGGGAUAUCACGGUGACGAGAGGAAAAGGCAUCUUCCAUUGCCGAGAAAGGAUUCGUGAUGAGAGAACUAGGGAACCAUCACCCACAGGGAUGGAAUAGCGCUCACCUUCAGCGAGGGGAAAAGCCAUCGACGGCAGGAGGGACGUCACCAUGACGGGAGGGAAAGGCGUCUUCCAUCGCCAGAGAGAAAUUUGUCAGUGAAGGUUGGAUGAGUGAGUUUGUAUAGGUGUGUGAACAUUAGAGGAACUCUUCUUCAGUAGGGGAAACUAUGUCUUACUGUUCUGAUCUCAUUAUUGUGAAAUGUAAAUUGCUCGGCCUUUAGUGGCGUUCAUAUUAUGCUAUACUUGGUAUCAUCGCUAUAUUUGUAGAACGUUUUGGCCGAAAGUUAAGCUCCGUCGUUUUUUAUAGAUCGUAUGUAAUCUUGGAUUUAGCAAUUCUCUGCAAAAUUUACGGUACAAGACCUUUCCUGGGGUGGCUGUCUGUUUUAUUUUUUUAAUUGCCCUAAAAAGAAACAGUGGUGUUGUUUUCCAUCAAUGAUGCAUCAAACUUUCAUGAUUGUGGCUAGAUAGACCUCCUAGAUUGACCCCAUGACAUUCACUUCAAGAUGAGGGGUGAUUCUCCCAUGAUCAGAGCAGGGACUGACUUCACUGCAGAGGUGACCCUUUCUUCACGUUUUUGCUUUCACGAUCGGGUACGAGGAGAAUGACUUCAUAGCGAUUCACGGGUACCAAGAUCCUGAGAGCGUUUGGAUGAGACCAUUGCGUAAACGGAGUGAAGACGUUAAAGUACCUAAAGAUGCUCCGGCAACGGCGAUGCUUCCAGGGAAAUUCUCGCAUGUGCCCGAUAACGCAAAGCAUCGGAUUCGAUGAGUUUUGCAUGAGGCUCACAUGCUCUAUGGUUCAUAUGUGCUGGGGGUGCAUCGGGUGUAUGAUGCAAAAAUGGCCCGUGAUGCGAAGACGAGAAACGAAAUACUUUACCCGUGAAGGAGAUACGUUUUUUGGUCAGACCGUGAAGGAGAUAUUAACGAUUAAGAAUCUUGACGUUUUUUUNNNNNNNNNNNNNNNNNNNNNNNNNNNNNNNNNNNNNNNNNNNNNNNNNNNNNNNNNNNNNNNNNNNNNNNNNNNNNNNNNNNNNNNNNNNNNNNNNNNNCUAUUAUCAGGCUCAAUUACAAGUUUCACCAACUGAGUCACAUGUAUAACGUAUUCAUACCUAAUGAUUUUCCGCAAAGUGGUGAUGAAAGGUUGUGUUUGAUUAAGAAACAUUUAAAAUUAAAAAUACGUUGAAUGAUUUUCUUAAAAUAAGUUAAAUAAUUUUCUUGUUUAUAAUUGAAAAGCAAUAAUAAACAUAUUCAAAGGGCAUAUAGAGUGCUGCUAGGAUUCAAGUAUUUUUACCUUCGUUUAUUAUUUUUAUAUUUUUUCUAUGCCACAUUAUCCAUAUUUAUUUAACACCAUUUCUGAGGAGCAACAUUUUCAAUGUUUAAAUGCUCCUUAAACCUUUAUAUAUUUUAUUGUUCCAUGAUAACUUUCACUCGUAACUUAUACAGUUAAAAUAGAUUUCAAUUAGCUAGAGCUAACAAAAGUAGCAUAUUGAUAACAUUGCCAAAUUACUCGAUUUUCAAUAAAAAAAAUUAUAACGUUAAACUUUUUAAUAGAUGUAAGCAAAUAACAAUUACUAAAAGACGAUUUUCAAAAACUCAGUUUUAUCAUAUGAUAUGAAUGGGAUCAUCAUGGAUAUAAUGAGAUGCAAUUGCCAUUGAAAUUGCACAAAAGUUUCAAAGGCUCUGAAACCCAAUUAUCAGUUUUGUGGCUAAGAAAGAAACUGUAAGAACAAUCAACAUCAUUUUUCUGAUUAUGCAAAGCAAAAGAAUAAAUAUAUAUAUCUCUCCUUUUAGAUUUGUGAGGAAUUCCCUUAUGAGGUUUUGCAAAAUGAUAAAUCGAUCAUAGGCUACUAAUAUGCUUAUUGUGGAAUCAACUUGUCAACUCACAAAUUAAUAUGUAGAUGGAGUAUGGAACAGGUACCUCUAGAGGUUGGUAGUGCUCUGCUUCCAUAGAAGGUGAAUAAGAUAGAAGACGUGAAGAGUAUCUAAGGCUAGAUGGGUGAACAAGCUGUAGAGGUUCCUUAAAGCUUGGAUGGACAAGUAGAAGUUAUUAGUUUUGUGGAACUAGAAGCCUGACAACAUGCUUGGAGGGACUAGUUGUCGAAGGUGAACAGUCAAUUCAACGUGAAGGGUGAAAAGACUUUUUUUUUUUUGGAUUAUGCAUCAAAUAGUGAAGCAUAUAGCUUUUCUAAUCUUAGUACUAAUACUUUUUUUUUGAAGCAAUUGACACUGAAUUUUUUAACAUUUAACAAUAAAAAUAGUAAGGGUUCGAAUAAUAAUCAUUUUGUUUCUUUAUUAUUUUGUUCUUGAGGAUAUGUUUGGAAAAAAAUCCAUUUGGUAAUUUUUUAUUUUAUUUCUACAACAAAUUUUUAACUCUGAAAGUCACAAAAAUGAGAAUUAAAAAUUUUCUAUUUUUCUAUUUUUGAAAUAAAAAUAAAAAUAAAAACUCUUAUUAUCGCUCGCCUUAGUUGUUGCCCGCUGGCCACUACCUAGAAAUUUUGAGGCUUAUUGAAUGAAUUUCUAUUUCGAAAACCGAAAUGAUGUUGCUAUCAAAUGCGUAUCUCUGCUAAAAAACUCAUCUAAGGAAUAUAAAUUGAAAAAUCUAUUUCCACAUAGAAAUUGUUUCCAAGAAUAGAAGAAUUAGCAUUCGCGCCCUUAGUUCGAAAUCAUCGAUUAUUUUUAAUGUCCAUUAGAUGAAUUACCAAAUUACUUUAGAACCAAAAGCCAUCAUUAUUUUGAUUUUUGUAAACCUUGUUUACCGGAGAAUAAACAUCAAAGUAAUCAAGUCCUCCUUUUUUACGAUACUUUUUAGCCAUCAAUCCUGCCUUAUGUAUAGUUCUAUUGUUAGGAGGAAGGUUAGUUGAUGACCCUGUAUUAUUUCGCUUGAUAGAUUUUAUCUUAUCAUCCGUUGCCAUUUUCCACAUAUGCGCGUCCGGUCUAGAAUUUGUUUGGAAAAAGAUUCUUUAGAAAGAGAAAGAUAUUGUUCAAUUAUAACUUGUUUUCCUUUAUCUAAAGAAACAAUUUCUUUUCCUAAUAUUCGUCUCUUUCGAGACUAUUAAACAGGGCGGGCUUAAACUAAGAUUUCAAGUAAGUUUUUACCUGAUUUUCUUAUGUUUGGAAAAAAAAAAAAUUAUUCAUCGACAUAAUGAGAUCCAUAUGUUCAAAAAAUCCUCCACUUCUUCCUAAAUUCAGAAGAACAGAAAAAACGAAGGAAACGCCCUCAAGUAAAGAAAGUCAUGACCUUAAAAAAGAAAAAAAAGGCAUGUACAUGAAAUCGUCCACUUCAAAACCUAAAAAGCUUGAGUGGUGUCGCCUCCUCCGACUACGAUGAUACCAAAAUAAGUUCAGAUCUUUUCACAGGCUAAAGUUCAUUAGUCUUACAGGGUAGGAUGGGUUACAAUCUGAAGCUGAAACUAGUACUGGCAAAGGCAUAAUGUACUCCAAAAUCGUGGACGUUACAUCAUUUACUUGAGGAGACUCACGAGCAGGGAGAGUCAAUUCCUUAUGACACCUUGGUUGGUCUCAUUUCUCAAUCAAAUUGCCAAUUCAAAGGCCAAAAUCGAGAAUCAAGCUAGUGUUGAUCAACCAGGAAAUUUUUGAGAUCGUGAACUAAAUCAAUUCUCGUUGAAAUCGACUUGGAAUAGAGCUGAUUGAGCCAGUUCCAAUUUUACCCGAACCUUUGCUCACCGCUAGUGUGGAAGGGACUUUCGCAAAUUAGCAUUAAAAUAAGCUUUUUGCUUCAUAAUGAUUUGACUAUAUUUGAGAACACACCUCAAGGAUGAAAAUUAUAAAAAAAAGCUUCUUAUCUCUUUCUGAAAAAAAAAAACACAUAUGAAAUGAUAUUUUCCAGAGACAUGGGGAAUAGAUGCAUAUUUUUUUUCCAAAUGCAUUAUGUUUGUUAUUUAUACAUUACAAAUAUAUGAUCACUCAUUCUACUCUUAUGGCUUUUGCUUUGUCAGGGUUUGUACUUUCGUCACUCUUUCGGUUGGUCUUUUUGCUUGAUCUCAGUAGUUUCUAAGUUAGAAAUCUAGAAUUGUUGGGAUGUUUGACCUACCGGCGGUUUGGUAAUGUGGAGGGAGAGUCAUUGAUCGCGAGUUUAAAUGAGCUGGAGGUUGAUUUUAAGUGCGAUUUGGGUUCGCUGUUUGGACUCGAGACGGCAUCGUCAGAAAAUCGAAGUGACGGGACCAGUCAGCAGAUGAUGCCUGAUAUCGGCACUUUAUUUACUUUGAAAAAAUCGACCGGCUAGAAAUUUAAUUUGAUUAUCUAAAGAAACUGCAUUUAUUCUCCCGUUUCAAUUGCUCGACUCGUUCCCAAAUCAACUACUGAAUUAGCUUUGCCCUCUGGAAGUCGGCCUAACCAUCCAUUUGUCAUCAAUGUCAGAUACCCGUAGCCUUUCUUCCCUUCUCAAGCCAAGGGCAAGAUUAAACUAUUUCCUCCCCUCCGUCCAUAAGACCGAUGAUCUUUUGCUCACUAGAGGCAAAAGUAAGAGUUAUAUUAAACCUAUCCAUCUAAUCAAAGAUAUAUUACACUUCAUAAAGUCUUUGAGAGCUAGAAGGUGAUGUAUGCAAAUCGUUAGGUGUUCUUGGCAACGUGCCGAUUGGACAUUGUCCAUGGAGAGGGUGGAUGCAUUUGGCGAAUUUGAGGUAUAUUGAGAUCCGACAGGAUUGAGAUUUGCAAGCUAUUUCUCAAAUUGGAUGGCGAUUGAAAUGAAUUUAGAUGUUGGUUUGGCAUUGGAAGCUCAAAAUUAAUGGCUAUUAGAUGAUUGGACAUGUAAGUCAUUUAACUUUCGGUUAACAUACCCGUGGAUUGUGCUAGAGUUGUUUCAAUAUCACAUCUACCUUCCUUUUUCUUAUUAAAUUUGUAUACCACAAUGUCUUAAUAUGUCCCUAAUACAUAUCCACAUUCUCUCGCCUGAUAAUUUAAUUUUUUCGGUAAUUAAGAUUUAAUGUGGUAAUGGAGCCUGACCAAAUGAAAACUUCAUUCGGCUGAUAUCUUAGUAAAACGGAAAAAUUAUCUAGAAAGUCCUAAAUUUAUUGAGCUUUUACCCAUUUAGUUAUAAACAUAACAAUUUUGCAAAUUUAGUUAUAAACAUUUUCAUUUUUUUAUCAAUUGAAUCCAUUUGAUCAAUUUUGAUUGAAAAUCAUUAACAUGAAAUCGGUAAUAACACAUAUGACGGUUGGCACGGUCAUGGACCAUAUUUUUUAUAUAUUAUAUUUUCAUUUUUUUUUUAUUUUUAUUUUUUUCCUUCCUUUUCUUUUCAUUAGUAGCUGGGUCGGUUGGCCUUGCCAUAUUUGGCUUGGGUGAAGUUGACUCUUGCCUAGGUGAAGAUUAGCCCUGCGAGGAUCGACUCUUGCCUAGGUGAGGACGAGCCCUAUGAGGGUCAACCUCGCCUGGGCUUACCUGGGUGAGGGCUCCCCUCGCUCGGCUGUGCCUCACUUGUGGUGGGUGAGGCCAACUUGCUUAGCCAUGGUUGAUGCUGGCCAUAGCCACCGCCAAUAGAAAGCAAAAUGGAAAAAAGAAGAAGAAAUAAAUUAGAAAUAAAUAAAUAAAUUAAUUAAAAAUAUUAUUAAAAAAUUAUCUACAUCAGCAUAUGUCAAUUGGCUAGCGUUGGCAUCAGCAUCAAUGAAUUCUGAUGCCGGAUGGAUUCAAUUGAUAAAUUGUGAAAAUAUUUAGGAUUGAAUUUGCAAAAGUGGAACAAAGUUAGGAUUUUUUGGACAAUUUUAGCAAAUACUAGGAAAGUCCCAAAUAAGGACCUAAAAUGCUUCCGCUUUCUCAAAUAAGGGCUUGAAAUGGACUUUAUUUCAAAUAAAAGUUUGAAGUGGCUAAAUCGUCUCAAAUAAGGGCUUGAAGUGGCUGGAUGCCUCUUAAAGGGUAACGGAGGUGUGUGAAGGGAGGCUUAAGCUAAGAUUUUGCUAGUGAGCAUAAUGGUAUAAGCCUACCUAAUAAUGACACUGACUGGUCGAAUAGAGACGAAAGAAGACCAUAGUGAUCCGGGAGUCCAGAGUGAAAGGGCUCUCACUUAACAGAUCAAAGGUACAUUGAGGAUAAUAGACUGAUGACUCCCAAGAGCUCUUAUUGAUAGACUUGUUUGGCACCUUGAUGUUGACUCAUCAAAUCCUGGAGGUGAAAAGGUUCCCAAGAGUUUGGUUGUUCAUUGAUCAAAGUGGAAGAAAAUAAACUGCCAUUUGCCUAGGUAAGAGUCUUAGUAAGAAAUAGAAAAGGAAUGGCUGCCUUUGCAAAGGAGAAGCUGCUUGAUCAAGAGGCAGAGGAGCCGCAUAACUUAAUUCACAUUUUCUUCUUGAUUAGAGGAGUGUAACGGCAUUGGAAGAGAGGUACAUCAGUUUAAAAAAAGAACCUAAUCUCUCAUACUGAAGGGCAUUUUCAUCUUUUAUUUUUAAAUUUUUUUUCAAGGAAAAUUUCAAAAAAUGAUCUGAGUGGAGCCAUAUUCUCAAAAGAGAGUCUAAAGUGGAUAUUGUCUUAAAUAAGGAUCUCAAGUGGCCAAUUUAGUUUCAAAUUAGAGCCUGACUGGCCAAAUCUUGCAUGUCCAAGGGCAUUCUCAUCCAAGUAGAUUUGUUUCUUUAUUAUUCUUUUCUCUCUUUGUUUCAUGUUUUAAUUUCAUUUUUUUCCCUUUCUCUACGCCAUCAUCUUCUGCGAUUUCAAGUAUAAAUGCGCUGGCAAAAUUUUUUGUCUAACUUCUUGCUAUGUCUCUCGCCCAGCUACAAAACGCCGCUUCCUGUUUCCUCACUACGCAGCCACAAAUUCCUAACACCCGCAAAAGAUUAAUUGGCGAUAUUCAACAACCGUAUACAAAAUAUUUCACAACCCUAUACAACUUAUGACUCGACACAAAACUGUUCGUCGCCCCCUAAAAACUUUUCCACAGGAAUCAUAUGUUGAUUCAACUACUCUUUGUUUCAGGGAACACGGGAACUGUGUUGUGCAGCACAAUCGUCCCUUGAAAGACCAUCAUCCGGCGAUUCCUUCUUAAUUGUUUCAACUGCAAAAGAAAUGAAUGUAUGAGACCGAGAGUUUCAAAUCUCCUGCUCAAGAGGGAUAAAUGAAUGCACGUUCACAAACCUCCUCUGGGGUCAUCUUGCCAAAACCAAAUCGGUUCAUCCAUAUCGAUUCUGCUUCCUCUGCAGCAAGAAGCACGAGAUUCGUCACAAUGAAUAAGCCUCCUCUGAGUUGAACUAAGAGAAGCGUUGCUAAUGGCUUGCGUGCCAAUGGAUGGAUGGUGUGGUCGACUUGGUUGAGGAAGAAGAGAACUUUUACGAGGCAUUGCUUGACAGCGACUAUUCUGUUAUUUAUGACUCUGAAAUGGUGGCAAAGGACCUCUCCACAUGGAAUAUAAGAAAAGAGCUCUUUGGUUUCAUUUCUUUGAAUUAGAUGGGGUAGAGCGAAGAUUGGUGAAGGAUAAAUUGGGCAACUAAGCACUUUUUUUGAGUCAAAAUUAUCCCGCAUCCUUAUUGACUUCUAAAAUCCCAGGUUGUAGGAGAAAAAACAUUUGUUAUCUUAAUGGUUUCACAGUGAAAGGAGGCACCAACAUGAAGAAGGGUUACGAAUUGUGCGGAUUCAACUUGAAAAGUAGAGCCAUCGAGCACGUUAUUACACUUGUCUUACAUGUAGCUGAUCGCCGUUGCCCCCUUGGAUGGGGCACUGGUUUAUCCCCUUAUCUGUAGGAGUUCACCGUUCUGCUAAUCAUGCUAUUUUUGAUUGUUUGUUAGCAAAAACAUAUUCAGAUAUCACUAUUGCAUGGUAAAGAAAACAAAUACAUGAAACAAAGAUAAAGAAAAAGAAAAAUAAACAAAAAAAUUGUACAUGGAUGAGAAUGCCCCUAAAUGGGAACAAGAUUAUUUGAGACUAAAUUGCCAACUUGAGGCCCUCAUUUGAGACAAUGUCAACUUUGGACCCUCUUUUGAGAAUACAGCUGCAAUUCAGACCUUUAUUUGAAAAUUUCCUUUUUUUUUCUUUCCUUUUUCUAUUUUUUUUCUUUUUCUUUGCCCCUUCCCUCAGCCAGCCAUUGUGGAGGUUGUUGGACUUGGGUGAGGACCACCUCGUCGGCAUGAGGCGAUGGUCACCAUCGCCUGGGCUAAUGCCAAUAGGUCCUGCCCUCGCCAGAUUUAGGAAGGGUUGCUGAGGGUUACACUCCCUGAUGUCAGGCGAGGGUUACUGUCGUUGGAUCUAGUGAGGAACGCCCUCGCCUGACAUCGGCAAUAGUGGCCCUUGCCUGAGGUAGGCAACCUCCAUCGGCCAUUUACGGUGAUGGCCAAGGGAUAGAAGAGAAAAAAAAAGAUAAAAGAAAAGAAAAGAAAUAAAGGAAAAAAAUAAAAAAAUAUAUAUAGUUACAAAUUUUUUGACCAAAAUACCCCUUCUCCGAUGGCCGUAAUAGUCAUUAGCAGGCUAAAGUCUCUUAUUUGAGACGAUUUGAUCAUUUCGGACUUUUAUUUGAGAAAAUGAUGACACUUGGACCUUUAUUUAGAAUUUUCCCUAUGUCUUAAUUCCAUUACAUUUCAUUUUUACUCCACCCUCAAAGGAAGAAAAUAUCCUCUAACCACACCCAAGAAUUUAUGGUGUAAUGUCACCGGUGGUAUCUGUUAUUGACAGCUAACUGUUUUGCCCCAACGUCUCCUCAUUUUCAAUUCGCCGGUAAAUCGGAAUUUAACCCCUAAGCAAAAACAUCUAUACUGUAUGUCUCGACUUCUCAUUUCUUAAGUUUUCAGAAACGACGGUCACUUUUUACUUAAAAUAGGACGUCCGCAUCGAAUAUUAAAUUAGGCAAGAUCUUUAAUUUUUGUGAACCAGUCCAUUGCGUUGCUCCAGGUCAAACCCACAAGCCCGGCCUCACCCCCCUUAGGGGAAAUGGCAUGUACCGCUCCAAGCAAGAAGAGAAUGAAGACAUUCAUGGAAGUUGAGCACGACCAAGAUCAGUCGAGGUUAGGAAAUGUUUCAAUGGAUUGCAUAAUUCUCUUCGCAACAAUGAAAAUAUGAUUCUUUAGGAUUAGAUCGGUAUCGAGCACACAUACAUACGUUGUGCAUUCUAUAUCCGGCCUAGAUGCAAUCAAGGGGAGGAGUGAACCUAGCAUGCUUCUAUGCAACUUUGGGUCCACAGGUUUACUCUUUUGAUAUUUGUUCAGCUUGGUAGAAUGAGGCAUGGAUGUGUCCAUCCUCUUCUAAUUCUCCAUACCGCAUUUAUUUACAAGUUCCUGGGCACAUUUUCCUUGGUGAAUGAAGGUCCCAGCCUUGGUUUAAAUUCAUUUUGCAUUACCUUUGCAAAAUCCUUGCGCAGAAUCUCAUUAGUAGAAAUUUUGCAUUUCAUAUACUUCCAUAAUUUUUUUUUUUCGUUUUAUCAUUACUAUUUCAUAUUACUGUGUAUCAUCAUCAUCAUCAUCAUCAUCAUUUUUCCCGUUUGAUUCUACUUAGAAAAAAAACAAAAACCAUUUGGUUGCGAUGCAAUAUUAUAUGACAUUAUAAUUGGCCAAAGUCAUGAUAAUGUAGUAUAGUUGGUUCUGAAUAUCUAUCACUAGUGACAAACAACUUUGACUAGUAUAUGCACGUUAGUUUACGCUAAUCCCUGUCAAUGAGCUGUAAGAAAGGCACCCUUCUUACAUUAUUCUAACGUCGAUUUGCAAACAUUUAUAGUACAUUGUUCUAACUACCUUUGUCGUCUGUAUCUAAGCUUUGCAUCGAGGCAUCUUCAAGCUGCAUCUUUCUUUCUAUCCUGUAGACACACAUCGUUACCCCAACUAAGAGGCAUUUUCAAGUGACAUCUUGGACAAAAAUGAAUGAUUUUAAAAUAUUUUCCAAAAAAAGAUAGGUCAUAUUGCUUGAAAUGAUUAGUUGAUAAUUUUUUAUUAAUGGCAAUAAUUUAUAUCUAAGUGAAAUAAUCAGUUGAUUUUAAGAAAAUAUUUCCAAAUCAUUUAUUUUAUGCGAAACAAAUAGAGCCUCAUUUUUUCCUACAGUUUACUUCAUUUUAUAUUUACUAUUUAAUGUUUAAUCUUCUACGCAUCUCCUUAUUUAUUUCUUUCAUGACGAGCCCUGUAGCCAGUAAAUCAUCAUACUCAUGAACUACAAUGUCCACUAUAUUAUCAUCUCUUUUUUUUUUUUUUUUUGGGGGGGGGGGGGGGGGAGCGGAGGGGGUUCGGAAAUUGAGACAGUGUCUUAAACAGGUAAACAAAACUGAUUCUACUUAGGAAACAAAUAAAAGCCAUUUGGUAAUGAUGCAAUUUAUAUAACAACAUAAUUGGUCAAAGUCAUAUUAUUGUAGUGUAGUUGGUUCCUAAUAUCCAAUCACUGACAAACAUGUAACUAGUAGUCAGGAUGCCAAACUCCUAAAAAUUGCCACCAUCAAUAGGCAUUGCUAAAACAAAUCAAUAGCACCUGUUUCAACUUAACCUGCGUCAACUGGCCAACAGAAUAGAGAAAACCAAACAAAGCUGAUAUGACCCUUCAGCAAUCGAGAAAUUACACUGCAACUUCGUUCACUAAUCACCAUCGAAUGAGCUAUAAGAAAGGCACCCUUUUUUCACAUUAUUCUAACGACAAUUUGCCAACAUAUAUGAGACAUUGUUCUAACUACUUCUGUCUGUAUGUAUGCUUGGCAUCAAGGCAUCUGCAAGUGGCAUCUUUCUUUCCUCCCGUAGAAACGCAACUUAUGUACCGCAAUUGAAAGGAAUACCCCCUAUUAAGUGAAAAAUUGCAUUUCAUUUUUUUUUUCUAAAAUGUAUUUGAUUUUAGGGUUAAUCCCACAAAAAAAAAAAUCCAAAAUUGGUACAUCUAUAACAAAUUUACCCAAAUUAAUUUUUUAACUACCAAAAAUCACAAACCGGUACACCUGUGACAAAUGAAGGAUAAAACACAAACUUAUACACCCACUAACUAUCAUGUGUUGUCUAAGUAAGCAAUUUGACAGUAAAAUUCAAUAGAAACUAACGGAAGGUAGAUUUGUCAUGGAUGUAUCAGUUUGGGGGUUUUUUCAUGAUAUUAACCUUUUGUUUUAUCACCACCGGCCAUGGUGGCUCCGCUGGGUAGGCUUCAGUCCUUUGAGGGAAGGUCAGGAGUUCAAAACCCCUGCAACGCAAGUUGCAGGGAGGCUGGCGGGCUAUUAGGUGAUUGCCGCGUGGUGCUGGGGUGGUGGUUUUCCCGCUAGCGUUACUUGGGGGUUUACGUGAUGGCUGUUCGGCCAAGGCGGUUCCCUCCAGCACAAAAAAAAAAAAGAACCCUUUUGUUUUUAUCUUUUUCUUUUUGAACGUUGUUAUUAUAUUGCAUUUCUUUGUUUAUUUUUUCACAACGAAGCACAUAACCAGUACACCGUGAACUAUGACGUCUACCGUAUUAUCACGUCUCAUUUUUUUCCAUUUGUGAUUUGAGGUUGUGAUGUAGUAUUAUAUAACAAUGUAAUUAGUCUAAGUCAUGAUAUUGUAGUAUAGUUGGUUAAUAAUAUCCCAUCAUUAAUAACAUACAACUUUAAUGAGUAUUGCUCGUUGGGUUUUCUUUUAUGCGUUUGUAUUAAUAGGAAAAAGAAAGUCAAGUGAAGUGUGCCUGAUCCCAAAUUUCAUUCAAAGCUUCUGGUGUUCUCUCAACAAAAACAGGUCUUCUUGUUGCGAGCAAAAGUAGAGCGGUCAUAUUCAAUUAGAAAAUUAUAAGAUUCACCCAAUUUAAGAUCGCGCUUAUAAUGUCCCUUAAUCACGACGAUUAACCGUUUCGCGCGUUCAUACCAUGUACAAGAGGGGGGCGUUAAUUUCUCGAUCGAUAAUCAUUGCAACCCUCGCGACAUUUUCCUCGGCCAGGGCCUCAUGUCCAAAAGUCCCGCUAAUUAUUGACUUUUGACUGUCGUUUGACUAACGCUCGAUUUUGACCCGAAUUCCGAAUUACAAACCUCAUUUCCGCAUCACCUGCCCCGUAAUAAUAUUUACGAAAGCACGAUUAUUAUCAGAGCCCCCGAGUAGAAGGGUAAUAAUUGAGACAUUUUUUUUUUGUUGAUUGCUAAAACGUAAUAAUUGAGAUAUGAUUCCGUAUGUAGUUUUACGAAACGUUGAAAUAAUCGGAAAUAAUUCAUGGGAAGUUCGCCAACCCGGCGGGACGAAUACCCUGCCGUUCUCUCCCUAUUGGCAUCAUUUUGUUUUUCUUUUAUAAAUUUCUAAUUUAAUUUUUCUUUUAAAUUUCGUGUGGACAUAGUCGCCGGAGCUCUCUCUCUCUCUUCCCCCAAAACCUUCGCUGUGCAUCUCCGCAGCUUUCAAUCAGUCCCCCAGUCGCACCUUCGGACUUCUCCUGAUCACCAGCCUUCGGAGCUUCGCUUCUCCUGAUCACCAGGGGAGCCGGGACUCGCCCUCGCCCAGGUGAGGGUUGGCCUCCCUAGUCCAUAGGCCAGAUCCAAUGAGGUUGGCCCUCGCCGAGGCUGCUCUCACCCAAGCAAGGGUCGGCCUUGCUCAGGCCAGAGUUGGCGAGGCCAACCCUUGCCGAGGCUCGGCCUCGCCAUGGCUAGGUAAGGCCAGUCCACCUGGUUGUGGCCAAUGGCCAGCCAUUGCUUGUGGCCAGUGGUUGAUCACCGGCAAAAUGAAGAAGAAGAACAAAGGAGAGAAAAAAAGAAAAAAAAUCGAAAAAUCGAAAAAUUAUUAGAUUGUCCACGUCAAUACCAGUGGUGUCACGUAAAUAGGCCGGCAUCCACGUCCGCAAUAUCUGGCCAAAAUUAGUCGGAAGGACUAAAUUAGCAUCAGGUCAAAACAUUUAGGAUUAAAUUGACACUAAUUUAAAAUGUUUAGGAUUCAAUUGGUAUCAUUAAAAAGUUUAUGACUAAAUUGGCAUAAACUUAAAAGGUUUAUGAUUGAAUUGACACCAUUAAAAUGUUUAGGACUAAAUUGGCACAAAUGCAAUAGAUUUAGGAAUUUUUUUUUUAUACUUUUCCCCAAUUAUUAUUGGAAUUGCACAAAAAUUUCAAAGGNNNNNNNNNNNNNNNNNNNNNNNNNNNNNNNNNNNNNNNNNNNNNNNNNNNNNNNNNNNNNNNNNNNNNNNNNNNNNNNNNNNNNNNNNNNNNNNNNNNNNNNNNNNNNNNNNNNNNNNNNNNNNNNNNNNNNNNNNNNNNNNNNNNNNNNNNNNNNNNNNNNNNNNNNNNNNNNNNNNNNNNNNNNNNNNNNNNNNNNNNNNNNNNNNNNNNNNNNNNNNNNNNNNNNNNNNNNNNNNNNNNNNNNNNNNNNNNNNNNNNNNNNNNNNNNAUUAGACGUGAAGAGUAUCUAAGGCUAGAUAGUUGAACAAGUUGUGAGGUUCCUCAUGGAUUGGAUGAACCACUAGAACGUGAACAGUUUGUGGACAUGGAAGAUGACAGGAUGCUUAAAGGGAACGGUAUGUAGAGGGUGAACUAUGAAUUCAACGUGAAGCGCCAAAAGACCUUUUCUUUUUUUUUCUAUGGAUUAUGCAUGUAAUAGUAAAGCAUAUAUAUUUUCAGGUCUCAAUGCUAAUAAUAUUUUUGAAGCAAUUGACGCUGAAUUUUUGAGCGUUUGACAAUAAAAGAUACUACGUCUUUCGAAACAGAAAAAAACUGGGAAGAGAAAUUGUUUCUUAAGAUAAAGGAAAACAAAUUAAAAUUGAACAAGAUCCUACUCAUUUUAAAGCCUAUUUUUCAGAUAAAGAGAAACAAUUACUUAGAGUAAAAGAAGAGGAAGAGAAAAGUUUUGGGACCUUUCUUUACUUAUGUUAUUGAUUUAGUGGAUGAUCAACAGGGUUAUAAUGAUGCCGAGUCUAGACUCUAGACCGGAUGCUCAUGUGGAAAAUGGCAAUGGAUCUUGAGAUAAAAGCAAAAUAAUACAUGUCAUCAACUAGUCCUCCUCCUAACACUAGAACUGUAGGAUCUACAUGGGCGUUAUAAGUAAAAGAAUGAAAACCGGAUUGUCCGAUACGUAAGGCAGGAUUAGUGGCUAAGAGGUAUAGCAAAAUAGGACGUGACUACUUCGAUGUUAAUCUCCGGUGAGAAGGCUUACAACCAUUGCAAUAAGAGACACGAAGACGACGAUGAAGGAGUGUACUCGAUGAAGGGGAAGACGAAGAAGGAUUAGAGUGCUUUGUGGGAGAGAAAUAGAAUGAGCCCUAUUUGUUUUCAAAUUAGGGCUAAUUGAAGAGAGAGAGAGAGGUUGUCAUAUAUUUUCCAGCUCGGGCAAUUUCACAAUAAAAAUUGACGGAAGUUAAUUGGAGAGGUAAAUAUGCCAAUCUAUAUCAGUUUGAGGUUUUGGGUGACUCAAAAUAUAAAGUUUGGGGUAAAUAUGUUACAUGUGGAUCAACUUUGGGAAUUUUUUUUUUUUUUUUUUGUGAUUCAAAAAAUUUAGUUUAAAGUAGAUACAUCCACAAAAUGUAACUGCUUAUAGUAUUUCGGCGAAGAGAAGCCUUUAACAUUUAAACAUUUCCAUAUAUAAGAGUUGCUGAUCCAUCAUCGACCAAUAUGCCUCCAUAGCGUCGGUGACCCUCGGAUGUCACUAUGUCUAUGGGCAACCUCAGAUAAACCAAAGUCGAGGAGAUCACCAUUAACUNNNNNNNNNNNNNNNNNNNNNNNNNNNNNNNNNNNNNNNNNNNNNNNNNNNNNNNNNNNNNNNNNNNNNNNNNNNNNNNNNNNNNNNNNNNNNNNNNNNNNNNNNNNNNNNNNNNNNNNNNNNNNNNNNNNNNNNNNNNNNNNNNNNNNNNNNNNNNNNNNNNNNNNNNNNNNNNNNNNNNNNNNNNNNNNNNNNNNNNNNNNNNNNNNNNNNNNNNNNNNNNNNNNNNNNNNNNNNNNNNNNNNNNNNNNNNNNNNNNNNNNNNNNNNNNNNNNNNNNNNNNNNNNNNNNNNNNNNNNNNNNNNNNNNNNNNNNNNNNNNNNNNNNNNNNNNNNNNNNNNNNNNNNNNNNNNNNNNNNNNNNNNNNNNNNNNNNNNNNNNNNNNNNNNNNNNNNNNNNNNNNNNNNNNNNNNNNNNNNNNNNNNNNNNNNNNNNNNNNNNNNNNNNNNNNNNNNNNNNNNNNNNNNNNNNNNNNNNNNNNNNNNNNNNNNNNNNNNNNNNNNNNNNNNNNNNNNNNNNNNNNNNNNNNNNNNNNNNNNNNNNNNNNNNNNNNNNNNNNNNNNNNNNNNNNNNNNNNNNNNNNNNNNNNNNNNNNNNNNNNNNNNNNNNNNNNNNNNNNNNNNNNNNNNNNNNNNNNNNNNNNNNNNNNNNNNNNNNNNNNNNNNNNNNNNNNNNNNNNNNNNNNNNNNNNNNNNNNNNNNNNNNNNNNNNNNNNNNNNNNNNNNNNNNNNNNNNNNNNNNNNNNNNNNNNNNNNNNNNNNNNNNNNNNNNNNNNNNNNNNNNNNNNNNNNNNNNNNNNNNNNNNNNNNNNNNNNNNNNNNNNNNNNNNNNNNNNNNNNNNNNNNNNNNNNNNNNNNNNNNNNNNNNNNNNNNNNNNNNNNNNNNNNNNNNNNNNNNNNNNNNNNNNNNNNNNNNNNNNNNNNNNNNNNNNNNNNNNNNNNNNNNNNNNNNNNNNNNNNNNNNNNNNNNNNNNNNNNNNNNNNNNNNNNNNNNNNNNNNNNNNNNNNNNNNNNNNNNNNNNNNNNNNNNNNNNNNNNNNNNNNNNNNNNNNNNNNNNNNNNNNNNNNNNNNNNNNNNNNNNNNNNNNNNNNNNNNNNNNNNNNNNNNNNNNNNNNNNNNNNNNNNNNNNNNNNNNNNNNNNNNNNNNNNNNNNNNNNNNNNNNNNNNNNNNNNNNNNNNNNNNNNNNNNNNNNNNNNNNNNNNNNNNNNNNNNNNNNNNNNNNNNNNNNNNNNNNNNNNNNNNNNNNNNNNNNNNNNNNNNNNNNNNNNNNNNNNNNNNNNNNNNNNNNNNNNNNNNNNNNNNNNNNNNNNNNNNNNNNNNNNNNNNNNNNNNNNNNNNNNNNNNNNNNNNNNNNNNNNNNNNNNNNNNNNNNNNNNNNNNNNNNNNNNNNNNNNNNNNNNNNNNNNNNNNNNNNNNNNNNNNNNNNNNNNNNNNNNNNNNNNNNNNNNNNNNNNNNNNNNNNNNNNNNNNNNNNNNNNNNNNNNNNNNNNNNNNNNNNNNNNNNNNNNNNNNNNNNNNNNNNNNNNNNNNNNNNNNNNNNNNNNNNNNNNNNNNNNNNNNNNNNNNNNNNNNNNNNNNNNNNNNNNNNNNNNNNNNNNNNNNNNNNNNNNNNNNNNNNNNNNNNNNNNNNNNNNNNNNNNNNNNNNNNNNNNNNNNNNNNNNNNNNNNNNNNNNNNNNNNNNNNNNNNNNNNNNNNNNNNNNNNNNNNNNNNNNNNNNNNNNNNNNNNNNNNNNNNNNNNNNNNNNNNNNNNNNNNNNNNNNNNNNNNNNNNNNNNNNNNNNNNNNNNNNNNNNNNNNNNNNNNNNNNNNNNNNNNNNNNNNNNNNNNNNNNNNNNNNNNNNNNNNNNNNNNNNNNNNNNNNNNNNNNNNNNNNNNNNNNNNNNNNNNNNNNNNNNNNNNNNNNNNNNNNNNNNNNNNNNNNNNNNNNNNNNNNNNNNNNNNNNNNNNNNNNNNNNNNNGCGCUGACAUGGCGGCCCUGGUCAAGGUCGAGCGAGGGCCGCGACCCUCGCCGGCGACUAUCGAGGUCUCGCGGCCCUCACCUCCGCCCUAGCCUCGCUAGCCGCGGGCGAGGCUGGCCUCGCCAAGAUCCGGGCGAAGCCGCCUCGCCGACGGCUUGGGAGAGGCCGGGUGAGGGCCGCGACCCUCGUUGGCGGCAGGCGAGGGCUUCACGGCCCUCGCCGGCCACCCAAGGAAAAAGAGGCAGAAAAGAAAAAAGAAAAAAUUAAUAAAAAAAUCAAUAAAAAUUAAUAAAAAAUUUGAAAAAAUAAUAAUAAAAAUCAUAAAUGGUCACCAGCCGACGUCCAUGUCAGCACCGGCCGGCCAAAAUUGGCUGGAUGGACUAAAUUGGUACCGAUAUUAAAAGGUUUAGGACUGAAUUGGUUCAAUUAAAAAGUUUAUGACUGAAUUAAUACCAAUGCAAUAGGUUUAGGACUUUUUUGGUACUUUUCCCGAGAAAACAUUGUAAUCUUCCUAAUUUGUAUUGAAUCGUUAUGCACAUGUAAUCAAUUAGUACAUGAACUUUUUGACUAAAUGAAAAACUAAAGAUCCACAAGACUAAUUAUCAUAAACAAACAUCAUGAGGCAAAGCAAAAAUCCUAUGCGAUGGACGGUGCAACCGUGAGUCAACGAGGGAGGAAAGCGAGCGGGGAAGAGGAAUGAGAAAGGAGGAUCACUAUGCGAGAGGAAAAACACGAUUCUAAGAUUAGAAAUCAAGGAAAAAAGGGUUUUGGACUUUUAAACUUACAAAACCAGUUCUCAAAUGAGUUCCCAAAUUGGUCUGGUCAAUUUGGUUCCCAGGUGGGCAUUUACUCGAAAUCGGAAAUCGGACCAGUUCAAAUUGGUUUUGAAUUUUGGGAAUUGGUUCUCGGACCGAUUUCAAUGUAGACCGGUUUCUGGACUAUUUUUGGGGUGGGCCGGUCUAGUUCUCAAGUAGACUUGGUCCGAUUGGACAUCCCUAAAAUUUCAUCUCUUUCCUCCCAACACAUGGGUGAGUCAUCUAUGUGGGCACUGUUUGGCAUCUUUUGUGGACUUGUAUCUAGGGGUGUGCAUGGUCUAGGCGAGCGGUUCCCGACCUAGAACCAGGAACCGCCCGCUAAUGAUUCAUUCCAAAAAAUUGAAAUCGGGAUCCACCUAUUAAUUGCAUGAAUCCACUCGGGAACCGGACCGCCGAUCCGAUUCGGUUCUCGGGUGGAUCCAUGGAACCGGUCUCACAAUAAUAAUAAUAAUAAUAAUAAUAAUAAUAAUAAUAAUAAUAAUAAUAAUAAUAUCAUUUUCUCAAAAGCUCCGAUCUUGACGGAAAACAACUUUAGUUUUCGAUCAAAAUUGCUGGUUCUUUGCCGCCUCACCUAUUCUUCUUCUCCUCCUCCUGCGGCCCUGCUUCUUCGUGUGCUUGCUUUAUGCCCACCAAUUGCUCGACGUUUUGUCAAGGUGCGCUUUGGAUUUUUUCCCACUUUAAUUAAUUUUUUUAAUUAUUUGAUUUGGGUUUGUUAAUUUGUAAUCAUUUUUUCAAUAUUAAAAAUUAAUAUAUUAUUUUAAUAGAAUUGGUUCGGUUCGGGUGGACAGAUCCACCCAUGGAACUAGGAACCGGAUUGGUACCCACCGAUUCCCAUGAAUUGGAACCGGGAACCGGACCGGUACCCAUCGGUUUCCAUGAAUUGGAACUGGAAACCAGAUCGGUACCCACCGGUUCCCAUAAAUUGGAACUGAGAAUUGGACCGGUUCCCUCAAGAACCACCAGUCUGGGCGGUUUCGGAUGGUUCGGGCGAGUCCCGGUUCUUUUGCACACCUAUACUUGUAUCUAUCAAAAGUGGACUUUCCCAUCAUAAACAUGCCGAACUGAUCACCUUUUGCAAAGUUGUUUGAUUCGUAGACACCUAAACAAAGGACAUGUUAGGUAGUCGUGAGGGGCCUCCCUGUCGCUGAUGACCAGAAUUUCUUCAACAGAGUCAUAAACUUUUAUUGAAAAGUGCAACUGCAUUCUAGAAUUGAGUACUGAAUAUCUUGCUGAAAAGUAUUCUACACCUUUUAAAGUGCGAUUUCUAGGUGAUAAACAAAAAAUGUUGAUAACAAGACUGACAAGUCGGUUGAGAGAUACUGAGCAAAUCUAUCACUUACAAUGGGUGUACAAGCAAAAAGUACGAACAAAUUUGCAUAGUGUCUCUCAAUCGGGGCUACAAGGCCAACAAGUUGGUUGAGAGACAUUAUGUAAAGCAUAGGUCGACCUUGCAAUGGGUGUUUCUCCCACCCCCUCCACCUUCACCGGCACUCACGGCUACUAUAUCGGUCUACUAAUUCUUCAAAUACCCCCUUACAAGGUGCGGUAGAGUCUACCCUCUCCACUUGAAGGGCCCCUUAAUCCCGAGCAUAAUUUUUUCUUCCCCACCUAGGAGGGAAUACUCACGAUUUUAGUCCUAGAGUUCACAUGAAGCAGUUUUAGGAUAUACUCGAGUCUAAGGUGCGAUUUCCAGGUGAUAAGCAAGAAAUGUUGAUAACAACGACUUCAAAUUCGAUAAUACUGGUUUUGAACAGUUAAAGAUUCCAUUACAUAAACCUUAUCCACGGCAUCAACGUACCUUUUUUAAAGAAAAAAAAAAGAAAAGAACAUAUUGCGGAGACUAGGAAAAUAUAUUUUAAAAAUAUGGCUGAUUCAGAAAUCAUAUUAUGGCAAAAAGAAGAAAGAAAAAAGUAAGGCAUCUGAUUGCAAGAGACAUUAAAAAUACUUCAUUUGGACCCGCGGUCAUGAAGGUCUUGGCCUCGUGGGGCUGCAGAUCUCCAACGGAGGUUGCGACUUCCAUGGCUACGGCUCCCUCUCUCUCUGAAAAUCAAUCCAUCGGCUGGAGAAGAGCCCGGCCGCCACGACCAUGGAGGUUGUAGUGCUCACACGACCGUAGAUGAAAAGUAUAUCUUCCUAAAUUAUUAUUCCAUAUAAAAAAAUUUCAAGUGAAACUUCAUUGAAAUAACCAGAGUCAAGUUCACUUACGACCCAUUUGAUAUGAGAAAACAUCUUUAGGUCAUUGAAAACAAAAACUGUUUUCAGUUUCCAUUUUUUUUUUUCACACAUUUGGUAUGAAAUUCUUUUGUUGGAAUUCGAACUAAGAAUGUGUUUGGUGUGUUUUGCAUAACAUAUCACAAUUUAUCAAUUUCUAAACUAUGAGCCUCCAGAAAAGGAAUCUAUUGAUUCUCUCACAAUUGGUUGGAUUGUAGGUGCAACAAUUUACUUAACAGGCGAUAUCUCUUUGGUCAAGUUGGGGAUGGCUCAAUUGCACCAAGGAAAAGAAAAGAAUCAUGCAUGCUUCAUUUGGAUCGAGGGAUAUAGCUCAAUUCGUAAAACUCUGCUCUUACAAUAAGGUCAUUGCGAAUACAGGUCUGGAGUUUCUUUAUAUACUACUGGUGUUUUUUUAGAAAACAAUGAUAAAUUUAUCUCACCAACCGAAAUUAAAUCUUUUAAGUAAUCCUUGCUUGGUGAUCAUCUUAAUAAGUGGAAAAUUACUUAAGUCAUCUACCAAUAUCUUUUUCUUCUUGGCUAAUUAAAAGAAUUUGUUUGCCCGUCAUUAAUAUUAAACAACAUUAGAAUUUCAGAAUUAUCUCCCAUGACAUUAUAAAAGACUAUGAAACAAAUUUUGAGGAGGAAACCUCUUUGAAGCUUCUUGUAGCUCCCGAUGGAAUUGAAUUAACCCGUUUAGCUUAAAAAAAUGCUUCAACCUUCGAAAAAGCUAGAGGACUUCGAAUAACACGGACAUUGCUUCCGUAAAUGACGGAUUUGUGUUCCAAAGAAUCCAAUCUCAUAUCCUCGUAACAAUUGAAAUUUGAUGGGACUGAACUGUUCUGGAGCUACGAUUUUUUUUUUUUUUUUUGUCUUUUUCAUAGCUCGUAUGCAUGAGCGGGGAGCCCUAUCUACUUGAAGCCUCAUGCCAUACUCAGCAAGUCCCAUGAUGUUCAAGCAUUUGUUUGUGCAAAUGACCCCAACUAAGAGCAGUUUUGGUGAGAUCUGAACAUGUGACUCCAAUGUAAAAAAUUAUUCACACAAUUUAACUUAUUAAUCAAGAAGAAUCAUAUCCAUAUAUGAUUGUAAAACAUCGAUAUUGAUAAGCACAUCAGAAUUAAAGCGUACUUGUUUGAGCCAUUACUUCACUUGAAGAAAAAUAGAUCACUCUCAUACCAGAGAUCUAUCGAAAUGCCAUAUUUUCCUUUUUAUAACAUAUUUCAGUAUAGUAGGUUUUAAUGGAAUUAAUGCAACUGAAAGGUAUAACCUAUCAUUUUAUAGGCUAGAGAGGGGAUCUAAUAAACUCUAAUCAAUAGCAUUUCAACUGGCCCUUCUCAUUAUGGGUUUCGAUUAAACACAAUUGCUUACAGUUUGCUGCUCAACUAGGCCUGUUAUCAAUAGAUGCUAAUACCUAAUUCAAUUAGAUCACUAUAUGGUUUAACAAAUAUUUGAAUAUUCAUUAAUCCGAUUAUUUAAACUAGAAAAUUAAUUAAUUAAUGUAAGCCCAUAUUAUAGAAAAUUUCCAACAUUCUCCCACUUGGGCUAUAUUAAUUAACUUAUUUAUAUUUUGAAAAAGAUUCUAUAUUAAAAAUGACACUAUCAGGUUAAUAACUGAAAAUUUUGUUUUAUGUGGCCACAACUUUAAAAAAUAAUAUUUAAAUAAUGACAUCUCAAAACCAAUCCAAUCUCAUAUAACCUCAAUAUAAGACUAUGGGGAUCAAUGUGUUAAAAAAAUACCACUACACAUGACCUUCCAUAAUCACAUAUAAUAAGCAUUAUAUUUUUAUGGAUCAUGGGUCUAGUAGUGUAGUAAGAAAUAAUGUCAAUAUGUAAUCAAAAUAUACACUAUUUUUUAUUGAUUCUCAAUGUAAUUUCUCAACGACAUGAAACUAUAUUAACAUAAUUUCUAAACAACAUGAAAUUACAUGACUAUGUUACAAUCAAACAUGAGAUCUCAUAAUCAAUGAAAUCCAGUCAUCUUUAAACUAAAAUUUGUUUAAAGAUACGAUUUUAUACUUCUAUUUCUUAGUCAAUAGGAGAAAGAAUAACAAUAGAAUCAAUAAUAAUGAUCAUUGAAAAUAAAUGCUUUAAUAGACAUCAUGAAAGCAUUAUUAGUUUGCAUAUAACUAUAAUAUAUAAAAAUACAAAUUAUAUAGCUCCUAUUAACAAAAAAAAUCAAAAGAAUCUAAAACACCUAUAUUCUUUACAUGUUCUUUAAACAAAAUGAGUCAUAAGCCUUUUGUUAGAGGAUCAGCCGACAUGGACUCCGUUCUAGUAUUCUCAAUCACAAUAUUUCCUUUUUUGACCAAGUCUUUAACAGUAUAAUAUUUUAUCAAGUUAAUAUUUCAAUCGUGGCAUUAUCGUUGUUUACAACAAGGUAACUGCUUGCCACACAUAAUGCAAUAAGAUGAAUUAUGGAUAAUAAGCAAUUCAACAAAAAUAAUUUGUAUAUUAUAAACUCCCCCUUAGACAGAGUGUAUAAUGCACUAUUAUUUUCCAUAGCAUGAAGUUUAUAAAGCAACAAUAUGGAGAAUUACAUAUAAUUGUCAAAGAAUCCAUCCCAUUUGGGGAGACAAAUUCUUUAAAUCAUACAUCUCUAUAAUAUUAAUAUAGAGGGGAAUUAUAUAUAAUUUUCAAAACAUUUAUCCCGUUUGGGCAGAUAAAUAUUUUUCAAUUAUACAUCCCCAUCUCUUAAAUUUGAGAAUUGAUUUUCAUGUUAUUUUCCAAACUAAUAUACACAAUAACCCCCUUUAGGUGAGUUAUUGUAUAUACUAAUUUUGAUCAAUAUGGAACUCCAAUAAAUUUUAUAAAUAAUGUUCCAUUUAAUCAAUGCCCAAAAUUCAUCUAAUAAUAUGAAGCACUUUACAACAUGUGCUUUUCAAGAACAUAUUGCAUUUAUCAAUCAAUAAUUUUUUUUUAAGGUAAACAUAAAUCCAAAUUGAGUUUGUAAAAGGAAUAUAUAAACUAAAACGAGCAUGUGAGCACACUGACACAUAGCAUGUGUACACACACAAGCACAUGUGUACCCGAAAAAAAAAGUAGUCACAUAGGCACUCACACACACAACAUGCGAGGAUGCCUGGCUGCAAAACAAUUGGCCACCACAUUGUUGCUAUCAAUUUUCUAGUCAAAACAUCUAGCUUUUCGCACAGAACUAAGAUCAAGAUGACAAUGAUCAUGAAAUUGAUCCUUAUUCAGAUUCGGCAUAGUUUGAUGAUUAAGAGGAUUAUCAAUAAAGAUUAACAACGGCAUGGCAUUUUCUUUCAUUUGUUUUUGUGGUCGCCACAAUGAUAGAAACUAAGAUCCUACUAAUUUACCUAGCAUUUUCAAGUGCUCUCUAGAGUCUGCACAUCCGAUGAGUUGCAGUCACUAGACUACAUCCAUUGGCCAAGAAAGAGUGCUAAAUCCAUUGGCCAAGAAAGAGUGCUAAAUCCAUGCUAGCAAAUUUCUGACCAUGAUGAAAUUGUUCAGUCAAAAUCUAAGCAAUUUUCCAGAAUUGGCUUCUUCCUUGUGUAUACUUGCUAAAUUUUUUAACUCACUAUAAUUUGUACUCUGAGUGGGAAGAAACGCUCACGUACAUUUAAAGGCAGAGAAGAGUCCUUAAAAAUCUUCAUGCCCAAAUGACAACAAACUCGAGAAUGUCAACAUAAUCUAGGCAAUUUUACAAGAUUCAUUCUUUGACCCCAUCAAGAAAUAUGAUCACAUCAUAUAAGUUAUCCCAAAACAUCGAUUUGAUUCUUUGAGUUGACCAAAUACUGCAAACAAACAGAUAAUGAAGUCUUGCAUAGCACUUUAGAUAAUACUAUUUACCACGAAAGGGAUUUACAGAAAUCUUUGGUGCUGGCUCAUUCUUUAUCUAUCAUAUAUUUCUAACGUAAUUUAGCCUUGUGCACUCCUAAAAGAACAAAAACAAACACACACAAUUUGAGUGAUUCUAAUUCGAGCACUCUAGCCAAUAUUCUACUCCAUAUGUAGUUUCAAGGCAAAGCCUCUAUAAAGAGGCACCACACACCUGCCGCUAGUAGUAAAUGAGCCCGAACCAACCUUUUCGAAACGUAUGGCGAUCCAAAUUGGAGAACAGAUAUUCCCUCUUAGUAUUCAGUUCUUGUUGAGCCGUAGCUAGGAUGAGCUAGGUAGUUACGCACUGCACUAAGAGACCAGGGACACUUGGGCACGACGUAUCUCGCGUUGAGCGACAUCAUCAAGACGUGAAAAACUCUAACCGAGCAAGACUUAAAAAAAAAAGAAAAAAACCAUCAUUGAAAAAGGGUUUCCUCCUCGAGCAAAAUUCAAAAGGAAAAGGAAGCUUAAUCUGGAAGAAAUUAGUCAUUUGCGUAGUAACGCCGAAGCAUCAUUCAACCUCCAUAUGUAAUGGUCAAUUGCAACAGUAUAUCAACCGUAGCUGCUGCAAUAUCUACAAUAACUCUCCCGUGCUAUCUAAAAUAGACUAAAGGCAGCUCAACAUUGGAGACUCCGAUAAAAGACAAGACAAUUGGAGCAAACGGAUCAUGGCCUUGCUCUGCCAUCACAGGCAAAGUAGAUGAUCACCAAAGAUCUAAAAUUACCAUCUCAAAAUAGCUCCAAAAUCCAAUCUUGAAUAAUAAUAAUAAUAACAAAAAAAAAAAAAAACACGAACUUCACGAGUCCACGAUUCAUCCUACGGACCCUUCUCCAUGUAUACAUCAAAAAACGAGACGGGCGACUGCCUCACGAUGGGGAGAAAUUACAAGUCCAAGAUGAAUCUUGCUACCGAAAAAUUCUACAUCCAUAUCCCAAAACAACAUGUCAACAACACCACAUAGCCCACUCUCCACAACAGUUUCCUUCAAUCAAGAAAUAGUUUUACCCAUUGUUGACACCUAAAUUUUGGCGAUCCGUUUAGUCAUUUAUCGCAUUAAAAAAUCAGGGAUUAAUUUUAACCCCAAAAAAAAAAAAAUUUAAUUCCAUAACAUAUGGUCAUUAGAAGCAUAUUUCAUUUAAUUGCAUAUUUGUUAGGCCGACGGUGAAUGGAUUUUGGUGAAUGGCUUUGAAUAUUGAAGCCAACAAGAGCAUUAAACUGUGGAUAAGUCGAUAAUUCCUCCAUGGUGAUUGAUAUUACACGGGUGUCCUAAAUUGUUAAAAGUCAAUUAAGAAAUUUCCAGCAUAUUGGCACCAACAUAUUUGUGCAUUUAAGGGAACGAAUGCAAAGGAAGGACAGCGUGUAAGCGGCCACCGAAUCGAACAUAGAGAAGCCCAUCCACGUGAAGGAAAAUUAUGCGCUUUCCCAUAAUUCGGUCAACGUGGGGAGCGAGAAAUUGACCAGCAUUAUUUUAAGAGGAAAGAUACGAGCAUAUGCACAAAGGAAAUUCGGAAGAUCAGCAUGAGAGGGGAAUGUUGGGCACGUUCUGCAUUGCGGGCAUGGAUUUGCAAAAAAUAUAUAUAUCGGCAUUCGAUCAAUAAAGAGGAAAGGAAAGAAAAUAUAUUUCAACGCAUGCCCAGAAGGAAACAGAAUAUGCUUUCUUUCCUCAUUGGUUUACGCCUUUUCAAUAUAAAUUGACUCAUUACGGGACAAAAGGGGGGGAUUCCAAAAUAUACAGAGAACACACGUGAGAGAGAGCAGAGAGAGGGAAACCUCGACCAGUUCUCGGCCGAGGUGAUCGUCCAAACCGGUGCCCACUUCACGGCCAGACCUGUGGCCGUGCCUCUGUCACCAACAUCGCCGUAUCGUGUUGCUGCCCUGCUGAGCUGUCGACGACAACCAAGCUAUUCCUUGCACGCGUGCCACCUGAAAAGCCGAUCGUGUUCGAGCUGCUGUGCUUGACUACGCUGCUGCUUUGGUUUCGUUGUUGCUGUGCGCUGGCACUUUUGCUACCUGACUCGUCGAUCCUCCACCGUUGAACGCUACCCCACCGAGUUGGCCGUCUUUUGUGCUUUAUUUUCAGGUUCCCGCGAGUCCCAGAGUUACUUGCGCACAUCUGAAUUACAUUGGUGACCGGCCCUGGACGUUCAAAUCUUCACGCCAACAACCCUCCUUUUUGCUGUUCAAGUCUUCUGGUGGACGUCCCCUGCUGUGCUGGUCAUCCUCGUUGACUUUGCUAAGCAAAAUCAGCGAAGCAUCGGUCACCACUCGAAAUUUGCCGUUGCUUACUGAGCGAGGCAGCAUCUUUGAGCAGCACGUCAUCUUGAACUGCCGCCCGUGAGUCAUCCCGCCAUCCGUCGUUUGACCGAACUUGAUAACGUGGUUCACGUGACGCCGAAUAUUAGGUAGGAAUCUUUUUUAAUUUGAUAUAUCCUUAUUGCCUAAUUUGUGGGAUUAUCUCGUUCGAAUAUUUAAAUGAUACCGUCAUAUCCACAAAAUAUCGAUUAGCCUUUUAAGUUGGGAAAUCUUCCUAAUUUCGCAACGUCCAUAUGAUUGACGGUCCAAUUUCAUGCUCGAAAUACGACCCGCAAUUGUACGGAAAAAUCACCAAUCCGAUCUCAUGCUCGAGAUAUGAUUCGUGAUUUUAUUUAAAAAUUGGCCAAUCCGAUCUCAUGCGCGAGAUACGAUUCGUCAAUUUAUUUCCCAAAAUUAAAUGGACAUUGAUGAUAUCUUGCUUGAUUUAUUGCCGUGCUAUCCUUGAUGCCUUUAUUUGUUUGUCCUCGUAAAAUAAAAAGCAUUUGAGUUAGAUUAGAUGCAUGUUAGGAUAUUACUUGUUUUAGGUUAUUUUGCAUGUCUAGAAUAGGAAAUUUAUUUAUUUCGAAUUUCUUAAAUAAAAAAUCAAAAACAUAAUUUAGGAUGUUAGAUUUCCGUUCCACUAGUUUAAAUUGCAUGUUUAAUUAUUCGGUAAUUAUUAAUUUCGAAAUAAAUAAUAAAAAAAGAAAAGGAAAAACAACAAAAAGUCAUCAUGCAUAUAUCAUGUAGAGUUAGGGGAUUCUUUGCACGUCAUUGCAUAUUAUGAUAGAAUGCAUGCUUAUUAGGAUAACAAAAACCAUGUGCACGUCAUAUAGAAUUAGGUUCAUACAAUGCACGUCAUUUAAUGAUUUUUGUUAGGUUCAUUUAAUUAGAAAUUACCCGUCAUUAGAACUAGGUCAUUAGGUUAAUUUAGAUUGCAUAUUUAAGUGUUGCAAUUCUUUAAUUUCGAAUCUCAUGGAAAAUACAAAAAAAAUUAUUUUUUAGAAUAAAUCCAUCUCAUGCUUCAGGAUAUAUUAAAUGUUUAUUUAUGUCAUAUCGCUUAGGUCAUAUAGCUAAGUCAUGUUGCCAUGCCAUAUCAUUUCAUGUUAAAUUAGUGAUAUGCAUUGCAUAAAGCAUGAUUCUCAUUAAUUAAGUGAAAAAAAAAAAGAAAUUGCGUGUUAAUUAGAAAUCAUAUUUAGGAUUGCUGAUGUGAAUUCUAAACUAAUAACGCAGAUGCUUUCGUUGCUACGAGGUAAGUCUUGCAAUUUAUUUAUUGCUUUACUUGGGUGUUAAAUUGGUGGUUUGCGCACCUGCAUGGUCACCUCACAUGUUAGGAAUUAAAAUCAAUCCAAACUGCUUGCCAAACAUUUUUCAAAAUAAAAAGAAAGGUACCGAAAGGGCGUUAGAGAAAUCUAGCGUAACCAAGUCCCCGUACCCAAAUCUCUGGUUCGUAGGAGUAAAGUAAAUCUCCCAUUAUUUUGCUUGGGUUUCUAAUCGACCCACCAAAAAUUUAAGCGACUCCUAAUUAAAAAUUAAUUGCAUGUUAAAAAUUUAAAUGAAAGUUGCGAAUUGGUAUGGGUUUGGGAGAGCCCGAGUUAAGUCUAGGCUUAACAAUCCAUUAGCUAAACCUUAGGUGGUUCACACCCCGAAAAAAAUUGGUCGCGACACCCAUCCUCUAAAAUCCGAGUAACUACGAACAACUCUUGCGACUUAAAGGCAUAAUUUCGACUACCCUCUAGUUUUAACAUUCGAAGCUCCAAUCUCAAAUUAUCAAAUUUCAAACUUGCUGCCCAAAUAGGUAGUGAGAUUUGAAUCUAGCCUAACACUACAAAGCAAGAACCGAACAAAUCGUCAACAGCUCUUCAGACCAAAAUUAUAUAUAAUUUUCUAUUCCAUCUAGUUUUCUGGUCUGAAUAUUCAGUGGUGGGUGCAGUUUGCAAAAAGAAGUGGGCUACUUACAUAGAAAAAAUCAUAUUUUGUUUUUGUAUGAUGCUUUACUUGCCUACGAACCUGAGAAUUGAUCAUCUCUUAGCUGAGUGAUAGUUUUUUGUGGUCAGCAAUAAUCAUAUAAUUGCACCGACUGGUUUGUUAUAUAUUGGAAAUAGCUAAAAUUCACGUGCAACAGUUUCUUACUAAGCAUAAAUUUGAUAUUGGGGAUUUUUAUAAAUGCCACUGAAAUGGAGAUAUUCUUCAAAAACAUUACUGUAAUUUGAUAGUUUGACCACAGUGUCCUCCAUGUGGAUCUGCUUAUUAUCCCAGCAGGAUAAAGUUUCUGGGAUAGUUUAUGUAUCAUUUAGAUUAGCGAGCAUGCUAGUCAAAUACCUUGAGCAGUUGGUUCUCUAUUAGUGGCUGGUGUCUGUUUCUUGUAUUAUACGAACUCUCCAUAUUGAAUGGAGCCUCUCAGCUUUAUUGAAAUCUUGGAAAAGUAAUAUGGUAUUCAUAGUGGUCCAUGAUGAAAAAGUUCUCACGGAGCAGACACUCGACAAAUUCCUUUCGGACAACAAGUAGAAACGAACGACGGAGGAACAGAGGAGAGAGGACCGAAGUACACGCAAUGCGUAUGGACUAAUCUACUGACACCAAUCGCAUCGAAACUUAGAGAUCAAGUCAGCAAAAUCGGCCGAAACCCUAAUCGCUCAUCCAAAAGGGAACAAACGAUCAGCUACAGUAAUCUCCAAACCAACCGUUGCUACCGUCGAAUUGAAGAAAAAAACAAAGGUAACGCUAUAAUGUAACUUAAAAUUCUAGAACUUUUUUUUUAUGUAUAGACCCUAGAAUUUCAAAUUUAAAAUUCUCACUCAAUUCUCAAUGAAAUUAUACAAAUUAUUUAUGGUUAGAAAGAUCUCGACGUUUAGAACGAAAACCCUAUGGUUUUAGGAUCAAUUGAGCAAAAAAUCCACAUGAAAAAAUAAUACCUAUAUUUGGCUCAAAGAGGAAAAUUUUGAAUUUUGUUCAUAAAAAAAAUUUGGGUUCUACAAUCAUAUAUGACUUGCUCUGAUACCACAUGUAACAAAUUAUUCACAUAAUUUAACUUAUUAAUUAAGAAGAAUCGGAUCUAUAUAUGACUAUAAAACACCGAGAUCAAUAAGCAUAGCGAAAUUAAAGCAUACCAUUGCUUCACUUGAAGAAAAAUAAAUUACUCUGAUACUAGAGAUCUAUCAAAAUGCCAAAUCUUUCUCUCUAUGACCUAUUUCAGUAUAACAGCUUUUAAUGAGAUUAAAGCAAUUGAUAGGUAUAACCUACAUUUUUAUAGAGAGGAACCUAGCAAAUCCUAAUCAAUAGCGUGUCAACUAGCCCUUCCCAUUACAAGAUUCAGUUAAACACAAUUGUCUACACUUUGCUGCUCAACUAAGCCCGUUAUUAAUAGAUGCCAAUACCCAAUUCAAUUAUAUUACUAUAGGGUUCAACAAAUAUCGGAAUAUUCAUUAACCCGAUUAUUUAAACUAGAAAAUUAAUUAAUUAAUGUAAUCCCAUAUUAUAGAAAAUUUCCCACAUCCAGCUCUCCAGUUCUCAAGAUAAUAAUAUUUGACUACCUGACUAUUUGAGCCAACUUUAACGGAUUGAACCUAUGGUAGACGUAAUCAGCAUUAUAUUUAACCUCUGUCGCAUUAUCUUAUUUGACAAACCAUGUCGAUAUUUUCAUAUUGGGUUUAAAAAAAAAAUUUGCUUUUUAUAAUAAAGGUUCAAAUUUAUUUAGCUUUCUUUUAGAUUCCAAUUUCUAACCCACCCAGGAGCACAAUCCACAGGAGAUGCACAAGAAGCGUAAGACGCUCUCGCUUUAUUAUUAUUUUUUCUUAAAAGGCAGGAUUAAAGCUGAUUUUUAGUCAUCAAAGUGUGUGAGUCAAAAGUAGCAAAGUCACUUUCUCUGUAAUGUAAUGGAAAUCACGCGUCCGCCUCCUCCUUGGCUCAUCCAUUUCCCGUGGAACUUACGCCAGUGUUCAUUCAAUUUAUCUUCGGAAAAUUUUAGGUGCACACUUCUGCUUUACACCAUUUUUGCACUUGAUUAUGAUAAUGUAUCAUGACAUCACUCCGCAUUAUGAUGUUUCGGUACUUAAUUACUAUGACCCGUCCUAAGGUUGUAUAUUACGACAUUAGCGUGUGUAUCGUCUCUUUUAUCUAUUUGUCCGGAUGCAUCUUUAGAAAACCAGAAACUAGGAGAUCACCAUUAAGGCUACUCUAUCCUCUGUUCGUUCUUCUCCUAUUCGUCCCUUCAUGCUUUCUCUAUAUUUGGCUAUCUCUUUAAGGCUUGAAUCCUGUUCAUCCUUCGCUAGGUACGCAAACAACGCGAGGAAGCGAGGAAGAUUAGAGUUUGGACAUUGCUUCCUAGCAAGCGGAUUUCAAUUAGAGAUGAAUGCAUUGGAUCAUGAAUCUUAUUGGGGAAAUCAUUGUCUUUAUUCGGAAAUUUCAUCUCUUUCCUCGAAUCCCACAACACAUAGGUGGGUCAUCCAUGUGGGCACUGUUUGACAUCUUUUGUGAACUUAUCUAUAUUAUGUGGACUUUCUCUUCAUAAAGAUGCCGAACCUACUACCAUUUGCAAAAUUACCUGAUUCUUUAGACCAAAAAAUAAAUGCUAUGUUAGGUGGUAGUGAGGGUCCUUUCUGUCGGUCAUGAGACAAAUUUCUUCAACAAAGUUGUAAUCUUCUAUGAAAAGUGCAACUGCAAGUUGGAAUAAAGUACCCAAAAUCUCACUGAUAAGUAUAAACAGAUUCAAUACCUUUGAAAGUGCGAUUGCUAGGUGAUUUAAAAAACCAAUGUUGAUAAGGACUUUUUUUUGAACCGCUUAUAAGAUGGACUUGAAAUCAGAAAACUGAUUAAACACUUAAGUUUCAACUAGAUAAAUUGUUGGUAAGAGGUGACUUAUCCCUCAUCGAAAGGAUGUAAGUGCCCAUGUUGAUAAGAUUUAACAUUAAUCAAUGAUCAUUAUUUUUUAUUUAUUAAUAUCCAAAUCAAUAAUUAUAAAGAAUUAACUAUAGUGUCCUAUUGAAAAGAUUUACAGUUAUUUUAUAUUUAUAUUUAUUUAAUUUCGAAUUUUGUUACUUUGGCUAGCGAUUAUCUCAGAUAUUAUAUCUAUUCAGACAUAAUUUCUUAAUUUUUGAAAGGUCGUGUAUCUUUGAAUAUAAUUUCUUAUUUUUUUGCUAUUAAUUACUUAACGUGUCUAUUCAAUAACAUCUUCUUCCAUUUUAGUUUCUUCCAAAAGAAAAAUACAACCAUUAUUUUCUAUUGUUUUCUUUUGAGAGAUCCUUCAAAAAUACCUAAAUUGUUAUUUGAUAUUGUCAUUGAGAUUUUGUUUUAUGUAGGAGGAUUUUUGCUAAUAACCACGAGUACUAUUAUGGGCAAAUAAUUCUUAAAGAAAGUAUUAUCACGCUUUAAAGUUUGAUUUCAUUGUUCUUCUCCAUCAAUGGAUUUUUUUCCAUAAUAUAUACUUUGCUUGCAAAUUGACGUACCUCUUUUCUUAGGAUAAGAAGAAGAAAAGGACAAAUUGCUGCGAUCAGAAAAAAUUGGGCAGGACAAGACUAACUUGAGAUUUUUUCACAUUAUUUAGGAGCUUCAUGCACUUGUGUGAAGGGAAUACAUUUUCUGCAUCCUAAACUUGACGGGAUUGUGCUUUUUUUGUCCUAGAAGUUAUAUUUUUAGGAGAAUUAUCAAAAAGUCCUAAAUUUAUUGCGAUUGUGCCAAUUAGAUCAUAUAGCUUUUUUUUUUGUUAAUUAAAUCAUAAACUAUUAAGAUUGUGCCAAUUUAGUCUAUCUUAUCAAUAUUGACCAAAAUUGCCUACAUGGAUACUGGUUAUCCUACAUAGCAUGGUUGAUACUGACAUGGAUAAUUUUUAAUAAUUUUUAAUAUUUUUUGAAUUUAUUUAUUUAUUUAUUAUUAUUUUCUUUUUCCCUUUUUCCUUUUUUUUCCUCUUCUCUUCCUUUUUCCUCUAGUCAGUCGGCGGACUUUGGAAAUCAGUGAGAGGUGAGGGUUAAUAGGGGCAAGCUUUGCCCGCAUCUAGCAAGGUCGGCCUCGCCCAACCAUUAUGAGGCCAACCUCACCCUCUGUGACAUCCCAAUUCUAUUUUUAAUAAAUUGAGACAGGCAUUUCAUUGGCACAUAUAUAGUUCUUUUCCCUGAACUGAUCACUCAUGAGAUAACUAGUCUAUCAGGUGAAACCGUUAAGAAAUUCUAAUGCAUCGGACUCGAGAAUUUGACUAGGAAACGACCUUGCCACCGAGUUAAUCUGCAAGGGUCAUUACGGCACAGUUAAAAAUCGAUUAGAGAUCGGAGAUAGGUCGACUUGACAGAGGCAUGUGAUUGAGUGUGGGUGAUUCCACUAGAUCGCACAAUUCUUGUCGAUCGGCACUAGACUGGCUUUUCUGUCGUUUGGGUACACUGUGUCCGUGUUUGAAACCUUGAGAUUAUCCCGACAACCGAGAGUCGCCAAUGUGUCAAAGAUGUACAUUGUGGCUUGAAUUGAUCAACAACAGGUCAAAUGCACGAAAAUUUCUAAAAGCUACCCGGUAGAUUAGGACGCGCUAGUAUCGUGCCAAAGUGAAAUUAAUCGUGAAAUUGAUAUCGAAUUCAGAAAUUGGAAGUCAUGGUGUGUCACAAAUCAUUUUAGGAUCAUUGACUCAUCUUCGGAAGAUUUUUCAUACAAUAAGAGUUUUUUAGCAAAGUAAUCAAAGCAUGGCUAAUUUGGUUCGGAAAAUUGGUAGGCUCGCUUUUGGCUGUACUUUUGAGAUCUAAGAGGGUUCUAUGGUCAAGUGAUUAUGUGAAUUGAAGUGUGGUGACAUUGGAUUAAUUUUAUGGACUUCAAUUGGACUCAAUUGGAAGAGAAUUGAAUGGAAUUGAAGAAAUUAUCACACAAGAUUCUAUGCCUAGGCGGAAAAUGAAAUUGAACUUAUUGGAUUAAGGUUGUGGGAGGUUGGAGUUAGUGGAUUGUGACAUCACAAGUGAUGUCAUGGGGGUAGGGCAAGAUUGGCUAGGAUGGCGACACAUGGAGGGUGGGGGAUUGAAUCCCAAAAACGUGGGAUGUCACUUCCCCCUUGUCUCCAUCAUCUUUAAGCUUGGAGGAGAGAGAGAGAGGAGGAGCGACCGUUCGAACCAGGCCAGCUCGACCCCCUUUGUUCGCCUCCUUCGCUUGCUCACCGUCCGCUCGUUUGCCGUCGUCGUCGUCACUGCCGCGGUCGUCGCUCGUCCGUGUGUUGCUUGCGUGAUGGCUUGUCGCUCCGUCAUCUCCCUUUCGCUCGUAAGACCAAGCCCCGUCGACCAGCCGCUACCCUUGGUCGUUCGCCUUCGCCGGAGCCUCCUUCGUUGUCGCUGUCGUCGCCCGACACCACCCCGAGCAACCGCUGUCUUUCCUCCACCGUUCCUCCUUUCGAACUACCACCAAGCCACCUCUGUUGACCUUUAACCAACAACAAGCAAAAAUGGGUUUCUCAGCUCGGUUUUGGCCCGUUUUGGUUGGCUUCCCGACCCCGAAUGCUUGGCCCAUUUUGAGGAAAGUUGUUCUCCUUGGCGUCCCCGUCGUUUUGGUCCACUUGGCUCGCUAAUCCGGUGAGUUUAGCUCACUAAACCUUUAUUAGAGGGUUAAUGAUACUUUGGGUGUGCUUAGUUUAUGUUAAGUGUCAUUAGGUGGUUAGUUUAAUUUAUUUAAGUGUAAAUUAUAUUAAGGUGCUUAAUUAACUUAAAGUGUGUUUAAUUUAAGGUUAAGUGAAUGUUUAUAUUAAUAUAAACCUUGAUGCGACUUAAAGGAAAUUAUUUUUGAUUUAUUUAAGUAUUUGUAAAUUAUUAAAUAAUUUAAUAAUAUAUAUUUACUCAAAAUUAUUAAAAUGUUAUUAUUUAAUUAAUUUUCGGAAUAAAUUUAAUUAUUUAUUAAAUUCCGAAAAUUUCAUCGGGAUCUUAUUUUCUCAGAAUCUCGUGCUAAUCGUUACUGUGUAUUCGGAUUUUGAAAUUGAUGGGUGGAUAUUAUAAAUUGAGUGUAGAUUGUGAAAAAUAUGGAUAUUAUUUAAUUAAUUUUCGGAAUAAAUUUAAUUAUUUAAUAAAUUCCGAAAUUUAUUUUGGGACCCUAAAUUCUUAGAAUUUCGUGCUGAUCGCUACUGUGUAUUCAAAUUAUGAAUUUAAUGAUUAGAUAUUACAAAUUGAGUGAUGAUUUGUGCAAUUGAUUAUUGAAUUGUUGGGUGCUGGUUGAAAGACUCGGUCGCAGUAGUGGCUGCACCAACUGGACCUUUAUUCCUUUAGAAAUGCCGUCAACAGAGUGACGUGGCUCGGGUCGCAGUAGAGGCUAGGCCAACUAGACCCAUGCUCUUUCGGGAAUGCCGUCGACGUAGUGACGAAGUUGCGCUCCAAGGGGGGGAGGCGAUGCAUGGCAUUAAUGUCAGUAGAUAGCCGAACUGCGAGUAGGUUAUGCCAUUGUGUGGCAGUGAAUAAUAAUUGGAAUGCGUGCUAAGUGCGAUUGUGAUUUAUAUGAAAGUGAUGGCAUUCCAAUUGUUUGAAUUAUUAUUACUACUUGAGAUUGUGUGAUACAAAUUGUGCUAAUUUGCAGGAAUGAAUUAAGACGAGAUAAGUCUUCUGUGUGAUGUAGCUAGGCCACCCAGGGUGUAUUUUCUUUCUAAUAGGGGUUUAGGGGGUUGAACUUGCCGAGACAAUGUCUCAUCCCGGUUGUGGGAUUAAAAUUUCAGGUCCCUGGUGGACGGAGCGGCCAGAUAACUUUGAUUGGCCUUGAGGAGUUGUAGAGGUGAAGUCAUAAGGAUUGAAGAACGUGUCCUGCUAGUUGGUUUUAGGAUAGUUCCCCUUUUGUCGAGCUGGUCUAUUUUGUAGACAGUCUAGUGUUGUAUUUAAACCUAUGUGUUUGUAAAUGAUUAUUUGGUAUUGUGAUUGAUUGCCUGCUUUUUUAUCCCAAGUUAAAUGUAGAUUUGUUUCACUUCCGCAUGCGUAAUGAAAUGAAUGGGUCGGCGACGUAUCCUGGGAACGUCGCAUUUGAAUGACCAUGGCGGGAUGUUGGCGUGCUCAAGAUUCGGGGUGUGACACCCUCACUAGUGGUUGGUGGGAACGAGCUUUGCUAGGGGUCAACAAGACUGCAUUGGCCCUUGCCUCUAGUUUGGCGAUUGGCUAGAGGAAGAAGAAAGGGAAGAAAGAGAAAGAAAAGAAAAGAAAUGAAAAAGAAAAGAAUAAAAAGAUAAAUAAAUAAUUCCAAAAAUAUUAAGAUAUUAUUUAAAAUUGUUCACUUCAGUGCUGGUAGUGCCAUGUAGGAUGGCCAGCCUUCAUGUGAGCGAUUGCAAGCCAAAAUUGACUAGAUAGAUUGAAUUGACACAAAUGCAAAAUGUCUAGGAUUUAAUUGGCCAAAAAAGAAAGAGUUUAAGAACGAAUUGACGUAAUUGCAAUAUGUUUAUAACUUUUUCGGUAAUUUUUCCUCCAUUUUCUACAGCCCCAAGUUGAGCAAAAUUGAAUCACAUUAGUAAUGCAUGUCUUGAAAGAUCUCAUCCCAAAAACAAAAUGAGUAGAUUGUGAAAAAUGAAAUCAUGGAUUAUUUUUUUUUUCUGAACCACAAGAGGCAAUUAGAAAAUGAGCCCAUGCCUCAAUGAUAUUGGUAGAUCUUGAGUGAGAUCCGCAUGAUUUAACAAUUGUAAUGCAUUGAGCUCCCACUAAGCCAAUGUCUCCAAUGAUUUCUCGAGCCCAUUCCGGUAAGAUAAAUUGAAUAAACGAAGGCCUCUAUUUUCCAAGAGCCGGUCGCUUUGCUGGGGAAAUGAACAGUAGUUCCCCAUAUGACUAUGCAAUUAAAAGAAAGAUGUACAUGCUAACGUAUAUCGUAAAAAUAAUUUGGACCAUAAUUAGUUUUUGAGCGAUGCAUCUUAAUUUUUCAUUAUUCUGGAAACCUCAAAGCAUUUAGUCUUUUAGUGGGAAUGAGAAGAAAAAAGUCCAUCUUAAGUGCGUUUAUUUCUUAAAAAAUGAAUGAUUUGAAAAUUAUGUUUUUAGAAGUGACUGCUUCUAUUAUUUGAAAUAAUAGAUGAAUGAAAAUUAUUUUUAUCAUACAUGAAAAUAUUUAGAUAUAAAUUAUUAUCGAUAAUGAAAAAAAUUUCUAUUGACUAAUUAUUUCAAGUGAUACAAGUGAUCAUUUUUAAAAAAAUAUUUUUCAAAUUAUUUAUUUUUCGCUAAACAAACGAAAACUUAGUUGAAAGAGAAAGCUAAUGGAGUCCAGGAGCGAUUCCUCUUCUAGAUUAGGAGGCCACCAUGGGCAUUGCACAAAUAGCCCCGAUCGAUCUUUCAAUGCUUCAACAUUUCUUUAAUCUAAAUAAAUGACUACCCAUUCAUAUAUAUUUCCAAAUGGACAGGAAACCCUACCUAUGUAACCAAAUUCCAUUAUUCAAUCUAACAAGUGGAGUUUAGUUUCAUUCACUCCAAAUUUUGCCUUCCAAGCAAGUGAAAAUCUAGGACUAUUUCAUUCACUCUAAAUUAAAGUCUAGAUAGAUAAAAUUCAUUUCAUUUUGUGUUUGCUAUUCAGUCUUUCUUAUAUGCAAUACGUACCGGUAAACCAUCCUCCUCCUUGAUUUAUGGGCUUCGCACAAAUAGCCCUGAUCGAUCUUCCAACGCCUCAACGUUUUUAAUCAAAAUAAAUCACUAACCAAUUCAUAUAUAUUUCCGGAUGAAGAGGAUAUAAUUUCUAUUAUUCAUUCUAAUAAUGGAAGUUUGGUUAAUUCACUCUAAAUAUUUUGCCUUCCAAGCAAGUGAAAACGUAGGACCUCACUAAUUUCAUCCUUUUGCUGGUAGGGUUCUUGAUCCUCAAAAAACUCUGAACAAACAUUCAUCUUUUCUCUAGAUAAUGUUUUCUUUGCCUUGAUUACAUCCUGGAUUUCAUUUUUUUUUUUUUCCUUUCAGAGGGGCAUUUAUCCAUUAUGCACGCCCGCCAAUUACUAAAAGCACCAUUAGGAAAGAAAAUUAUACUACGUGAAAAAAUUGCAUUUCAUAUUCUUUCCUAAAAUUUAUUUCAUUUAUCUACAGUAUAUAAUCUUUAUUUUUAAAUGCAUCUAAUUCUUUAUUUCUUUGACGAAACACAUAGUGGGUAAACCGUCAUCCUUAUAAACUACAAAUUCCACCAUAUUAUCAUGUUGUAUUUUUUUUUUCUAUUUGUAAUUUGAGGUAGUGUAUUAAACAUGUUAACAGAAUUGAUUCUACUUAGGAUACAAACAAAAACCAUUUGGCUAUGAUGGAAUAUUAUAGAACAAUAUAAUUAGUCAAAAUCAUGAUAUUUUAGUGUAGUUGGUUCAUAAUAUCCGAUCACUAAUGACAACCAACCUUAACGACUGUUUACUUGUUAGUUUUCGCUAAUCCCGGUGGAAUGAGCUGUAAGAAAGGCAUCCUUUUUACGACAAUCUAGCGUCAAUUUGACAAUAUAUGUAAUAGGAUUUUCUAAUUAGUUUUGUCUGUUUGGGAGGUUCGCAUCAAGGCAUCUUCAAGCGGGAUCUUUGAUAACACAUUGUCUGUACCGCAAUUGAAAGGUUUAGCUAUUACUUUAUUUCACAUUAACAAAGUGUCCUGCAAUCUAUUAACGAAAUUGUACAUAAUCCAUUUCAACAUCUUUUACUGCCUCCGUAUUCGUACAAUCCUCUCGGGAUAUAAAGAAAAGGAAGAACCCACUCAUUCCGAAAAUAAGAAAUGCGGGGCGUUCUCCUCAUCAACCUCUCCACAUGUAGGUGAUUAUGAAGGUGGAACCUAUUACUAAGAGAACCAUUAGCAAAAAAGUUACACUACUGUGUAAAAAUUGCAUUUCAUAUAUACUUCCCCUUCUGUUUUAUCUUUACUAUUUACAAGUUAUUGUUUAAUGCAUCUUCUUAUGAAUAUCUUUCUUGACGAAACACGUUAUCAGUACACUGUCAUCCUCAUGAAUUACAAUGUCCCUCAUAUUAUCACGUCUUUAUCUUUUUGUUUGUAAUUUCAGGUAGUGUGUUAAACAUGUUAACACAAUUGAUUCCACCUAGCAAAAAGAAAAAAAUGAAAAAAAAACCAUUUGUUUAUGAUGCAAUAUUAUAGAACAAUAUAAUUGGUCAAAGUCUUGAUAUUUUAGUAUAGUUCGUUUAUAGUAUCCAACCAUUAAUGACAAACAACUGAAACAAGUAUUCAUUGUUAGUUUUCUUUUCUAUUUUUUUUAAUUAGUGGAAAAAAGCAAUUCAAGUCAAGUGUGCUGGAUCUCAAAUUUCAAUCAAAGCUUCACCUACCCUUGCUCGAAGCUUCAGAUCUAUAUAUUUCAUCGUUCACAUAGGCCAACUAUAAUGCCUUGUGAGUGUGUAAAAAGGAAAAAGAAGGAUUGACCGCAUUCAUCUCAUUAUGUAAUCAGCCGAAUUUAAUAUAAGACCACAACUCAAUUAUAUGUUAAUUGUGCAAACAAUGUUGUCAUAAUUGUCCAACUUGUGCAAGGCAAGCACAAACAAAACCACUGAUAUUUACUAUCUAUCGAUUGUCAAUUGCCUUGAUAAUCCAUAUCCAUAUGCUGUAGAUUCUUUGGCCACUGUUGAUAUAUCAAAUGCCCGAAUAUGCUUGUCACUCCCUUCAAAUUGCAAUACAAAUUCUCACCCAAUUCCACUUUUUGCAAAAACGUCCGCAUCUAAUCGUCAAUCAACCUUAAACAUCUUUAACAAGUGGUGACUAAGCAUGAAUUUGGUGGUUGUCUUCUUAUUUUCUGAUCAAAUAAGUUUCUUUAUCGCAAGUUGACAACUUUAUGCCAAUACAAAUGACACCAUCGUUAGGUGCUAACAUGCAUAAACAAGGGACCUUUGUGAUAUAAUAAAUCUUAUCUGACAUUGAUUCUGCACAUCCGUCCUGCAAAAAUAGAGUAGGCGUUAUCAAAAUCUCAUGUUUAUUAUAUAUAUAUAUAUUUAGGUCAAAAAAUGACAUUUUAUUUAUAUCAUAAAUGGGUGAGGAUCCAGCAGCUCCCAGGAGUGGGCAUCAUUACAUAGCAGGGCCCAAACUCAAAGGGCUUGGGGUGGAGAAGAAAGCCAAUUGGACGGUAAUGUCUGUUUCCUCUGCUCGCGCGGCUCAGUCUGCAACGGCAUUUUCGGUUCUUUGACAGGAAUGAAGGCCCACCAGCGGUAAGUUCCGAAGGUCUUUGCACUCUGUCCAUACAGCACGUGUGUCCCAGUUAAAGUCUCCCGCGUACUUGAGAGAUCUUACCAGACUUUUGACAGUCGGGACUCCACCGAAACCACACCCAUCUGCUUCUUCUUGAUGUACUUCAGAGCUUCUAACAGAGCUACGGUUUCCAGCUGAGCAAUGGAAGCCGCCCGAACUGUUUUGGUGAAAUCGUCCACAGGGCGGCCUUCGAAGUCACGGAUGAUGCAGGAUAUCGCGCCUUCCAUCAACCCUGCACAAAUCAACCCAUCGACGUUGAUCUUCAUGGUCCCUGUCGCUGGAGCUACCCAAAUCUGAGGUAUCUCGGUUUCGUCUGACUUUCUUGCUUGAGGGUGUUGAAAGGCCCAUUUUCCAUAGCUUUUCUGCUGAAAUCGGGCAAGAUCUACUAUUUUGCAGGCAUCCGGCUGACUUCCCCGAUAUAUAUAGUUAUUUCGCCCCUUCCAAAUUUGCCAGAGGAAGUUUGAAAUACCUUCCAAGGAAGGUAAUUGAGUGUCUUUCCUUAUAAAGAGCGCCAACCACGCAUCAAUUCGGGUGACUUCCUUAUAUUAGUCAGUAGAGAAAAUGGUGACCAACGAGGGACACUAUUGCUCGUUGGUUUUUUUUUUCAUCAUUAAUAGAAUAAGCAAGUCAAGUCAAGAAGCAGCUGCAUAGAAUCCACGCACCUUCCAUAUAAUGCUGCGAAAUUGCUCUCCUGUUCUUUUAUUAGUAGAGAGUGCUGUGUGUUGGUAAUAAAACGUGGAAGGCCGAGAUCGGUGGAAAACAGCAGUGGCUGGAUACUUUUUUUUUUAGCACUCCUCAAAUAGUCGGUCACUCCUUGCUCCUCUUCUCUGUUUUCCUGCUUUGAUUGCUCCAUUUUCUCCAGAUUAGGGUGUGUGAGAGCUCUUGUAUUUUUGUUUGAAUUAAUGUUGCUCCCAAUCAAAUUCUGAGAUACAUUUCUGCAAUUUGCAGAUCCGGGUCUGAUGUGAAUCGUUGCGGAAGGAUCGUUCUACGAAGGCCCAGAUGGUGCGAAUUGCAAACCUCGACCUCCAAUCAAACCUGUGAUUGGCAACCUCGGUAUGAACGUGACCUGUUGACGAACACGUGUCAACCAACCAACGUUAUAGACGCCACGAGCGAAAGAAUUCGCUAUCUCGCUCGAUAAGUCGAAGAGAAUCUUGAUUAGGUCAAGUCCUCAAAAGAACGGUAAAAAGAGAACCUCUCAAUUCUUUUCCUCCAAAAAAAAUAAAAUAUCUUCGUCCUCAAAGAAAUUUGGCAAAUCCUUUAUAUAGGCUGCCACACAAACCCUAAAAACCAACCCUAAAAAUCUAAUGCGAUAUAUUCUAAAAUAUUCCUAUUUUAGAAUAUUCUUAAACAAGAAUAUAUAUAUAAAUUGACUUGGUCAAUUAUUUGGUGACAAGAUAAUUAAAUUGCACCAAGAUUUCCAAGAUUCUUCAAGAUUUGAUCCAAGGUCAUCUUCACGCCAAAGAUCACGAACCAUGACGCCAACAGCUUGCUUGAAUUGUUUGGCCCGCGCUCGAGUAAUCGAACCAGUAGGAAUAGACAAUGGGUCCCUAGCACCUCCUCCUCGAUAUGACUCGAUGUCCACAUCAGGGUCUGUGAAAUCUGCCUUUCCUCUAGAGCUCUGCUUGAUCAAUCUCCUACUUUGAAAGAAAAUAAAAGGUAUUUUUUUUUGUCAAUCACUGCAUGAUGUACAUCCAAACAAGAAGAAGGGAAAUGAAGAGUCCCUUCUCUUCCUUAUGGUCCAACUCCUUUCUUUUCUUUUCCCUUCAUUUCCCUCUCAACUUAAAUUGCCAAACAAAGUGGAAAAGAAAAGAACCCAAUCAUUUAGAAGAUCUGAAUUCCGGGGCCUCUUCCUCAUCGACCCGCCUUGCAUGGAGGACAUUACAAAGGCGGAGACAAACAGCAGAAAGGGAAUGACUUCGAAGUGCUCUUGAGCACUCCUCAGGUAAUCAAUGACUCCUUACUCUUCUCUUCCCCUCUGUUUCCAGCUUUGGUUGCUCCAUUUUCUUCUGAUGACUUGUGUGAGAGUUUUUUUUUUUUGAAGUAGCUCCGAAUUGAGUUCUGAUGAGUUUUUGAUCUGGGAUUAUAUAUAUGUAUGUUUUCUGUUUCCUGCUUUCUUUUGAGUCUCUGCUUCAUCAAUCUCUUUUACUCUUUGAAUUAGUAUAAUCCUCUCGAGGUGGAAAAAGAAAAACCCACUUAUUUAGAAGAUUCAAUUUACGAGGCGUCUUCCUUAUUCGCCUCUGCACAUAGUGGUGACUAUGGAGGCAGAACCAAAAAGUCAAAAGCAAAAGGUUACGAAGUAUAUAUGAACUUUAGAGGGCCAGACACCCGUAAGGGUUUCGUCGAUUAUCUCUAUACUAACCUUGUCGAUGCAGGAGUUCACGUGUUUAGAGACGAAGAGAUCUCUAUUGGUGCAAAGAUUGGUUUCGAUUUUCCUUUCGUUAUUGCACAGACUAAGAUCUCGAUUGUGAUUCUCUGAGAACUUGGCUUCCAGGGCAUGGUGCCUUAAGGAGCUAGUUCAUAUAUUAGAGUGCAGGAGAAGCAGAGGGCAACUAGUGUUGCUGUUGGGAAUAACGGAUCCCCAAAAACCGGAUUCAACACUAAAUCGAACCCCUAAAUCAAUGCGGAAGCGAAGCCCGGGAAAAACACGUAUCACCGAUCCUAAAGCACACCACGGAAUUGAGCGUACCUUGUUAGCCACAGAUUAAACACCAAUGCCGAAGAUCGAGGAAGAAAUUCUAACCCCGUUCAAUCCGAUGACGUCGAUUGGCCUUGAAGGGAAGACGGGUCGCCUUAAGCAUUUUGUCUUUUUCUUUUGGAGGGAGAGAAUAAACGUACGUGCAUUAAUUGAUCCAAGAGGUGUCUUCUCUCUCUCUCUCUCUCCUCCCUUUUAUACCUUCCCCCAUCCACGGGCCCUAUUCUCGUGGGCCAGGCUUUUUGGGCCCAACUUGGGCGGACGGGCCUUAAGCCCAUCUCAUAUAAAACCAUCAUCUCCCACUCGCACAUGGUGAGCCGAACAGAAUUCUCUUUACCUCUCUUCAACAUUCAUAUCGGUGAAUAAUCCGUGCGACCAGCAUACUUUGAGAGCUCGUUACUAUACAUCUGUUAGGAAUAUAUAGCAGCUCAUAACGGGCAUCACAUCCUGAGUAGAUUUAGUAUGCAGUACCCUAGAUCGAUUGAUCACAUUUAUAUCUCUCUUGAUCUCUUUCAAACAAUGAUAUAUAUAUAUAUAUAUAUAUAUAUAUAUAUAUAGUAUUCACAAUUAUAAUUAUCCCAAAGACAAUCAUAAUUGGUUAACCGGUGAAUACAAAACUAUGAUGUGAUUCUCCAAAAUCGAUCUUCCUCUUUCCUUCAAACUCUCAAUUUCAGUUCAGCUUGCUUUUCUAGAAAUGCCCCAUUAGAUUGAAUCAACUCAUGACCAUUGGCAACAUCCUAAGAUAGCAAACACUAAAUAGAAAUCUUGAGAAUAAGUAAGAGUCAUGAGGGGACCAAAAAUUGAGGAACUCUUUUCCUCAAGAGCCUCACACGACAUAAAAGUUGAGAUCAAACUUUUGUCUCUCUUAUUGGUCGUCUCAUGCAUACGUAGUAUGAAAUACGUAUUACGGUAAUAACUCCUUUCCCAUGGAGCGUAUGUCUACACCUUCAAUACCGUACAGAUGAUAGUUCAGACAUACCCAAUGUCUAACUUGAGUUCACGUAUCUACUCAACCAUAAAUUCAUCAGAACUCACAUCUGGCAUCAUAGACAGAUAAAGUAAAAUAUGUGGGUUAUUUUACUUUCGGACAUAGUUAGUAUUAUGUCCUCAUCUUAACACUUAGUUAAGGCGACAUACAUAUUUUAAGCUUGAGCUCUCGAUUAUCACCUAGAUAAUAAGCUUAAAAACAGUCUCAUCUCUAUUUAUCGCACAGUAAAUAGAGGCGAUUACCCGUGUGAGUGGGCUAAUUUUAUAUCUGUCCGACAUACUUUCUCAACUUAAAAUAAUAUACUUAGUAUUAAGAUGCAUAAAGAUCAAACAAAGAUUCAUAGGCAUUAAUGAUGAAAAACACAAAUUCAUCAAAUGUGAACACUUCGGGGAAAUUACAAUCCAGUACAUCAGACUCUACGCAAUCCUAGAGAUUUCAUAUGGCCACAAAACACAUCUCUAGGUAUUGGCUUUGUCAUAGGAUCUGCUACCAUUCUAUGCGUAGUAUGUACUCUAAGUUCACAUCUUUUCGUACAAUCAUAUUCUUGACAAAAUUAUACUUGGUAUCUAUAGGUUUGGUCUUGCCAUGAUAUUUUGGAUCUGUGGUGUACACUCUUGCUGCUUGGCUAUCAUAAUUAACCAAUAAUGAAUCUGCAGCACUUCCAAUAACACCUAAAUAAUCCAAUAAAUCUCUUAAGCCAAACACCUUCUUAUACUAUUGCUGAUAAUGCCACGAACUCAACUUCUAUCGUGGACAAGGCUAUACACUUUUGUUUCUUACUGCUCCAACAUAUGGUGCCAUUAUUCGGUAAGAAAACAAACCCAGAGAUAGAUUUUCUUUCAUCUAAAUCUCCUCCUCAAUCAUCAUUAGUAUAGCCUCAGAGUCGCAGAUCCUUUACUUAAUGACUUAGCGUAUAAUCAGCAGUCCCCUUUAGAUAUCUCAGUAUUCUCUUAACGGCUUUCCAAUGUGCUGGACCUGGAUUGGAUUGGUAUCUACUCACCAUUCCAACUGCAAAACAUAUGCCAGGUCUUGUACACAUCACAACGUUCAUCAAGUUCCCAAUAGUACUUGCAUAAGGAACAUGCUUCAUUUGUUCCUUCUCUUGUGGAGUCCCUAGACAUAGUCUAUGGCUCAACCCUUCACCUUUUGCAAUAGGAGUGUCUAUGGGUUUACAAUCUUGCAUACUAAAUCGUUCAAGAACUUUGUUUAUAUAAGUUUCUUGCGAAAGAGACAACGAUCUCUUCGAACGAUCUCUUGAAAUCUUAACUCCAAGAAUGUAUGCAGCCUCACCCAUAUCCUUCAUCUCAAAGUUGGAAGAUGACCAACUCUUGACAGUAUUAACAAACUCCAUAUUGCUUCCGGCAAUCAGUAUAUCAUCAACAUAUAAUGAUAUGAUCACAAAUUGAUCCUUGGAUCUUUUGAUAUAUACACAAUGAUCCUCAUUUAUUAUUGUAAAGUCAUAUGCCAUUAUGGCAUUAUGAAAACGUAUAUACCAUUGUCUCAAUGACUGCUUAAGGCCGUAUAUCGAUCCCAAAAGUCGAUAUACAUUUUUCUUGUUGGCCUUUCACUAUGAAACCAACAAGUUGUUCCAUAUAUUUCUUCCUCUAAUUCUCCAUUGAGGAAACCAGUCUUUACAUCCAUUUGAUGCAACUCAAGAUCCAUGCUAACCACUAUUGCCAGAAUAAUGCGAAUCGAGGUAAAGCUCACUGCAGAAGAAAAUGUAUCCUCAUAAUCAAUUCAUUCCUGUUGAUUAUACCUCUUCGCCACAAGGCAAGCCUUAUGCUUUUCUAUCGAGCCAUCAGCCUUUCGCUUUAUUUUGAGAACCCACUUGUUCCCAAUAGCUUUGUGUCCUUUUGGAAGAUCAACCAGUUCCCAGACUUAGUUUGAUUUCAUUGACUCCAUUUCCUCUUCUAUUUCAUGAAUCUAUUUUUCCUUACUAUGGCAAUUCAGAGCCUCAUUAAUAUUUCUUAGCUCAUCCUUAUCUUGUGGAGCAAUCAUAAAAGUUUCCCCUUCAAUGUCAAAACGUCGACGGGGAAUACUUUGGUGACUCGUUCAUCGUAUGGGAGAUUGUAUACUUAGCACAUCAUUCCCCAUUAUGCUCCCACUUGGAUUAGGUAAUGAUGAUGUCGUCUCAUCAAGUGGUUGCAAUUGAGAAUGAGUUGAAUUUAAUUCAUCACUUCUCAUAUUACUCCCACUUGGAUGAACUCCACUAACAUCAUUAUCCUGAUCCGAGGUCUCAAAUAGGGGUAAUCUUCCCCUAUUUCGCCCUUCUUAGGAAAUUCAUCCACUAAGAAUGUGACAUCCUGUGAUUCAAAUUUAGCUAUACUCCCACUUUCCUGCUCACCUACGAACACAUACCCUUUCGAGUGUUCGGAGUAUCUCAUUAAAAUACUCUUCUUUCCUUCGGGACCCAAUUUCCCAAACUUGUGAGAGGACUCAUGAGUAUAGGCAGCACAACCCAUGGCUUAAGAAAACUUAAGUCCGGUUUUCUACCUGUCCAUAACUCAUAUUGAGUGGAAGUAACUGAUUUGGAAGGCACCCGGUUAAGUAUAUAGGCAGUAGUUAACAACGCAUCACUCCAAAAAGUGAUAGGCAAGUUAGCAUACGCCGUCAUGGACCUAACCAUUUCUAGUAGGGUUCUGUUUUUUCUCUCUACAACACCAUUUUAUUGAGGAGUAUAUGGAAUAGAUAACUGUCUUCCUAUUCCCUUUUCAUCACAUAAUUUUCUGAACUCAUCAGAUAAAUAUUCUCAACCUCGAUCAGAUCUCAAUGCUUUUAUUUUCUUGUUUAAUUGAUUUUCAACCAAGUUCAUAAACCUUUUGAAACAACAUAAUGCUUCAGAUUUAUGAGAAAUCAAAUAGACAUAUUCGAAUCGAGUAUAAUCAUCUAUAAAAGUGAUGAAAUAAACAGCCCCAUGCCUUCUUCUCACAUUCAUUGAACCACAAACGUCAGAAUGGAUUAAAUGCAGAGGAACGUCAGCUCUUUUACCUUUUCCAAAUAAUUUCCUUGUCGUUUUCCCUACUAGGCAAUGCUCACAUAUGGGCAAAUCGACUUUUUCAAUUUUGCCCAACCAGCCCUUUUUGGCUAGUCUAUUCAUAUAUUAUUGGCCAAUAUGACCAAGUCUAGCAUGCCACACAUUCACAUCAUUAUCAUAUGAAGUAUGAGACGUGAAACAAGGGAACAACAUAUAUUGACAUCACCACAGUCAACAUUUAGUACAAUAAAACCAUCUAGAAAGUGACCACAAUCAUAGUAGUUUGUAUCCAAAUACAAAUCUACACCGUUAUUACGGAAGUUCACACUAAAACCAAGUUUAACCAACAUCAAAACAGACACUUAAAUUUCGACGAAUCUCCAGAGCAUUUAGAACGUCAUGUAGGAACAAGGUGCGUCCACCACACAUGUUCAGUUGGCAGGUGCCAAUCCUUUUAACUUCAGCUCUGGAGUUGUUUCCCACAUAAAUCAACUUAGUUCCAGUUGGUAUUCGUCGGAAUUCCACGAAGGAUCAUCUAUCCUUUGCUACAUGGUCUGUCACUCCUGAAUCUAUAGUCCACAAAGGAUUGGAUUCAGUCUAUAAAGCAGAACUUGACACAAAAGCAAAGUUCUCAAAUGUGCAAGAGGUGUAUACCUUCUUUGGUUCACGACAGUCGCGAGCAUAGUGACCUCUAUUGUCACAAUUGUAACACCUCACCCUUAACAUUUUCUUCACUUGAGGACGUUUUCCUCUCUUGUGUUGGUCAACUCUUGAUCUCUUGCAAUAAGGACUUGAUCCUUUGCAUUCCCAUAUAUUGAAUGAAUCAAUACGCUUGCGCUUAGAGCUCAAAGCCCUUUCUGAGCUAGAACCAGCAUUGCAAAUUUCUAUUUUCAGUUCACAUGCCGUUAGGCAGUCCUCUACUAGCUCAAGGUGGCGCACAGCAUCCUCUAGAUUUUCCAUAAUAUGGUCAAGAGCUUCUAGUGCUUCUAGCUUUUCCAGCACAUAUUGAAUCUUCAUAUUCAAUAUUCCACAAUUGUUGCCGUUCAUAUCAGCAAUUACGUUCUUAGUUGCUGAAACCAUCGAUCUGAACACAUCGGACUUAUAUGCACGAAUAAUUAAUGCCAAUCAUUUAUGCAUCCCUUUUGCACAGACCCAUCAUAUUAAUAAACAAUUUCAAGUAAGGUUUUAGAAUCAAAAGGUCACUACGUUUCCAAUCAUCCUCCAAAAAUCCUAACUUAAAACUAUCAUUAAUAUGAUUUUCAUAUGCAAAAUCAAUUCUAUGAAACUACAAAAACUUCUAAACUACCCACAGCUAAUUACCCACAGCAACCAGCAAUAACAGAAAGCAACAAAUAAUUGAUAUCCAAUAAAACAAUAAUGCUUUCAACAUAAUACAACAAUCCAUUACACUAAGUAAUAUAUCCGAAAAGAAAUAUCAACAUAGAAAGAGAUAUGCAACACUAAAAAACAUCUCAAACUAAUCUAAGAAAUAAAUAGGGAAAGUCCCUUCUAAUCUAUCAGUCAAAGUAUCUGAGAAAACUAAAGGCACAUUUGCCAACCAUGGGAAAACUUUUGGAGAGCUCUCGUGUCGCCACCAAGCGCAUUCACUCUGCGCAUGUGGCGCUUAAUCUAAGGGUUGAAGUUUUGGCCAACUCAAUCCUAUAGUACUCUCUUACAAAAGCUUCCACUAGCCCCCUGUAAUCCGGGACCACGUUGACCUCCCAUAACCGAUCUAACACUGCUUGCCAUUCAGGUGGAAGAGUGUUCAUCAAAGCUCGCACCUUCUCAAAAUCCGGCAUAAGAUAACCAUUCCAAAUGAUUUCCUGUAUCAUCUGAUUGACCUUGACCAUGUAUGAUACUAAAUCACCAUCAAGCCACUGAUAAUCAGCUAACUCUUUCAUCAGCCUUUUUAGUCUAGCUCUUCCUUCGUCCGUUCUCGGGAUUGCAGGUAUCCGUGCAUAACGCAUCAUAGUUCCUGCGACAAAUGCAGAACUAAAAUGGAUAACUUAUAAUCCAUAAUAAACAAAAUGGAAAAUACAUAAUUUUCCAUGAUUCAUGCAACAAAUGCAGAAAAAAAAUGGAUUACCUAUAACCCACACAGACAUAAUUGAAAAAAGAAACAAAUUCUUUUUUUUUUUCCGGGUCAACGGUCAACGGUCGGUCAACAGUCAACAGUCAACGCUCGGUCAACGGGUCAACGGUCAAAGGGCGGCGGGUCGGACCGGUCGGCCGGUCGGAUGAACCGGCCGCACGUGCCGCGUGCAUGCGCGGGCUGACGUCAUGCAGACGUCAUCGGGCACGCGCCGGGCGGGUGCCGGGUGUUGCGGUUUGGGUCGGGUCGGGUCGCCGGUCGGGUGGCCGGCCGGUGACCGCCCGGCCAACCGUCAUCGUUGCUGACGUCAUCGAUGACGUUACCCCAGCGGUUAUCGACCGUUGGGUGACGUCAUGCUGACGUCAGCACGUGUCGGUCUGUCGACCGGCACGUGUGCCGCACGCGCUGGGCAAGCCAGCGAUUCCGGGCGUGUCGGGACCACGUAUAGCGCCUUCCGGCCGUGCGUGUGGGCGCGUGCGGCGUCACCCGGCGGCGCAUAACCUGUCCCUGGACUCGUCUCGACGAGCCAUUUGUCCCUAUAUUGUUAGAAUUCGAUUUCGACUUAUGAAAACUCGGAAAAAAGGACGAACAGCGCUCGGGUGUCGGGAUUUCUCGCCCUGAUCCGUGUCGGCCAAUUUCUUUGCGAAAAUUCAAUCAAAAAACGUCAAAGGGAUCGGGAAAACAUGAACUAGAGCUCUGAUACUAAUGUUGGGAAUAACGGAUCCCAAAAAAUCGGAUUCGACACUAAAUCGAAUCCCUAAAUCAAUGCGGAAGCGAAGCCCGGGAAAAACACGUAUCACCGAUCCUAAAGCACACCACGGAAUUGAGCGUACCUUGUUAGCCACAGAUUAAACACCAAUGCCGAAGAUUGAGGAAGAAAUUCUGACCCCGUUCAAUCUGAUGACGUCGAUUGGCCUUGAAGGGAACACGGGUCGCCUUAAGCGUUUUGUCUUUUUCUUUUGGAGGGAGAGAAUAAACGUACGUGCGUUAAUUGAUCCAAGAGGUGUCUCCUCUCUCUCUCUCCUCCAUUUUAUACCUUCCCCCAUCCACGGGCCCUAUUCCCGUGGGCCGGGCUUUUUGGGCCCAACUUGGGCGGACGGGCCUUAAGCCCAUCUCAUAUAAAACCAUCAGUUGCCUAUAUAUUACAAGGUGAAACCCUCACAAUUGAAAUAUCUUACCGGGAGAUUUAGAGGUGCUAUUGAUGCACAUAAAAGGAAAAUGGGCGAAAUGGUUGUGAAUUACUGGAUAGAAGCGCUCCGAGAAGUCACUUCGGUGAAAGGAUGGAAAUCGGAAGAAAUUGGGUAGAUUAUUCUCCUCCAAAACAUUAUUCAAUUUCUCAUCAAUAAAUAUUUUAUAAAAUAUAUAUCGCGUUAAAUAUUGCCGUCCUAUAUUGACAUUUAUUGCUAUUUAACAGACAUGAAGGAGAAUUGGUUAGAAGUGUUGUCAACGAAGUUAUGAUCGCGUUAAAUGGAACCAAAAGGAUUAUGAGCUCGAUAGACAAUAGUGAAGUCCCAACCAAAAAGGCGAAAGCAAAGGCAUGUGAAGUGUUCUUAAGCUUUAGGGGGAAAGACACCAGUGAAGGUUUUACCAGUUAUCUCUAUACUAUCCUCGUGGAUGCAGGAAUUCACGUGUUCAAGGAAGACAAUGACCUCUGUGAUGGUGAGCAGAUUGGUUUGGAGCUUCUUGGCAGCAUUAUGCAAUCGAAGAUUGUGAUCCCAACUAUCUCAGAGAAUUAUGUUUCCAGCCAAUGGUGCCUUCGUGAGCUGACUUUGAUGUUGAAUUGCAUGAGAAGUGGAGGCCAAAAGGUGUUUCCCAUAUUUUACAAAGUGGAAGUCUGGCAGCUGCGAAAUCUUAGAGGGAGAUACGGAGAUGCUUUUAAUAAGUGGAAAAAGAAUUUGGAUGAAAAAGUUGUGGAGGAAUGGGAAGAAGCGCUUCGAGCAGUCUGUUCCUUGAGAGGAUGGAAGUCAUAGAGCUAUGAGAAUGGUUACAUUAUUCUCCACCAAAACAUUUUUAAUUUCCCACAAAUGGAUCUUUCUUGAAAAAAAUAUAAAUUUAGCCAUUCUAUACUGAAAUUGAUUGUUAUAUGACAGGUAUGAAGGAGCAUUGGUAAAAACUAUUGUCGAAGAAAUUAGGAGCGAGUUAUAUGGAACUUCUCAGCUAAUAAAAGAGUUGAUGGGAAAUUACGAGCUGGAUAGAUGUUAAAUUUAAUGAUACAAGGAUUGUCGGAAUUUGGGGAAAUAUUGGCAUCGGUAAAACAAUUCUUGCAAGGGUCGUGUACAACAAGCUUUCUAGUCAGUUCAAACAUCUUAGCUUUGUGGCAAAUAUUCGAGAAACAUCUUUGCACAAGGGUAUUGAAUGUUUGCAAAGACAGUUCAUUGACGAUAUACUAAGGAGUCCAAACGACGUGUCUAUCGACAAAAUCAGUGUCAUCAAGUCUCAAUUUAUAGAUAAGAAAGUUCUUGUACUUCUUGAUGAUAUAGAUGCCAUUACCGAUUUUAAUGCUUUGAUUGGAGACAUUAGUUGGGUUAAAGUAGGAAGUAUAGUCAUUGUCACAACAAGAAACAAGAAAUUUCUCGAUGAGGCUAAGGUGGACCACAAGUAGUCAAUAAAUUGACUCUGAAUGAAUCAUUGAUUUUAUUUAGUAGACAUGCAUUUCAAAAGGAUUAUCCUAUUAAAGGUUAUGAGAUUCUUUCUCAUAGUAUUGUAUCCAUAACAGCUGGACUUCCCUUGGCUCUUAAAGUUAUAGGUUCAUGUUUAUAUGAACAAAGCAGAAGAGUAUGGAAUAAUAUAUCAAAGAAAUUAAUGGAAGUGCCUCAUCAGCAAGUACAAGAGAUGUUGAGGAUAUGUUAUGAAUAAUUAGAUGAUAUGGAGCAACAAAUUUUUUAGGAUAUAGCAUGUUUUCUUAUUGGAUCAUCUAAGCAAAGUCCUACUUAUAUGUGGGAUGCCUGUGGUUUUUUCCUGAGAAAUGGGAUUGAAGUGUUGAGUCGUAUGUCUUUAAUUGAGAUUGAUGAAGAUGACAAGCUAAGGAUGCAUGAUCAACCGAGAGAUCUAGGACAGAAAAUUGUUCAUCUAGAAAAUCCAAAGGAACCACAAGAGCGUAACAGAUUAUGGAAAUAUGAAGAAGCAGCGUAUGUGCUUGACAGCAACAAGGUAAGUGUUUUCCUCUACUCGUCUUACUCAAUGAAUGUGAUUCCAUUUUCCUUUCUUGUUUGAGAUUAUAGUUAGUUUCGAAUCCCCAAAACUAGCUGCUUCUACCAACAAAAGAGCUCGUACGAUUAAUUGUUGUUCUUGCCUGAUUAUAGGACAUAACUGAGGAUUGUGAUUAGAACACAUUCCCUUUUGGUAACUUCAAUGCAAGAACAAAACUAAAAAAGCGUUAUGUUUGAUAGAGCACUUUCAGAUAAAACCUGAGGACUAUAAUUUAUGGGGGCCAUGCUUUUCCCACAUACUAGUUACACGCAAAUUUUUGGAUUCUUCUUUUGAUUUUUUGUGAGGUCUUUUCUUUCUUUCUUUUCUUCUACUAAGUAUUGACUUCUUUUGAGUUGUUUGCUAUGAUAAAGGAGACCAUCAUGCUUUCCACAGAUUUCGAUAAGUAUCCAUGAGAUCGAAUAUGGAAUUCUGUUUACUUACUUGAAAUUCAUUUGUAAUUAUUAGCUAUCCUGGUUCAUGUAUUUUUCGAGUUGGAUUAAGUACAGAUUAGGUCCCCCAUCUAUUCUUUCUUCGCUCAAAGUAGUCCUUCAUUUUUCGCAGUUUGUGCAAAUAAUUCCUUUAUCGUCAAUUGCUAAUUAACAUCAUCAAAUUUACUCUUGGGGCUUUCGUAUUCAUUUAUGAUAUAUGCACCGCUGUUAGUAUAACCCUUUAAACAUAUAAACAUAUACUAUUUUCGUUCAAUAGAGAUUUCAUAAUAGUGGAUAAUUUUAUUUCUCUGAAUUUGCUAACAAUUUUUUUGUUUCUUUUGUGAAGAUGGAUAAUUUUUCUAUUCCCUGAUAACAUUUAUUUGUUAAAUAUAGGCUAUCAAGCUAUAAUAAUUAUUUCUGCAUCUCUCAAUUCUUAGUGAGUACCUUAUUUUAGCAAAUAUUUAGUUAAUUUAUAUCAUCAUUUGUUAAAUAUAUGCUAUCAUAUUACAUAAUUCUUUAUCGAUCUGUUAUCAUCACUUUUGUAAAACGAAAAAAAUAUUUUCUCAUAAUGAGUAUCAACACAACUUUUCAAUGAUAACAGCUAUUACUUAUCAUACAUUUCGUUAUAUUCAAUAUUCAAAUAUAUGUAGUGAUGCAACAGAACUCUUUAAAAAUGUACUUUUUUUCUUCUAUGACGGCUAAUUUCAUUAUAUUAAUUCAUUUCUAAAGCAUGUUAUAUAUAUAUAUAUAUAUAUAUAUAUAUAUAUAUAUAUAAUGAUGGAUAUCUUUUUCUAUUUAUUGAUCUUUAAAUAUUCUGCAUUGUCAAAUUUAGUCCAAUAUGAUAUUGAUCUUUUUGAUAUUAUUAUUUGGUAAAAAAAUUAUUUAACGGUUCUUAUUGGUCACAUAUGAGCCCAUUGCACAUAAUAAAUGAAAUAUCCAGAAAUUGUAUAUAUAUAUAUAACUAAAUUUAAUAUGCAUACAACUAAAUGGCAUAUGUUUUGUGGUAAGACCUCCGGAUUAAAAUAAGGCAUUAGAAGAAAAAAGUUGAAUUUUACAAUAAACUGGAUUGAUAGAGCCAUAAAUAUUUUACUUAGAUAUUUUAACAAUCAAAAGCUUUUAGCUUUUGCUGCACACUCCAAUCUCAAGAUUUCGAUCAUCCAUAUUCUUAAAACUGUGGAAACAAUAAUGAGAUUAAAAUUGAGAAGAAUAAUGGGGAGAGAAAAAGUAAAAUCCACUAUAAAAAUUCAAUUAUUACAAAAGGUGGUUAAAAAAAUCUAAGACUCUUUCCAUUUUAAAUUUUUAAGGUAAUAACUUGAGAAAAAUAAUAUUUAUAUUGCUCUUAGGUCCUAACAUUGGCCCAAACCCAUAAAUAAUUCAAGACAACUCAACAAACCUCCAUCUUGGCUUGAAUUUUACAUAAGUAACAAAAUCUUCUCCUCCCACUAGAGUAAAAAUUUGUUGUGGCAAAUAUUAACCAAAUCCAAGCAUCACAAAUAUUAACCGAAUCCAAGUGAUGCUUGAAUUUGGCAGCGGGCAAGGACUUUGUCAACAUAUCAACUAGAUUGUUUUCUGUACCAAUCUUAGCCAUCGAUAAGUCUUGAAUAUAAUAAUACCAAACAUCAAUGUGCUUCGUUCGCUCAUGAUAUAUUUGAUCUUUAGUAAGAUGUAUAACAUUUUAACUAUCACAAUGGACAAUAGUCACACCAUAAUCCACAUUGAGAUCCUCAAAUAAAUCUCUUGACUAUAUGGCCUCUUUAAUUGCUUUUGCAAUAACUAUAUACCUUGAUUUUAUAGUAGAUAAAGCAAUUGUAUAUUGUAAAGUAGCUUUCCAACUUAUUGUACAACCUUCAAUAGUAAAGAUACACUCAAUCAAAGACUUCCUUAUAUCAAGGUCACUAGCAUAAUCAAAAUUAAUAUGUUUAGUAUGAUUGUCACUAGUUUUCCCAAACUCUAAACUAAAAUCAGAAAGUACCUUUCAAAUAUUUCAAAAUCAACUUCACAGCUUGCCAAUAAACUUUGCCUGGGCGUGAUAAAUAUCUAUUUACUAUGUUAACAAUAUGUGAUAUGUUGGGUCGAGUACAAACCAUGGCAUACAUAAGGCUACCAAUUUAUAUCCUCAUCGGUUUGUGGAUAUAAACUUGCUGAUAAUUUAAUAGCAAGAGAAGUAGUUACCGGUUUGGCAUCUUUCAUGUCAAAACAACAUAACACCUUUUCAAUUUAGUUUUUUAGGGAGAGAUACAAAAAAAAUUUCCAUUUUUUCCAUCUCGCCAAAUUUCCAUGUUUAAGAUAUUCUUCGUUGCAUCUAAAUCUUUCAUGUCAAAUUCAAUGCUUAACCGUGCCUUCAAAUUCUAUAUAUCAGAUUUAUCUUUUGCUGCAAUCAACAUAUCAUCAACAUAUAAUAAUAGAUAUAUAAAUGAGCCACUUGGAAGUUUGCGCAGAUAUAACAACUAUUGUAUUUGCUAUUAUAAUAGCCAAAUUGCGCCAUAACUAAAUCGAACCUUUUAUACCACUAUCUAGGCGAUGAGUGCCUAUGGAGAUUGUUCGAGAUAGAAUUGCAGAAGGUCGGAUUUCGUAUUUGAGGAUGAGUGCCUCUAAUGUCUUGCUCCAUAAGAUUGUGAUUAACUGUCUGAGAUCCAAAUCCACAUCAAAGACUAAUGUCUCCAAUUCUGAAGCGAAGCUGAUGUACGCCAUUAACCUUGGUUACAAGUUCUCUCUGCCUCAUACCAUAAUGUUUCACAUGUAUCGGUCAAUGGUAAAAGAGAAGGGACAACUUCCUUACUCUGCUCUUGUUACUCGUCUAUUCAAACAUCUUAACAUUCAGCCUUCCAGAAUUUUAUGUAUUCGAACCAGUGUUCUAAUGGUGAUAGGACUGAAGAUAGUUUCAAAGAUGCGUCUGAAGGAGCUAAAUAAGGCUUUAGAGAGAUUUAAGGAGAAGACACCUGUCAAGACUCGACAAGACCCUGUGGAUGCAAAAAGAAAAUGGAAGGAGCCCAUGAUAGCUCCAUCUAAGAAGAGGAGAGUACUCAUCUUGCAGGAUGAAGAAGAUGAGGAUGACAUAACUAUCUCAGCCCUUGCCUUAAAGAAUUUACAGCGUCUUGUUCCUGAGACAGAGACUCAAGAAAACCAAGACAGAGAAGAGACAGAGCAGAGGAGUGAAGAGAGGGAAAUGAUGAGGAAAGAAGAAGGAAGAACAGAAGAAGGAAGAAUAGAAGAAGAAGAGCGAAGAGGAGAACAAACAGAAGGAGAAAGUCAUGGUGAUUCUCCAGCAGAGGAAGAAGAACAAGAUCAUCGUGACAUUGGAGAAAAACCAGAGCAAGAAGAGUACUUUUCUCCACCUGAAAGCAUUGAAAUAGGAGAAGCUAUUGAUAAAAGAGGUACUCCUUCACUUGCUUUUACCAGUGAUGAUGUUAGUCAUUCUCCUGUCAAUCCAGAGGAAGUGUAUGCCUCUCACUUUCAUGAAGAAGGUAAUGAGGCUUCAUCUCCAAGUCUGGAUGUUCAUGUUGAAGUUCCAUCAUCUGGCAACACUCCACAAACUGAUCAUGCUGAAGCAAGCACUCAAACUGACAACUGAACAAACUUUAAAAGAUCGCUUGAACUUCUUCUGGAAAUCAAAGGUCGGAUUUAUGCCUUGGGAUGUGAAUUUCAGAGCAUGCAGAAUGCUCAUCAAGCCACUUCAGUUUCUUUGCACGAUCAAGUUCAAGCCCUUAAUCUUCAAGUUCAAGCUAUCGCAAGGUGAGAUUUAGCGCAACUGAAAGAGGAUCUGAAAACACNNNNNNNNNNNNNNNNNNNNNNNNNNNNNNNNNNNNNNNNNNNNNNNNNNNNNNNNNNNNNNNNNNNNNNNNNNNNNNNNNNNNNNNNNNNNNNNNNNNNNNNNNNNNNNNNNNNNNNNNNNNNNNNNNNNNNNNNNNNNNNNNNNNNNNNNNNNNNNNNNNNNNNNNNNNNNNNNNNNNNNNNNNNNNNNNNNNNNNNNNNNNNNNNNNNNNNNNNNNNNNNNNNNNNNNNNNNNNNNNNNNNNNNNNNNNNNNNNNNNNNNNNNNNNNNNNNNNNNNNNNNNNNNNNNNNNNNNNNNNNNNNNNNNNNNNNNNNNNNNNNNNNNNNNNNNNNNNNNNNUUUGCUUAAGUGAUGUCUGCAGGUCUAAAGUUUCCAAAUCUGCAGGAAAGUUUGUCAUCAUCAAAAAGGGGAGAUUGUGAAGAAAACUUCCUAUUUAUUUUGAAGUUGACAAAACGUUUCCAUCAGUCUAGUUUGAAAACUUGAAGACUCUAUCGUCAAAGUCUGAAGACCUCCAGACUCAAGAUUUAAAGUCUGCCCUCAUUGACAGUUUCCAGACCGACGAAGAAAAGUAUUGUCUGUUGAAGAAGACUUAUCCAGAUGCGGGCAUAUAAUUAAGGAUUUAAUUCAUACAGUUGAAGAAGAUCUCACGGCUAGAGAUUACACCUUGAGAUCUAUUAUUUGCUCUGAAAUUAAUUCAAGCAUUUUAGACCCGUUGAUUGGCGAAGUAUACUUGGAAGGUUCUACUUAUGGAAACCUAGAUCCUGAUUGAAUGGACGAGCGGGAUUGGUGGGCUAUCAUCAUAUUCCUUAAAUAAUUUGAAAUCUCCCUAAUUGAUUCUGUCCAACGGGUUGAUUGGAAGAACUCCUUUGGAAGGUACCAAUGGUUAUGAAGGCAUGAAGGAGUAUAUAAGGAAAACUCUCCAAUUAUUCGAGUGUGUGAAAAGAUAGAGAAAUUUCAAAGUCUAAAGCUCCAUGUUCUUUGAUGUUUCAAUUGUUGAGCUUAAAUUUGUACUCAAAAGAGAGAUUAAAUACUUGUGAGACCUUGGGGAAGUGUAGCAAAGUCUCUACAUUGUGAAAUCAAGGACGUGAGACUGCAAAAUCUCUUUUAAUUCUUAGUGGAAUUCAGCUAGUGGACUAUCAGCGUGAGAGAGUUGACGUAGGCUUGAUCUAAGCCGAACCAUUAUAAACCUUGUGUUUUGAUUCUCUAUCCCUAAACUCUUUACUUUAAAUCGCAUCUCUAUAUAACUGUUUAUAGUUGUUCACAACUUCAGUUUGUUAUUCUUAGAAGUCAAUUUGUUUUGAUAAGAUUUACAAAAACUUCUUUGAUCACCUAUUCAGCCCCCUCUAGGUGCUCGUACUAGCCCUUUCAGAGGGAUCCUCUAAUUCAGGAGUUCAACUUUAAAAUCUUUGUCGGGAUCAAAGGAAGCUGUUGAAUAAAGGAGGAGCAUCUAAAACCAAUUAGCCAAACAAAGCUAACAAUAAAUCAAGACUCUGUUUGAAAUGUCAUGGAUUUGGUCGCAUCGCCUCGAGUGUCCUAAUAGAAAGAUCAUUUCUCUUGUGCGAGAUGAGCAACAGGGAGAGUCACAACACAACCCUUUGCUCCAAGAAGAUUCAACACAACCCUUCGCAGCACAACCCUUCGCUCCGAGAAGAUUCAAGGAGCCGCGAAGAAAUUGUUGACAGAGAUCAAGGAGAAGCUCUUGUCAUUCAAAGGAGCUUGCAUGCUGCUCAUCUCGAGGAUGAUGAUUGGCUUUGCAACAACAUACUCCAUACAAGACUGUACUUCUUAUUUUAAAGUACGUGAUGUCACAAUUGAUAGUGGAUGUUGUGAGAACGUUGCGUCGACCACCAUGGGAGACAAGUUGCAUCUCAAGGCGGAGGAUCAUCCACAUCUUUACAAGCAUUCUUGGCUCAAGAAAGGGAAUAAGAUAAAAGUAAAUAACCGGUGCUUGAUUUCAUUCUCUAUUGGCAAAAGCUAUAAAGAUGAGAUUAUGUGUGAUGUAUAACACCUAUCCCUUUGUCAAAGACCGCGUCAAGAUUACAUUGGGCCCUUGCAAGACGGAGAGAGUUCCCAAGCCUCCUCAUGGGAAAGGAACAAAUCUUCUUUCCAAGUCUAAGUUUUCCUAAGCAUCGGAGGAUGCUUGUGAGGCUUACGCUUUUUUUAUAGUGGAAGAAAAUGAAGCAAAAGAGGAGAUCCCAACCAUUUUGCAGCCGUGGCUUGAGGAUUCCUGUGAAGUCAUGCCGAUGAAAUUCCAUCCAACCUUCCUCCUUUGAGAGAGAUUCAACAUCAUAUCGAUUUUGUGCUUGGUGCUUCUGUUCGAUCGAUUGAGCUCCGAGAAGCAUAAAGAACUUCAAAGGCAAGUUGAUAAACUCUUGGCCAAGGGAGCAAUACAAGAAAGCUCGAGUCCUUUUGCUGUCCCGGCACUUCCAGUUCCAAAGAAAAAUGGUUCUUGGCAAAUGUGCAUUGAUAAUAGAUCGGUGAACAACAUAACCAUCAAGUUUUUUCCUUUUCCUUGCCUUGGUAUUUGCUUGAUCAACUUCAAGGAGCUUGUGUGUUUUUCCAAGAUCAAUCUUCGGAGCAGCUAUUGUCAAAUCCUGAUGAAAGUAGGAGAUUAAAGGAUGACAGCUUUCAAAACUAAGAAUGGUCUUCUUAAAUGCAUGGUGAUGCCCUUCUGACAUUUCUAAUACUUUUAGUACUUUUAUGCAUCUUAUGAAUCAUGGUUUUAAACCUUUCAUUGGCUAGUUUGUCGUGUAUACUUUGAUGACAUCGUGAUUUAUAGCAUAGCAAGGCCCAAGUGGAGCUUUUGGAGUAUCAAAUUCUUCAAGUGCUACGGGAACAUCGUUUGUAUGCCAACCUGAAGAAGUGUCACUUUUGCACAAAGAGCCCGGUGCUAUGUUGUCUCCAACGAUGGUGUUAGAGUAGAUCUUAGAAAGAUGGAGGCAAUAAGAAGUUGGCCAAUUCCUAGCUCGCUGAAUGAGAGAAAAGCUGAAGAAUGUUUUUGACCUUUUUUAUUUUUCAAAUAUCGUCCGAAUGUUAUGUUACACAAAUAAGGCCAGUUACUCCAUUUGGACGUAGCAUCUGAACUUUAAGCACAUAGACCAAGCAACUAAAUAGACAAAAAAAAAAAAAAGACGAGGAAAAAAUACACACCAAAAAAAGAAAAAAAAAAGAAUAAUAGUACAAGGACCAACAUUGCCAUGACGUCUCAUCUUCCACUUUCAAUUUCGAAGGGCACUUGGUUUCGUAUGCUAUCAUCAUUUCCUGAUGCAUUGCUUCUGAGGAUGCCAUCACAUUUGCUUGAUCUCUCACCAAGGAAAUGCUCAGCUUCUUCAAGGUCACUGCUCCGAUUCAACCAUGGAUGCCUGUCCAUCACCCUCAUCAGUCCCUCCAAUUCCAUUGCCACUUCCUUCAUGGUUGGCCGAUCUUCGCCUUUCACUGUCAGGCAUUGGUUUGCCAGCAUCGCAACUUUCAUAAUCUCUUCCGGGUUCCCCUCGUUCAGCACCAUCGGGUUGAUGAUUUCGAACAGCCUCCCGCCCUUUAUUGCAGAAGCAAAAUAUAAGGACAAGUUCCUCUCAUUCUCAGCCCGCUCAAAGGACAAGGCCCUCAGUCCGGUCAGCAACUCAGCCAACACAACCCCGAAGCUAUAGACAUCGCUCUUCUCAGUCAACUGGCUCGAGCGGAGGUACUCGGGAUCCAAGUACCCAAGCGUGCCUUGAACCAGUGUGGUCAGUUGUGUGCCGUCGAGGGGGACUAGCCUGGAGGCUCCAAAAUCAGCGACCUUUGCGGUGUAGUUUUCAUCCAACAAUAUGUUUGUGCUCUUUAUGUCUCUGUGCAAAAUCUGAGCGGAUGCAUCGGAGUGCAAGUACGAAAGCGCACCUGCGGUCUCCCCUGCAAUGCGCAGACGAGCCCUCCAGGAUAAUGUGGACUCGUGGCCGCACUUGUGUAUGUGGUCAGAAAGGGUGCCAUUGGUCACAAACUCGUAGACUAAUAACGGGACCUCCGUCUCGAAGCAACAACCGAUUAGCUUAACCACAUUGCGGUGAUUAAUUUGGGAGAGGAUGAUCAGCUCGUUGAUGAAUUCUUCAACCUGACUUCGGUCCAAAAUCUUGGCCUUCUUGAUGGCGACAACCGUGUUGUCCGCUAAGAUCCCUCGGUAUACAGUUCCGUGGCCUCCCUGGCCUAGGAUUCGGCUUUCAUGGUAGUGGUCCGUGGCCUUCUUGAGCUCUUCAUCGGUGAAUAUUCUCGCCGAUUCAAUGGAGCCUUCGUGCUCAGAAAGAAUUUUCUGCAACAUAAGGCGGCCCCCAUUUUCUAGGAAGAACUUCUCUCUCCGUCUGCUGAUUUUUCUUUCUCGAAGCCCCCAAUAUAACCAGGAAACACCCAAAAGAACCAGCAGGAAGCUUAUGCUCACGCCUAGUGAAAGACAUUAUAUUCGGUGAACAAACAAAUUAGUUGUCCAUCACACUACAUAUGUUUUCAAAACCAAGAAAAGAAAAAAAAAACAGAAACGAACUUUGCUUGACUCUUUCUUUUUCAUUACUCAAACAAUCUUGUGUUAAUUUACUUCUCUGUCCUAUUUUCUUUUUCUUCUCCAUCAACUUGAAGCUUUUUCAUUAAGAAUAACCUUGAUAAUAGCAAUAUAAACCUAAACAUAUAAUUAUGCUGAGAGUAACUUAUGAUGACAGGAACGAUUCAAUGCAUCAAGUGGAUAAAACGUACUUGAUUCUUUUUCAACAACAGAAGAGCAAGUUGUUGAUUUUGUUAAUUUCGAAUUGAAUAACUUGAGAUUACGACACAUGUAUAUAAUAUCAAUUUAAUUCACGGACACAAUUAAUUCAAAGAGAAAUAUUUACGUCCGAAAAACCUCAAUAACUAAUAGCAAAAGAUGGAACAAUGGCAUAAUAACAACAUUUAAAGAAUGUGAAUAAAUUACAAGAUAAAAGAAGCUUUUCUAUGAUGAAAAAGUUUGAGCAAUGUGUACGACUUACUGACUAGCACGAUGUCCAUUGAGCGAAACCUCUUUGUAGGAGUACAACCGUUGCCAUCUUUUUUUCCAUCUCCUCGGGAUCCCUUCGGACAUGAACAAUUAUACGUUCCCGGCAAGUUCGUACAUAUUCCAACACAUGGUUGUAAAAUCAUACAUUCAUCGAUAUCUGGAGGAAUAUAUUCCAAAUGGAAUAAGCAAUCCGACACCAUUUCAAUUGGAAGAAAGUUGAAAAAGUAUAUAGAAUUCCAUGAUUUGGCAACACUUUCAAUAUGAGAGGACAUAUCAAGUUAAUUUACUUUUCCUGAGAUCGUGAUACCUCACCACACUUUUUAAGUGAUAGGUCACUAUCUCAAGAGCCUAAGCGUAACCAAGCAUUUGAUCUUUGUUUAGAAUAGAAGAUUUAAGAAUUAUCCAACAAAAUUGUGCCAUUACUAAUUAGAAUAACACAUUACAUAGAAAAUAAUUCAAAAAUAAUUGUCUAUAAGUACAGAAUAAUGCUGGAUGUAUUAACAUCGGUAGAUGAAAUUGAUUUACAAGCUAACUUUACCGAUUCAUAUUGAGGGUUCGGUAUGGACCAUCUGUUUAUAAAAUCAAUUGCGCUCGACUGAUUCAGUUUGUAAAAAAAUUGUACAGAUUAAACUUAAGAGAGAAGAAUGUCUAGCUAUAUCUGGAAUGAUAGCUGUGAAAAUUUACAGAUUAUUACUAAACGCUUCAUAGGUCAUAUUAAAUUUCAAGCAAUGAAAUUCCGUGCAUUUGAAAGGAAAAAAAAUAUUUUUAACAGCCUAGAUUGAUAUGAUUUUUAAGAUUAUAAAUGUUACGUGAUUACUAGGAGAAUCGUUUGAAACAUGUACCAUUCAUCAAGUCAAAAUUUGGUCCUCUGACUUGAAGUUUCUAAGAAUUUCUUUCUCUGGGUUUUUUAUGCAAUUGGAUCCAUUUAACAUGGUCGCCCUUAUGGAAAUAAUAUCCACGAUUCUAUACAGAAGCACUCGUUCGGAUGUGAGGUGGGUCUAAUGAAAAGACGGGAAAAGGUACCUUGACAACCGUUUUGGAGAUAGGGGUUCCCUUGAAAACCCUUCAAGCAGUGGCACUGGUAGCCAUUUCCAUUCUCAGCAUCUGUACAAUUGGAGUUCUCUUGGCACAUGUAGGUCGUUGCAUUCUUCUUUGCAUCAUCGCAUGUUUGAUUUGGAAUUAACCAAUCGACAACUAGAGGGACCAUAUCAAAUGGCGGCUCGCGCAGAUUGUCCGUAGAGAAGCUAAAGAAGCCGUCUUGGGCAACGAAAGCGUAUCCGCACGGAUUGAAAUCAGUGAUGCCGAGAUGAUUGUUGUAGCUAGUGACAGAGAUGUUGUAUCGGUAGGCGUCUCGAGGAAUGCCAGUCUCGCAGCAGCCGAUGCCCGAGCACGACCCAUUAAUCACGUCCAAGACGUUGUCGCAUGAGGACACGCACCCCGUCAUAUACGUGCUUCCUUGUCGGCCGCUAAAGGUCGCGUACGUGUCGCAUCCCACGGCGAUAAAUUUGUUCUUGGCAGAAGAUAUGGGGAAUAUGGGAAGAGCGAACUCAGGAUCAUUAUUGUAUAUGGAUGUGCCGGACGAAUUAUAACAAUCUUUGGCUACAAACACCGUUACACUAAUCUCGUGACUCUCCAUAGAUAUAUCGAGUACUCGGAAAUUAGAAUCUUUACUGUACAUAUGAGGAGUGGGAGGAUCAGUCGAGUCGUUGCAAAAGAUGAGGAAAGACUCUGAUUCUUCUUUGAAGUAGCAGUCGUCGCCGGCAUCAUUCAUCCCGAAUGGGUACGGGAAGGUGAGGUUGCCACAUCUGUUCGCGCAUCCGGGCUUUGUUGUUUGGACUACAUCCGCAGUAACUACUGAGAAUAGAGCCACCAAUGAGCACAACAGCAGCACAACUCUCAAGGGAAGUCUAUGGAGCAGCAUGGAUCCACCCAUAUUCUUCCUGAAAUGAGAUGAUAUUUUGCAACGAGAUGAUGAGCUUCAUAGCCCGAUGACAACCUUUAUAAGCGAUGAUGGAGCUUCUGGAAAGCUAAGUAGUAUAUGCAUUAUUCAUAGUCCCCACUAUAUUGACUGUCUUCACGGUGAUUACAUCAUUACUAAUCAAUCAUACGGUUUUGUCCACUCUCUAUGGCUCUUCACUAAAGAAGCCUUGACAAGCCUAUCGCGAUUCACGUUGUGGCGUCGCAAUCAUUCGUAGGGAUUUCCAAACUGACUUGCAAAUAAUAAAAGUCGUGAUUAGAUAGAUAUUUUUUUCUUUUCAAUCUCAGAAUUAGUUUCGACGGGUGGUGCUCAUAAACUAUUGCAUGCACAUCUCUAAUGUAUGAACUCCUUAAAUAUUUGUACAAAUAUCAACACCGUAUUUAAAUCUUUAUGCGCAGAGUAAAAUAUUUCAAUUUAUGCUAUGUACAAUUAAAAAAAAAAAUAGGUACAUCGAUGGUAAGUACUAAAGAUUAGUUAGAUAAAGCAAGAAACUGUUGAUUCGGGUCAGUUCGAAUUUGAAUUUGAAAAUCAAAACAGCACCAAACAAUCCAAAUAUAGAAGAUGAAUGAGAAUGAAAUUUGCGGUGUUUAGAUAUGAUUUGCUAAGUAAAAAGACUUCAAGAGUCCGAAAUUGAUUUUGAGAAUUUUUUUCAGAUUCGCCUAUAAAGUUUCAAGUAAAUCCUAAGUCAAUGCCAUCAGUUUUCUUGGCAAUUUCUCACGUACGAGAGUAUGUCUCAUCAGGGUGUUUUCAUUAUCCUGCCAAGACUUGAAAAGUCAAGCAAGUAUGAAGCGCAUGCAAUGGGAGAUCACAACGCUAAAAUUCGUUAAAAGGACUCAUUGCCCUCAAGGAAAGCUUAAGAGGUUUCAUAUUACAAAAUUAUCAAGAAAAAAAAUUCUAAACCUAUUAUACUUGUACAAAUUCAGUCAUAAAAUCUUCAAUUGUGCUAAUUAAAACUCAAACCUUUUGAAAGUUUACCAAUUUAUUUUUUUUUGAUCAAAUUUGAUCAGAAAUCUCCAUAGUAUAUAAUUUUUAUAAUUUUUGGGAAAUUGAUUUGGGACUUUGGGAGUCUAAAAUUGAUUUUCAGAAAAUUUUUAUGGUCGAACUAAAGUUCCAGGUAAAUGCCAAGUCAAUGGGGUCCGUUUCCUCGACAAUAGGUCACAUCAGAAUUUGUUACUGCCCACCAACUUUGACUGUGUCAUUGAUAGAUUCAGGGUGCUUUCAUUACAUUUCCAAGACUUGAGAAGUCUAGCAAAUCAACGGUAAGCGUAUGCAGUGGAGGAGAGAUCACAACCCCAAAAAAGAGAAUGAGAAAGAAGAAAAAUCAACAAGAGCAGAGUGGUUUGAGCUGGGGAUUGUCUACAUGAAAUGUGUUUCAAGUUGGAUGGAUUUUAUAAUCUGAAAAUUUGUAUUUUCCUGUUUCUAGUCUGUAUAUAUGCAUUCUAAAACAAAGUAACCGGUAGCUUCAAAAUAAUUAAUCAACUAGCUUCAAAGAGAUAAAAUAUCAAAUUUUUUAAUUGUUGUGUUACAAAAUUAAGAUGUUGAAAUAAGAUUCCGUUAUGUACUUUUAAACUACGAAAAGAUACGUCGCAUGUGGAUAUUUUUUUCCUUUUUCUAGGCUAACAUUUCCAACUAAUAUGGAUUGUGAAGGGAACAUUGUCCAAAUAGUCCUAAACCAAUUUAGUCCUAAACUUUUCAAUUUUGCCAAUUGAGUCAUAAACAUUUUCACAUUUUGCCAAUUCAAUUCUAAACAUUUUUCAUUUUUUGGCUAAAAAUUACUAACGUGGACGACUGGUGUUAACGUGGCACUUUUAAAAUAAAAUUUUUUGAUAUUUUUUAUGGUUUUUCUACUUCUUUUUCUUUUUUUUGGUUUUGGAUCUAGUCGACAAAGGUUGUCGGCCAACCCUUGCCAGCCACAAGCGAGGGCCAACAAGCGAGAGCCGAUCAACCCCUACCAGCUCUGGGCGAGGGCGCACAAGCCCUCGCCUAGAAAUAACGAGGCUUGUGACACCCUCACCAAAUCUAGUAAGGCGAGGGCUUGGCGACCCUCGCUGGCUCCAAGCAAGGGGGGUGACCUCGCUCAAGGCCUUUGCCUAGUUAGAUCUAGCGAGGGCAAUGACCUCGCUUGAGGCAUUUGCCUUGCAUGCCCUCUCCUUCGCUGGCGAGGGUGUCGCGACCCUCGACCAAAGCUUGCGAAGGGCACAGCACCCUUGCCCAAAGUUGGCGAGGGUCAACUAGCCCUCACCUAUGGCUAGUGAGGGUUGCCGACCCUCGCCUAUGACUGACACUAGCCCUCACCUAUGGCCAAGGCCGGCCAAAUUCGAACCCCCCCCCCCCCAAAGCAAAAAAAAAGUUAAAAAAGAAAAAUCAUAAAAAUUCAAAAUAUUAUUAAAAUAUGAUUUAAAAAGUGCCACGUCAGCACCAGCCAUCCGUGUUACAAUUUCCAGCCAAAAUUGGCUAGAUAGAUUGAAUUGAUAAGAAGUGAAAAGGUUUAUGAUUGAAUUAACAAAAUUGAAAUAUUUAUGACUGAAUUGGUAAAAGUGUAAUAGGUUGAUAACCUUUUGGAUAAUUGUCCCAAUUGUGGUUGAUAUGCAUUUGUGGAGAAUUAUCAGCAUCAAGAAUUUAAUUUUUCUUUUCCUUUUUCUGGUCCAAUGACUGUAGUUAUUAGCUUAUUUUAAGCUGUGGAGUUAACAACGGCAGGUCCUGGAGACUUUCAUGAGACGAUUCCACUACAAAUCCUUGUGUGACGAAGUCUUUGUGUGGUGUGGUGCGAGUUUAAAUUUUCCAAAUGCACGAUUUAUUUGACAUAUAUUUCUUCAAUCUUUCGUCGCUGCUCAUCCGAAAAAACAGGCCAUUGUGGGCCAGAGACUGGUGCACACUUGUCACAGAAGAGCUGCUCUUACUUUCCAAAUAAUCCGUGGGAAACAAUAAGUCUUGGUCUUCUCCUUUCCCAAUUGAUUUUUAUAGUAUGGUACAUUGGGGAUGUUACUUCUGCGCAGGGAAAUUUUUUUCUUUCGAGGCGUUGAUUAAUGCAAAAAGUGAAAGUUGAUAGCGAAAGGAGAAGACCUAACCUCUCUCUUUCAUCAAGAAAGAGACUUCUUGUUUAACUCUAUAUUUGAACAAUUCCAAAACUUAAUAAUGCACCUUAACUCUCAGUCGUCAGGCAGCAAUUAUCAAUGAAAAAGGCACACUAGUUCGUAAAUUUCAUCAGUUAAUUUACAGUAAUACAUAAUUAUCUUCGGCAAUGUCUCUCUACAAAUCCUUAGAAUUCUUUGGAGAGACUAAUUGAAAAUCCCAACCGCCAAUGUAAUUGGACAAUGCAUUGAGAGAUGAUGUGCAUCCAAACUCAAUAACUUAUUAAUGAGGGCUUUGACACUCUCCAUCAUAAGCAUCUACAAACUUUUCAAACGGGUUCUUUGCCAACUAAUAAGCUAAGUACCAUUGUCAAAUUUCCAAUAGAAAUCUAGCCGCAGGAAAUUUUUUCAACACUCACAAAUUGACACAUGAUGCCUACAUGGGCAGGUCGAAUUACUUUGAUAAUCUAAAUCUAUCAGUAAGAAAAUUGACAUUAUUUGGAGUCUUUCCUUGAGUAAUAGUAAAAUUGUAUCAGUUGAUAACAGAGCCUAAAUCUGGCUGGUCCAGCCGAUUUGAGAAGACAAGUGCAACAUCUCCAACAAGAAUUGGAGCAAUCUUGAUUGUUAAUGUCAUGCCCCGAACUCCGAGCGCACGCACAUCUCUCGGUGGUCGAUUAAAAAUUUGCGACGUCCCAGGAUGCGUCGCUGACCCAUUCUUUUUAUCUUUCAAUUAAGCAAAUACACCACCCAGUCAAAUUUGACCAAAACUCACUAUAGUAUAUAAUUUUUAUAAUUUUUGGGAAGAGGCUAAGCCAAGGCGGUCGGUUUCCUUGGCAAUUUCUCAUGUGCAACAAUAUAUCUCGUCCGGAGUUAUUGCCCACCAACUUUGGGUGCAUCAUUGAUAGUGAGUAUAAAUGAGACAGGAUGCUUACUGCACCAAGACUUGAAAAGUUAAGCAAGUACUAAGCGUAUGCAAUGGGAGAUCACAGCUUGCACCAAGACUUGAAAAGUUAAGCAAGUACUAAGCGUAUGCAAUGGGAGAUCACAGCUUGCACCAAGACUUGAAAUGUUAAGCAAGUACUAAGCGUAUGCAAUGCGAGAAUUGGACCAAAAGGAUUCUAAAACCAUGAAUCGAACCAGUGCCCCUAAAACUGAACCGACCAAUAUAGUUAAGUUCCUACGUGGAUCAUGGAACCGGUGGCAUGUUCAGAUUUUUUUUUUUACUGUUAUUUGUCAUUAAUGUUGAAGACGAAUUGAAGAUGUUCUUGAUAACCAAGACAUUUCUACAAUCAGCCAAUUACGUGUAGCAUUGUAGGUUUCACAUAAUUUUUACAAUCAGCGAAUUGAAGAUGUUCUUGUCAUCUUACUCACAUGCAUGAGUGAAAUAGGAGUUGUGAGACUUGUGCUUGUCUGCAUGCGUGAGUGAAGUCCGAAAUAUGAGAUAGAUUACGGUUUUUUUUUUUUUUUUACAAAUUAAAGGAAAUUAAAAAAAAAAAUUGGUCUAACCCAUGUGGGCAAUCCACGCCUGAAAUUGGGAAUCAGAUUGAAAUUCACUAGUUUCAAUUUUAUAGAAUUGAGAACUAGAUCAGUGCCCCUAGGAACUGCCCAAAAUUGGCCGAUCUAGUCCCAUUUAAGUGGCUCCUUUUGCUUACCCCUAGUCAUAACUCUAAAAUAGAAGAAUGCCGAAGAAAAAUCAUGAAGAGCAAACUGCUUUGAGCUGGCGAUUGAUGAUGGGGUUUACACUCCUAGGAGUGAAAUUUCUAUUGCAUUCUGGAAAAGAAUAACGCAUAUUUCAGAGUGAUUAAUCAACUAGUUUUAAAGAGGUAAAAACUAAACAUUUGCCAUUGCCGUGCUACGAAAAAUAAGAUUCUUAGAUAACAUUUCAUUCUAUACUUUUACAUUAAGAUAAGAUACGUUAGACGUAGGUUUGUUUUUUUAUUUUAUUUUAUUUUUUAUCUUGGUUGUUGGCCUAGGAUUUCUAAUUAAAAAUAUGGACUGUGGUGAUACAUAUUUGUGGAGAAUCAUCAUUCCAAGGAAUUUAUUUUUCCUUCCAUCUGGUAUCCGUGUUGUAAAUCUUUUGUUGCAUUUCCAUACUUUUGAGGAAAACACCAUCUUGCUGACAUCGUGGUAACGAAGAAAAACGCAAUCAUUAUUGCCAAAGUCAUUUUGAAGAAACUAGGCUAAUCGAAUUAGGAGCAAAAUAGUGUCUCAUAUUGGACCUUAGUGUAAAUGUGACUUAAACCAGAAAAAGUAAAAAAAAAAAAAGUAUAUAAUCUAUUGUCAUGAUACCAAUUCAGCUCUUAACCUUUUAAAUAAUCAAUUUAAUUCUAAACAUUUUCAUAUUGAUACCAAUUUAGUCCAUCCGACCAAUUUAAACCAAAAAUUGCCAAUGUGAACGCCAGCUAUCCUACGUAGCAUGAUCGAUACUGGCGUGUAUAUUUUUAAUAAUAUUUUAAUAUUUUUUGAAUUUUUAAAAUCUUUUUUGCUUUUUCUUUUUUCGACCUCCCUCUUCUUUGCUUUUUCUUUUUGCCAGUGGCCAUUGCUAGCCAUCGACCAUAGCCAUGGUCGGCUAGGGUUGGCCUUGGUCGGCCUCACCGACCAUAGCCAUGGUCGGUGUGGCUAGCCUUGGUCGACCUCACCGACCACAAGCAAUGGUUGGCCUCGCUGGGUCGCCUUUGAGCGAGGGCAAGCGCCGAUCGUCCUAGCGAGGCCCCCUCGUCAGAUCUAACAACCAACCAUCGCACAGGUGAGGGCGAGGCUAGUUGGGCCUCGCCAUCACCCACGUGGGGCUCACCAAGCCUCAUCCUCGCCGAAGCGAGCCUCGACGAGGCCGACCCGUACUUAGGCGAGGUGUAAUGAGGCACCCUGGCCUAGGAGAUGGUCAGCCUCCUCAAAUCCAGUGAGGGGGCCUCACCUAGCCACACCUGGACGGCCGACGCUCCCCCUUGACCACGCCCUCGCCCAAAGAAAUUACCAUCGGAUAGUUGCAUAUAUGUCGCAUUGCUAUGUAUACAAAGAAAUUACCACUAUGCAAGGCGCCUAUUUAAGCAAAAACAUACGUUCUUCAUUCAAAUUAUUUGAUGGCAAAUUGAAUAUUAGUAUUGUGUUGCUGAUUGGAGAGCUUACCUUGUACUCUAACGAUUAUACCACACAUAAAUAGACAAUGUUUCCUUUUGACAUAUUAGUUCUAGAAUAUAUAGAAUUAAUGGGUGAAAUAUCUUUUAACACACUGUCAUAAGGCUUUGUGGCAGAACGUCAAUUAGAUAUAACAAAUGUGACUAUCCAUCAACAAAUUAACCUAGCCCGAACCAGUCAACCUACCCUAGCUAAAAACUAUUCAUUCAGGUUGGUUUCGUUUCGAUUUGAAAUCUGAAAAGAACAAAAUCUAACCAACCUAUAUAUAGCAGAAGAACAAAAUCUGCAGUGUCCAAAUCUACACAAUAGAAAACAUAAUCCUCAAAUCAAAUUACAUUUUCCAGUUCAAAGUAAAACCAAAGAUAUGGUCCGAGAUCUGAUCAUUGCUAACUAAAAAUAUCAUUAUUCUUUUUUUUCCUUCUCUUUUUUUUUUUUAAAAAAAUUGUUUUGUGGUGGAGUUUCUCCCAAAGACCCUCCUAAUAUAACAUGAAAAUUUCCAACACAAUAAGUAUUCAAAAGGCUCACUCAAUUAAAAGUUGGAUAAGGAACAUAAAAGCAAAUUUUCUUUUGACAAUACACCCCAAACAACCAUAGCAAUCACUUCUCCUUUUUUUUCUUCUUUUUUUAUACUCCAUCCUUCCUCCCAAAUUUCUAUUAAGCUCAAAUAAUUUUUUAUCCAAAAAAAAUAAAUCAACGUGUUCAUAGGGCAUGGGACAAUGAUAUAAUUUGAUAACUACUGGGUUAAAUUUAUAUGGGUGCCAAUGAAAAAUUGGGUAAUAAUUAAAGCUCAACGGGGUGACUGGGGAUAAAUAAACAGGUUAGCUUGAAUGGCUCAAUUGAUCCAAAAAUUGCCUAAAUCAUUUUUUCAGUUAGAUUUAGCUUAGGAUUUCGCCUCAAGAGAAAAUCAAACAAAUUCUAAAAUUUGGGUGAAAUUUAAGAAAAUCACAUACUUCACAUGAAUGUUCUCUAGAUUUACACAUAAUUAAAAAAAUAAAGGACUUUUAGUGCUCAGUAAGUAAAUCAACAUAAUCAAAAUUAAAAUUAACUCACACAUCAAUUGCAAGUUUCUAAGAAUCGCAAAAAUUCAUAACUAGAAAUGCAAUCAUGAUAAAAAAAAAUUAGCCAAAAAAAAUUGUCUCCUCCCCCCCCACCCCCCUCCAAAACUGGAAGAAUGAAGUAGGGUCUCCAUGGCGAAUAAAAAAAAUGGGAAAAGAAAAACUCCCUGGGUGGAGGGAAACCUCCUAAGAUAACCUGGAGGAUUAAAUCCUGGAAGGUGGUCCCCAAAAAGAUUAAUUUUGAUAAAAUUAAGAAAAAGUAAACCUUUUUUUUUUUUGCCAAACAUUAAACUUACCAUUAAACAAAAAUAAANNNNNNNNNNNNNNNNNNNNNNNNNNNNNNNNNNNNNNNNNNNNNNNNNNNNNNNNNNNNNNNNNNNNNNNNNNNNNNNNNNNNNNNNNNNNNNNNNNNNUCUAGAUAAUGAAGUUCAAUGGUGGUCUAUGCUGUGUAACACUCAAAGUAGGGUUUCAAAUGUGAUUGUUCACCCUGACUGUGCCUUAGUGUCAUGCUCAACUUUAACUGUUCCGUAUGGGAAUACCUGUGUAACUGUAAAAGGACCAGACCAUCGAGACCGCAACUUUCCUGGAAAAAGUUUAAGAUGAGAGUUAUAAAGUAAGACUUUUUGAUCAAUUUUAAACGACAAAAGAACGCUUCGAGUGUCAAAAGUUGGCACAAAGGGACACUUAAGUGCCAAAAGUUACGAAAUGUACACUUAAGUGCCACAUUUGAAGAAAAAUGGAUCACUUAAGUGCCACUCCGUCCAAAGUCCGGUCAAAAGGCUGACAUGGCAUUUUUCCGACGAAUUUCUAGCAAAGUUAACCCAAAACGAUGCCGUUUUGCAUGCUGACGUAGCCAAAUAAUGCAAAAAUGGCAUCGCUUUAGGAUGACGUGGUAAAAAAAUAAUAUAAAAAUUAAAUAAAUUAAAUUUAAAAUUAGAUUUAGUUAAAAAAUAUUAAAAAAUAAUAAUUUUAAAAUUAAAAUUAGUUAAAAUAUUAAAAAAUAAUAAUUUUAAAAUUUAAAAAAUUAAUAAAAGGGGGGGGUGGCUAAGGGCAACCACCGCCGCCUCCUUGCUGUCGCCAGGAAGUGCUGGCGACGAAGGGGGGAGGGUCAACCAGGGUCGCUGGCCCUUGGUCAGGGGUCGACGACCCGGCCAACCGGCAGUGAGGGGGAGCGAGCACUCGCCAUAAUUUGGGGCGAGGGUUGCAGCCCUUGCCUAGAUCUGGCAAGGGUCAACAGCCCUCGCCCGACCAAGCCAAGGGUCACCGCUCGUCGGGGCGAAAAUAGAGAAAAGUUAAUCUUUUUUUUUUUUUGCAAAACAUAAACUUAACAAUAAACAAAAAUAAAACAUAAUUAAAAUGCUUGAGUUGCCUCUCAAGAAGCGCUUGCUUUAUAGUUUUCAGCCAAACUAUCUCAGAUGUCGCUAUUCUAGAUAAUGAAGUUCAAUGGUGGUCUUAUGCUUGUUGUAACCACCUUCAAAGUAGGGUUUCAAACGUUGAUUGUUCACCCUGACUGUGCCCUCAGUGUCAUGCUCAACUUUAACUGUUCUGUAUGGGAAUACCUGUGUAACUGNNNNNNNNNNNNNNNNNNNNNNNNNNNNNNNNNNNNNNNNNNNNNNNNNNNNNNNNNNNNNNNNNNNNNNNNNNNNNNNNNNNNNNNNNNNNNNNNNNNNAAUUUACACAAGCCUCAUUGCGAAAUUCCUUCAAUUCAUUCAGUUGCAAUAAUCUUUCUUCACCUGCAGAUUGCAUGUCAAAAUUCAGGAAUUUCAAUGCCCAAUAUGCUUUAUGCUCUAAUUCCACUGGUAAAUGACAAGCCUUCCCAAACACUAGCCUAAAAGGAGACCUCCCAAUUGGAGUUUUAAACACUGUCCUAUAGGCCCAAAGUACAUCAUCAAGUUUUAUUGAUCAAUCUGUCACACCCUGAUCCUCGGGCACACGCACAUCCUUCUCGGUUGGUCGGUUUUAUAAUGCGAUAUCCCAUGAUUAUGUAUCGCCGACCCUUUUAUUUUUAAGCACAUGUGAAAAUAGUUAUAAUCUCCAGACAAUAAAACGAUGUGAUAGAAAAGCAAGACCAUAUUUUUCAUAUUGAAACUUAUAACCAAACUUUUCUACAAAAUACAAACCAAAUUACUUUACAACUAUUCACAACUUUUUACUCUAACUCUAUUAACAUCAAGACAGGAUUCACAAAAGAGGAUAGGAUCUCAGUCCUCAUCCGGAUCGUACUCGAGAUCCCUCUCGAUAGUAUAUUCUUCUUCCAAAAAUCCUUCUCCUUAGGUUUCCCUUCAGAGUUCUCCUUCUCAGAUUCCUCCUUAGCUCCUCAUCGGGGUCUUGAAAUGUUUUCCCCAAACUAGGAUGAGACUACGUCUCAGUGAGUUCUACCCCACUAAAACUCAAUUAGGGAACCAAUACACUACUCGGUUGCCUAAGCACACCAUAAGUCAAAGGACUUACCUUGGCCUCAGUCUUAACCUACAAUUCAAGGUUAUAUAUGAACGCUUCACAAAUCAUAACGAACAAUCAAUCAAAUCAUGACAAUCUAAUCAAAUCAUUGAUCAAUCGAACUAGUCGAUUACAUGUCAGAUGAACCAUUCCAGAUCAUUGAUUCCACACCAAAUAACCUUCCAUCGAGCACUCGGUCACAGAGCCACAUCAAUGCUCUCGGGCGUCAAGUUCGCCAAUGUGAUGUAAAUAACAGAUGGUCUACGUGCGUUCUUUAAGGCGCCGUUUUCGCACAGUGAUAUUCCUCAUCACGAAACCACGCCCAUCAUAGAUCACAGACAAUCUAUGUGCGUUCUUUAAGGCGCCAUUUUCGCACAGUGAUAUCCUUAAUCACCGAACCACGCCUGUCUGUACUUUGUACUUGAUCGGUCUCAGCCGAUAGAAUUUUCAGUUAGUUCUCGCCACUCUCUCCACUUACAGCUCAACAAGGUAAUCAAAAUGCUAAAUAGUCAUACUCGGUCAACUACCAAUCAAUAAUUCAAUUUCAAUCAAUUUAGGGUAAAUCCCUAAAAUAUCACAAUUUAUUUAAUUCCAUGCAACGUAGAGCUCAAUUAAAUAAACAGACUGUGCCACGACAAUCAGCAUGGGAUUUCGAUCGUCGGCUAAGCCAGCCUUAAUUUCUGAAAAAUAAAUAAUUAAUUCAUUAAUUUCGAAAAUUAAUAAUUAAUUACAAUAAAUCCAAUUUAGCUCAAAUCGGAGCUCAAUUAAAUAAAUGGACUUCACCACGAUUAUCAGCAUAAAAUUCUGAUCAUCAACCAUCCUAGUUGAAUUUUCGGAAAAUAAAUAAUUAAAUAAUUAAUUCCAAAAAAUAAUAUUUAAAUACCAAAAAUUCCACUUAGGCCAGAAUUGUCAAAUUGAAGCCCGAUUAGGGUCGGGAAAAAUCCUAGGCUACCCUCAAUAAAUAGUAGACCAUGUCUACUUGCUAAAUACACAUUCAAUUUAUCUAAUUUGCAUCACAUUGACUAAUAAACACUAAUCAAUACUAAUUUAACCGCCUAAACCUAAUUAAUUAAAACUAAACAACCCUUAAGUGUAAUUAGUCCGCUAAACAAGGAUUAGUGAGAUUAUUCACUAGAAUCACAUGCAAGUCGGACCAAUCCGAUGGGGAUGACGCGAGGAACGAUAAACCUCAAAGCGGGUCUCGGGUUCUGGGCCUGGAAACGGCCCAAAAGCGGGCCCGAAGUCGCUGGAGACCCACUCCACAACUUGCUGGGUUGCUGCAAAAUAGAGGGGAAAAAGAGAUGGUUGGGGGCAGCAAGGGGUCAGGAGAGUGGGCGAAGCUUUGGUGAGGCCGGACGGUGGCUGGAGGGGGUUGGGCCACAGCCUAAGCUGGUUGAACAAGGUUAGACAGAGGCGGAAGUCACACGGGGGAGGGAUGGCAAUGAGCAGUGGGCGCGCUAGCGUGCGCACAGUGGCAAGUGGCGGACACACGAGCACGGGCGGCGAGACGGGCGGUGACGGCUUCGGCGAGCUGCUGCUGCUCGGCUUCUUCCGCUUUUGGUUCGCUGGUUGCACGAAGAAGAAAGAAAAGAAGGGGUUCGGUCACGAGGGGGAGAAGAGAGAGGAGAGAGAAGAAGAGAUAAGUGAGAGAAGGGAAAGGGUUUGACUAGUCAAAUGGGGAGAGAGAAGAAGCCAAAUUGAAUUUGGCAAGGCAAGUGUUCGGUGGGGGAGUGUCCGCACGAAGGGGGAGGGGAGAGGAGAGAGAAGAGAGAGAGAAAAAGAGAGAAAAAGAGAGAAAAAGGGAGAGAGAGAGAGAAAAAGAAAUAAAAUAAUAGCCUUAUCCUUUUUUUUUUUACUUUUCUCUUUCCCUUUCCUUUUCUAUUUUCUUUUGAUCUUCGAUUUUUCCUCUGAUAAUUUCUUUUUUGAAAUUUCGGACUCGUCAAUAAAUUGACAGACGAUGAGACGGUCCUAAAAAUGAAUUGUGACAUGCUCGAAUAUUCGAUUCCCGAAACCAAUUUAAAUUUCAUGGUUAGAAUCGAUCAUACAUGAUUUUAGUCCAAUCCAACUAAUUGAGUAGCUUUUAAGGAUUUUACUGUAGAUACAUCCCUUAAUGGCUUCACCCAAUAGGUUAGUUAACUCGUGAGUGAUCGGCUCAGAGAAAAAGGACCAUAGGUACAUUGAUGACGUGCCCAUUUCACUUUAUCGAAAUGGGGUCGAAUUUCCCGAUGUCAUAACUCUUCCCCUCUUAUAAAAAUUUUGUCCUCGAAAUUUAAACCAUUACACACUUUUGUCAAAAAGGUGGGGGUACAAUUCUCUCAUCGACACUUCAGUCUCCCAAGUCGCUCCUUCAGUGCCAUGGUAUUGCCAAGACCACUUUGAUCAACGGAAUGGUCUUUGUACACCGAACUUGCUCUUUAUGAUUGACAAUUUGAACCGGGCUUUCAACGUAUGACACAUGGUCAUCCAUGUCCAAUUCCUCAAAAUUGAGUACGUGGGUUGGAUCAGGCUCGUACUUCCUUAACAUCGACACGUGAAAGACAUCAUGCACUUGCGCCAAUCUUGGCUGCAACGCAAGACGAUACACUAGGUUUUCGAUUCUUUCAAGAAUCUCAAACGGACCUACGUACCUCGGACUCAACUUGCCUUUCUUACCAAAGCGCGAAGUUCCCCUCAUUGGUGACACUUUCAAAAAACGUGAUCACCAACUUGGAAUUCCAAAGACCUUCGACGCUUAUCUACAUAACUUUUCUGCUUGCUUUACGCUGUCUUUAAUCUAUCUCUAAUCACCGUCAUGGCAUCUACUGAUUGCUGAACCAACUCUGGGCAUGUUAUCUUCCCUUCUCCGACUUCAUCCCAACAUACUGGAGUUCUGCACGCUCUGCCAUACAACGCUUCAAAAGGAGCCAUCUUGAUGCUUUGCUGAUAACUGUUGUUGUAGGCGAAUUCAACCAGAUGAAACUGAUCUUCCCAACUUCCUUUGAAGUCUAUUACACACACUCUCAUCGUGUCUUCAAGAGUCUAAAUUGUCCUUUCAAACUGACCAUCCGUCUGAGGAUGAUAUGCUGUACUGUACUGAAGCUUUGUACCUAAAGCACUCUGCAAGCUCUUCUAAAAAGCAGCAGUAAACCUCGGGUCUCUGUCGGAUGUUAUCGUAACCGGCACUCCAUGCAUACGAACCACCUGACGCACAUACAUGUUUGCGUGUCUAUCCAUACUCAAGUCCUUUGGAAUUGCAAUGAAGUGAGCCGACUUUGUCAGCCUGUCGACCACUACCUAAAUUGAAUCAUUUCCUCUUUGACUCUUUGGUAGUUCAGUCACGAAAUCCAUCGUGAUAUGCUCCCAUUUCCACUCUGGGGUCGCAAGAGGUUGUAGAAGUCCUCUUGGCUUGCAAUUCUGAGCUUUUACUUGUUGACAAGUCAAACACUUAGCGACAUGCUUGGCAAUGUCCGCCUUCAUACCUGACCACCAAUAGUGUUGGCGCAGAUUCUGAUACAUCUUAGUGCUUCCAAGAUGAAUGCUAUAAUUGCUACAAUGUGCUUCAGAUAAAAUUUCUUCUUUAAGCUCUAUAUCAUCAGGUACAACUAAACGUCCACAGAGCCUUAGUACACCAUCAUCAAAAACCUGAAAAUCAGCCUUUCAUUUAUCGGUAUCCUCUUGAAGAAUUCUUUGUACACCUGGAUCUGUCGAUUGAAGUUGCUUGAUUCUGACUUAGACAUUCGGUUCAAUUCUGAGGGUCGCUAUAAGACUCUAGAGGUGGCCUACCUCAAAUUUGAAUUCCGAAUCUCGAGCUCUCUCGAUUAAGUUCCACUCCUUAACCAAGAUCUGCACCACUGAAGACUUCCGACUUAAUGCAUUGGCGACCUUGUUCGCCUUUCCCAGGUGAUAUAGAAUAUCACAGUCGCAAUCCUUCAACAAUUCCAUCCAUCGGUGCUGUCUCAUGUUUAACUCCUUCUGAGAGAACAAAUACUUGAGACUCUGAUGGUCUGUGAAGAUCUGAAACUUUUCUCCACACAAGUAGUGCCUCCAAAUCUUCAAUGCAAAUAUUAUGGUUGCAAGUUCUAAGUCAUGCAUUGGAUAAUUCAAUUCAUGAGGUCUCAACUGCUUGGAAGCGUAUGCAAUAACUCUACCAUGUUGCAUCAACACGCAACCCAAUCCCCUAAAUGACGCAUCACUAUAGAUCUCGAAUCCUCCAGGACCAGAUGGAAUCGUCGGCACAGGUGCGGUAGUAAGCUUUUCCUUCAGCUCUUGGAAACUAGCUCACACUUGUCUGUCCAUAUGAACUUCUCGUUUUUCUUCGUGAGCUUUGUCAGAGGCGACGCUAUCGAUGAGAACCCUUCCACAAACCGUCUAUAAUAAUCUGCUAACCCCAAAAACUUCUGAUCCCUGUCAUUGUUGAUGGUCUGGACCACUUGAUCACAGCUUCUAUCUUGCUCGGGUCGACGAAGAUUCCUUCUUCGGAAAUCACAUGACCUAAGAACGCAACACGAGUUAGUCAAAACUCGCAUUUGCUAAACUUAGCAUACAGUUGAUGAGUUCUUAAGGUCUGGAGUACUACUCUAAGAUGAUUCUCAUGCUCUUCAUCACUUCUUGAAUAGACCAAGAUGUCAUCAAUGAACACGAUCACAAAUUGAUCCAAAUAUUCCCUGAACACUAUGUUCAUCAAAUCCAUAAAGGCAGUUGGAGCAUUCGUCAACCCGAACGGAUCACUGUAAACUCGUAAUGGCCAUACCGGGUACGAAAUGCUGACUUAGGGAUGUCCUCCUUCCUAAUUCUCAGCUGAUGAUAUCCUGUCCUCAAGUUGAUCUUCGAGAAUAUCGACGCUCCUUGUAAUUGAUCAAACAAGUCAUCUAUCCUCGGCAAUGGAUACUUAUUCUUGAUCGUUACCUAAUUGAGCUGCCGAUAGUCGAUGCACAAACGCAACGAACCAUCUUUCUUCUUAACAAAUAGAACUGGUGCUCCCCAAGGUGAUGCACUAGGACGAAUAAAUCCUUUAUCCCAUAACUCUUGCAUCUGCACCUUCAGUUCUUUCAACUUAGAUAACGCCAUCUGGUAAGGUGCCUUCGAAAUUGGUUCAGUCCCUGGUGCUAGCUCAAUUACAAAUUCAAUCUCUCUUUCUGGCGGUAACCCUGGCAAUUCUUUUGGAAAGACAUCUGGAAACUCCUGAACCACCGAAAUAUCUUCCAUUUGUAACUCCUCAAUUGUUGUAUCCACGAUAAUUGCUAAGUACCCUCGACAAUCCUCGUCUAACAAACGAGCUACUUCCAGCGACGAGAUUAAGGAAAUCGAAGGUCCUCCUUGAUUCCCGACAAACUCGAAGCUCUUAUCCCCUAAUGGGUCAAACUGAAUCGUCUUGCGAUAGCAGUCCAUUUUAGCUCGUUGAUUGGUGAGCCAGUCCAUGCCAGUUAUCAAAUCAAAAUCAUACAUGGCUAGGACUAACAAGUCAAUUUUCCACACUCGCUCACCAAUCUCUAACUUGCACCCCGAACAUCCUAAAACAUCAAUAACUUUAGCUUUCAAGGGUGUAGAUAUGCAAAUUAUCGACUUCAACAAUACAGGACUCAACCCUAGCAUCUUAACAUAUUGCUCGGCAAUGAAGGAAUAGGUUGCUCCCGAAUCAAACAAAGCAUAAGCAGGUUGGUCAUUGAGUGAGACCGCCUGUGNNNNNNNNNNNNNNNNNNNNNNNNNNNNNNNNNNNNNNNNNNNNNNNNNNNNNNNNNNNNNNNNNNNNNNNNNNNNNNNNNNNNNNNNNNNNNNNNNNNNUCCUUGCAGUGCAUUUUGAGGGGCAUACUCUCCUAUCUGUCUCAUCGGUGGCGGCGGCGGCAACUGAGGUUGUCCUCUCUGCUACUUUGGACAAUACCUUGCAAUGUGGCCAUGUUGGCCACAUUCGUAACAUGCUUCUAUUCUGGCUAGAUACGGAGUUGUCCCGUGUUGUCUUCCACAUGAGCGACAAGAAUUAACCCUAUUAGGCAUUGGUCUAGUGAAUCCGCUUCUCUUGAAGGGUGGAGCAUUGGGCCUACCUCCAGGCAUGGGUCUCUUCCCUUGACGGAUAUUCUCUAGAUGGAAGCCAAACCUCGAUCCAAAUGAGGUAGCUUGUUCAUUCAAUCCUCGCUCUAUCAUCUGGGCUCGACGAUAAACCUCCCUGUAAUUUUUCAAGUCCCAUGGUAGCAAAGGUUGUUUCAAUUUAACACGAAGACCGCUUUUGAACUUCCGAGCUUUCUCUUUAGAGUCUUCUAUCAGCUUAGGAGCAUACUGUGAUAGUUCUGCGAACUUGACCCCAUACUGGUCAACUGUCAUGCUCCCUUGGUGGAGACAGUGGAACUCUUCUAUCUUUUGUUCCUGAGCAGUACUCGAAAAGUACUGAUCAUUAAAGGCUUUGAGGAAGGUGUCCCACACUUAGACCUCACCUUCCGGAAACACUAUAUCCUUGGCGGAUCUCCACCAUAUAUUAGCGUUACCUUGAAGUUGGUACACAGCUAUUAACACAUUUUCCUCCUCAUUGCACAUCAGAAGUGCAAAUGCCUUCUCCAAAUCUUGUACCCACAGAGACGCGGCCUCAGGGUCUCCGGUACCAAUGAAUUUCAGUGGAUUCAUUUUUAAAAACUGAUCCACUAACUGGUGAAUCGGCCUCCCAGCGGCUACAACUCCUGGUAGUAUUUCAGCAGGAGCGACGGCAGGUGGAACUGCAGGUGCGGCGACAGGGGCAGCUUGAGCAGUAGCGACAGCUACGGUAGCAAUGGUAGCGUUGGCAGCGGCAGUGGCGGCAGCUUCAACAGCGGUAGUAAAGGUGGUAGUUUGAUCUCGGGCCUGUUGCCCCAUCAUCCCCCACAUAGCAUUUAGAGCCUGGUUGAUUCCGACAGUUCCUUGCUCACCCGGGGCUACUACCCCAGUACCAACAGGAGGUGGUGCUACUCUAGCAUCUACAACAGGUGGAAUCAUUCCACUCACGCUAGCCUCUGUUGGCGCUCUACCUCGGCCACCUUGGGCACCAACUCUUGUUGGCGUCCUUGUCCGAGUUACUGAGGACAAGGUCCUCUGUCUAGGAGUUCUCGGCUCCUGAUCGCUCAUGGUGUCAUUUUAAUCUACUAACACCUACUUCCAAUUCAAAACUGAAUUAGAAACAGAGCGAUUCAAACAACAAGCAAUUUGAGUACUCAGCUAACACAGACAUGCACCAGCAUGAAUUUAAAGGCAUUUCCUACUUACUAUCCCAUGGUAAACGCUCCUUAUCACUCCAAUAUUGAACUAAGCUUUGAUACCACAAAAAGGGGAUGUCACGCCCCAAUCCUCGGGCAAGCGCACAUCCUUCUAGGUUGGUCGGUUUUAUAAUGCGAUAUCCCAGGACUAUGUAUUGCCGACCCUUUUCAUUUUUAAGCAUAUGCAGAAGCAGUUAUAAUCCCCAAACAAUAAAACGAUGGGAUAGAAAAGCAGAGCCAUAUUUUUCAUAUUGAAACUUAUAACCAAACUUUUAUACAAAAUACAAACCAGAGUACUUUAUAACUAUUCACAACUUUUUACUCUAACCCUAUUAACAUCAAGACAUGAUUCACAAAAGAGGAUAGGAUCUCAGUCCUCAUCCAGAUCAUUCUCGAGAUCCCUCUCGAUAGUAUCUUCUUCUUCCAAAAAUCCUUCUCCUUAUGUUUCCCUUCAGAGUUCUCUUUAUCAGAUUCCUCCUCCUCAGCUCCUCAUCGGGGUCCUGAAAUGUUUUCCUCAAACCGGGAUGAGACUACGUCUCAGCGAGUUCUACCCCACAAAGACUCAAUUGGGGAACCAAUACACUACUUGGUUGCCUAAGCACAGCACAAGUCAGAGGACUUGCCUUAGCCUCAGUCCCAACCUGCAAUUCAAGGUUAUAUACAAACGCUUCAUAAAUCAUAACGAACAAUCAAUCAAAUCACGACAAUCUGAUCAAAUCAUUGAUCAAUUGAACUAGUCGAUUAUAUGUCAAAUGGACCAUUCCAGAUCAUUGAUUCCACACCAUAUAACCUUCCAUCGAGCACUCGGUCACAGAGCCACAUCAAUGCUCUCGGGCGUCAAGUUCGCCAAGGUGACGUAAAUAACAGACAAUCUACGUACAUUCUUUAAGGCUCCGUUUUCGCACAAUGAUAUUCCUCAUCACAGAACCACGCCCGUCAUAGAUCACAGACAGUCUAUGUGCGUUCUUUAAGGCGCCAUUUUCGCACAGUGAUAUCCGUAAUCACCGAACCACACCUGUUUAUACUUCAUGCUUGAUCGGUCUCAGCCAAUUACAGCUCAACAAGGUAUUCAAAAUGCUAAAUAGUCAUACUGGGUAAACUACCAAUCAAUAAUUCAAUUUCAAUCAAUUUAGGGUAAAUCCCUAAAAUAUCACAAUUUAUUAAAUUCCAUGCAACGUAGAGCUCAAUUAAAUAAACGGACUGCGCCAUGACAAUCAGCACAAGAUUUCGGUCGUCGACUAACCCAGCCUUAAUUUCCAAAAAAUAAAUAAUUAAUUCAUUAAUUUCGAAAAUUAAUAAUUAAUUACGAUAAAUCCAAUUUAGCUCAAAUCGGAGCUCAAUUAAAUAAAUGGACUUCACCAUGAUUAUCAGCAUAAAAUUCUGAUCAUCAACCAUCCUAGUUGAAUUUUCGGAAAAUAAAUAAUUAAAUAAUUAAUAUUAAAAAUUCAAUUUAGCUCAAAAUAAAGCCCGAUUAAAUAAAUGGACUUCACCACAGCCAUCAGCAUAAUAUUCCGAUCACUGGCCAUCCUAGAUGAAUUUUCGAAAUAUAAAUAAAUAAUUAAUUAAUUUCGAAAAAUAAUAUUUAAAUGCCAAAAAUUCCACUUAGGCCCGAAUUGUCAAAUUGAAGCCUGAUUAGGAUCGGGAAAAAUCCCGGGCUACCCUUAAUAAAUAGUAGACCACGUCUACUUGCUAAAUACACAUUCAAUUUAUCUAAUUUGCAUCACAAUUGACUAAUAAACACUAAUCCAUACUAAUCUAACCACCUAAACCUAAUUAAUUAAAACUAAACAACCCUUAAGUGUAAUUAGUCUGCUAAGCAAGGAUUAGUGAGAUUACUCACCGGAAUCGUGUGCAAGUUGGACCAAUCCGAUGGGGACAACGCGAGGAACGAUAAACCUCAAAGCGGGUCUCGGGUUCGGGGCCCAAAGUCAUUGGAGACUCACUCCGCAACUUGCUGGGUUGCUGCAAAAUAGAGGGGAAAAAGAGAUGGUUGGGAGCAGUAAGGGGUCGGGAGAGCGGGCGGAGCUCCGGUGAGGCUGGACAGUGGCCGGAGGGGGUCAGGCCACGGCCUGAGCUGGCCGAACAAGGCUGGACAAAGGCGGAAGUCACACGGGGGAGGGAUGGCAGCGAGCGGCGGGCGCGUUUAGGGGUGAGCGGUUCCAGGUUCCGGUUCGGUUCCGUCCGGAACCUGGAACCUACCCUCGGGUACAGGUUCCUCAAAAUGAGGAACUUGGAACCUACUCGUGGGAACCGAGAACCUGGAACCCACCCUGGCACAGGUUCCAGGGUCGGUUCCAGGUUCCAACAGGUUCUUUUUUUUUUCUUUUUUUUCAGAUUUGAACUAUAACAUAUGCGCACGUUACCCAAAAAAACUAUAACGUACGUGCACGUUACCAAAAAAAAAAAAACUAUAACAUAUGCGCAUGUUACCAAAAAAAAAUAUAACGUAUGCGCACGUUACCAAAAAAAACUAUAAUGUACGUGUAUACUACACGGUAACUUCCCAUUGACAUGUUAUCUUGAUACAUUAACUUCGCACUGCACAACAAUAAUAAAAUAUAAUUAGAAAUUUCAAAACAAAUAGCAAACUAGAAAGUAGAAAUAAAACACCACUAGAAUAAGAAUGUCUAGAGGUACAAGUUUUGAAAACAAUUUCGAUUAAACCCUUAAAUGAACUCAGAAAAUUCUGAAAUUUGGACACGUUGUAUUUAAGACCUAGAGGUACAAGUUUCAUGAAGAAAUUGUAGUCCAAUUCGUUCUGGAUUAAAAGAUAAAAUUGAUUUACUUUUCCUAUUCUCUACUUGCGCAGUUUUUGCAACAUUUUUGGUUAAAUAGGCAAAUGAACUACAAAAAUUACGAAAUUUAAAUAUGUUGUAGGGAAGACAUGAAGAGAGAUAUUUCAUACAGAACACAUUUCCAAAAGAUCCUCAUACAAAUGAUAUAGUCCACGCAUUGCAACUUACAAGAUCCGAACACAUCAGAUUGCACAGUUUUAGAAACAUUUCCGAUUAAAUACCCAAAUGACCUUAAAAAAUUAUGAAAUUCGACUAUGUGAUAGCCAAGACCAUAAGGUAGAUACUUCAUGAAAUCAUCGAAGUCAAAUUCGUCUUAGAUAAUUAAAUAUGGACGGUUAAAAUCCCUGUUUGUAGUACCGUAAUUCCAGAUCUAAUCAUCUCCAAAGGACCACGAUUUCACCUACCUAUUCUUGUUUUUUUUCUCUAAAUUUUUGAUAUGUUGUACCUCAGGAUGUCCUUUACAACUUUUGUUAAGAAACCGAAGUAAAAUUUCGACAAAAAGGUUGCCUUACAGUCAAUGCAUUCAUCAAGGGUCGGUCCCAAAAUCUCUAGAUCCAGUCUUUCCAAAGAAUAACGAUUUAACCCACUUAUACUUGUUUUUUUUGUCCCAAAUUUGAGUAUGUUAUACUCCAAGAAGUCCUUUACAACUUUCAUUUAGAGGUCGAAGCCAAACUUCAACUAGAACAUCACAUACAAGUCACUAGAACAUCGAACAUCACAUACAAGUCACUAGAACAUCCAAGACGGUUUUGGUUCCGAAACCGGUUCCGGUUCCUAGAAAAAAGGAACCGGAACCAGAACCGAUCCCCCUUGGAACCGGGAACCGCGCUCAGCCCUAGGCGCGUUGGUGUGCGCACGUCGGCAAGUUGCGGACGCAUGGGCGCAGGCGCUAGUGGCGAGACGGGCGGCGACAGCUUCAACAAGCUGCUGCUGCUUGGCUUCUUCCGCUUCUAGUUCGCUGGUUGCACGAAGAAGAAAGAAAAGGGGGGGGGGGGUUCAGUCAUGAGGGGGAGAAGAGAGAGGAGAGAGAAGAAGAGAUAAGAGAGAGAAGAGAAAGGGUUUGACUAGUCAAACGGGGAGAGAGAAGAAGCCAAAUUGAAUUUGGCAAGGCAAGUGUUCGGUGGGGGAGUGUCCGCACGAAGGGGGAGGGGAGAGGAGAGAGAAGAGAGAGAGAAAAAGAGAGAAAAGGGAGAGAGAGAAAAAGAAAUAAAAUAAUAGCCUUAUCAUUUUUUUAUUUACUUUUCUCUUUCCCUUUCCCUUUCUAUUUUCUUUUGAUCUUUGAUUUUUCCUCUGAUAAUUUCUUUCAUGAAAUUUUGAACUCGUCAAUAAAUUGACAGACGAUGAGACGGUCCUAAAAAUGAAUUGUGACACGCUCGAAUAUUCGAUUCCCGAAACCAAUUUAAAUUUCAUGGUUAGAAUCGAUCGGACGUGAUUUUAGUCCAAUCCAACUAAUUGAGUAGCUUUUAGGGAUUUUACUACAUAUACAUCCCUUAAUGGCUUCACUCAAUAGGUUAGUUAACUCGUGAGUGAUCAGCUCAGAGAAAAAGGACCAUAGGCACAUUGACGACUUGCCCAUUUCACUUUAUCGAAACGGGGUCGAAUUUCAGGAUGUCACAGCUUUCCUAGAGGCAUUCACUAUUUUUUUUCUAAAAUUCUCUUGAUUUCCCUAUUUAAAAGCUCUACUUAAGCACUAGUCUGAGGAUGAUAAGGGGCUGCAACCUUAUACAUGACUACAUAUUUACUCAAAAGUGCUUCAAAUUAUUUGUUGUAAAAAUAUAUCCCCUUAUCACUUAUAAAUUGCCUUAGGAGUGCCGAAUCGGGUAAAAAUAUUUUUCUUCAAAAAUUUGACCACAACCUUAGCGUUAUUUGUUGGUAAUGCUACAACUUCUACCCACGUAGACACAUAGUCCAUAGCCACUAAAAUGUAUAAAUUUCCAUAAGAAGGUAUAAAGGGUCCCAUAAAAUCAAUACCCCAAAUAUCAAAUAAUUCACACACAAUAAUGUUGUUUAAAGGCAUCUCAAUUUUUUUGAAAUAUUUCCAGUUCUCUAACACCUAUCACAUGAAACUACAUAAGAGUAUGCAUCUUUAAAAAGUGUAAGCCAAUAAAAUCUAUAUUGUAAAAUCUUAGCUGCAGUUUUGUUGGCACCAAAAUGGCCACCUACCUCUCCAUCGUGACAAUGAUGUAGAAUGUUUGUCUUCUCUUUGCCUAGAACACAUCUCCUUAUGACUUGAUCUGCACAUACUUUAAACAAGAAGGGUUCUUCCCAAAAAUAAUUUUUAACAUCAUAAAAGAAUUUUUUUUUCUUCUAUUGAUAUGAUAAUUCAGAAGGAAUAACAUUACUUACUAAAUAAUUUACAAAGUCAGCGCACCAGGGAAUUUUUGUGGACUUAAUGAAAAAAAAUUUCUCAUUAGGGAACUCUUCCAAAAUUGGACUUACCUCUUCUUUUGAAUUUGGAAUUCUUGAUAAGUAAUCUGCAAUUAGAUUUUCAAUCCCCUUCUUAUCUUUGAUUUUCAAAUCAAAUUCUUGCAGCAAUAGAAUCCACCUGAUCAACUUGGGUUUUGAUUCUUUCUUUUCAAGCAGAUACUUAAGAGCAAAGUGGUCAGAAUAAAUUAUAACUUUUGAGCUAAUUAAAUAAGAACGUAAUUUGUCAAAAGCAAAAACUACUGCCAAAAGUUCCUUUCUAGUUAUUGAAUAAUUGAAUUGUGCACCAGACAAGAUUUGACUAGCAUAGUAUAUGGUUCAAAAAAUUUUAUUCUUCCUUCAUCCCAAAACAGCUCCUAUUGUAGAAUUGCUAGCAUGACACAUCAGUUCAAAAGGUAAAUCCCAAUUUGGUGUUGCCAUAAUUGGUGCUGAUAUUAACUUCUCCUUUAAAGUGUUAAAAGCCUGCAAGCAUUCAACAGGAAGAUUAAAAGUAGCAUUUUUUUUUCCAAAAUAUUAGAAAGAGGUUUAGCAAUUUUUGAAAAAUCUUUUAUAAACCGCCUAUAAAAUCCUGCAUGCUCCAAAAAUUCUCUGACAAGUUUCAUAGAUAUUGGCGGAGGCAAUUUUACAAUGACCUCCACUUUGGCUCAAUCAACUUCUAUUCCGUUUUGAGAAAUUUUAUACGCAAGCACUAUUCCUUCCUGCACCAUAAAGUGAAACUUCUCCCAAUUCAAAACAAGGUUAGUCUCCUCACAUCUUUGUAAGACCAAAGCCAAAUUAUUUAAACACGAAUCAAAUAAUAAGCCAAAAGCGGAAAAAUCAUCCAUGAAAAUCUCAAUAUAUAUUUCAACCAUAUCAGAAAAAAUAGCCAUCAUGCAUCUCUGAAAAGUAGCUGGUGCAUUACAAAUACCAAAGGGCAUUAUUCUAAAAGCAAAAGUACCAUAGGAACAAGUGAAAGUAGUUUUCUCUUGAUCUUCUGGUGUAAUAGGAAUCUGAUUAUACCCCGAAUAUUCAUUAAGAAAACAAUAAAACUUAUGUCCCGCAUGUCUUUCUAACAUCUGAUUAAUAAAUGAUAAAGGAAAUUAAUAUUUUCUAGUGACAUCAUUCAAUUUUCUGUAAUACACACACACACACCACCCAGUAACUAUUCUAGUUGGAAUCAAUUCAUUAUUGUCGUUUUUCUGAAUAGUCAUACUACAUUUCUUUGGCACAACUUGUAUAGGACUUACCUAAGAACUAUCAGAGAUAUGAUAGAUGAUACCUGCAUCAAGUAGCUUAAUUACCUCAGCUUUCACUAUUUCUUGCAUCUUUGGGUUCAAACGCCUCUGAGGUUGGAUAAUAGGUUUAUAUUGUUCCUCCAUCAAAAUUUUGUGCAUGCAAAUUGAAUGACUAAUUCCCUUGAUAUCAGCUAUUUUCCAUCUAAUUGCACCCUUAUGUUCUCUUAAUAAUCUAAGUAGUUUCUCCUCCAUCGAAUUUGUCAAAGAAGAAGAUAUAAUUACCGAUAAUGAAGAAACUCUAUCAAAAUAAACAUAUUUUAAAUGAGAAUGUAAGGGUUUGAAUUAAAAAAUUAGAGGCUCUUCAAUUGAUAGUUUAAGCUUUGUAAUGUGCUAUCCCAACUCCUCAAAAUUAAUUGCCUUUUAUCUUGAAUAUGGUGGAAUUGCCUCCAUGAAAUUUGCAUGCUCCUUUAUCUCCCCCAUUCUGAAUAUCUCCGUCCCUUGGUUGAAUCAGACAUACUUCAAGUGGAUCUUUAAAAAUAUUUUCCUGAAAAACCUUAUUCACCAACUUGUCAAUUGUCUCAAUUCUAAAACAAGAAUUAUCAUCAUAUGGAUAUUUCAUUGCUUUAAAAACAUUCAAUGAAACGAUAUCAUCUUGAAUUCUAAGAAUCAACUUCCCUUGUUGUACAUCAAUAAGAGCUCUUCUUGUUGCUAGAAAAGGUUGACCUAAGAUAAGUGGUACCUCAAAAUCUUCCUCCAUGUCAAGAACUAUGAAAUCUGCAGGAAAGAUAAAUUUGUCAAUUUUUACCAAAACAUCUUCCACAAUACCUCUAAGAUAUUUAAUUGAUCGAUCAGCCAGUUGAAGUGACACUGUGGUUGUUUUUACCUCACCCAAUCCUAAUUUCUUGAAAACUGAAUAAGGCAUCAAAUUAAUACUUGCACUUAAAUCACAUAAUGUCUUUUCAAAGUAAGAAUCUAGAAAUAGUAAAACUCCCUAGAUCUUUUAAUUUUGGAGGCAAUUUGUUUUGUAGGAUGGCUGAACACUCCUCGUUUAACUUCACAGUUUCAUAAUCCUCCAGUUUCCUUUUGUUCGCCAAAAUCUCCUUCAAAAUUUUUGCAUAACUAGGCAUUUGCGCUAAGGCAUCUACAAAAUGAAUGUUAAUGUGCAAUUUUUUUAAAUACAUUAAGAAAUUUAGAAAAUUGCUUAUCUAUUUUGUGCUGCUAGAGUCGCUGAGGGAAUGGAAUUAGCAGCACAUAUGGCUUGGGAUUAUUUGGAAAAAUUUUACUCUUGCUUGUCUCCUUUGAUUGUUUAUUGAUCACAUCUUCCUUGUCUCUAAUAAUCUCCUGUUUGACAUCUUCUUCUCCCACUUGUUUACCACUUCUCAAGGUAAUAGCCUUUAUGUUUUCAAUUGGAUUUUUCUUUGUAUUGCUGGGCAAAGAACCUUGCUAUCUCCCUGACAUCAUGCUUGCUAACUGACCCACUUGCAUCUCCAAAUUUCUAAUUGAAGCCUCUUGGUUUUGAAAUCUCACAUUCGUGCUUUUGAUGAAGUCAUGAGUUGUGUUAGCAAGUUUGGUGACUAUAUCUUCCAAAUUUGACUUUGUAUCUUCUAAUUGUUUGAAUCUCGGUGGUCUCGUCACAUUCUGAUUAUUCCAUGAAAAAUUUGAAUGAUUGCACCAUCCCAUAUUGUAUGUAUUGGAGUAGGGAUUAUUCUAUGAUCUGUUAAAAUUCCCAACAAAAUUAGAAUUUUCACUAGAUUGUUUAAAAGUAUUACCUACCUAACACGCUGUGCUAACAUGUCCUCCACCACAAAAAUCACAUGUCAAAUUUUAAAUUUUCAUGAUUGAAACACUCAUAUUAUCUAGCUUUUUGUUGAGUGCUUCAAAUUGUGUAGCAAUUGCAACAAAAGCAUCCACUUUGUGAACUCCGCUAACUUUUUGCAUUAGUAGUCUCUCAGUAGGCAAAUAAUAACUAUUGGACGCCAUCCCCUCUAAUAAAUUGUAGGCUUCUUCUAAUGUUUUAUUAUUUAGAGUUCCUCUUAUAGCUGCAUCAAUCAUAAAACGGAAAUUUGUACUAGAGCCAUUAUAAAAAGUUUGUACUUGCAUCCAUAUGGGUAGUCCGUGAUGUGGGCAUCUCCUAAGAAAUUCUUUGAACUUUCACAUGCUUCAUAUAAUGAUUCAUUAUCCAUUUGCAUAAAAUUAGUAAUAUCGUUACGUAUCUUCGCAGACUUUGCAUGUGGAAAGAACUUGCCAAGAAAUUUCUUAGCCAUAUCAUUCUAUGUAGUAAUUGAUCUCGUAGGAAGAGAAGAAAGCCAACUCUUAGCUUUGUCUCUAAGAGAUAAUGGAAAUAAUCUCAAUCUAAUAGCGUCAUAUGUAACUCCAUUAUAUUUAAUGGUAUAACAGAUUUCAAGAAAAACAUCGAUGUGAGCAUUUAGAGCAUCGCUUGGUAGCCGAUCGAAUUGCACUAAUUAUUGAAGCAUCUGAAUGAGUGACAGUUUGAUCUCAAAGUUGUUUGCUUGAAUUGCAGGUCUUCUAAUACUUGAUAUGGUGCCUUAAACUGUUGAUGCAGCAUAAUCUCUUAAGAGUCUACAUGGAUUUUCAUUAUAACCGUCUGCCAUCUUCUUAGCAUGAUUUCUCUGUUCUCUUAGUCGCCUUUUCAAUGUACGCUCGAUUUCUAGAUCAAGCUCAGCAAGUUUCCCUUGUUGGCUGUCAUAAACUAAUGUACACCCUGAAAAAUAAAACAAAACAAAAGUUAGAUUAAACUUAGAAUUAUCUGGUAUCAAUAUUAAUUAUUAUUAAACAAACGAUCCCUGACAACGGCGCCAAAAACUUGUUUGUAAAAUUAUAAACGCAAGUGAACGUGUCGAACAAGUAAUAUAAUGAUAAGAAAAAGUAUCGUCCCACGAAGAUCGAUGAUUAAUAAACUAAUUAAAUACUAAAAUAGAUUAAUUCUAAAAUUUAUCUAAUAGAUCAAAUUAUAAUUUAGAAUAAAUUAAAAAAAGUUGAAGACUAAAUGCAGUAAAUCAAUCAGAUAAAUAUGUUAGAGCAUCCGAUUUCACCAUAACCACCAGAUAUGAAUUUCAGAUUUUGUGGGUACAAGAACAAUAUCAAAUAUGUGAUAGCGGAAUUUCUUAAUCUAUUUACUAUCCUAUCUCUAGGUAUAACAAACCUACUCAGCUUAUGAAUCCACUAUAUUUCCAUGUGAAUUAAAAUAAACAUGAGUGCAUUAAAACUAUUAAUAUUCUCGGCGUACAAUGAGUCUUUUUGAUUUGCCUGGCAUGCCCUCACCUUUGCUAGCGAGGGCAUCGCGACCCUCACCCAAAGCUCGUGAAGGGCACAACACCCUCGCCUAGAGUUGGCGAGGGUCGAUUGGCCCUCACCUAUGGCUAGUGAGGGUUGCCAACCCUCCCUUGUGGCCGACGUUGGCCCUCACCUAUGGCUGAGGCCAGCCAAAUUCGAACCCCAUAAAAAAGUAAAAAAAAAAAAGAAUCAUAAAAAAAUUCAAAAUAUUAUUAAAAUAUUAUUUAUAAAGUGCCACGUCAGUGUUGGCCAUCCAUGUUAGCAAUUUUCAGCCAAAAUUGGCUAAAUAGAUUGAAUUGAUAAAGAAGUGAAAAAGUUUAUGAUAAAAUUAGCAAAAUUGAAAGAUUUAUUAUUGAAUUAGUAAAAGUGUAAUAGGUUAAAGACUUUUUGGAUAAUUUUCCUGAUUAUGGUUGAUACGCAUUUGUGGAGAAUUAUCAUCAUCAAGAAUUCAAUUUUUCUUUUCCUUUUUCUGGUCCAGUGACUGUAGUUAUUAGCUUAUUUUAAGAUGUGGAGUUAACAAUGGCAGGUCCUAGAGACUUUCAUGAGACUAUUCCACUACAAAUCCUUGUGUGAUGAAGGCUUUGUACAGUGCGGUGUGCAUUUAAAUUUUCCAAAUGCAUGAUUUAUUUGACAUAUAUUCCUUCAAUCUUUUUUUUUUUUUUGUAAAGGGUAAUGAUAUAUUGAGCUUUAACCAACAAAUAUACAAGAUCCGGCACCACAAAACUUGCACUCAACAAGACACAAACGUCUCAUUGAGUGAAAGGGCACCGGACACAAAACACCACAAAGCGGUCAACUCAAGCAAGGGCCGAAACAGGAAGCCCAAGAAAGUAGCCAUGCAGGGCCGAGACAACAAACUAAAAAGACAGACUAACCAAAAGGCCAUGCAAGGCCAAGAAGAACAACCCACAAAGCUAGACUAAGGCGCCUAGGUGGUCGGCAUAGGAGAGCUGAAGAUAGACGGGUCAAGGCCCCAAUUUCUUUGUAACCUCCUAUUUCUCAGGCAAUCUUCCACGCUUUUGAAAGUUGAGGCUUUAUCCUUCACAACUUUAAUAAGAUGCUUCUUGAUAGCCGCAACCAAUAUUCCUUCAAUCUUUCGUCACUGCUCAUCCGGAAAAACAAGCCAUUGUGGGCUAGAGACCGGUGCACAAUUGUCACAGAAGAGCUACUCUUAGGGCACGUUUGGUAAUAAUUCUGUUCCUGAGAAUAGAUUCUGAUCAGAAAUGAUUCUUUUUAUUUUGUUCCCGGGAACAAUUUCUAAGCAUUUUAAGUCGUUUGGAAAGUGUUCAAAAUUUCUAAUUCUGGAAUAAAAUUGUGUUUGGUAUCGUGCUCAUUGAAUCUGUUCCAAAUCAAUUUCUUUUAAUUUUUAAAUAAUUUUUUUUUCUUUUUUUCCUUUUUUCCAUUUAUUUUUUCUUUUUUUUUUCAUUUUUUUUUUCAUUUUUUUCCUUUCUCUCUCAUGUUCUUCUUCUUUCGGUGCCUAGUCGCUGGACCGACGACCAGCCAAACGAGGGCCUGUGACCUCACUAGAGCGUCAUCAGCCCUCGGUGAGGUCGGCCUUGUCAACCGAGCCUCACCAGCAACUGGGCGAGUUCGCUUGGCCACUAGCAAGCUCACCGAUGGUUGGGCUUGCCUUUGGCGAGCUCGCCGGUGUGGUUGCCAGCAACUGGCGACAAUGGUGACGGACAACAACCACAGGAUGGCGGUCAAUGAAGAAGAAGAAAAGAGAAAAGGGAAGAAGAAAAGCUGGUUUUGAUUCUUAGAUUUGUUCCCGGAACAAGAAUCGAGUUUUUUUUUUUCAAUCUUAAUUCUGCUCCAAAUCUAUUUCCGGGAACAAAAAUUUUACCAAACGCGAUUCUGUUCCCAAACUGAUCCCGGGAACAAAAAAUCAGAAUCAAACACUGUUUGGAUGGUUACCAAACAGUGGCUUACUUUCCAAAUAAUUUGUGGGAAACAAAAAGUCUUGGUCUUCUCCUUUCCCAAUCGAUUUUUAUAGUAUGGUACAUUGGGGAUGUUACUUCUGCGCAUGGCAAGUUUUUCUUUCGGGGCAUUGAUUAAUGCAAAAAUUGAAAGUUGAUAGCGAAAGGAGAAGACCUAACCUCUCUCUUUCACGAAGAAAGAGACUUCUUGUUUAACUCUAUAUUUGAACAAUUCCAAAACUUAAUAAUGCACAUUAACUCUUAGUCAUCGGGCAGCAAUUUUUGAUGAAAAAAGGCACACUAGUUCGUAAAUUUCAUCAGUUAACUUACAGUAAGGUAUAAUUAACUUUAGCAAUGUCUCCCUACAAAUCUUUAGAUUUCUUUGGAGAGACUAAUUGAAAAUCCCAGCUGCCAACAUAAUUGGACAAUGCAUUGAGAGAUGAUGUGCAUCCAAACUCAAUAACUUAUUAAUGAGGGCUUUGACACUCUCCAUCAUAAGCAUCUACAAACUUUUCAAACGAGUUCUUUGCCAACUAAUAAGCCAAGUACCCUUGUCAAAUUUCCAAUUGAAAUCUGUUUGCAGGAAAUUUUUUCAAGACUGACAAAUUGACGCAUGAUGCCUACAUGGGCAGGUCGAAUCACUUCGAUAAUCUAAAUCUAUUAGUAAGAAAAUCGACAUUAUCUGGAGUCUUUCCUUGGGCAAUAGUAAAAUUGUAUCAAUUGGUAACAGAGCCUAAAUAUGGCUGGUCUAGCACAUUUGAGAAGGCAAGGGCAACAUCUCCAACAAGAAUUGGAGCAAUCUUGAUUGUUAAGGCCUGACGAUCCCCACCCUAACCAAGAAGAAGAGAUUAACACUUUCCAUGAUGUUUAUUUUUUACGCAGCUUGUGAAGUGGCUCCUUUGCAUCGCUGGUGUUGGAAUCGCGAUUCUAAUGAUUUCGAUGUUAAAGUAGACAUUUCAAACUUCCAAGGCACUUUUCAAAAGGAGGUAAGGAAGUCUUGAUCAAAGCAGUUGUGCAAGCUAUUCCUCAGUACAUCAUGUCUAUCUUUAAAAUUUCGAUCUCCCUGUGCAAAUCUAUUGAACAGAAGGUGGCUAGAUUUUGGUGGCAAUCUCAAGGAAACUAAGUCAGGCAUACAUUGGCGAAAUUGGGACAUUCCCUUACUUCGUGGUAGCUUGGAUGAUCAAACAAUCGACGAAAUCCUCAAAAUUCAUAUCAGGCCGCAAUACACACAGGAUCAACUAAUUUGGAAGGGGAGAUCAAAUGGUAUUUAUACUGUUAAAAGUGACUAUAAUCAAAUUAGAUAAGGAGAGAGCAGAGUUAGUCAACAUCUGGCUUCAUCCUCCUUUCAACCUCCAAAACGACUAUGGACAAACAUUUGGAUGGUGCUGACUACUCCCAAAUUACAUAUCUUUCUAUGGUCUUUAUGCCAAAACACUCUAGCAACUGGCAAAAAUCUAUACUAUCGACAUGUUAUAACAGAUCCUAUAUGUUGGUUAUGUCGAGACUGUUGUAUUUCUAUAGUCCUUGAAUCUACAGAACAUCUAUUCUUACAUUACCCUUGGACAACUAACAUAUGGUCUCAUUUGCAGCUACAAUUCAAUGUUCAGCAAGUUCAUGCGCAUCGGUUCGAUGUCUGGCUACUGCAAACAUUAGAUAAGGAGAACAACUCAUGGGUUCUUGUGGUAAUUGUAUAUGUUUUGUGGCACAUCUGAAAAGCCAUAAAUGAUUUUGUUUUCCGCCGGAAAAUCCCCAACCCAAAUCAAGUUGUAUUUGUUGCUCUCACCCAUGCCUGAUCUUACCAGAGCUGCCAUGUGACCUUGCUGCAACAGAGUUCAAAGAAAUAGUAUCCAAUUGGCAACUAGAGAGGAGAUCGAAGUUAGGCGGCUAAUAAAACCCUUACCGUCACAGGCUAUGCUCGACCAUGUUCUAGGGCGCCACUAAAUUGACACCUUCGACGUCCACCUUCGGAACAAAUCUAGCGUCCCCCUGAUCGUGGUGUGCUGAAGAUAAAUAUCGAUGCUUCCUUCCUUACGGCCUUAAACAAAGGUAUUGUCGCUUGUGUUUGCCGUGAUUCCUCAAGUAAGUUGAUCGAUGGCUUUGCCUGGCGCACCAUCUUUGUUUCACCCCUGCAAACAAAAAUACAAGCCCUCAACUUUACACUACAAUAUUUACUCAAGAAAUGAAGGAAUCAACAUCAUCUCCUUUUAGCAUCCGACUAUCUAGCAGUGGUAACGGCGCUGCUUCAUCUUUUCCAUAACCUACAAAUGCGACACUGCAGAAGAGAAACAAACUUUGCGGCCAACUGGACCGCAAAGGCCCAUGGACAAAAUCUUCUCCCCUCUAACUAGGCCAAGUUCCCCCCUCCCGCUCUUUUCGAUCUUCUAAGUACUGAGGCGUUAAACUCCUGUAUUUUUGCUGAUCGUGUAUGAAGUUUUUCACCUUUCUGAUAAAAAAAAAAAAACUUCCAAGGCACUAUGCAUCGGAAGACUUCAUAGAUUGGCUCGACAAAAUUGAGCAAGUUUUUUAUUAUGAGAAUAUGGUGGAGAAUCGAAAGGUGAAGCUUGUGGCCAUCAAGCUUAGAAAAGCAUGCUUUGAUUUGGUGGGAAAAUCUAAAGUGUCAAAGAAAUCGUGAAGGAAAGCAGUGUAUCGAGACAUUGGAUAAAACAAAGGAGCUCAGGAGGAAGCAUGUCUCAAAAACGAAAAAUUGUCCAAAAAGUCCGAGAUCUAUUGUACAAUGGCUUAUUUAGCUCUAAACAUUUCAAUUGUGCUAAUUUAAUCUUAAAUCUUUUAAGAACUUAUUGAUAUAGUUUUAAACAUUUUAGUUGUGUUGAUUUAGUCAUAAAACUUUUGAUGAUUUGUUAAUUUAAUUCUAAAUAUUUUGACAGCUUGCCCAUCUAGUCAUUUUGACCAAUUUUGGUUGAAAAUCGCUAAUGUGGAUGUCGGCCGACCACCGGCCAUCUAUAUGGCAUAGCCAAUACUAAUGUGGACAAAUUUUGCAAUUUUCUUCUCGUCUUUUUAAUUUUUUUCCUUUUUUUUUCCCCUUUGGCUUGUGGACGAUAAUUAGCGAUGGCUAACAAUCAGCCACAAGCAAGGGCCGAUGAGGGUGCCUACAGCCCACAAUGGAUCUAGAGAAGGCUUGCUCGUGGCCUGGGAGAAGGCUGUCCUCAUCAGAUCGAACAAGAGCUCGACCUUUGCCUGACCACAGGCCAAAGAGAAAGAAAAGGAUAAAGAAACAAAAGGUAAACAAAUGGAAAUUUUUUAUUAAAAAAAUGCAAAAAUUAUCCACGUUAGUGCUAGCCAUGCCACCUAGCCAUGCCACCUAGGAUGGUCGCCCGUUGUCGAGUGUCCAUGUCACUAUCGUGACCUCUCUUUUGCCGUUUGGGGAAAAAAGAAGAGGUUUAGGAGUAUUCACGAGGCAGGCCAACGGCCCUCAUGUGACAUUGGAUUUUAUAUUUUAGUUCUUAACAACAUAUGUAUUUCUAGGAGUCGUAACUAGCCUAUUUGGGUCAUAUGUAUUUCUAGGAGUCAUAACUAGCCUAUUUGGGUCAAUUAGAAACCAAUCAAGAUGCGAGAGUGUUGUCUCGAUUCCUACGCAACCAGAGAUUUCUAGGAACGGGGACUUAUUUACGCCAAUGUUUCUAUUAGCAUUUUUGCGGUACUGCUAACUUGACUAAAAAUGAUCUUUUUAUGUGAAAACUCAAUUUUUGACCCAAAGUUGACUUUUGAUGAAAGGAUUGACCAAAAAGUUAACUCAAAAAUCAACCAUUUGACUUUUCUAGUUUUUAAUUAAAAGAAUGAAUAGGAAGGUGCUUAACAAUGACAAGACAGAAGAAAAAAAUGAAAACAACACUUUUUUGUUCAAAAAACAAGCUCUAUUGCAAUUGGCAACCCGAACCUCGAGUUUUUAUCUUUAUCGAUGCGUCAACUAAAAAUCAAGUGUCAACAACCUUAAAAAAAGUUUGGUUACCAAGUUGGUGAAUAGAGGGGUAAGAAUCUCAGACAAAUUAUUAGCCAUAUGAUUAAUCAAAUCAUUUUGUGUUCUUCAUACAUCCUCCUCACGGUGGCCAAUACUGUUGAAUUUGGGUCAAAUCCCUCCCCUAAUCCUUGGUAAAGUUCCGGGGGAUAUCACCGAAAUUCAAGCUCAAAUUGACAUCAUCAACUGGGUCUGCCUCCUUGUUGGAAUUUUCAAAAGAAGUCGGCCUUUCUCCCAAACCUUGCAAGGACUGAUUGUCCUUGCCAAUGGUAGUGCCACUCUCCUUGUUCCUUAUUCUUGCCAUAGACACCUCCUAGGAAUGGACCAUGAUGGUCCCACCGGAUGUGCCAAAAAAAUGUUAACAACUUCCUUGACAAAUAUCUUUUACCGAAGAGGCAAAUCUUGGGCCUUUUUAUGUAAACUAGGUUUUGUGUCAUUUCAAAAAGGAAGCGGCUAGUCUUACUCUAUAGACAAUAAAGAAAAGGAUAAAUAGGAGAUAAAAUGUGCGAUAAAAUGUAAACGUGCAAUAACAAGAUAGUCAAAAGAUAAAUGUUCUUGUGUUUUAGGAAAAGGGUCCUUUACAAUUGUGUUUCUUUGGCUAUUUAUAGUUAAUCUCACAAGUAACUGUUCUUUAGCAGUUAUUAUCUUCAAUUUCGAAUCACUUCUGGAGACUUUGGUACCACACCAAUAAUUGCAUCACCUUAUCCAUAGUGUCAUGGGCACCAAACUCUCAAAGUUGUCUUCAUUUUAUCGCUUUGAGCCGGAGCAAUUACUAAUUCCAACUCCUCUGUAUCUCUUGUAAUCGGCUAUUCUUCUCACGACUUGGGCUUAAUGGGCUUUCCUCUUUUCUACGCCCAAUGAGCUAAUUUUCGCGCCAACAUCAGUUAUCCAUUAAGUAUGAAGUUUUGACAAAUUAUACCACAAGCAAUGCAUCAGGACAGGUGAGUCCCUAAAAAAACUAAUAAAAGCAGCAAACCGAAACCGAGCGGCUUCAGAUGUGAACAAUGAAAAGAACUAUGUUCAGCAAAAAAAUCAUCGUAACGAACAAAGAAGUUCUUAAGAAGCAAUUAUAUUUUGACAAGAAAAUGCAGUAAUACUGUGUCAGAAACCGAAUGUUGUAUCAACAUACAAGAUUGUACCGAAGGCUUGCAACUUUUGGUACUAGUUCAGAACCUAAGGAUAUAAUCCUUCAAUCCUAAGACUUAAUAGGAUCCACACAUCUCCGGUCAAUCGAAGUUCAUCAUGAAUGGUUACCGAAUUUGUUGACACCUAAAUUUCGACGAUCCUCUCAUUCAUUUAUUGCAUAAAAAUUAAGAGACUAAACUUUAGCCCCUAAACAAAAAUAAUAAAUCGCAUUACAUAUAGUUAUUAGGAGCAUAUCUCAAUAUACUUGCAUAUUUAUGGACUGGUAGCUGAUGGGCUUAAGUUUUGAACAUAAUUGCAUUGAAUCGGGUUGGCGGCGGAUGAACUCGGGUAAAUGGUUUUGAGCUUUAUUGAAGUUAAGCCUGCAGAAAGUGAAAGAUUGGAGUAAGCUUCGUAAUAUAACCAAGUUUGAUACGAAUUUGGGAAAGAUUGAGCACAUUUUUCACAUGGGAUCUUAACAAGGCAUGAAAAAUCUUUGAGGAAAAAUAAAUAUCUUUAUUAAUAGAAGAUAAUCUCGGUCAACUUGGUGCAGAGAAGUGUGAUAUUUCUACGCAAAAAUAUACCAAAUUAAAGAUUGGGACACAUAUUUCUUGUUUUAAAACAAGAAAGAGUGCACCAAUAAAGAAAAUUUCAUGCGUCCUACGCAUCCAAGGGCGUGAGCAGAAAAGAAAAGAAUUCGUGGCCGAAAAUCAUGAAUAUAUGGUCAAUUGGGAGUAUUCACGCAUUUGAGGAAAGGAAGGAAUAAAAUAUAUUAUAUUGGGUCCUUUCCUUUGAAGGCCUUGGUUGUCCUAUAAAUAAGGAGAACGCUAACACUGUUGUGGGGGGUCGGCACUUCUAUUCUAAAAGGCACGUUGAGAGAUUUACAUGUGAGAGAGAGAGAAAAGAGAAGGAACUCUCUCUGCUGAACCGAGGAGCCCCAUGUUGUGCGAGGCCCUUUGCUGCAGCGUCACACCCGAGCCGCCUGAUUUACCGUCGCUACACUGUCUUUGCUGCGUUCCCCCUGCAGCAACGACAGACUCGCUGCUGUGACCUCUUUGCCUUUCCGACAAGCUGCUGAUCUGGUGCCAACCUCCUACCGUCAUGACCAAGCCUUGACGAGCCCAGCUCAACCGAGAUGUUGAUGGAGCUACUGCCUUCCUCGCGCUCAAUUGUUGCUUGAUUCGCUGUUGCCCUGAUGGGAUCAUAAUUUCUCCUUGCCGCAAUCACUCAAGCAACCCUCACAUCCCCGAUGAUCCAUGAUCUGCUGCUUUUGCUAUACCACGAACCAGCACACCCCAGGGACGCUUGAACCACUACAUCCUAGUUUGGAGUCGGCAAGGACUCCCGCAAGUUCCAUCUAGCCUGGCGAUGUCCUGAAGUGUUUUCUUUUGACUCACCGACAAUCACCAAACAGGCUUUUGCGCUUUGUUCAUAUUCAUUCUUUGCAGGUUUCGUCGGAGUCCAAAGAGGCCAACAUCUCUUGACUAGCAUGAAUACCACGUCAUAUACUGUGGCCACCACUUGCAAGCCUGGAGUCCAUAGUCCAAAGAGUCGUUAGAAUUUUGAUGAAAUAAGUCUAAGUGGUGAAUUGGUCUUCUACAGGUAUUGUCCAGAAGUGAAAUACAAAAGAAAAAAUUGUCAAAGCUUCCUCUCUGCGGCAUCACCUCGACGUCUUUGACUUUAGAUGAGCGGUCCACUAUGAUCCAUCUUGGGCGUCCUCGUUGCUGCCGGUCACCCGCCACACUGUGUUGCUCGCUGCAUGCCGUUGCUCACACCGUCGAGCAUUGCAAACCACCAUCGGUCACCAUUCGUGAUCCAUUGCCCGGCGCUCGAAUUUGGAAAGUUAUUGUCACAAUUAGGUAAUACUCCUUACUCGGUGCCAUUGAAUAUUUUAUCACCUAAUUUGUCUAUCUUAUAUCCAUUAAGCAUAUUUGAAUGAUAGGCAUAUCUCCCAAUUAAGAUUUAUUGCCCAAUUCGCAACCACACCUCGGUUUUUUAUUUCAUCUAUAAGGCUUUAGAUGAAAUAAUUAAUCAAGCAGGAAUAAAAUUGAUAUUUUGAUCUUUAAGGCUUAAGAUCAAUUUAUCGAUUAUUAUCACUUAAUCUAAAUGGUGUGUGAUAUCUUUGAUGAUUUUGAAUGGUCUAUCUUGUCUCCAUUGCUUUAUUCAUCUUGAGAUAUGUUUAAGUUAGAAUAUCGCAUGCUUUAGGGUUAUUUGCAUAUUUAGAGUAAGCAUUUUAUUUAUCAUGAAUUUUCGAAAUAAAAAAAAUAAAUUUAGGAUGUUAGAUUUUCAUUUCAUUAACCUAAAUUGCAUGUUUAAUUAUUUAACAAUUUUAAUUUCGAAUUUUAAAAAAAGGAAAACUUAGAAUUGGACCAUUCUUUGCAUGUCAUCGCAUAUUAGGAUAGAUUGCAUGCUUAUUAAGUAAAUAAAAAUCAUGUGCACGUCAUAUAGCAUUAGGUUCAUGAAAUGCAUGUCAUUUAAUAAUUAUUGCUAGGUCUAUUUAAUUAGAAAUUACAUGUCAUUAGAAUUAGGUCAUUGAGUUAAUAUUGCAUUGCAUAUUGCAUGAUUUUCAUUAAUUAAGUGAAAACAAAAAAAAAUUGCGUGUUAAUUAGAAACCAUAUCUAGGGUUGUUGAUGUGGAUUUUAAUUUAACAUUGUAGAUGUUUUCAUUGCUUUGAGAUAAGUUUUUGCAAUUUUAUUUAUCGUUUAUCUGGGUGUUAAAUUGGUGGAUUGCGCACCCGCAUGAUCACCUCACAUGUUAGGGAAAUAGAUUUAAAAUCAAAUGGUACCGAAAGGGCAUUAGAGGAAUCUAGUGUAACCAAGUCCCUGUACUCAUAAUCUCUGGUUCGUAGGAGUAAAGUAAAACUCCUGUUACUUUACUUGGUUUCUAAUCGACCCACCAAAAAUAUAUUAGUGGCAACUCCUAGAUAAAAUCUAUAUGUAUGUUAAAAAAACUUGAACCUAAGUCGCGAAUUGGUAUAGGCUUAGGAGAGCCGAGUUAAGUCUAGGCUUAACAAUUCAUUAGCCAAACCCUAGGUGGUUUACACCCAAAAAUUUGGUCGCGACAGAAUUAGAUUACUGCUUCUUGGCUUUCGGUAGGAAUUCCUUUUCUUUUCUUUUUUUCAGUUGAAUACUAGAAGUGGUGCACAUGGUACUCUUGCACCAAAUUAAGAAACAGAAUUCAAUGGACUCGAAUUCGCUGAAAUAUUUGGCUUGAAGGAUUUACAUCAAUCAUUUGCAAUGCCACAUUCAAUGCUAAUCAAUCAUAUUUUUAUCAUCUCAACUCUAAAUUCCCAUUGAAGAGCAAUCCCUUUCUCUCUCGACUUUGAGAGUUUUCCUCUAUCCAUGGUGGUAGCUACCCCCCAAAACCCUAAAUCUCCAGGAGCUUUCCUUUACCCAAAACCACAAUCCCCCUCUUUGAACCAAUGAAGCCCAUCACAUAAUCCUCAGAAACCCAACCCUAAUAUCUUUCUCUAUAAAAAGGUGAAGUCUCAAGCAAUGGAACAAUCCUGCCAUCUAUCUUCAGAGAAUUCUACCAAUGCUUGAUGAAUCAUAGCUCUGGCCUCGCAAAAGGUGGGAUGUGACCCUUCUCUUCAUGGUCAUCUUAUGGGCAUUCUGAUUAUGAUGUAGUGGAAUGGGCUUUGACGUUUUUUUCUCGAAAUACCUAGAUGGAAGUAGACUGUAUGUAGUAAGUAGAGAGGGUCUUGCCUUGUUUGAUCUUGUGUUGGUUCUUGUUACUGGCCUGNNNNNNNNNNNNNNNNNNNNNNNNNNNNNNNNNNNNNNNNNNNNNNNNNNNNNNNNNNNNNNNNNNNNNNNNNNNNNNNNNNNNNNNNNNNNNNNNNNNNNNNNNNNNNNNNNNNNNNNNNNNNNNNNNNNNNNNNNNNNNNNNNNNNNNNNNNNNNNNNNNNNNNNNNNNNNNNNNNNNNNNNNNNNNNNNNNNNNNNNNNNNNNNNNNNNNNNNNNNNNNNNNNNNNNNNNNNNNNNNNNNNNNNNNNNNNNNNNNNNNNNNNNNNNNNNNNNCCUGGGCCAUAUGUGGUCGGAGAAUGAUGUAGUCGAAGUGAUCAAAGAAAUCCCCCCAGAAAAAAAGAGAACAAUGUAAUCAGACCAUUUUUGGGAAGCUAUUUUCCAAACCAAAUGUCAACUUCCAUGCUUUUCUUCAAAUUAUGAAGAAAGCAUGGAGAACAGAAUAGGUGAUAUGCACACAAAAGGAACCAGGUUUUUUCUCAUUCGUUUUUCAAUCGGAGGAAGACAAUGAGAGAGUUAUGAAAUCUGGGCCCUGGUCUUUUGCUAAUAAUCUAUUAGUACUUAAACAAUGUAAACUUGACAUUCUAGAGCACUGUUAUAAUUAUUCUCAAAGUGCUUUUUGGGUGCAUAUGAGAGGGAUACCCCCUGGGUGGAUACUAGAAGAAGUGUUUACUGAUCUAGCAAGAAAGGUAGGCAGAGUUCUAGAAAUUCAGGUGGACUUUAAGGGAAACGAACUACAUAAAAGUGGAAAAGUAAAAGUGGAAGUGGACUUAUCAGCUCUACUAAAAUCGAGGGCUAUUCUGGAUAUUGGAAACAAGAAGCUAUGGGUGGAGUUUAAAUAUGAACGGCUGCCGCACAAUUGCUAUUCGUGUGGAAGAAUUGGUCAUUAUGCUACUAAUUGCGAAGAAAUCCUGUAUGGGCAAACAGCAUGGGCUGAAAACAAAGCUGGAAAAUAUGGACGAUGACUUAAGGCAAAAGUGUAAGACCACAGCCCCCACUGGGAAGCAAUCUAUGGCAAACUAGAAGAAGAAAUUACUGUGGAAGAAACAACACUAGAAAUUCCUCCUAUAACCUACUAAAUGGACCUAGUGGCCAGAGAUGAAAUCGACAACUUGGCAUCCCCAAAUCGCAACAAGAAAAGGGCUGAAAACUUAAAUGUGCAGGAGGCACCAAAAGAACCAGCAGACACAACUAUGAAGAUUACAGAUCAUAGCAAAUAGAUUAUGUGCUUCAAAGCUAAUAGGCCGAUCCUCUCAAAAGUUGGGAAAUGCAGCAAAAAAAGUAUGAAGGUGUAGAGGGCGAAAAAAUAGAAAUGCAUAAUAGAACAAACUCCCAUGUUGAUUGAUGAGAUGGAGCUCUUGGAGACCCUUAUCCAGUUGAUCAAAGAUGGUAAUGAAUGGGCUAUGAUGACUAGCCCUAAUAAGCCACCGGCGACGAUAUGAAAAUCAUAAGCUGGAAUUGUUAGGGGCUGGGCAAUCUCCUAACAUUCCAGGAGCUAAGAGCUCUAGUAGCUCUUGAAAGGCCCAACCUGGUCUUCUUGAUGGAAACAAAGAACAAAGCAACGAUGGUGGAGGUGUUAAAAGGUGACUCAACUUCCAAAAUCUAUUCCUAGAAAAUCCGGAAGGAAUUGCGAGAGGUUUAGCAAUUUUGUGGAGUGAGGAAGUGGUGUUAAAGGUAAAUGACAGCUCUAAAGAAUUUAUUGAUUUGGAGUGCAGAGAUCCAGAUAGUGGCUAACAAAUGAGGAUAACUUUUCUCCAUACAUCGAUGAACUUCAGGGAGAGACUAAAGCUAUGGCAAAAGUUGAAGGAUUUUCAAUUAUCAAAUCAUUUACCGUGGAUAUGCAUGGGAGAUUUUAAUGAAAUUUUAUAUAUUUGGGAGAAGGUGGGGAAAAGAGAAGCUGAUAAUCAUAGAAUAGCAGCGUUUCAAGAUUUAUUAAAUGAGUGUUCCCUAAUAGAUAUGAACAGCAAAGGCUGUGCUUACACUUGGGCAAACAACCGGGAAGGGGAGGCCCUUAUUAAAAAAAGAUUAGAUAGAGUCUUAUGCACACUGGACUGGAGAAUUACCUUUCCCGUAGCUGAAGUACAGGCUCUACCAGUAAUUGACUUGGACCACAGCCCUCUUCUCCUGGUAUUGCACCCUAAAAGUAAGAAAAGGAAGAGGGAAUUCAGAUUUGAAGCAUACUGGUUAGAAGAUCAAGAGUGUGGAGAGAUUAUCAAGAGAACUUGGAACAAAACGCCAUUAAGCCAGAUAAGUUUCUCUAUGAAAGUCAAUGAUAUUUCUACGGAGCUUGUUAAGUGGAGCAAAGAAAAAUUCACCAACGCACGACGUCAUAUCAAGGAGCUAAACAAAGAAUUAAUAGAGAUGACCAACAAGAAUUUUGAAAAUUCCAGCAGGAAUGAAGCAUAGAAUAUUAUCGACAAGAUAGACAAACUAUGAAAACAAGAGGAAAAUCUUUGGGGGAUGAGAGCACGCAUCAAUUGGCUGCAAUGGGGAGAUAGGAAUACCAAGUUCUUCCAUGCCACAACUGUACAAAGAAGACAAAGGAAUAGAAUUACAACGCUGCAAAUGGAAUAUCAAAGCUGGUGUAGGGAUCCGGCGGCACUCAAAAAACACAUAGGGUUUUUCUAUUGAAACUUAUAUAAAUCGGUGGGUCCUAGGAACUAUCAACCAAUCCUAAACUAGUGUCCCAGUCCAGUAAGUGAGGAAAUAAAUGAAAAUCUAAUGGCAAAUAUUACCCUUGAAGAGGUGAAAGACAUGGUUUCCUAACUGGGCUUUUUAAAGGUCCCUGGGCCCGACGGUGUAAAUGGGCUUUUUUUAUCAACAAUCUUGGGAGGAUAUUAAGCUGGAUUUGUUUCAACUAGUGCAGAAUUUCUUUGAAACAGGUAUCAUCGACCCCCUCCUCAACAAAACACACAUUUCCUUGCUACCAAAAGUAAAAAACCCAGAAAAUAUAGGCCAAUUCAGACCUAUUAGUUUGUGCAAUGACAACUGCAAAAUCAUCUCAAAAGUUAUGGCAAACAGACUAAAGAUUUGGCUUCCAAAGAUCAUAGAGCUUGAACAUAAUGCCUUUGUACAAGGGAGGCAAAUACAAGAUAAUAUUUUCAUAAUUCAUGAAGUCUUGCAUCAAUUGAGAAUAACAAAAAGGAAGAAAAAGUUUCAGGCGAUAUUGAAACUCGAUAUGCAAAAAGCCUAUGACAGAAUCAAAUCGAACUUUUUGAGGGAUUGUAUGCUGAAAAUGGGUUUUUAUGAGCGGUGGGUAUCUCUAAUCAUGCAACGUGUUUCGAUGGUGUCCCUAAGUGUGAAGAUAAAUGGGGAGCCUACUCCAUAUUUCACCCCUUCAAGAGGAAUUAGACAAGGUGACCCUCUUUCCCUAUAUUUAUUUAUCCUAGUAGCAAAUGUUUUGACUAGGAUGAUGAACCAAGCCUUAAAGAAUAGAAGCAUUAAAGGGAUAAAGCUAAACAGGUUCUGCCCUACACUGUCUCAUUAACUCUUUGCAGAUGAUGCCAUAUUUUUCUUGAACGGGACUAUAGUAGAAUGCCAAAACUUAGCAAAUAUUCUCAACCAGUACUGUUUUGCAUCGGGCCAAGCCAUUAAUCUAAACAAAUCAGGGGUAUGUUUCAGCGGCACUUGUCCGUUAUUUCUGAAAAGAAACUUAGCACAAGAACUUAGAGUCCCAAUAAUAGAAAAAAUAGGGAAAUAUCUUGGAAUACCAACAGAAUGGGAUCACUCAAAGAAGGAGAUGUUUGCAUGGAUUCUAGCAAGAAUAAACUUGAAGCUAGAGGGAUGGAAAGAAAAAUUACUAUCCAAAGUAGGUAAAGAACUGAUAAAGAGCGCUGUACAAACCCUCUCUCAUUAUGCGAUGUCAGUCUUUAAAUUGCCUAUCUCCAUUUGCAAAACCAUAGAAAAAGAAUUGCUUCAUUUCAGUGGCAGAAAAGCGAUUCAAAAGGGGUCUGCAUUGGAAAAAAUGGGAAACAUUAAAAANNNNNNNNNNNNNNNNNNNNNNNNNNNNNNNNNNNNNNNNNNNNNNNNNNNNNNNNNNNNNNNNNNNNNNNNNNNNNNNNNNNNNNNNNNNNNNNNNNNNNNNGUGAAGUAGAAUUUUGAAGGCAUUUAUUUUCCAAACGGAGACUUGUGGAAGGUAAGAAAAGGGCAACGACCGUCUUAGGGAUAGCAAAGCAUUUUAACAGGGAGAUAAGCCAUAGAAUUAGAGGUUAAAUGGUCAGUUGGGGAUGGCCAAUCUAUUAACAUACAAGAAGACAAAUGGCUAAAGUCUGGAGUGCUUGGAGGCCCAGCUAACCAAAAUGAACCAAUUGUGGUGGCAGAACUUAUCAAUGAAGACUCGCGGGUAUGGAAGGAAAGUUUAAUCCUAAAUAUUUUUGAAGAACAAAUAGCAAAUGAGAUACUUGCAAUACCCAUUAGCCUAUCCUCGAAGGAUGAUUAUCUAGUAUGGAUAGGUAAUAAAUCAGGGACAUACACUGUGAAGAGUGGGUACAAUAGGGCCUAUUCUAACGCCACAAGAACAGAACAAAAUAGAGCAACAUGUUCUUACAAGCCUCCAAGAUCCCUCUGGACAAGAAUUUGAAGUCUAUCUAUUCCCCUGAAAAUGAGACCUUUCCUAUGGAGCCUUCGCCAAAACGCCUUACCAACAAGGGAGAAUCUGCAUGAAAGGAAAAUGCUACCCAACCCCUAUUGUCCGCUUUGCUCUACACAUGGAAACAACAGAACACCUAUUUCUAUUUUGCAAAUGGACGAAAAAAAUUUGGGCAGAUCCACAAAUCAACAUUGAGAUAGCUAGUAUAAGCACCUAGAGGGGGGUGAAUAGGUGCACAAACAAUUUCUCGAGCUACGGAAGCAAUUCUAGGCAAACGAUAGAAAAGAAAAUGCGAUCAAAGCGAAGUAAAUGUUAGGCAAGAGAGAAAUGAACACAAGAUUUAUAGUGGUUCGGCUUAUUCCAAGCCUACGUCCACUCUUCCGCACUGAUAGCCCACCGGUUGGAUUUCACUAUGAACAAAAGAGAAGUUACAGCACAGCUUUUCCUUGAUUUCACAGUGUAGAAGUUCUACCACAUUUCCUCAAGGUUUCUCACGAAUAUAGACUCUCUUUUGUUUACACGAUUUUGCUCAAUAAAUGAAUUGACUAAGAACAAGGAGCUUCAGACUUUGGAAUUCUUCUAUUGUGCACUCCCUCGAACAACUGGAACGCCUUCCUUAUAUACUCCUUCAUGCCAUCAUACUCGUUGGCACUUACCAAAGAAAUUCCUCCAAUCUACCCGUUGGAUGGAAUCAAUUAGGAAGAUCAUUCGAGCUAUUAAAGGAACAUGUCGAUAGUCCAUCAAUCAUGUUUGCCCAUACAAUCAGGAUCUCGGUUUCCAUAAGUAGAUACUUCCAAGUAUACUUUGCCACUCAUCAGAUCCUUAAUCUUCGAAUCAAUUAUGAUCAAAUAAAGAAUUCCAUUGUGUCAUAUCCAGCCAAGAGAUCUUCUCCAGUCGAUAAGGCCACAUCCGUNNNNNNNNNNNNNNNNNNNNNNNNNNNNNNNNNNNNNNNNNNNNNNNNNNNNNNNNNNNNNNNNNNNNNNNNNNNNNNNNNNNNNNNNNNNNNNNNNNNNNNNNNNNNNNNNNNNNNNNNNNNNNNNNNNNNNNNNNNNNNNNNNNNNNNNNNNNNNNNNNNNNNNNNNNNNNNNNNNNNNNNNNNNNNNNNNNNNNNNNNNNNNNNNNNNNNNNNNNNNNNNNNNNNNNNNNNNAAAACUUUGACCUGCAAAACAUUUCUUAAACACAUAUACAUAUCUUAUAGAGAUAAAUGACUAAAUGAAUAACGCUAGAAUCUGCAACCACAGAAAAUAGGUUAGUCUAGUAUACAAUAAAGCCAUCCAUAAGAUAUCAAUAGUAGUUAAUAAUAAGCAGUCAAAUCCAAAUCCAAAUUUAGUCCACAUCUAGACACAUGACUCAAAAGUCAAGUCAAAACAAACCACAAACCAAACAAGCCAAAAGUUCGACAAAGUUCGACAAAUUUGAAUUCAAAGUUUUUCAAGUCUCACAACUCUCCCCCUUUUUGUCAGAAUUAAAAAAAUGAGAUGAAAAUGAAGUCAAGGAUUCUUGGGAACACGAACAAGCUGGAAAUCUCCCAUCGACUGAACGAUACUUUCCAACCUUUUUAAGUCUUCCUUCAGCUGAGCAACAUCCUCACUCUUAGCAUUAGCCUGAAUCUGAAGAGAAAUGGCUUGGAUUUGAUCAUUUAAUGAACCCGAAGAGACUUGUCCUGCAUUUUGCAAGUUCUGAACUUCACAUCCCAAUGCAUAUAUCUGACCUUGCAUCUCCAAGAGAAUAUCCAUCACUCUGCGAAAGUCUGCUGAAUUGUCGGUCUGCGUACUGGCGUUAGCACGAUCUGAUGGAGUAAAUGCAGACGAUGGUAUAUCAGCAUAAUCACGCAGAUUUGGCGAAGAAACCUCAUGACCUUCCUCAGGAAACUGAGAGGCAUAAAUAUCCUCUGGAUCUGCUGGGGAUUGACUGACUCCCUCACUGGUUGCAGGAUUUGAAGUCAUUCCUCUUUUCUCUUGGUCUCCCCUUGUGUUCAUGCCNNNNNNNNNNNNNNNNNNNNNNNNNNNNNNNNNNNNNNNNNNNNNNNNNNNNNNNNNNNNNNNNNNNNNNNNNNNNNNNNNNNNNNNNNNNNNNNNNNNNNNNNNNNNNNNNNNNNNNNNNNNNNNNNNNNNNNNNNNNNNNNNNNNNNNNNNNNNNNNNNNNNNNNNNNNNNNNNNNNNNNNNNNNNNNNNNNNNNNNNNNNNNNNNNNNNNNNNNNNNNNNNNNNNNNNNNNNNNNNNNNNNNNNNNNNNNNNNNNNNNNNNNNNNNNNNNNNNNNNNNNNNNNNNNNNNNNNNNNNNNNNNNNNNNNNNNNNNNNNNNNNNNNNNNNNNNNNNNNNNNNNNNNNNNNNNNNNNNNNNNNNNNNNNNNNNNNNNNNNNNNNNNNNNNNNNNNNNNNNNNNNNNNNNNNNNNNNNNNNNNNNNNNNNNNNNNNNNNNNNNNNNNNNNNNNNNNNNNNNNNNNNNNNNNNNNNNNNNNNNNNNNNNNNNNNNNNNNNNNNNNNNNNNNNNNNNNNNNNNNNNNNNNNNNNNNNNNNNNNNNNNNNNNNNNNNNNNNNNNNNNNNNNNNNNNNNNNNNNNNNNNNNNNNNNNNNNNNNNNNNNNNNNNNNNNNNNNNNNNNNNNNNNNNNNNNNNNNNNNNNNNNNNNNNNNNNNNNNNNNNNNNNNNNNNNNNNNNNNNNNNNNNNNNNNNNNNNNNNNNNNNNNNNNNNNNNNNNNNNNNNNNNNNNNNNNNNNNNNNNNNNNNNNCUACUCACACCAACCUUUGAUCCAUUGAUAUUUUCCUCUCUCAACUCCUAACACAUCUGCCAGCAUAUCCAUAUCCACAACAAAGUCUUGAUCUUUGAUACUGAAGGAGAAUCUAUUCGCAUCCAAGAAACUAAGAUUUGAAUAGAAAUAUGCAGUUAGUUGAGGAUAGGCCUCUGUGGUGUCAGAACAGAAUUUCUCAAGUUGAAGAUGACCGAAAUUUUCCCUUAAGUUCACAUUUACAGCAUCCAGAAAGUCAAAAUCCACACUUCUAGGGUUUAUCACCCCAUGCUUCAGCAAUUUUGAGUAUAGAUCCUUCUGUUCCUUCGAUCUAAACAACUCUCCCCUUUUUUUUCCUCAAUUUUCCGCCGCAAUUCCCAUUCUCGGCUGAAAUUCGCUGUAUAAUUUGUCAUCAUCAUUUCCAUCCACCAGAUUAGAUCCCCAAUCACGAGGGUCACUUGGGAUAUUCGCAAGGGAUUCUUCUGCCACCCCCUUACGAGCAAUUCCCAAACUUUCCAUUUUUCGCAAAAAGAUAUAUUCAUUUCCAUAUUCUUUGUCCUUAAGAAAAUCAUCCACAUAGUUUAAUGGAGUACUAGUUCAUUUUAAAGCACGAUACAACUUACAAAUAAAAGAGGGCCUUUGACCUCUUACAGGAUCUACAUCUUCAAUGAUUUCUUCAUUUUGAUGAUCAACAUCUUGAGGACUAGAUGAAGGAGAAUGACGCUGUUGAGAAUGUUGUGGGCUCUGCUGCUAAUUUGGAGACACUUCUUCUUCAGUGAGAUCGAAGUGCGUAGGCCCCUCACUCAUUCGCCGUGGUCCCCUGCUUGCGAUCCUCGAAGACUUUCUUAAAAACAACAUCUUUCUUAGUCUUUGAAAGAUUCCUUGCUUGACUUUCCCAAGAAAGAUGACAAAUUUUUCAAAGAUUAAACAAGAGAAGAAAAUAGGAUUGGAAGAUCGGUGCUUUUUAGGGUUUUGGAGUCAAGCGAAGAGAAACCAACUGUAUAUAAGACAAUCGAAAGAAGGGGAUACCAAUCGUUCUAAUGGAAAGUGAAAAGAUACCUUUAAAAAAAUAACUGCAUUUUUUGAAAAAUGGUCAUUUCAAAAUAACUUCUUUAUCUAAAGGAAACGAUGCAAUAAUCUCGUCAAUUAAAGAUAGCGGUUGAGAUAACAAUAAUCAACACGGUUGAUGAACGUACCUUUUCAAGAUGAGAUUAGAGAGAGAAUAACUUAUAGUCAAAGUCUUGCAGUCAAAGUCUUAUAUGUCUGAGUCUGAGAGUCUCUAGACUUUAACUUCUUCGAACCUCAAAAUGUUGAGUCUAGAACGGAUAAUUUUAAAUUGAUUUUUCUCCAAAGGCUUUGUAAAUAUAUCCGCCAGUUGGUUCUUUGAAUCAACAAACUGAAUCGUAAUUUCUCCAUUUUGAACAUGAUCUCUAAUGAAGUGAUGUCGAAUCUCUAUAUGCUUUGCUCUUAAGUGAAGAAUUGGAUUUUUGGUAAGAUUGAUAGUGCUGGUGUUGUCACAUUUAAUCUCCGUGCAUGAAUCUUCAAUUCCAAAGUCUCUUAGCUGUUGUUUUAUCCACAGAAUUUGUGAACAGCAACUUUCAAAAGCUACAUAUUCUGCUUCUGCUGUAGAAAGAGCUACUGUACUUUGCUUUCUUGAAAACCAAGACAUUGUCCUGCCUCCAAGUAGUUGACAUGUACCUGAGGUGCUCUUUCUAUCAACUCUGCAUCUGGCUAAGUCUGCGUCUGAGUACCCAAGAAGAGUAAAGUCUCCCCUUUUUGGAUACCAGAGACCGAAGCUUGAAGUUGAUGCAAUAUAUUUGAUAAUAUGCUUUGCAGCAUUAAAAUGUGAUUCUUUAGGGUCUGCUUGAAAUCUGGCACAAAUGCAAACACUAAACAAAAUGUCAAGUCUAUAAGCAGUAAGAUAAAGAAGUGAACCGAUGAUACUCCUGUAUAACUUUUGGUCGACUUUCUUUCCUCCUUCAUCUUUAUCUAUCUUCACGGAGCUUGACAUUGGUAUAUCAGCCUUUUUGCAAUUGUCCAGUCCAAACUUCUUCACAAUAUCAUUAGCAUAUUUUUCUUGAUGAAUAAAAGUUCCUUCCUUCAAUUGUUUCACUUGAAGUCCAAGGAAAAAGGUUAACUCACCCAUCAUGCUCAUUUCAAAUUCAUCCUACAUAGUCUUAGAGAAUUUCUUACAUAGACUUUCAUUAGAGGAUCCAAAAAUAAUAUCAUCGACAUAUAUUUGAACAAGUAGAAAACUCUUGCUUUCUCUUUUAAUAAAAAGAGUAGUGUCUACUUUACCUUUAACAAAUCCAUUUUCAAUUAAAAACUUACUAAUGUGUCGUACCAAGCUCGAGGAGCUUGUUUCAAGCCGUAUAAAGCCUUUUUGAGUCUAAAAACUGAGUUUGGUUUCCUUGGAACUUCAAACCCAGGUGGUUAUUCCACAUAGACUUCCUCUUGGAUGAAUCCAUUUAAGAAGGCACUUUUGACAUCCAUUUGGAAUAACCUGAAAUUCUUAUAACAAGCAAAAACAAGUAAUAAUCGAAUUGAUUCUAACCUUGCUACUGGUGCGUAAGUCUUAUCAUAGUCUAUCCCUUCUUCUUAUGUGUAUCCCUUGGCCACGAGUCUUGCCUUGUUUCUUAUGACUUUUCCUUUCUUGUUCAUCUUGUUCUUGAAAACCCAUUUAGCUCCAAUAACAGACUUACCAUUUGGUUUAGGAGUCAAUUCCCAUACAUCAUUAAUACUGAAUUGCCUGAGCUCUUCUUGCAUAGCUUCAAUCCAGCUUUCAUAAGAUAAAGCUUAUUCUAUGCUUUUGGGUUCUAUUUCAGAAACAAGAGCCACAGCACUAGACUCUUCGCGCCUUUUGGAUCUUGUGCGAAUUCCUUCAUUGAUGUCGCCAAUAAUAAGAUCUUUGGGAUGACUGGACUUAUGUUUCCAGUUGCUAGUUAAUUUGUCAGAUUGAUGGUCACUUCCUUCACUUGAAUCUUCAACAGUCACUUGUUGCUGGUCCUUCAAAGUCUGAGUUGUUUUAGACUUUGUAGAUUCUAGAGCAGGUUCAGAUUCUUCAAGAUGAGUCUAAAUGGAUUCAUUUUGCAUAGAGUCUUGAAAUUUAACAUUCAUUGAUUCUUCCACUAUUUGAGUCUUCUUGUUGUAGACUCUAUACACUUUGCUUGAGAUUGAAUAUCCAAGGAAAAUGCCUUCAUCUGACUUUUCUUCAAACUUACCAACUCGAUCAUUUGCACUUUUCAGUAUAAAACAUUUGCAUCCAAAUACAUAAAAAUAUGAAACAAUAGGCUUCUUUUCUAUGAAUAGUUCAUAGGGGGUUUUUUCCAGAAUAGGCCUUAGAAAAACUCUAUUUAUAAUGUAACAUGCUGUAGAAACUACUUCAGCCCAAAAACGUGAAGAGAUGUUACUUUCAAUUAAAAGAGUUCUAGCCAUUUCUUGAAGAGAUCUAUUAUUUCUUUUCACAACUCCAUUCUGCUCUGGAGUAUAUGGAGAGGAGAAUACAUGUUGAAAACUAGAUUCAUCAUAGAAUUUUGUAAAAUCAUGAUUUUCAAAUUCACCUCUAUGAUCUGUUCUUAUACUCGAGAUAACAUAUUCUUUUUCAUUUUGAACCUUUUUAGCAAACUUUUCAAAGUAAGAGAAAGUUUUAGACUUACUUGCCAAGAAAUAUACCCAAGUAAAUCGUGAGUAAUCAUCCACAAUUACUAGGCAGUAUUUCUUACCUCCAAUGUUUUGUGUUCUGGUUGGUCCAAAAAGAUCCAUAUGCAGAAGCUGCAGUACACGGUUAGUGGAAACUUGAUUUAUUGGUUUAAAGGAAUUUCUUACCUGUUUUCCCAAUAUACAUGGUGUACAUAGAUUAUACUUUUGGUAUGAUAAAUUGGGUAGACCACGAACAAGCUUCUUUGCUGAGAUUUUGGCUAUUUCCUUCAUGUUGACAUGCCCAAGCUUUCUGUGCCAUAAGUUUGCUUCGUCUUGGAUUGAGAUUAAACAUUGUGAUUCAUCUAGUUUCACAUCCAAGAGGUAGAUAUUUCCAUGUCUUUGAUCCAUGAAUGACUGAGUAGAAUCUUUACUAAUUCCAGAACAUAUUCCCUCUUGAAAGUUGAUUUUGAAACCAGUAUCACAUAGCUGACUAAUAUUGAGCAAAUUGUAAUUGAGCCAUUCUACUAAGGAAACAUUGCUGAUUGUGAGAUUUCCAAUCUUUACAGUUCCAAAUCCCACAAUUUUUCCUUUGCCGUUUCCUCCAAAAGAGACUUUUCCACCAUUUACUUGAACAAUCUUUAUGAAGUAAUUUGAGUCUCCUGUCAUGUGUCUUGAGCAUCCACUAUCUAGAUACCAUUUUACCUUUUUCUUGAUAGUGACAUGCAUUUAAAAAAGAAACUCAAACCUUCUUUGGUACCCAUAUUUUCUUGGGUCCAUUGGUGUUAGUUUGAUAUACGGUUUUUGCCCAUUCCUUUUUAACAAGUUUCCAAAUCAUGGGACAUUCUUUUACAAAAUGAUCUGCACUAUUGCACUUUGAGCAUCUGAGAGCAUUGUGACCAACUGGUUUUACAAAGUUCCUUUUAAAAUGAUUUUUGUAAGCAUCUCUUGUUGGUCUUUGUUUGAUUCUUUCCUUCACUUUAGGAAAAUCAAUUAAAGGAAUGGUUUCAGCAGUCAUUCCCAAACCAGAUUUAUUGAAAUAAGAUCUUUGAACAGAGAGAAUUUUUUCCAGUUUCUCAGAUCCUAUAGAAAAUCUUUUGGAAAUAUUUGAGAUAUCACAUUUCAAGAAUGCAUUUUCUUUUAAAAGAUUGUCUUCACUUUCUUUAAGAGAAGAAGCAUUCUUGUCUAAACAUUUCACUUUUUCUUUCAAAAUAUUUUCCUGUUGUUUUAGAGCAGAAUUUUCCUUCUUGAGUUCGGAAAUUCUUUUAAGAGAAGUCUUAAGACUAAAACACAAUUCAUCAAUAUACUUUGAAACCUUAAUAGGGAUUUUGAAGUUACUUACCUCAAAUUCGCUUUCUGAGUCUAAAUCUGUCUCGGAAUUUGAAUCUGAAUCCGAUUGAGCCAUCAGACAUAUAUUGGCAUAUUCAUCAUCACUUUCUUCACACUCUGUAUCACUCCAGGUUUCAGCUUUAAGAGCUUUUCGAUUUUUUUUUCAGUUUUUCCUUUCUUCUUUCUCAGAAGAGGACAGUUGGGUCUGAUGUGUCCCUUUUUCUUGCAUUCAAAGCAGACUACAUCUUUGUUUGAUUCAUCAUCCUCAACAGACUUAGUCUGUUGCUUUUGAAAACUUUGUUUCUUUGGAUUGAAUCUUCUUCCUUUUUUGUUCAGCUUUCUUAAUCUUCUUAUCAUGAGAGCAAGUUCCUCAUCAUCCAUAUCGUCUUCAGAAUUUGUAACAUCAAAAAUCAUCAUUAGAUUUUAAUGCAAUGGAUUUCUUACCUUUAGGGUCUUCGUCUUCAUUGAUUCAUUCCACUUCAUAAAACUAAAGAGUCCCAACUAACUCAUCAACCAAAUAGUGGCAUGAUUCUUUGGGUCUCUCUGAUUGAGGUCUUUAUGUGAUUCCAAUCCUUGGAGAGUCCACGCAGCAGCUUGUUUACUUUCAUGGGAUCAGAAAUUAGUUGACCUUGGUUUUCAAGACCAUUCACGAUUUCUGUAAAGCGACUGAACAUAUCCGUUAUAGAUUCUCCUAGUUUCAUUUUGAAGACUUCAUAUUGACCGAGGAGAAUGUUGAUUCUAGUCUCUUUUACUCGAUCGGUUCAUUCAUAGGUAAUAUGUAAUCUAUCCCAGACUCCUUUAGCUGUAACACAAUAAGAUAUUCUAUUAUAUUCAGUAGGGGAUAAAGCACAAUAUAAAGAAUAAAUUGCUUUUGCAUCAAGAGCUUGUCUCUUGACUUUCUCCUCCUAAGUUAUUUCGCUAGACUCAACAACAUUUUUUCCUCUUUCUGAGAUAGAUGCAGCUUUAGGAAUGAUUCCUUGUUCUACAACGUCCCAUUCCAGAGGAUCCUUUGAUCUUAGGAAUGCUUUUAUUUUGUUCUUCGAUAGGUUGUAAUCAUUUCCAUCAAAGUAAGGUGGUCUGGUAUUGUUUUGCCUUUCUACCAGUCCUGGAGUCAACAUACUAGCCAUGGAUCUUAACUCUGAAAUAAAACACUUCAACAAAAGUGAGUACACAGGCUCUAAUACCAAUUGAGAUAGCUAGUAUAAGCACCUAGAGGGGGGGUGAAUAAGUGCACAAACAAUUUCUCGAGAUAUGGAAGCGAUUCUAGGCAAACGAUAGGAAGGAAAAUGCGAUCACAGCGAAGUAAAGGUUAGGGAAGAGAGAAAUGAACACAAGAUUUAUAGUGGUACGGCUUAUUCCAAGCCUACGUCCACUCUUCCGCACUAACAGCCCAUCGGCUGGAUUUCACUAUGAACAAAAGAGAAAUUACAGUACAGCUUUUCCUUGAUUCCACAGUGUAGAAGUUCUACCACACUUCCUCAAGGUUUCUCACGAAUAUAGACUCUCUUUUGUUUACACGAUUUUGCUCAAUAAAUGAAUUGACUAAGAACAAGGAGCUUCAGACUUUGGAAUUCUUCUAUCGUGCACUCCCUUGAACAACUGGAACACGUUCCUUAUAUACUCCUUCAUGCCAUCAUACCCAUUGGCACUUACCAAAGGAAUUCCUCCAAUCUACCUGUUGGACGGAAUCAAUUAGGAAGAUCAUUCGAGCUAUUAAAGGAACAUGUCGAUAGCCCAUCAAUCCUGUUCGCCCAUACAAUCAGGAUCUCGGUUUCCAUAAAUAGAACCUUCCAAGUAUACUUUGCCACUCAUCAUAUCCUUAAUCUUCGAAUCAAUUAUGAUCAAAUAAAGAAUUCCGUUGUGUCAUAUCCAACCAAGAGAUCUUCUCCAGUCGAUAAGGCCACAUCCUUAAUGAAACAUCCAGUUUUGGAUAACCUUUCUUCAACGGAUUAGAAACUGUCAAUGAGGAUAGACUUUGAGUCUUGAGUCUAGCUCUUCGGAGGUCUUCAGACUUUAAACAGCAGAGUCUGCAAGCCUUCAGACUAGACUGAUGGAAACGUUUUGUCAACUUCAAAACACUUCAAGAGGAUUUCUCCAACAAACAUCAUUAGAAACCCAAGCAACAUAACAAGGUGUGAUCAAUGGCUAACGGAAGUGUUCGAAAGAAGUGACAUCUCACCUGAAAGAGAACUAGUUGCUGCUGUAUUGUGGAAUAUCUGGAAGACCCGAAACAAUUUCAUUUUUCGAGCAAAGCGUCCCCAACCAAUUGAUCUUGUAGAUCUCGCAAUAGCACAACAAAAAAAUUUCAGUAGAUGGCAGAAUCAAAAAGGGCAAAAACCCACAACUCGAAGCCUACCGAUUAGAUGGACGCCGUCGGACAGAGACGAGAUGAAGCUAAACGUCAACGCCUCAUGGACUCCAGGCGAUUUCCUAGGUUCAGUAGCGGGAAUUGGGCGAGAUCCGUCGGGUCUCGUGGUUGAGGGCUUCGCAGUGCAGAUACGGGCGUCUUCUCCUCAACAAGCAGAAGCCUUAUCUUUGCUGCAUGGUUUCAUGUACUAGAGAGGAAGAGAAGCCGUGCAUGUAGGCAUAGGAACUGGUCAAAGUUGCAGAUGGGUGCUCGAAAGUGACAAUUCAACUUUGGUGGAAGCUGUGAUGGGUCAGGCCGAAACAUCGUGGGACUUGAAGGAAAUUGUGGAACCGUGCAAAGAAGAAUUAUGCCUUUUCAAAUCAGCAAGGGUAGAAUAUUGUCCUUGCGAGGCAAACCGAGCGGCAUAUUGGCUAGCUAACUCUCACCGAACCAAAAAUCUCCCUGUAAAUUGGGUGACUUUUACUCCUCUCUCCCUUUCGGAAAUUCUAUGUUUAGAGUUUUACCCAUAGUUGCCUUGUAAGGCUCACUUAUUUUUAUGAAUGAAUGCAAUAUCUAUUUUCGACCCAAAAAAAAUUAUAAAUUCCCAAUCCUUCAAAGAGAACGUGCUGAAAUAUUUGGCUCGAAGGAUUUACAUCAAUCAUUUUCAAUUCCCCAUUCUAUACUGAUCAAUCAUUUUUUUAUCACCUCAACUCUAAAUUUCUAAUCCUUCAAUGAGAACGUGCGAAAGCCAGAAGAAUUUCAUUAUAAACCACAUAAGUACAUUUACGCGAUUAAAAUCGAGAGAUAUUUACUAACUGAGCUUCUGUAAGCUAGAAAUUACGAGAACCCUUUUUUAAUUAUCUUCAUACGUGUGCUUUCUAGCGUUUAUGCUCCAAAAAAUGAGAUCCAAUUUCUUUUCAGGAAGGCAUACAUAGAUAAGUAUUUCUCUCCUCCGUGAGAGCUUCUCCAUUAUCCUUACUCCUCAAACGGGCUCUCUAUAUUAUCAUGAGUCAUUUCCAUGUGCUUUCUAUUUUAGUUGACUAGUCCCCUCGCCAUUGUUCCAUCCCAUUAGUAUUCCUAUCACUACACAUUGCCCCUAACAACCAUUCGACGAUAUUUCUGAGUCGAUUCUCUGCUGACCCAUUUCUUUUUUUCUCCUUACAGGAUGGCUGCAGAGGUUCCAUUUAACAUCCCAAGCAUCUCUGCCAGACGAUCUUCUGGGGGGAUCAAAUUGGACUUGGAGCAAGUUGAUGAUAAGGAUGCUGAGAUGGUUUUGAAUGGAAGGAUUUUGUCGGAGGAGGAAUGCUCGAGUCAAGCUGCAUAGCUAAUGUUUUAAGGAAUGCCUAGGCUGGUAUUGGUGAGAUUCCCAUAACCCCUCAAAUUCAUAGGACAUAAGGAAUGGAGGCAUUCCAGCCCAAACAUACUCCCAUCCUCGCCUCAGCAUAGAUCGUGCCAAAAUGAAAAUUGAAGUAACAUGCCUGCCCACGCAGGACUAGGACGCUGGUGGUGGGCCGAUGCUGGACCAAUGCUUUUGGCAGCGGUGGUGCUCCACGAUAUAUCGGCCUCCGUUCAUUCCAAUAGCGGGUGCGGUUCAAUCUGGAUUGCGGAUUGCUUCUUCAGGCCCCAGGCAAUGCCAAAAAAUGGCUUCGUUAAUCGACGGAGCGGACCUCCCACGGCCAUGACUAUGAAGUUCGCCAGCCUCAUGAGAUCGCAGAUCUCCGUCGGAGUGAAUCAACACAGGUUGCGACGUCCAUGGCCCUGGUUCAUGACCAUAGCUGAAAUUAAAUGAGCGGAAACAACAGCUUCCAUUCCUAUUCUUACAAAAACAGGUCCGGUAUGAAAAUUUAAUGUAAGAACACACGUUUGAUAUGUCAUUUUUAUAUAUUCUUACACCUCGGUCUCUUUAUAUACUAUUCGUGUUUAUUAAAAAACGAUUACAUAAUCCUUUUAGAAUAAUCAUCUUAAUGAAUGGGAAAUUACUGAAGUAUAGAUAUUUGUUUCAGUUGAAAUUACUGAAGUUUUCCAAAAACGAAUAGAUAGUUUUCCAAAAAACAAUGUGGGAAAUUACUGAAGUAUGGCUUUCACUUAUGCAAAAAAUCUUCUUCUUUUUUUAAUUGUUCUGUGAAGGCUGUAUUUCUUGUAAUUUUGCAAGUAAGGGGAUUGCAGUGUUGUAAGAGAUGGUUGAGUCUGUAAGUUGAAGGCCGGAACACUAUAAAUUUAUCUUACAAUAUCAUCCAUCUCUUCACCUUUUUUAUUAUCCAUAUAUAUAUAUAAACUACUGCAUCUAUAUAACUAUGUUUCUUUUGCAAAAGCUAAUUUUCUCCCUUUUAUGAGAUGUUAUAAUUCUUUUAAAAUUCACCCUUCUUGAGUUUUACAUUAGUAGUCAUCUCAAGAGUAGAGGAUUAUGUUAGUUUUGUUUUUGUCGUUGGAGUAAUCUAUUUUAUCCAUACUAACAAGAAUUGUAUACUGAUACAAAAAACAAAAAAAGAUUAAUACUACAAAAAACUCAAAAUUGAUAUAUUUAUAACAAAUUUAUUCCAAUUUUUUUUAUUAUUAAAAAUCCUAAAUUGGUACAAUGACAAUAAAUUUAUCCUCCAUUAAUUUUCAUUAAAUUGAAUUAAUAUCAUGAAAAAACAAAAAUUGGUACGCCUUUAUAACAAAUAGAGAAUAAGACCCCACAUUAAUACACCAAUAAAUUGUUAUAUGUCAUUUAACUUAUUAAUUUGAUGAUAAAGUUUAAUAAAAACUCAUAGAAGAUGAAUUUGUCACAGAUGUAAUAGUUGAAGGUCUUUGGCAAUCAAAAUUUUAAUUUGAGAUAAAUUUAUAAUAAGCGUAUCAAUUUUUGUGGUAUUAAUCCAAAACUAUUUCCUUUUCUUUUUGAAAACAAGAGAACUAUUUACCGACCAAAAGAAAACUAUAUAAGAAACCUGACGUUAAGGGUGAAAAGAAAAGCCCAUGUGAUUUGUUUUUUUCUUUUUUUGGUCGGAAAAAGCCAUAUGAUUAAAAAAACUCAAGAAGGAAACGAGACCAAAAGCUUCAGAUGGGAGUCCAUUUCUGAUUCUUAGUCGUCAUUCGAGUUCGCGUGUAUUGUCUUGCGGAAUCGCUUUGCCACCAUCGACCUCGUACCGAGCUAGAAGACCCUUUGACUUCAAUCGUAAUUUGUCGAAGACGAGGCAUAUUCUCUUCGAUCACGAGCUUUCCGAUUUCUUUGUUGACUGCGAAUUGUUCGUUCUUGGUUCGGUUCUUCGAUACCCAGAAAUCGUUCGAUCGAUAUUUGAUCAAAAGCAACAAAUUUUUCAUCUGGGUAUGCUUAAAAGAUUGGCUUUGAUUGCUUUCGUUGCGGUGGUAGGUGAGUCUGUGCUCGCGGUACAUUUUCGUGCUUGAUUCUUGAGAAAUUUGCCCGGAUAUGAGAGGGGAGUGAUUUAGGAGUGGUGAGAAUGCACGACUUAUAUACCCAAAUGUUCGCUGGGUAUGCUUGAAAGAUUGGCUUUGAGUGCUUUCGUUAUGGUGGUAGGCGGGUCUGUGCUCGCGGUACAGUUUCGUGCUUGAUUCUUGAGUAAUUUGCCCAGAUAUGAGAGGGAAGUGAUUUGGGAAUGGCGAGAAUGCGCAAGAUAUAUACCCAAAUGUUAGACAGCAUAAGGCAUGAUUUUCUUUUUUCUUUGAGCUUUUUGAUAUAUUGGUUCACCGUUCAAUUUUUCAGUUGAAUUUGGUGGAAAUCAGAUUUCCUGUAGCAGACUUAAUUCGGGAGGAUAUAUUGAAAUGCAGGUAUUACUGAUUACCUACGGCUACCAGCUCUUUGUUCCGCUGUUUACACACGAUGGGGAGUGAAGUCUAUUGUUUUCAAAAUUAUGCACCCAGAAUCAGAUCAUUCUUGAAAAGAAAAAUUCUUAUGGUGAAAUUUACGCUACGUUAUCAUAUUUAUGUACUGAGUAAGUCAUUUUGCAAUGCCGGUUAUCUCAUGAAGCAGCAGAUUUGAUCUCCUGCAAUUAUAUACAUGGAGGAAUUGCUUUCUGCUUUUUUCUUUAUGACCCCAGGUUGGUUGUGGAUCCUAAUGUCGAUGUGUGCUUGUAUUUGUAGACAUCGAGGGCAAGGCCAUUCAAGGAAUACAAAGAGGUGCAGCGAGAGAAGGGAGCUGAUCCAGACAUUCAGUUGGUUUGCAAUGACUCAAACAUAUUUAAGUGGACUGCUCUUAUCAAGGUGAGAUUGAAUGGCUGAUGGAGGUAAUUGUCAAGAAAAUGGUGCUGUUGCUCAUAUAAAAGAUAUGGUGAUUCUCUCUUUCAUUAGGGACCAUCGGAGACUCCUUUUGAGGGUGGUGUUUUCCAGCUCGCAUUUGCUAUACCUGAGCAGUAUCCACUGCAGCCACCUCAAGUUCGUUUCCUGACUAAGAUAUUUCUCCCCAAUGUGCACUUCAAGGUAUAAUUUGUUUGUAUAGGAAUGCUUAUUGAUGAUAACUUAGUUGGAACUAGUUGCAGUGCAUGUGAAUAGGUCAAAGGGUGAACUGAUUUACUGUGUUGUUUGGCGAUCAAUGUUUCUUCUCAUCAAUAUCUAUUAUGUUCAGAAUCAGAAACUUGAAAGAGUUGCUAGUUUUAGGGUGUUGAUUUAUCUGGCACUUAAAAAAUAGAUAGAGGUGCAGAAGCUGAGAAUUGGAGACUUCUUUGACACUUUGUCAGGAAACAAUCUUGACCUGUAUUUUUCCAAAUUCUGUUUCCAGAGAAUCUCUGCAUGAAUAGAUUUUCUGAUAACUACUAGCUUGGGAAAAUCAACAGAGAUACCUGAUGCAUAAGUAUGAGAUGCUGUAAGUGUUUGUUUGACUAAUAGAUUGACAUUUUAAUUUACUUUAUACAGACAGGGGAGAUAUGCCUUGAUAUUCUGAAGAAUGCAUGGAGUCCUGCCUGGACACUUCAGUCUGUUUGCAGGGCUAUAAUAGCUCUCAUGGCCCACCCUGAUCCUGACAGCCCACUAAAUUGCGAUUCAGGUAUCAAUGAGUUUUUUUUUUUUAAAAAGAUAUAACAUCUGUAUCUAAAAACUCAUUAUUCUUUCAUUAGUACAUAAACCUCAACCAGAAAUUUCCUUACCUAAAGUCUUUGUAACGCCUAUUAUCUAAGUGGCCUGGUGUUUAAUAUUUGUUGCUUGCACCUCUUGCAAGGAGUGCAUACUCGUAUGCUUGCAUGUUCACUGUUUCGUGAUAAAAUGUGGCACUGUCACUUCCUUAAUAAUAUCUAGUUGAAUGUUGUCUCACUUACAUUUAAACUAUGCAGAGUCAGGGCCAAGAGCCUAAAGUUGGUAGAGUCACCUUUCUUGGUAUAAAAAUCUUGAUUCGGGGUUUCCUCCACCUUCCCACCUUGUGAAUACCACAACAAGAACAAGAAGCCAUUGCACUUUAUGGAGUAAUAUUUCCUCCCCUCAGCCAAAAAGAGAAAAAUGAAAUUCCCUCUAUACCGCCUGGUUACAGGAAAAGAGCAAAACUUUAUAGUGUAGUUCAUAUGAGAACAAUCAUACUCCAUCCUCCUUGAUAUUGACAUAGACUAGUUGUAUCAGUGCCAAAGAGGAGUGCCCUUGACAUCUUGCGGGGAUUCUUGAUAGGCUGCUUUUAGAAUGAGGUGCAAGAGUGUCUUUGAUUGAACUUUUCUGGAAAUAACAAGGGUAAGACCUUUGUAAUCGUUUGACAAGUAUUGAGAGAGAGCGUGAGAUUUCAGUGGGAAUCUUUCAUGCUCCUUUUCCACAUUUUGUUUCCUAAUCCUAUCUCAAACGAUACUUCAUAUCAAAUCUUUAUUUCCAAUAGUCAGUUUGUUGGAUCAGAUAUAGAGGACAGUAGUGCUGCGACAAGUGAUAAUAGUUGGAUGUCUUUGCCUCGAUUGAGUAUUCACAUAAACACAUUCUGUCGUUCUGUCAAUUACGCAUGAGAUUCUGGGGAUUAGAUGAAUUAGGUAUGAUAUGAUGCUUCGAUUUCAACUCAAACUCUAUCUGUUAAGAACCUUGAGAGCUAUUCAUCUUAAUCAUUCAUGCAGUCAAGCAUUCUCAGGGUUUGUUGAUUGCCUUCUGGUGGGCCAAUAUAUUAUAUGGCAUAAAAGAGAUAAUUUCAACAAUGAAGUGAUAGAGAAUGGUAAUAAAGAACAAAUGCUUGUACUUGUUCAAUGUAACAGUUGAUGGUUAUUUUUUCCUAAUGUCCUGCCUGUAAUGGUCGUAGUGUAUUAGAAGAGAGAUCAUGUUUUCCUGAGGUAAUCCUUCAGAUGAGAAUGUGGAGCCCCUGGGCAGGACUGCCUGCUCUGCAUGAAUCCACUGUUGUGUCGAUCAUGUUCUUCUACUGCUGUCCUUAAUACAACUCUUCACUCUGCUCGACCAUGUGUGGUGAGGCAAACCUCUCGUUUCCUUUUAUUUCUCUCUAGGCAGCUCUCUUGCUCAUGUUGCUGCUGAGCUCUUGGAAUCAUCUUUGAUGGGAAUUAGGCUCCUUGAAAGGCUAACUGUGAGAUAUCUUGUCUGAUCACUCAUGGGAGGAAAUAAAAGAUUAAAUAAAAGAAGCUCUCACUCAACUGACAGGAAUUGUUCACAGCCAGUGAAAGGAUGAAUUUUGGUGCAGCUAAGAAGAUGAGAAUUAUAAAUAAAGCACAAUUGCAGAGACUAUCAACAGUUGAUCUUCCUGAAUUUGAAUGAAAUUUAAAAGAAAAAUUCCCUUGGGGGUUGCCAAACUUGAAGGAGGUUCUUAGUUAACAUUAUUUUCUUUAUGUCGGGUUCGGUUGAAGUGAGUUUAUAUCCCCACCUCUCUCUCUCUCUCUCUCUCUCUCUCUCUCUCCAGGGUAAUUCCAUAACUCAGGUGUGGAACUUCUUCCUAGUAGUCAUUAGAAAUGCACAUGCUAAAUCUCAUAAGAAGGGAUGGCUUAUUAGUUCCAAAUUGAUCUUGUAAUCCAGGGAUGAAUCACUUCUACGUCAAGGAUUAGCUUAGAAUGAUGAUUUGCAGUGUGUACUUGCCAAGCAUGAAGUCAUUGCUUCUGGAAGUUCAGUUCAGGCUGAGAAAACCUCGCUGGGACCUUCUGGCACCAUGACAGAUGUCAAAGGUCCUCUACUUGAUAUUGUAGAUAACAGCACAAAGCCUGAUGAAAGGUAACUGUUUCAUUAGUCAUGAUUGCAAUAUAUAAACCCCAAAUACUUGUUCUGUGGCAAAUUAUGACGUUCAGCUGAAGUCUGUGAACUGAGCAGUGCUACUCUUAUGAUAAUUUGAUAUGGAUAUUUUUUGCUAAUUUUCUGCUGUUUGGUAAAACUUGGUGGAUAUUUAUACAUUGAGGCUCCGUUUGUUUCAUAAAAAAAUGACUGGUUUGGAAAAUUUUUGCUGAAAAUGACCAUUUAUAUUGCUUAUAGAAAGGAACGAACGAAAAAUAUUUUCAUCGUCCACAAAAAUGUUUAUACACAAAUUGUUGUCGACAAUGAGAACAUUUUCUGUUGACUAAUUAUUUUAAGCAAAAGCUAUAUGAUGAAAAUGUUUUCCAAAUCAUGUAUUUUCCGCAAAACAAACGUAGUGGAAAUUUAUCAUCUGUCUUUGAUCCUCUGGUUGUCAAGACCUUGUCUGGUGCAACUUUUGCACAGCAGAUUUGGCUGUGAAAAUGUGUGUCUGCAGCUUUUAUGAGCUGUUUGUCAAAUUCUUUACUGCUGCAGUGCCCUCAAANNNNNNNNNNNNNNNNNNNNNNNNNNNNNNNNNNNNNNNNNNNNNNNNNNNNNNNNNNNNNNNNNNNNNNNNNNNNNNNNNNNNNNNNNNNNNNNNNNNNNNNNNNNNNNNNNNNNNNNNNNNNNNNNNNNNNNNNNNNNNNNNNGCUUUACCAGGCAGAUCCUUAGUAGUACUAUUGAUGUGAUUUAGGUCUUGAGAGAAGAAGAAAGGAGAGAGGAAGAAAUGUACCAAUGCAUCUUGUACAUGUGCUCAUUAUAUACAUGCAAGUACAAAAUGAUUGAAGCAUGCUGCACUAAACAUUUAUCUUGUGGCUUAAAUUGAUCUAAGAUCUCAAAUAUUUGCUCUUGAAACUUUGUGUCUAAAAAGGCUGAUUAAACUUUGGGAGAUUGCUGUCCAACAUUGUGCAUUCAGUUCUUGAGUUCCGAGUGUUUCUAUGUCUCCCAAUUUGCUCAUAGGAUCGCUAGGGAUCAUACUUAAAAAGCUAGUCUAGAUUGACAAGAGAGCAGCCAUUUUUUUGGGUUAAACACCUGCUGUCUCUCUCCACUUAUUACUUGAGAUUUACACAAAGAUCGGUUCUGUUAGUGUUAUACAGCAAGAAAUUUAUUUGAUACAGGAUAAGCAUGAGUAUACAUAAGAAUUCGGAUUUACUAUAAUAGAAUGUAAAAUGAAGUUAUCACAACUUCACAAAAAUUCUAUUCUAACGGAAAAGAUUUACGUGGUAGAAUAAGACCAUUUAAAUUACAGACUUUGUAAAAAUAUUAUAUUUAAUAAUUGAAUUUUGUUAUAUUUUUGUGCUAUCUUAUGAAAGUGAUGCAAGCCUAGGGGAGGCUUUUUCAAACAAUAGGAUCGGGAGAGUGACUCGCGCACAAGAAACGGGACGAACAGUAAUUUCAGCACUGCGCAAGCUCAGGAGAAUAGUCGUAUCUUUGUCGAUACAAAUCGGAUCAACCUGAUUCCAAAGCCAAAUGAACAAAAACUUCUGGAUCUACAAUUUCUGUGUUUUGGGUUUUUUGAAAUAAGCACUGUAGGAUAGUCGAAAUUGGGUUGGAAGUAACGAACAGAACAGGAAAAGAUAGGAACUUCGUUGGUUGCUCUUCUAGGCCUCCAAGGAAGUUGAAAGGGACACCGAUUCUUCUAGAUCGAUGACUGCAACUCUUCAAGGAUGCAGAUUUCAAAAGCUCCGACUCUUCAAGGACGGAGUGAAAAAUCUUCUAGGUUUUCAAGGGGAUGAACUCUACAAGGUUCACGAUACUUGCUUCAAAGCAAAGUUUUUCAUUCAUCAAAAGCUAUCUGUCUUCUACAAGAAAUUGGGCUUAUAUCAUCAAAGAAAUAAAGAUAGAGCAUUGAAAACUAGGAGAAAUAAAGGAGCAUUGAAAUUAGGAGAUAUAGUAAAGGGCAUGGAAACUAUAAACUAGUAAAAGCGUCACGCGAGCUUCCAAGGUGUCUUUCAAGCUUCCGGGAUGGACUCAAGAUGUCAUUAUGGCUUCUCGGUUUCGUCGAGCUUUAAUGCGGGCCGAUCUUCUUGGUCGAGAGAGCCGGUCUUCAAUGUGGGCUGCAUCAGAAAGUUAAUAUGAAUAUUAUACUUAUUCUUGUGGAUGUGAUACUAUAUAAUCACCUAUUAACAUUGGCAUGUUAUAUCCUUAAUAGACUAAUAAUAAGAUGCAAAAUAAGUUCCAAGUUCAGCAAACACCCAGGAGAGGGAAGUAAAACUGAAAAUCAUGUACAUAUGUGCAUUUUACCUGAAAGUACCAGUAAUUUACUAUUAGAGGAUAUUGAACACCAGUUUCUGGCCAGUUGAGCUAUAAGAAGUGGGAUUUUCUGCAGAUCAUCAUCAAGUGCCGGUACAGGGUCCAUCAUCAAGUGCCGGUACAGGGUCCAGCUAAACUUGAUCCAAAAACGGACCUUCUCAGUGGAGAGGACUACAGCUUUCCUAAGGCAGAGACUUCACUAGCACUAGUGCCUGUUGGACACCCACAGUCAACUGCAUCUCAGUCACGGCAGAAUGGACUUGUUCUUUUCGAUGUGUUUUCGGACAGUAACAACAAGCCCAAUACUAUCAAUACCCAGAGUGGCUAUCCAACUACACAAAGCAAUUCUUCUACUCCUCAAUUCCAACAGCAGCAGAAUCUGCAAGCUCCACAACUUGGGGUUUAUGCUAAUGGCAACAUGCCAAACAUGGGAUCGAACGAGCAUGAUCAAUCACCUUAUUCUCAAAGCUCUGUUCCUGUUUGGAAUGGCCAUAUUGCGCAGCAGCAACGGCCUCCCUCUCCUGUCUAUGGUGCACUUCUGCUUCUUCAUCAGUACUUGACAUUACUUUCUUAGUGAUGCGUAUUUUGUCGGUUGGCUUGUACUGUACAACCUUAUUUGGCAUGUACUAGGGGCAUGCUUGGUAUUCUUUUCCAGAUUACUGAGUUGCUAUGAGACUUAAGUCCUUUUGGCGAGCGUUGACCUCUUCUUUGUGGACAUAGCUGAACUCCUAACAAACAAUCUUACAAUCUGUUGAGCCUACGGUUUUGUGGUGUUUCGCAGGUGCUCAAACUAGUGAUUCGCUACCACCACCCCCUUGGGAAGCUCAGUCAGUGGAAAACAGUCGGGUGAUGGGCAGUCAGUACCCCCAACCAAUGCAAGGUUCAGAGGUGGUCGUCCUGCAUGCACAACCUGCACUGAGUGGAUUGCAUCUCCAGGCACCUUGUCCAAGGGAAUGAGCAAGCGAUGGACAUGUACUUGCAACCAGUUGCGGGUGGCCACAUGCCAUUGCUGAAUAGCCAGGUUGUUCCAAUAAACCAAAUGGUAGGACUUACCACCUCAGCCCAUCCAAGGAGGUCCUUAUAUGGGGAUGGUUCCUCUGCCAAUGCAAGUAGAUCAGAUGGCUUAUUUAUAUCCCCAGCAAAUGUAUGGCAGCCAGGUGGCAGCCUACGGCUAUGGCCAACAAGGUGCUCAGUACCUUGAUCAGCGGAUGUAUGGGCUGUUGGUUAGAGAUGACAGUAGCCUCAGGAACUCUUCAUACCAGGUGUCCACUUCAUCGUACAUGCCACCCAUGAAGCCUUUGAAGCCAGAGGACAAGCUAUUCGGAGAUCUCGUUGAUAUGGCUAAAGUGAAAUCGUCUGCAAAAUCUACUCCAGGCAGAGCUGGUAGAAUGUAGCAGUAGUAUUUGCGAACCAUGUUUUGCUUGUUAAGUUGAUUUCUUUUGAUUUUCUUAUUUCAAAUUUUUCUAUUAUACAUAUUUGGCAGUUUCUUCUGUUUGUGGCCGUGUAUUGGCACUGCUUGUUUGAGAUCAUGUACAUUCUUUGUAAAGGGAAAGAAAAGGAAAUCUCCUCAACCUUUUAUCUCUUAUCAGGGCAGAACGGUUAAUAAGUGCACGUCAUUAAGUUGAUCUAAUUCUUAUAGAAUUUCGUAGUUAGAGUUGGUGCUAUAGAAGAUUUUUAUGAGAAUUAGAGUGCUGAGAGAAGAAUUUGUCAGAAUGAUACCAGGAUUUUCAAUCUAGCAUGAUUAUUGGCUUUUGAUUUUGAGCAUACCGUCAUCGCAAUGGUCUCUCUUAUCUCCAGAAGAUGUACUUGUCAAUGAAGGUUGGAUGAGUGAGUUUGUAUAGGUGUGUGUACGUUAGAGGAACUCUUCUUCAGCAGGGGAAACUAUGUCUUGCUGUUCUGAUCUCAUUUUCGUGAAAUGUAAAUUGCUUGGCUUUUGGUGGUGUUCAUAUUAUGCUAUACUUAGUAUCAUCGCUAUAUUUGUGGAAUGUUUUGGCCGAAAGUUAAUCUCCGUCGUUUUUCUUAGAUUUUAUGUAAUCUUGGAUUUAGCAAAUUCUCGGCAAAGUUUACGGUACAAGAGCUUUCCUGGGGUGACUGUCUAUUUUGUUUUUUUAAUUGCCCUAAAAAGGAACAGUGUUGUUUUCCAUCAAUGAUGCUUCAAACUUUCAUGAUUGUGGCUAGAUAGACCUCCUAGAUUGACCCCAGGACAUUCACUUCAAGAUGAGGGGUGAUUCUCCCAUGAUCAGAUCCGGGACUGACUUCAUUGCAGAGGUGACCCUUUCUUCUCGUUUUUGCUUUCACGACCAGGUACGAGGAGAAUGACUUCAUAGCGAUUCACGGGUACCAAGAUCCUGAGAGCGUUUGGAUGAGACCAUUGCGUAAAACGGAGUGAAGACGUUAAAGUACCUAAAGAUGCUCCGGCAACGGUGAUGCUUCCAGGGAAAUUCUCGCAUGCGCCCGAUAACGCAAAGCAUCGGAUUCGAUGAGUCUCGCAUGAGGCUCGCAUGCUCUAUGGUUCAUACGUGCAUCGGGUGUAUGAUGCAAAAAUGGCCCGUGAUGCGAAGACGAGAAACGAAAUACUUUACCCGUGAAGGAGAUAUAUUUUUUGGUCAGACCGACGUUUUUUUAAUCCAACGGGUUAGCCAAAUUUUAAGUAGGCAGGUGCCCAAAGAUGCAUGGUGACGACCAAUCAUUUAAUGAAAAUGACGUUAAAUAAAGAUCUAUUAUCAGGCUCAAUUACAAGUUUCACCAAUUGAGUCACAUGUAUAACAUAUUCAUACCUAAUGAUUUUCCGCAAAGUGGUGAUGAAAGGUUGUGUUUGAUUAAGAAACAUUUUAAAUUAAAAAUAAGUUGAAUGAUUUUCUUGUUUAUAAUUGAAAAACAAUAAUAAACAUAUUCAAAGGGCAUAUAGAGUGCUGCUAGGAUUCAAGUAUUUUUACCUUCGUUUAUUAUUUUUAUAUUUUUUCUAUGCCACAUUAUCCAUAUUUAUUUAACACCAUUUCUGGGGAGCAACAUUUUCAAUGUUUAAAUGCUCCUUAAACCUUUAUAUAUUUUAUUGUUCCAUGAUAACUUUCACUCAUAACUUAUACAUUUAAAAUAGAUUUCAAUUAGCUAGAGCUAACAAAAGUAGCAUAUUGAUAACACUGCCAAAUUACUCAAUUUUUAAUAAAAAAAAUAAUAACUUUACUUUUUAAUAGACGUAAGCAAAUACCAAUUACUAACAGACAAUUUUCAAAAACUCACCUUUUAUCAUAUGAUAUGAAUGGGAUCAUCAUGGAUAUAAUGAGAUGCAAUUGCCAUUGAAAUUGCACAAAAGUUUCAAAGGCUCUGAAACCUAAUUAUCAGUUUUGUGGCUAAGAAAGAAACUGUAAGAACAAUCAACAUCAUUUUUCUGAUUAUGCAAAGCAAAAGAAUAAAUAUAUAUCUCCCCUUUUAGAUUUGUGAGGAAUUCCCUUAUGAGGUUUUGCAAAAUGAUAAAUCGAUCAUAGGCUACUAAUAUGCUUAUUGUGGAAUCAACUUGUCAACUCACAAAUUAAUAUGUAGAUGGAGUAUGGAACAGGUACCUCUAGAGGUUGGUAGUGCUCUGCUUCCAUAGAAGGUGAAUAAGAUAGAAGACGUGAAGAGUAUCUAAGGCUAGAUGGGUGAACAAGCUGUAGAGGUUCCUUAAAGCUUGGAUGGACAAGUAGAAGUUAUUAGUUUUGUGGAACUAGAAGCCUGACAACAUGCUUGGAGGGACUUGUAUGUAGAAGGUGAACAGUCAAUUCAACGUGGAGGGUGAAAAGACUUCUUUUUUUUGGGGAUUAUGCAUCAAAUAGUGAAGCAUGUAGCUUUUCUAAUCUUAGUACUUAUACUUUUUUUUUUUGAAGCAAUUGACACUGAAUUUUUUAACAUUUAACAAUAGAAAUACUAAGGGAUCGAAUAAUAAUCAUUUUAUUUCUUUAUUAUUUUGUUCUUGAGGAUAUGUUUGGAAAAAAAUUCGUUUGGUAAUUUUUUUUUUAUUUCUACGACAAAUUUUUCACUCUGAAAGUCACAAAAAUGAGAAUUAAAAAUUUUCUAUUUGUCUAUUUUUGAAAUAAAAAUAAAAAUAAAAACUCUUAUUAUCGCUCGCCUUAGUUGUUGCUCGCUGGCCACUACCUAGAAAUUUUGAGGCUUAUUGAAUGAAUUUCUAUUUCGAAAACCGAAACUAUGUUGCUAUCAAAUAUCAAAUGCGUAUCUCUACUAAAAAACUCAUCUAAGGAAUAUAAAUUGAAAAAUCUAUUUCCACAUAGAAAUUGUUUUCAAGAAGAGAAGAAUUAGCAUUCGCGCCCUUAGUUCGAAAUCAUCGAUUAUUUUUAAUGUCCAUUAGAUGAAUUACCAAAUUACUUUAGAACCAAAAGCCAUCAUUAUUUUGAUUUUUGUAAGCCUUGUUUACCGGAGAAUAAACAUCAAAGUAAUCAAGUCCUCCUUUUUUACGAUACUUUUUAGCCACCAAUCCUGUCUUAUGUAUAGUUCUAUUGUUAGGAGGAAGAUUAGUUGAUGACCCUGUAUUAUUUCGCUUGAUAGAUUUUAUCUUAUCAUCCGUUGCCAUUUUCCACAUAUGCGCGUCCGGUCUAGAAUUUGUUUGGAAAAAGAUUCUUUAGAAAGAGAAAGAUAUUGUUCAAUUAUAACUUGUUUUCCUUCAUCUAAAGAAACAAUUUCUUUUCCUAAUAUUCGUCUAUAUCGAGACUAUUAAACAGGGCGGGCUUAAACUAAGAUUUCAAGUAAGCUUUUACAUGAUUUUCUUAUGUUUGGAAAAAAAGAAGUACUCAUCGACAUAAUGAGAUCCAUAUGUUCAAAAAAUCCUCCACUUCUUCCUAAAUUCAGAAGAACAGAAAAAACGAAUAAAAAAAUCCUCAAGUAAAGAAAGCCAUGACCUUAAAAAAUAAAAAGGCAUGUACAAGAAAUCGUCCACUUCAAAACCUAAAGAGCUUGAGUAAUGUCAUCUACCCCGACUACGAUGAUACCAAAAUAAGUUCAGAUCUUUUCACAAGCUGAAGUUCAUUAGUCUUACAGGGUAGGAUGGGUUCCAAUCUAAAGCUGAAACUAGUAUUGGCAAAGGCAUAAUGUACUCCAAAAUCCUAGACGUUACAUCAUUUACUUGAGGAGACUCACGAGCAGGGCCGGAGCCAAUUCCUUAUGACACCUUGGUUGGUCUCAUUUCUCAAUAAAAUUGCCAAUUCAAAGGCCGAAAUCGAGAAUCAAGCUAGUGUUGAUCAAUCUGGAAAUUUUUGAGAUCGUGAACUAAAUCAAUUCUCCUUGAAAUCGGCUUGGAAUAGAGCUGAUUGAGCCAGUUCCAAUUUUACCUGAACCUUUGCUCACCCCUAGUGUGGAAGGCACUUUAGCAAAUUAGCAUUAUAAAAUAAGCUUCUUGCUUCAUAAUGACUAUAUUUGAGAACACACCUCAAGGAUGAAAAUUAUAAAAAAAGCUUCUUACCUCUGAAAAAAAAAAAAACAUUUGAAAUGAUAUUUUCCAGAGACAUGGAGAAUAGAUGCAUAUUUUUUUCAAAUGCAUUAUGUUUGUUAUUUAUACAUCACAAAUAUAUGAUCACUCAUUCUACUCUUAUGGUUUUUGCUUUGUCAGGGUUCGUACUUUUGUCACUCUUUCGGUUGGUCUUUUUGCUUGAUCUCAGUGGUUCCGAAAUUAGAAUUCUAGAAAUUGUAGGGAUGUUGAGCUAGUGGCAGUUUGGUAAUGUGGAGGGAGAGUCAUUGAUCGAGAGUUUAAAUGAGCUGGAGGUUGAUUUUAAGUGCGAUUUGGGUUCGCUGUUCGGACUCGAGCGGCAUCAUCAGAAAAUCAAAGUGAGGGGACCAGUCAGCAGAUGAUACCUGAUAUCGGCAUUUUAUUUACUUUGAAACAAUCGACCAGCUUGAAAUUUAAUUUGAUUAUUUAAAGAAGCUGCAUUUAUUCUCCUGUUUCAAUUGCUCGACUCAUUCCCAAAUCAACUACUGAAUUAGCUUUCCUCGCUCGAAGUCGGCCUAACCAAUAACCAUCCAUUCGUCAUCAAUGUCAGAUACCCUGUAGCCUUUCUUCCCUUCACAAGCCAAGGGCAAGAUUAAACUAUUUACUCCCCUCCGUCCAUAAGACCGAUGAUCUUUUGCUCCCUAGAGGCAAAAGUAAGAGUUAUAUUAAACCGAUCCAUCUAAUCAAAGAUAGAUUACACUUCAUAAAGUCUUUGAGAGCUAGAAGGUAAUUUAUGCAAAUCGUUAGGUGUUCUCGGCAAAGUGCCGAUUGGACAUUAUCCAUGGGGAGGGUGGAUGCAUUUGGUGAAUUUGAGGUAUAUUGAGAUCCGACAGGAUUGAGAUUUGCAAGCUGUUUCUCAAAUUGGACGGCGAUUGAAAUGAAUUUAGAUGUUGGUUUGGCAUCGGAAGCUCAAAAUUAAUGGCCAUUAGAUGAUUGGGCAUGUAAAUCAUUUUACUUUCGGUUAACAUACCCGUGGAUAGAGGUGUUAAAAUGGGUCAUAAACCCACUUAUGACCCAUUUAAAUCUUAAAUGGGUCAUAAAUGGGUCACUUGUUUAAUACAAAAGAUAGUUAAAUGGGUUUCACAAUUAAAUGUUUAAGAUAGGUGGGUCUUAAGUAGGUUUUUAAAUGGGUUGGGUUGAAAACUCAUCUUUAACAAAAACAUUAUAAUUCCUCCCUUCUUUCUUUAACUUUAUAAAAAUCUAAAUUAUAAUUUUUUUAUUUUUAUUUUCUCUUUUCUUUUUCUUCCUUUUUUUUUUCUUUCUCCUUCCUCCUUCUAGUCGCCGGCACGGCGACGGCUGGCGACCGGCCAGGCGAGCCUCGAGCUCGCCGGCGUUGGGCGAGGUUUGAGCCUCGCCAGUUCUGGCGAGGGGCGAGCUCGAGCUCGCCGGAUCUGGCGAGACGAAGGGCGGCAUCGGGCGAGGCUCGAGCCUCGCCGAUCUAGCGAGCCUCGAGCUCGCCUGUGGCCGGUCGCCGGCUGUCGUCGUGGCCGGCGGCCGGCCAAAGAAGAAGAAGAGGGAAAAGAAAAAAGAGAAAAAGAAAAAGAAAAUUAUAUUUUAAAAAUAAAAUAAAAAUAAUUAAAAUUUUAAUUUAAAAAAAAUAAUUAAAUUUCGAUUUUUUAAAUAGUUAUUUUAAAAUUUAUAAAAAUUUUCCAUUAAAUUUAUAUUGUAUAAAACUAUUUUAGCAAUACAAUUUAAAAAAAAAUAAUAUAUAUAUAUAAAAGCUUAGAAGUAUUUUAAUAAUAUAAUCUUUAAAAAAAAACAUAGGAAUAAGUUUUUCUAAAUUUUUUAAAUAUGAAAAUAUUUUAUUAAUAUGAGUUGGGUCGGGUCGGGUAUGGGUUGGGUAUGGGUCAGGUCGGGUUUGGGUCGAAAAAUUUACAUUAAACAUAAAUGGGUCAUAAAUGGGUUAAUGGGUUAAUUUGGAUUGGACCAUUAAUGACCCGACCCAAACCCGACUCGACCCACCCGUUUAAUGGCUCUACUCGUGGAUUGUGCUAGAGUUGUUUCAGUAUCGUCUCUACCUUCUUUUAUUUUAUUAAAUUUGUAUACCACAAUGCCUUAAUAUGUCCCUAAUACAUAGCCACAUUCUCUCGCCUGAUAAUUUAAUUUUUUCGGUAAUUAAGAUUUAAUGUGGCAAUGAAGCCCAAGCAAGUGAAAACUUCAUUCGACCGAUAUCUCAGUAAAAUGGAAAAAUUAUCUAGAAAGUCCUAAAUUUAUCGUGCUUUUACCCAUUCAGUUAUAAAUAAUUUUGUAAAUUUAGUUAUAAACCUUUUCAUUUUUUAUCAAUUGAGUUCAUCCGAUUAAUUUUGACUGGAAGUCACUAAUGUGAAACUGGUAAUACCACAUAUGACGGUUGGCUCUAUCAUGGACAAUAUAUAUCAUAUUUUCAUUUUUUUUGAUUUUUUUUCUUUCUUUUUCUUUUCAUUGGAGGUUAGGUUGGUUGGCCUUGUCAUAUUUGGCUUGGGUGAAGUUGACUCUCGCCUAGGUGAGGACUAGCCCUAUGAGGGUCGACUCUUGCCUAGGUGAGGACAAGCCCUAUGAGGGUCAACCUCACUUGGCUGUGCCUCACCUGUGGUGGGCAAGGCCAACUUGCUUAGCCAUGGUCAAUGCUGGCCAUAGCCACUGCCAAAACAAAGUAAAAUGGAAAAAAAGAAGAAGAAAUAAAUCAAAAAUAAAUUGCAAAGUAUUAUUAAAAAUUGUCUAUAUCAGCACUGGUUAUUUGGCCAGCAUUGCAACAACGUCAACGAAUUCUAAUCAAAAUUGGUUGGAUGGACUUAAUUGACAAAUUGUGAAAAUGUUUAGGAUUGAAUUUGCAAAAGUGGAACAAGGUUAGAAUUUUUUGGACAAUUUUAGUAAAAACUAGGAAUAUCCCGAAUAAGGGCCUAAAAUGCUUCUAUUUUCUCCAAUAAGGGCUUAAAAUAAAUUUUGUUUCAAAUAAAAAUCUGAAGUGGCCGGAUGCCUCUUAAAGAGUAACAAAAGUGUGUGAAGGGAGGCUCAAGCUAAGAUUUUGCUCGUGAGCACAAUGGUAUAAGCCUGCCUAAUUAUGAGACUAAUUGGUCGAAUAGAGACGAAAGUUGACCAUAGUGAUAUGGGAGUCCCAUGUGGAAGGGCUCUCACUUAACAGAUCAAAGGUAUGUUGAUGAUAACAGACUGAUGACUCCCAAGAGCUCUUAUUGAUGGAGUUGUUUGGCACCUUGAUGUUGACUCAUCACAUCUUGGAGGUGGAAAGGUUCCCAAGAGUUUGGUUGUUCACCGAUCAAAGUAGAAGAAAAUAAACUGCCAUUUGCCUAGGUAAGAGUCUUAGUAAGAGAUAGAAAAGGAAUAGUUGCCUUUUGCAAAGGAGAAGCUGCUUGAUCAAGAGGCAGAAGAGCCGCAUAACUUGAUUCACAUUUUCUUCUUGAUUAGAGGGGUGUAGUAGCACUGGAAGAGAGGUACAUCAGUUUCAAAAAAAUGCCUAAUCUCUCAGACUGAAGGACAUUUUCAUCUUUUAUUUUUAAUUUUUUUUCAAAGAAAAAUUUCAAAUAAGAAUUCGAAGUGGAGCCAUAUUCUCAAAAGAGGGUUAAAGUGGAUACUGUCUUAAAUAAGGACUUCAAGUGGCCAAUUUAGUUUCAAAUUGAGCCUGACUUCAUUUACUGGCCAAAUCUUGUUGUUGACACCUAAAUUUUGGCUACCCAUUUAGUUAUUUAUCGCGUUAAACAUUAGGGGUUAAUUUUAUCCUUGAAAAAAAAUAGUUAAUUGCGUGACAUAUAGAUUUAGGUGCAUUUGCAUUUAUUUAUUGGGCUGGUGACAGAUGGGUUCAAGUUGAUGGUGCAGAACUUUAAUUUGAUGAAUUGGCCUAAGCCCGUUGUUCUCUAAUGACCGACAAUUGAUUUAUUUGAUAUUUUUAGAAAAGAUUCGUAAUAUCCUUCCAAUAUUCGAUAAACAUUUCAUAUAUUUAUGCGAUAUAUACAUUAAGUGAAAUAUUUCGCAGGAGAUUGGAAGAUUUCAGAGGAAAUAUCAAAAUAAUCAAACUAGGAUAUAUGGAACGAUAUUUUUUUUUGCCUCAAAAUGAGAGAAAUUGCAUGGUCAUUAAAGAUUUCGUGCGGAAAUUUUCUUUCCCUAAUAAGAUCAUACUAUAAAAUGCCGCUUGAUCGAGUAAAAAGGGGGGCCACGCAAAAUUGAAAACACGGCCACAUUGAGGGGGAUCUCACAAUACACAGACACACGUGAGGUAAGAGAGAAGGGUCGCGCCUUGCCAUCAUCACGCCCACACCGGUGACGCCGCCGCUGCCCCUUGACGACAACCCCAUUGCAAACGUGCCUUGACACGUCUCAGCAUCGGACGCUAGAGUUGCAGCCCUCUUUGCCGCUGUCUAUGUUGACGUGUCGGUUACUCGGCGAGCAUUCCACGACGUUCCAAGUUUCAUCAAGUCAAAGGGAGAGAAUUUGUAAAGAGAAUCCAAGCAGAAAAGACACCAACACAAGCAGCACACUCCGAAUGCCUACACGAUUCCCUUGAAAAUUCUGGGCUAAAUUUAAGACCAUAUUCUGUCCACACAACAGCAGGAGGACGUGCAUAGACUUGUGGAGAAUUUCACUAAAGCAUCUCAAUCCAAUUGGUGGCAAAAUUGGAGAAAAUUUGGGGAGUGAUGUGCUGAAGCGGUGGAUAUCGUCUUCUCUUGCAUGGUCUUUGUGGAAAGUCCCUUGGCGAAGAAGCCAACGCUCGCACAAAAAGAAAGGACGCCACAGUUGAGAUACACGACUAAAACUGAGAAACGCGCUUGAGAAAUCGAGAAAAAAGGUGGAUCGUGAGAGACUCCAUCGACGACAGUGAUCUUUUUUCGGUGUUGGGAUCGUGUUCGUGAAGGCCACCCAACAUCAAUUAAUUUGCUGUUCUUGUUGCUUUGCCACGCCAAUUCCCUGACACCUCCACCGUCCACGAAUCAAGGCAGUCCACGGCAGGGGGAAUUCCUGUUGACUUGUUCGGUCAAUUGCCAAGGAUCCCAGCGGCACCGCAGCUGCUUGACGACUCGGCCACUCACGGUCACCUCCAGAGAUUUCCCAGAGAAAUUGUCCGCAUCGGAAGCCUUGACAAAGUGGUCAUUGAUCAGCCCCCUCGUCGUGCUUAGUUCACCGACCCAUUAGCCACGAAUUGCUAUCCAUGAGUCCCGCCAGCACCACCGAGCUCAGAGCCAUCACCACCGCAAUUUGUGUGAUUUGUUGUCCAUCUAAGUUUGGAAACAGUAUCCGAGCGAUAUUGCAAUUUAGGUAAUAAUUUUCAUCAAAUUGAUCUUCAUAUAUUUUUAUUGUCUAAUUUACAAAAUCGCUAUCUCGUACAAAUCUUUAAAUGAUGAUAUCGUAUCCACAAAUAUCAAGCAUAUUUUCAAAUUAGGGAUUGAUCCCUAAUUUCACAACGUGCAUAUAAUUGAUAGUUCGAUUUUCGUGCCCGAAAUCUAAUUCACAAUCACACGGAAAAAUUGCCAAUUCGAUAUUACGCUUGAGAUACGAUUCGUGAUUUUAUUUAAAAAAUUGGCAAAUUCGAUCUCAUGCGCGAGAUAUGAUUCAUCAAUUUUGUUCUCAAAAUUAAAUGGACAUGGAUGAUAUUUUGCUGGAUUUGUUGCCGUGCUGUUCUUGAUGCCUUUAUUUGUUUGCUCCCAUAAAAGGAAAAAAAAAACAUUUGAGUUAGAUUAGAUGCAUGUUAGGAUGUUACUUAUUUUAGGGUUAUUUUGCAUGUCUAGAAUAGGAAAUUUAUAUAUUUCGAAUUUCUUAAAUAAAAAAUACCAAAAACAUAAAUUUAGGAUGUUAGACUUUCGUUUAUUAAUUAAAAUUGCGUGUUAAUUAUUUGCCAACUUUAAAUUUCGAAUUUUAUAUAAAAAAACACAAAAAUAAUUUUAGAAUAGAAUCGCAUGUCUCAUUUUAAGUUUAGGUCAAUUUUUAGAUGGAUGCGUCUUAGAUUAGAGAUUGCUAGGUUAAGAUAAUGUCAUAUUUUAAAUUAGGAUUUAGUCUAACAUAAUCCUUAAUUUGAGUUGGAUAGAGCCUUAAUCUAGUUAGGUCAUUUUUGCAUUUUUCUUAAUUUCAAAUUUCAUGAAAAAUAGAAAAAUAAAAAUUGUCUUAGAGUAGAUUCAUUUCAUUCUCUAGGAUAGAUUACAUUUUUUUAGGAAUUGAAAUAUCGAUUGCACGUCGUAUAGAAUUAGAAUAAUUUAAAUUAGAAAUUACAUGUCAUUAAAAUUAGAUUAUUUAGAUCGCAUUUAAUCAUUGCAUUUCUUUAUGAAUUACUUUAGUCAUGACGUAUAGUUAGGUCAUGUUGCCAUGUCGCAUGCAUCACAUGAUUUUUAUUAAAUAAAGUGAAAACAAAAAAGAAAUUACAUGUUAAUUAGAAAUCAUAUCUAGGAUUCUUGAUGUGAAUUCUGGUCUAACAACGCAGAUGCUUUCGUUGUUAUGAGGUGAGUCCUGCAAUUUAUUUACUGCUUGGGUGUUAAAUUGGUGGUUUGCGCACCAUGAUCGCCUCACAUGUUAGGGAAAUAGAUUUAAAAUCAAUUUAAGAUGCUUGUCAAACAUUUUUUAAAAAUAAAAGAGAAAGACACCAAAAGAGGCGUUAGAUUUCUCUAACGUAAUCAAGUCCCUGUAACUUACCUCGUAACCAAAAUCUCUGGUUCGUAGGAAUAAAGUAAAACGUCAAAAAUAGAUUAGUGGCGACUCUUAAUUUAAAAAUCAUCUGCAUGUUAAGAAUUUGAACGCGAAUUAGUAUGGGUUUGGGAGAGUCCGAGUUAAGUCUAGGCUUAAUAAUCCAUUAGCCAAACCUUAGGUGGUUUAUUCGAAAAUUUGGUCGCGACACUUGUCCAUGUCCGAGGGCAUUCUCAUCCAAGUACAUUUGUUUCUUUAUUUUUCUUUUCUUUCUCUCUCUGUUUUAUGUUUUCAUUUCAUUUUUUUUCCUUUCUCUACGCCAUCAUCUUCUGUGAUUUCAAGUAUAAACACGCUGGCAAAAAAUUUUCUAGCUGUCUCUCGCCCAGCUCCAAAACCCCGCUUCCUGUUUCCUCGCUACGCAGCCAAAACUUCCUAACACUCUCAAAAGAUUAAUCGGCGAUAUUCAACAACCGUAUACAAAAAAUUUCACAACCCUAUACAACUUAUGACCCGACACAAAACUGUUUGUCGCCCCCUAAAAACUUUUCCACAGGAAUCAUAUGUUGAUUCAACUACUCUCUGUUUUAGGGAACACGGGAACUGUGUUGUGCAGCACAGUCGUCCCUGGAAAGACCAUCACCCGGUGAUUUCUUCUUAAUUGUUUCAACUGCAAAAGAAAUGAAUGCAUGAGACCGAGCGUUUUAAAUCUGCCGCUCAAGAGGGGAUAGAUGAAUGCACGUUCACAAACCUCCUCUGGGGUCAUCUUGCCAAAACCAAAUCGGUUCGUCCAUAUCGAUUCUGCUUCCUCUGCAGCAGGAAGCACGAGAUUCUUGACAUUGAGAGAUGAAGAAGCUUCCUCUGGGUUGAACUAAGAGACGCCUUGCUAAUGGUUUGCGUAGGGGUGUCAAAAAAACCCAACCUGACUCGACCCCGACCUUGACCCGAACACGAAACAAGUUGAGUACAUGUUUCAGGUAACAGACAUAAAGGGGUGCAUGACAACCCAAAAUUUAUGUUCCAAAAAUAGUUUUUCUGUUCCAGACCUGUUUCUGGAAGAAAAAUUCGUUUGAUAAACCUAUUCGGUUUUUCUAUUUCUGGAAUAGAUUUAUAUUCAAGAAAUAAGUUUUGAAGAGAAAUCAGAAGCUAAAAUUUUCUACUUCUGAUUUCUGGAAGAGAAAUUAUAAUUUCUUUCACUAAACCAUAAUUUUGGUGAGUCCUCCCUCAUCUCCUCUACGUCUUUGCCUCCUCCUCUUCCUCCGCCUCUCCUCAUUUUAUUAAAAAUAAAAAUAAAAAUAUUCAUUUUAUUCAUUUAAAAAUAAAAAUAAAUUUAUUAAAAUAAAUAAAUUAUUUUUAUUUAUCAUUUUAUUUUUAUUUAAUUAAAAAAUUAUUAAUUUUAUUGAAAAUAAUUUAUUUAUGAUAAAUAAAAAUAAAUCAUUUUUAUUUGCCUUGAGUGUUUUGCCAAAUAAAAUUAUUUUUAUUUUUUAUUUUCAUUCAUUUUAAAAUAAAUUUAUUCGUAAAAUAAAAUAAAAUAGAAUAAAUAAAAUGAUAUUUUUAUUUUAUUUUUUAUGAUUUAUUUUAUUUUAUUUUAUUCAUUAUUUUUUUUGUUACUAAAUCAUUUUUAUUUUUAUUUUUUAUAUUAAAGGUCGUCGAUCGUCGCCGCUACCGUCCAAAAGGAAGAAAUUUUGAGUUGUUAUCAAACGAAUUUUUAUUUUUAGAAGUAGAAAUUUUGUAUCAUUAUCAAAUGGUUAUUUUUGCUUAGAAACUCUUCUAAAAAUAAAAAUAUAAAAAUCCAUUUCUGUUCUAAGAACUAUUCCUGAAACAUGGUUGUCAUGCGUGUCCAAAACAAGCGGAACACAUGUUUCGGGUCGGGUUCGGGUGUGGAACAGUGUUCGACCCGGAACACGUUAACAAGGAACAAACACAAACGGACGUAGCCGUGUUUUCGAAAACCCCUCCCCUUCGGCUUCUUCUCCGAGGACUGCGCUUAUCGUGGAUUCCGCCGCCCUCCGAUCGAGACGCCUCCGCCUCGCCGUUGCCGUCCAGGUCUCCAUCUCUCGUCUCAACGCCGGAACCCUAGCUGCCGGUACCAAUCCCUUCCCGCGGCAGGAUCGCCCGGUUCCUCAAGGCCGGCAAGUACGCCGAGCGCGUCGGCGCCGGGCCCCGGUCUACCUCUCCGCCGUCCUCGAGUAUCUCGCCGCCGAGGUACCUUUCCCGAUCCGUCUCUCGUUCCGGCUUUUUCGUUUCUUUUUGCCGAUCGGCUGUUAGAAGAAAAAAGAGAAAGGGGAAAUCACACUUUCCCUUCCAUCCGAAGCCUCCCGGUACGGCUGUUUGCACUUUCCUCUCCCACUUCGCUCGCUGCUUCGAACCUACUCAAGAUUCUCUCCGUCUCUGCGAUCCACCAAAAAUCCCCGACCCUCUUCGCAAUCAUCAAUGGUGGGUUGGUUUAUGUGCUUUUCCUUCCUUUUCAUCAUUCCAUUUUCCGCGCGUCCAUUCUUAUAUCAAUAGCUCGCGUUCUGGUUGUUGCUGGGUCUUCUUGAAUCUCGAUUCUUUUUGUGAUUCUUCUCGAGCUUUUGGGUCCGGGUCAGAUGCUGUUUCCUUUGGGGGUUCUGGAGCUGAGCGAUCUGGCUACGUGAUCGCAAAAUUUGGAUUUUUUCGAUCUCAUUUGGUUUGUUGUUUUAAUUGUUGUUGUUUCCCUUGCGUGUCUCUUUCAGGCUUUGCCGAAUCGUUGGCGAUAAGGGCACGGGUGGCCCUGGCCUUCCCAUUGCGAAAUGCUGCAUACCCAGAUGGACAAUUUCGACAAGCAGCCUACCCAGAUGGACAAUUUCGACAAGCUGGCCUUCGCAGUUCAUUCCCAGUAAGCCAAUUUGACUUUUUUCUAUAAAGAGGAAAAAGAGGAGAGAAAUUUCCAGGCUCUGCUAUUUUUUUUUUUUGGGGUUAAUUCUCGUUUCCCUUUUCUGGUCGUUGUUAUGUUUCUUGCGGUUGAAUUCUGUGUUUUCAAUUCAAUUUCGGAACUUGAUUUGAGAGCUGGGAUUUGUGGAUGUGAUUUCAUAGUUUUGGAGCUCUGAACGUGUUUCUGUGACUUCUCUAGGAUGAUGACUGUGUACUUUGGUAGUUUUUUUCUUGGGUGAUAACUUUUGAGGUUGUGACUUUGACUGGUUUUUUGCUGAACCUUUUGGUAUAUUUGUCUUCUCUGAUAUUGAAGUAGUUGGUUAUGUUCUCUCUAGGUUAGGUGUGAACUGAUAUUCUCGUUCUUUCUAUUGGUCACUAAUUUGCUAGCUUGGUGUUGCUUGUCCUAGCUUUUAGGUUUCAUAGCCUAAUUCAUGAAAAUUGAACCAUUUCGUCGUUUGGAGGACCUUUUAUUGUCUCUGCUCAUCCUUCUCUCAAUUCAAGAGGCUGUAUUUGAGUUAGGGCGAAAUUAUAUCCACGUGCUAAGUUUCCUACUUGUGGUCUUUGUUGUUGGCAUCAGUUGCUUCACAGGAAGUACAGUGGAAAUUUCAUUGUGAACCUUUUGGGUAAAUGGAAAGAAUCUGAGUACUCAGGUGGCCAAUCUGUCCCUGUUGGUGGUAUCGCCUACUAUAUCACCACUCCAUCAAGGUGAUUAUCUGUUCCUUUUAGAAAAAUGAUGUUCAGUCUGGCUUUGUUGAUUUGAAAACUCACCAGUUGACAUUUUGCUCUAUCCUCCUGCAGCUUGGCUGAUAUGGCAGCCAAUCCCUUCCAUGCGCUCUUCUAUCUUGUGUUUAUGUUGUCAGCUUGUGCACUGUUCUCCAAAACAUGGAUUGAAGUUUCUGGAUCCUCUGCUAAAGAUGUUGCCAGACAGCUCACGGUAUGAAGUGUGUGAAACUUUAUUUCUCUUGACAGAGUCUGCUAAUAAUUGAAUGAGAAACAACCUUAUGUUUCAAAUAAUGGGGUAUCAAGAGUUGCGUGCUUGCAUUUUGAGGCCACAAUUGUUUGGCUUUUAUGUACGUUUAGCUCGAGUGACCCUGGAUUUAUCAAGUUCAUUGGGAGCUUUACCUUUUCGACAAUCAUCUUUUACUAUCCCUAUUGUUUGUUGAGCUUUUAAAUCUCUGAUAAGCUGAUUUGCAUCUUCCACGUGUUUCUGUGUUUUGCUGGAGCCACCUACUUAUGACUUGUUCUUUGUCGUUUCUUUUGGUAAAUUCUAAUUGCUUUCAAAAUUGUCUGCCGGUCCUAAUCUGCACCUUUUGUCAUGCAGAUUUGCACAGUUCCAUCUUUUCCCUAACAUCUCUCUUUCCUUGUCAAUUUUAGGAACAACAAAUGGUGAUGCCAGGCCAUCGUGAGUCAAACUUACAGAAAGAGCUCAAUUGCUACAUUCCCACUGCUGCAGCAUUUGGAGGCAUGUGCAUCGGCGCACUGACUGUUUUGGCAAAUUUCAUGGGGGCAAUAGGCUCAGGGACCGGGAUUCUUCUCGCCGUCACCAUCAUUUAUCAGUACUUUGAUACCUUUGAGAAAGAAAAAGCAAGUGAACAAUGUGGAUUAGCAUGAAGCAGCUUCAUCACUGCAGUAUUAGGUUGGUAUGUUUCUUUGGAGUAUCUAGAGUGGAGCACGAUGUAGCUGGUCUUUCAUGAACUUAAGUUGAAUUCUGCAAUUCAGCACUUCAUUAAUGUGGCUAGUCGGGUAGGUGUUACUGGAAUAUACUGGUGUUACUGGAAUGAUACUUACUAUUGCAAAAUGUAAUUGUCUCUUCAUAAAUCAUGAGAAUCGAAAAGGAAUUUGCGGUGGUCUUAUGGAUGAGUUUGAUAAAAAAACUCAGUUUUCUUUUGGAUAUGGAACCUGCCCAACAGGUUGAAGUGCCAAAGCUUUAGGUUUCUUGGAAUUUUUUCUUCACUGCUCUUUGUUCUUCUACUUGGUGCUCUGCUAUUGAGUUUUUAUCAGUUAAAAAUACUUAGAUUGAUCACUCGCAAGAAUGGAUGUUAAAAUCAGGUUCUUAUAAUAACCUGUUCCCAUUAAAAAAAAAAAAAGCAAGAAACCCAUCAACCCGACCCAACCCGGAACACAUUAGAUGGUCUAAUGAGUUUCGGGUCGGUUCUAAUGUGUUCCGUGUCGGUUUGGGUUGGGUCACAAUGUGUGAUCCUUUGUGUUUCGGGUCGGGUCGGGUAACAACAAAAUCCCGACCCGACCCGACCCAUUGACACCCCUAGGUUUGCGUGCCAAUGGAUAGUGGGGUCGACUUAGUUGAGGAAGAAGAGUACUUUUACGAGGCAUUGCUUGAUAGUGACUAUUCUAUUAUGUAUGACUCUGAAAUGGUGGCAAAGGACCUCUCCACUUGGAAUAUAAGAACAGAGCUCUUUGGUUUCAUUUCUUUGAAUUGGAUGAGGUAGAGCGAAGAUUGGUGAAGGAUAAAUUGGGCAACUAAGCACUGUUUUUGAGUCAAAAUUAUCCCGCAUCCUUAUUGACUUCUAAAAUCCCAGGUUGUAGGAGAAACGACAUUUGAUAUCUUGAUGGUUUCACAGUGAAAGGGGGCACCAACAUGAAGAAGGGUUACGAAUUGUGCGGAUUCAACUUGAAAAGUAGAGCUACUCAACAUGUUAUUACACUUGUCUUACAUGUAGCUGAUCGCCGUUGCCCCUUUGGACGGGGCACUGGUUUAUUUCUUUAUCUGCAGGAGUUCACCGUUCUACUAAUCAUGUUGUUUAUGAUUGAUUGUUAGCAAAAAUAUAUUCAAAUAUCACUAUUGCAUGGUAAAGAAAACAAAUACAUGAAACAAAGAGAAAAAGAAAAAUAAACAAAAAAAAAAAAAAUAGUACGUGGACGAGAAUGCCCCUAAACGUGAAGAAGAUAUGGUUAAUUGGUGAAGCCAGGGCCUUAUUUGAGACUAAAUUGCCAACUUGAGGCCCUAAAAAACAAUGUCCACUUUAAACCUUCUUUUGAGAAUAUGGCUACAAUUCGAAUCCUUAUUUAAAAUUUUCUCCUUUUUUUUUUUCUCUAUUUAGUUAUUUUUCUUUCCUUUUUUCUAUUUUUUUUCUUUUUCUUUGACCCUUCCCGCCACCAUCCAUGGUGGAGGUCGCUGGAUUUGGGUGAGGGCCACCUCACCAAUGUUGGGUGAUGGCCGCCAUCGCCUAGGCUAACGCCAACAAGGGCUACCCUCACUAGGUUCGGCGAGGGUUGUCGAGGGUUGCAUUUGCCAAUGUUGGGCAAGGGUUAUUGUCGCUGGAUCUAGUAAGGAAUGCCCUCGCUGCCCUCGCCUGAGGUAGGCAACCUCCCUUGGCCAUCAAAAAGAAAAGAAAAAGAAAAGAAAAUAGAAAAAGAAAAAAAUAUAUAGUUACAAAAUUUUUGACCAAAGUACCACUUCUUCAUUGGCCGGAAUAGUCACCGGCUAGCCAAAGGAUCUCAUUUAAGACGAUUUGGGCCUUUAUUUGAGAUGAUUUGAUCAUUUCGGGCCUUAUUUAAGAAAACGAUAGUACUUCAAAUCCUUAUUUAGAAUUUAGAAUUUUCCUUGCAUCUUAAUUUCAUUACAACUCAUUUUUACUCCACCCUCGAGGGAUCCUCUACCCACGCCCAAGAAUUUAUGGUGUAAUGUCACCGGUGGUAUCUGUUAUUGACAGCUAACUGUUUUGCCCCAACAUCUCCUUCUCAUUUUAAAUUCGCCGGUAAAUCGGAAUCUAACCCCUAAGCAAACACUUCUAUAAUGUAUGCCUAGACUUCUCAUUUCUUUAGUUUUCAGAGACUAGGGUCACUUUUUACUUAAAAUAGGACGUCCGCAUGGAAUAUUAAAUUAGGCAAGAUCGCGAAUUUUUGUGAACCAGCCCAUUGUGUUGCUCCAGGUCACACCCACAAGCCCGUCUCACCCACCUUACGGGAAAUGGCAGUAUGUAUGCCAUACAAGGACCGCUCCAAGCAACGAGCGAAUGAAGACAUUCAUGGAAGGUCAGCACGACCAAGAUCAGUCGAGGUUAGGAAAUGUUUCAAUGAAUUGCAUAAUCCUCUCCGCAAUGAUGAAAAUAUGAUUCUUUAGGAUUAGAUCAGUAUCAAGCACACAUACAUACAUUAUGCAUAUAUCCGGCCUAGAUACAUCAUACAAUCAAGGGGAGGAGUGAACCUAGCAUGCUUCUAUGCAACUUUGGGUCUACAGGUUUACUCUUUUGAUAUUUGUUCAACUUCGUAGAAUGAGGCAAGGAUGUGUCCAUCCUCUUCUAAUUCUCUAUACCGAAUUUAUUUACAAGUUCCUAUGCAUAUUCUUGGCGAAUGAAGGUGCCAGCCUUGGUUUAAAUUCAUUUUGCGUAACCUCUGCAAAAUCCUUACCCAGAAUCUCAAUAACCUAGGUAUUCCUUAGUUCGAAAUAUUUUCAAAAUUCUUUAAAUCUUGAUUUGAUAAUUGUGAAAGUCAUGAUUUGGAUUAUAUUCAAAAUGUCUGCGAUACUUGUGAGUGCAUUUAUGCGAACCCCGAGCUAGCCUUGACAAUUGAAUGUUUUCCAUAGGCGAGACAUCACUCUGUCUCAAAAAUUUUGUGGAUGAUUUCAAGAAAAUGUCUUUGAAAUAUCACAUGUACCCUCAUGUAUAUAAUCACGUCAUUCAUUAGAAACGCCCGUGUUCGUGAUUGGCAAAUGCCCUUAGUAAUAAGUGACCUAUCCACGGUUCACUUUCUUGUUUGAUUAGUUGAGAAAUAAGGUUCAAAAGACCUGUAUGCAUAUUUUAUUCAAAUUCAUGCAUGUGACUUCUAGAUGUAUGUUAGGGCCGAUACAUGAUACCAAGGGUAGAUCUUGGGAAUGAUAUAGAACGUUUUGUUAGGGACUUAUAAGUAUUAUUGGCCAUACGAGAACACAAGUGAUCAAUAAUGGUUGUAAGUCAUAAAAUGAAUCGAGUAAGUGUUUUAGAGGGACUUACGCAUGAACUAUAAAGGCCUACCCGAGGAUCAAAUCGAAUUUGUGAAUUAAACUUCCUUUGAUUGAUUGACUUUGGCAUGAUGCUAUGCUUAUGGUUGUUUUGACAUGUAUACUUAUUUUUUUCUAUUGUAUGUGCCUAGUUACAAUCCUUAGACUAGAUAUUAGAUUAGGAUCUUGAAGAUGGAGGUGACAUGAAGAUGGUGAAAAAGUUGAUGUCUAAUCUGACUAUGCUUUUGUACUAUUUAUUCCCGACAUUUGUCUCAGAUUCUUGUUUUUGUAUAAAAGCCCGACGAGUUUUGAGAUUUUUCUUUAUUGUCCUUUAGUUUCGUUUCUCUUUCUUAGGACUGCAUUAUAGAUUUACUGCUUUCUUGGGUUAUUUACUUACUGUCUCGCAAUUUCAAUUCAAUUGAUUCAUUUAUUUUCCCAUUUUCUACAAUAAAGUAGCAUGUAAAUGCCCAACCACACAUGAUCGCCUAGUUUAGGAUAAACAAUCCUGAAAAAAUAAAGAAGAAAUGCAUGGACACCUUAGGUAAACAUAACAUGCUAUACGCGCCAACAUCCCUUCAUGGUCAUGCAAUUGCAACAUUUCCAAGUAGUGUCGCCAAGCCCAUUCAUUUUAAAAUGUGCAUGCGGAACGUAUUAUAAACCCUGGACACUGGACAAAAGCUCACGGGAUAGGAAAGCAGAAAACAAACCCAUUCAUAAUCAAACAUGCUAUAUUAACACUAGAGUUUACGUACACAAAAAAUGGUCAGAGUUUAUGUACACCAAAAAGGGUCAGCCUACAAAAAGAUCGGUUCACCAAAAAGAAGGAACAAUCCUAUAACCCUUAGCCGGACUUAUUCACUGAUCUCACUUCCGACUCGUUAACCUCUGGAGACGACGGGUCCUCCACUCUACCAUCAAGAGGGUCAGCUACGUCCUCCCCUAGGAUGGCCUCAAUCAUAACAUGUGGAAUAUCAAAACCACUAAGAGGACCGAUCCUGAAACCAUUGGCUCCAAAGCGGAACCAUGCCCUGUAUCGAUGAGGCACCCUGACAAACAAUGCCUCUUUGAUCCAGACAGUGGUCCUAAUAAGCCCGUAGAUCCAAUGACUCCCAAAAUCAGGAAAACUUUGCACCUGCUUGGUAAUCUGCACGGGAAGACCAUAACGCUCCGGGGCUAUCGCCAUCUACGGUCUUGAAAUAUUUGGCUCACAAUGGGGUGAGACAUUGUCUCAGCAAGUGCAUCCCCUAAACUCCUAUUAGAAAGGAAAUACGUCUAAGGGUGGCUUAGCCAUAUCACUUAUGAGACUUACCUUGCUUCAAGACUUUCCUGCAAAUUAGUACAAUUCAUAACACUUAAUCACAUGUAGUAAUAAGAACUUAACAACUGGAGCACAAUCACUUUCACAUAAUCAACAACACUCAACAUGCAUUCCAAUUGCUAUUCACUACCACACAUGAGCAUAGCCUACUCGCAAUUCAGCUAUCUACUGGCGUUUAGCCAUGCAUAAUCUUCCCACCUUAGAGCAUGACUUCGUCAUUACAUUGACAGCGUUCCUGAAGGAGCAUGCGCCUAGAAUCGACUGCGACCCGCAUCCGUUGAAUGGGGCAUCUCAUAUAGGGGCAAGUCUGACUCAACUACUCAGGACAAAUUCCUCUUAAUCAUCACACAAUAAAUUCAUAUUCGGCUUAGGAUACUUUGCAUUUUACUCAAGGCUUCUAAUUAAAUAGUGAUCCUGACCUAUUUUAUUCAUAUUAAAAACGCCCAAGAAAUUAUUCACGUGUGUGGGGGCAUGUUUCGAACUGGAAAACUAAUAUUUUAAGUUUUCAAACCCCACUAUUUAAUAUAAUAUUUAAAAUCCAAUUUCGGUGUCAAAACCCGACACGUGGGAUUUUAUGAAUAAAAUCCGCAUUUUUUCAAAUCAACACUCAAUUUGCAAUAUCCAACUAUCAAUUGCAUAAUCUGAAUACAUCACAGCGAUCAGCACGAAAUUUUGAUAAUUUUGAGGUGUCAGAAUAAUUUCUGGAAAAUAUUAAAUAAUUAAAUUUAUUCCGAAAAUUAAUUAAAUAAUAAUAUUUUGUUAAUUUAUAUAAUAUAUUUUAUUAUUAAUUAAAUAAAUUCGAAAUAUUUAAUUUAUAUAAAAUAAUCAAUUAAGGUCUAAAUAGAAUUAUACUAAUCUAAACAUCUACUUAGCCUUAAUUAAUUAUAUCAUAAACUAAUCACACCCCUUAAUCUAAUCCACACUUAACUAAACUAAUUAAUCCACCUACUCUUACUUAGCUUAGCCUAAACACCCAACUAAGCAGCAUUAAGCUUCUAAUCAAGGUUUAGAGGCUAAACUCACCGGAAUCGCUUUCCGAUGAGCUCACGGCGAAGACAAUGGCAAGGCGGUUGACAAACCUCCACGUGGCGGUACCAAGCGAGGACCGUAAGACACCUAAAACAGGCCUUGAAGAUCCGGCACUUGCUGGAACUCCAGCUGCUGCUCAAGAUUGAACUGAAGAGGAAGAUGGGUAGAACGGCGAGGAGGAAGACAGCUAGGGGCGACGGUGGCUCAGGCGGGUUGAGGAGGUGGCUCCGGCGGCCUUGGUGAUGGCGAGCAGCAACUGGCAACGUUGGACGAUGGCUUGGACGCACGGCUGUAGAGGAUGACGGCCAGGAAGCUCGGACGGAGGUGGAGCAGUGAGCUGGCAGGCGGAGCAACAUGCGCAGAAGGGCGGCGAUGGCGAGACCUCCAGUGGACGUGCGGGCGAGCGUCGAGCGAAGGGGGGAAGUUGCCGGUCAGUUGCUGCUCACCUUUUUCCUUGCCCCAACUGGUUCUCAAGGUUGAAGAUGAAGAUUGAUGGGAGAGCCCCACUUUUUGAGAGCCAAUGAGCUACUUCCACUUGUCAACACCCCCUCCAAAUUGGUCCCAUCAUGACCUCACAUGAUAUCACCGUCCACUCACCCCUAAUCUUCCUUAACAAGCUUUCAAUGGGUCCAAUUUGUCUCAUCCAUGAUGGCAUACGAAUUUAAAAAAAUUUGUACAUCAAAUUCCUUCCAUUCCAUUCAAUUCCCUUCCAAUUGAGCCAAAUUGAUGUCCAUAAAUUUAUCUAAUGUAACCACUCUUAAAUUCACAAUUUCCCUUGACCAUAGAACCAUCUUAGAUCCCAAAAGUGCGACAAAAAAUGGGCUUACCAAUUUUUCGAGCCAAAAUAACCAUACUUUGAUUUUUCGCCGAAAAACUAAAUUUACAGAAAAAUCCUCUGAAGAUGAGUCGACGUUCCCAACAUGAUUUGCGACAUGAUAGGACUUUGGUUUCAAAUUCAUGAUUAAUUUCAUUCUGGUGUGAUCCUAGCGUGUCCUAAUCUAUCGGGUAGCUUUUAGGAAUUUUUCAAGCAUUUGACCCGUGGUUGAUCAUUUUCAAGCCACAAAGUACAUCUUCGACACAUUGGCGACUCUCGGUUGUCGUGAAAAUCUCGAAGAUUCAAAUACAGACAUAUGGUACCAAAAUGACAGAAAAAUCGGUCUAGUGCCGAUCAACAAGUGUUGUGCGAUCUAGUGGCAUCACCCACACUUGAUCACAUGCCUUUGUUAAGUUGACUUAUCUCCGGUCUCUAAUUGAUUUUUAACUGUGCCGUAAUGGCUUUUACAGAUUAACUCGGUUGAGAAGUCGUUGCUUGGUCGAAUUCUCAAGUCUGAUGUGUUAAAAUCCCUUAACGGAUUUACUUGAUAGACUAGUUUCCUCGUGAGUGGCCAACUCAAAGAAAAGAACUAUAUGCGCAUAUAUGAAAUGCCCGACUCAUUCUAUUAAAAACGGAAUUGGAAAAUAAGGAUGUCACAACUCGGUACCGAAAGGGUGCUAAUAAAAAUAUUAGCGUAACCUAAGUCUCCGAACCUAGAAAUCUGGUUGCAAAAGAGUCAAAGGAACACUCCCGACCCUCGAUUGGGAAGUCCGACUCCCAAAAAUGAGGCUAGUGAUGACUCCCAACUUAUUUCUGGGUUGUCUUAUACAAUUAGACCAUAUAAAUCAAUUCGUCGUGAGAGGUAUAAACUAUAAGAAAAGGUUCACAAUUAUGAUUUAGCAUACUUGAGAUGGUGAAGCCGAUAAAGAUAAAGUGAUGCCAUCUUUGGUGGAGGAACAUCUUGAGAGGGCUAUCACAGUUGUUAAAAAUAGCCUUAAACUCACCUUUACAUCUAGAUUCCUUUCGACCUUAAAAUCGUCGGUUAGGACAUACCAGAUGUCAAGGUAGGAUUGUGACACUCCAUUAUCAUGCAAGAUACGAGCUUGGGAGAACUCACGAUGAAGAUUAAGUGAACUCAUACAAGGUUCGUUCAGGGGGUGAGGUAAUGACAUUCAUGUGAUUGAGAAUCGUGAAGGAACUUUCGUGGUCAAGUAUCCCUAAACUCGACAUUUCCCCUUUCUCUCCUUGUGGGAGGAUUGACGGUGAGAUCGGGUCGCGAUAGGCUUCGCAACUCCACUGGAGACCGGUUACUAGAUUAAGAGGACUUGAAACCGUUUAAAAAUGAUUGUUGUGUCUAACUAAUGUGUCUUAUGUAGGAUCGCUUGCGUGUUAAAGUCGCAUGGAAAAUGAGGUAAGUCGCUAACCACGUGUUAAAUGAUCUUGUAUGUGGGAGUUACAAAGGGUGGAGUAAGUGUAAACCAUUUGUCUUGCAGGUGGUGAAAGGAUGUAUGCGUGUAUGUUGGGUUAUAUUGAAGUGCUGGAUGAUUAAAAUUUAAACGUAUGUUUACGAGUUUUAGCACAACACCACACACAACCGCGGUCUAAAUCCCUAUCAUCCCAUUUAGGACUUUAGGAGGGUUUAUGGGUGGAACCCAUGAGUGAAUACUCAUGGUAAUCCAUUACUUACAUACACCUGUGUUGACACCUAAAUUUUGGCGACUUGUUUAGUCAUUUAUUGCAUUAAAAAAUUAGGGGUUAAUUUUAUCCCUGAAAAAAAAAAUUAAUUGCAUAAAAAUUUAGGUGCAUUUAUUUUGCAUUCUUUGCAUUUAUUUAUUGGACUGGCGACAAAUGGGUUUGAAUUAGUGGUUCUGAACUUUAAAUUGAUGAGUCGGGCUAAGGCCACGAAGAGAGCAAAUCGGCUUAAGCUCGUAUCAUCGGUGAGAUUUUACGAAUUUAACUUUGUGAGAUUUCAAUUAAAAAAUAAAUAUUAUGUUUGGAAAAACAAAUAUUGCAUUUUGAAAAAAAAUCUUUGUGGAUAUAGUUUUGAAAAAUUAAAAAAAUCCUAAUUCGUGGCCUAUAAAUAGGUUAAUUCGCUAGGGUUUAAGGGGGCACACAUUGAACAUACGGCCAAGAAAACACGCGUGAGAAAUCAAGAGGAAAGGGGGCGGAUCGUGAGAGCCAUGGGACUCCUUCGACGUCAGGGAUCUCCAUGCACGCCCACAGCUCUUUCUCGGUGAUGCUAUCGAGUUCGUUGAAGGACGCCUAACAUCAAUUGCCCGCUAUUUUCGUUGAUCUACCACGCCAGGUGUUCUGCUGUCGUCCUAUUGCAGUCCUCAGCUUCUCCAGCAAGCAUUCAGACCUUCAAACGUCAACCCAAUCUGCUGUCCCCGCUGCUCUGCCACACCGGGUGUUUCGUCGCCAUCCCACCGCUGUCCCGCUUGCCACUACGCUUUCCUCGUUCGAGCUGCAACGCCGCACCCCGCACUGGACUGAGAUGACGAGCCACUGUCCUAAUCUUCACCACCAUGACGUGGGUAGUUCCGACGAUGUGAACCUGUUGCUCCCUGCCGCGACGCCCUCGUUGCUUGACGUUAUGUGUAACUCGUGAUCUCCUGCCGUGAAAGCCUAGCAGUCCCUUAGGCAUUCCUACAGCGUUCUUCAAUCUAGAGUCCACAAAUUACAGCCGCUACAUUUGUUCUUUUCUUCUGCAGGUCUUCUCGGGGUACCCAAUAGAGACGUCCACGGGAUAAACCCGUAGAGAGAGAGAGAGCCGCGUGCUUUCACUUCUCUACUGCACCCAUUCACAAAGACCACACAUGAAGACAGAAGAGAGAAAUCAUGGGCAAAGAUUUUCCUAGUAAAAGAGGGUAGUCAACUUUUCAAUAGAAUUCGCGGGUCUAAUUUGAAUCACCUGCAGGUUUCUUUGGUCUUGCUGUGAAGUAAAAUAAUUCCUCACGCAUGAGUCCAUUGUCGGUGAACAUCCAUUGCCGCUUGCUUGUACAAACACCCCAUCGCGGCAAUCCUUCACCCAGAAGCACCAUUGCGCCGAAUCUCGCUCACCAUCCUUGAGUCGAUCCCAUUGAGUUCAAGUUUGGCAAUAUUACUUGCGAAAUUAAGUAAUUAUCUUAUCUAAAUUUGAUUUGGAUAUUUUGUUGCCUAAUAUAUGUCUAUUAGUAUCUAAAAUGCAUAUUUAUAAGUGAUAGACAUAUCUCCUAAUUAAAAUUGAUUGCCUAAUUCGCAACCGCACAUGGAUUUUUUAUUCCAUCUAUGAGGCUUUAGAUGGAAAAUUAAUCACGCGGGAAUAAAAUUGAUAUCUUGAUCUUUAAGGUUUAAGAUCAAUUUAUCGAUUUUAUUAGCGAAAUAAUCAAGUUGAUUUGAUAUCAUUUUUAGAUUUGAACGAUGGAUAAUAUAUUUGAUGACUAUGAAUGAUUUGGUGCUUAUUUUUUAAUUACUUUAUUUAUCCCAAAAAUACAAAAAAUUGCAUUUGCAUAUCAUGUAAGUUAGAAUGGAUUGCAUAGUUAGGUUUUUUAAUGCAUGUUUAGAUAGCAUCUAGAUUAGAUAAUAUUCCUUUGAAUAAAAUUGCAUGUUUCAUUUUAAGUUUAUGUUGAUUUUUUGUAGAUAGAUUGCAUUCUUUUUUAAUAAAAAAUAAAACAUGUCAUAUGCAUGUCAUAUAGAAUUAGGUUCAUGAAAUGCACAUCAUUUAGUGAUUAUUGCUAGGUUCAUUUAAUUAGAAAUUGCCCGUCAUUUUAGGUCAUUAAGUUAAUUUAGAUCGCACAUUUAAUUAUUGCAUUUCUUUAAUUUCGAAAAGGAGAAAAAAAACCAAAAAUGUCUUAGAAUAAAUUAAUUUUAUUCUCUAGGACAGAUUGUAUGCUUAUUAAGAAAACACAAAAAUAUCGCAUUUGCAUCAUAUAGUUUGGGUCAUAUUGCCAUGUCAUAUCAUUUUAUGUUAGAUUAGUAGCAUACAUACAUAAAGCAUGAUUCUCAUUAAUUAAUUGAAAACAAAAAGAAAUUGCGUAUUAAUUAGAAAUCAUAUCUAAAACCGUUAAUGUGAAUUCUGAUCUAAUAUUAUAGAUGUUUUCGUUGUUACAAGGCAAGUCCCGCAAUUUAUUCAUUGCUUUAUUGGUGUUAAAUUGGUGGUUUGCGUACCUGCAUGAUCAUUUCACAUGUUAGGAAAAAAAAUUUAAAAUCAAUCCAAGUUGUAUUAAAAACAUUUUUGAAAAUAAAAAAAAUGGUACCGAAAUGGCAUUAGAGAAAUCUAGUGUAUUCAAAUCCUCGUACCCAAAGUCUCUAGUUCAUAGGAGUAAAAUAAUCCUCAAAUUAUCUUACUUAGGUGUCUAAUCGACUUACCAUAAACUGAUUAGUGGUGACUUAUAUAUAAAAUCUAUUCGCAUGUUAAGAAAUUUGAACCUAAGUCGCGAAUUGGUAUGCGCUUGGGAGAGCCUGAGUUAAGUUCAGGCUUAAUAAUCCAUUAGCCUAAUUUUAGGUGGUACACCCAAAAAAUUUGGUCGCGACAACUCGCUCAUCCCAACCAAUAAAAAUAGCACUGAUUGAUGAUAGUAGUAGUGGAUAAAUUAUUUUAUUCAUCCCUUGAACCUUUAGUACCCUCACUUUAGGCAAACCUCACAGUUCAUGCGACAUGUGAUUUGUGAUUGCCAUGUGUCUAGUGAAUAAGACAUUGUUCCUUUCUUAUCAUUGUUAUAUUAUCUAUUUUUCCGUACUUUAAUCACACGCUUUAUAUUUCAAAGAUGAUAUGUUUUAAUCAUGAAUGCCCUUUUAGGUUUAGGUUUAGAUGGGUAAGCCUGAAUUGGACAUCAUCCCUGUGUUGAGCAAUCUCAAGACUAUAUGGGAGAAUCUCGAACCAAGAUAGGAAAAGCGUAUAGGUUUCCUCCCAACCUUGCUAAAGGUCGAACCUCAUAUUGCGAUGGUGAAGGCAUUGGCUCAUUUUCGUAAUCCCAUGGCCUCCACCUUCAUGUUUAAUCGAUAUGAAGUAACCCCCACAACUGAGGAGUUUUGGAAAGCCAUUGGGUUAGGCAAAGCUUUCUUAGGUUUCAUUACUUCUCCUAUUAGUCAAGAUCCAAUCUCUCUCCUAAGUCAAUUUAUCAAUAUCUUUACCAACAAAAUAAAGGCCAUUCUUAAAGGAAAUUCGAAUUCCAUGCCCUAUACAUUCCUUGAACAACACCUUAUUAGCCUAAAGCCUAAAUCUGGACACCAAAUUCCUCGCAUUUUCCUUCUCAUAUUCUUCGACUUUGUGGUGUUCCCAUGACCCGAAAAAUAAUGGAUCCUUUAAUCACUCAAAUUAUCAAUCGGGUUUGCGCUUUUAGGUGCUUUACAUACAUGAUGCUUGACUAAACUUUCGUGUCUCUUAAUUGUUUCAAAGCAAAUGACUGAGGAACUCUUAGAGCCCCAUUAGGACUUUUCCAAAUUUGGCUCUUUUCCAAAAAUUAAUUUGGAUCUUCUUAAAGGAAAUUCGAAUUUCAUGCCCUAUACAUGCCCUAUAAAUUCCUUGAACAACACCUUAUUUACCAAUUUAAUUUUUUUGAUCAAAUUUGAUUGGAAAUUGCUAGCAUAUAUAAUUUUUAUAAUUUUCGGUAGAAGAAUAAGUGAAGGCGGUUCGUUUCCUUGGCAAUUUUUCUUGUAUGAUGAUAUGUCUCGUUCGGAGUUUUUUGCCUACAAACUUUGGGUGCAUCAUUGAUAGAGAGUACAAAUGAGACACGGUCCUUAUUCUCCCAAGAUUUGAAAAGUCAAGUAAGUACUAAGUGUAUGCAAUGAGAGAUCACAUAGAAGUGAUUAGUUCUCGGGUGAUUCGGUUCCCAUCUUGAAAUCAAGAAUCAGAUCAAAAGGAUCGAUUCCUUGUUUCUAAAAUCAAGAACCAAACCAAUGCCCCUGGAAUUGGAUCGACUAAUCUAGUUCAGCUCCCGGGUGGGUCAUGGAACUAGUGGCAUGUUCAGAUUUUUUUUUUUUUUUGUCAUUAAUGUUCAAGAUGAAAUUGAAGAUGUUCUUGAUAACCAAGAUGUUUCUGCGAUUAGUGAAUGAGGUGUAACAUUGUAGGUUUCACAUAAUUUUUUUUCCAAUUAGUGGCAAAAUUUGGUUAGAAUGAGCAAUUGAUGUUGUGUUUUGAUUUAUUCUUGUCAACUUACUCACAUGCGUGAGUGAAAUGGGAGUCAUGCAACUCAUGUGUGUUUGCGUGCGUGAAGUCUGAAAUUUGAGAUAGAUUAGGGGGUUUUUUUUUUUUUUAUACAGAUUAUAAGGAAAUACAAAAUUUAAAAAAAUCAGUCCGGCCCGAGUGGGUGGUUCCACACUUGAAACUAGAAUUGGACCAAAUUCAUUGGUUCCAAUUUUAUAGAAUUGAGAACCAGACUAGUGUCCCCAGGAACUGCCAAAAACCGGCCGAUCCGGUCCUGUCCAAGCGGUUCCUUUUGCUCACCCAUGAUCACAACUCUAAAGUAGAAGAAUGCCAAAGAAGAAAAAUCAUUAAGAGCAGACUGCUUUGAGCUGGUGAUUGGUGAUGGGGUUUAUACUCCUAGGUAAGAAAUUUCUGUUGCAUUCUGGAAAAGAAUAAUGCGUAUCUUCAGAGUGAUUAAUCAACUAGUUUCAAAGAGGUAAAAAAUAAACAUUUUCCAUUGUCAUGCUACGAAAAAUAAGAUUUUUAGAUAAGAUUUCAUUAUAUACUUUUACAUUAAGACAAGAUACGUCAAACAUAGGUUUGUUUUUUUUAUUUUGUAUCUUGGUUGUUGGCCUAGGAUUUCUAAUUAAAAAUAUGGAUUGUGGUCGAUACGUAUUUAUGGAGAAAUGUCAUUCCAAGGAAUUUAUUUUUCCUUCCACAAUUUUGAGGAAAACACCAUCUUGCUACCUCGUGUUAACAAAGAAAAACGCAAUCAUUAUUACCAAAAGUCAUUUUGGAGAAACCGGGCAAAUCGAAUUAGGAGCAAAAUAGUGUCUCAUAUUGGACCUUAGCGUAAAUGUGACUUACAACACGUGUGUCAUACACCUUAAUUUACUUUAUUUAAUGCUUCAUUCGUUUCACAGAAAACAUUUCUCAAGAAAAUAUUUUCUUCAUUUCCUGACAUUCGAUUCACUUAGAUAAAUGAAGCAACAGGAGUUGUCCACAUAAGACUUGUCUUAGUGAGCUUCAUAUUGUGGAAUUUUUUGCUUCGGAAGACUUCGUUGAUUGGCUCGACAUAAGAAUAUUGCGGAGAAUCGAAAGGUGAAGCUUGUGUCCAAGAUGUAUGAAAUGCAUGCUUCGAUUUGGUGGGAAAAUCUAACUUGUCGAAGAACUCCUGAAGGAAGGUGAAUCGUAACAUUGGAUAAAAUGAAGGUGCUCAAAAAGAAGCAUUUCCCAGAAACUUAUCAGCAAGAUGCCUUCGAUAAAUUCCACAAUACGAAGCAAGAGGAGUUGUCCGGAGAAGAAACCACCAAAUUUGAGCAUUUCAUGUUACGAUGCGAUGUGGUGGAGGCAGAGGAGCAAACUAUAGCUGGUAUUUUAGGGGUCUUCGUUUGAAAAUUGCCGAUGUUGUCCGAUUACAACCUUAUUGGACUUUUAAUUAGGGCUUCAAAUUAUCAAUGAAGGUGCAAAAGCAACUUAAGGAGAAAAGAGAGUUUGAAUCAGGAGCCUUUGUCGGGAUCGAAGGAAGCUGUUGAACAAAGGAGGAGCAUCUAAAACCAAUUAGCCAAAUGAAGAUAACAAUAAAUCAAGACUGCUUGAAAUAUCAUGGAUUUGGUCGCAUCGCCUCGAGUGUCCUAAUAGAAAGAUCAUUUCUCUUGUGCAAGGUGAGCAACAGGGAGAGUCGCAACACAACCCUUUGCUCCAAGAAGAUUCAACACAACCCUUCGCAGCACAACCCUUUGCUCCGAGAAAAUUCAAGGAGCCGCGAAGAAAUCGUUUACAGAGAUCAAGGAGAAGCUCUUGUCAUUCAAAGGAGCUUGCAUGCUGCUCAUCUCGAGGAUGAUGAUUGGCUUUGCAAAAAGAUACUCCAUACAAGACUGCACUUCUCAUUUUAAAGUACGUGAUGUCAUACUUGAUAGUGGAUGUUGUGAGAACGUUGCGUCGACCACUAUGGGAGACAAGUUGCAUCUCAAGGCGGAGGAUCAUCCACAUCUUUACAAGCAUUUGUGGCUCAAGAAAGGGAGUGAGAUAAAAGUAAAUAACCGGCGUUUUAUUUCAUUCUCUAUUGGCAAAAGAUAUAAAGAUGAGAUUAUGUGUGAUGUAUAACACCUAUCCCUUUGUCAAAGACCGCGUCAAGAUUACAUUGGGCCCUUGCAAGACGGAGAGAGUUCCCAAGCCUCAUGGGAAAGGAACAAAUCUUCUUUCCAAGUCUUAAGUUUUCGUAAGCAUCGGAGGAUGCUUGUGAGGCUUACGCUUUUGUUAUAGUGGAAGAAAAUAAGCAAAAGAGGAGAUCCCAACCAUUUUACAGCCGUGGCUUGAGGAUUUCUGUGAAGUCAUGCCAAUGAAAUUCCAUCCAACCUUCCUCCUUUGAGAGAGAUUCAACAUCAUAUCGAUUUUGUGCUUGGUGCUUCUGUUCGAUCGAUUGAGCUCUGAGAAGCAUAAAGAACUUCAAAGGCAAGUUGAUAAACUCUUGGCCAAGGGAGCAAUACAAGAAAGCUCGAGUCCUUUUGCUGUCCCGGCACUUCCAGUUCCAAAGAAAAAUGGUUCUUGGCAAGUGUGCAUUGAUAAUAGAUCGGUGAACAACAUAACCAUCAAGUUUUUUAUUUUUUAUUUUUCCUUGCCUUGGUAUUUGCUUGAUCAACUUCAAAGAGCUUGUGUGUUUUUCCAAGAUCAAUCUUCAAUGAAGUAGGAGAUUAAAGGAUGACAGCUUUCAAAACUAAGAAUGGUCUUCUUAAAUGCAUGGUGAUGCCCUUUUGACGUUUCUAAUACUUUUAGUACUUUUAUGCAUCUUAUGAAUCAUGGUUUUAAACCUUUCAUUGGCUAGUUUGUCGUGUAUACUUUGAUGACAUCGUGAUUUAUAGCAUAGCAAGGCGCAAGUGGAGCUUUUGGAGUAUCAAAUUCUUCAAGUGCUACGGGAACAACGUUUGUAUGCCAACCUGAAGAAGUGUCACUUUUGCACAAGGAGCCCGGUGCUAUGUUGUCUCCAACGAUGGUGUUAGAGUAGAUCUUAGAAAGAUGGAGGCAAUAAAAAGUUGGCCAAUUCCUAGCUCGCUGAAUGAGAGAAAAGCUCAAGAAUGUUUUUGGCCUUUUUUAUUUUUCAAAUAUCGUCCGAAUGUUAUGUUACACAAAUAAGGCCAGUCACUCCAUUUGGACGUUGCAUCUGAACGUUAAUCACAUAGACCAAGCAACUAAACAGACAAAAAAAAGACGAGGAAAUACACACCCAAAAAAAAAAGGAAUAAUAGUACAAGGACCACCAUUGCCAUGACGUCUCAUCUUCCACUUUCAGUUUCGAAGGAUAUUUGGUUACUUACAUCUCUUGAUGCAUUGCUUCUGAGGAUGCCAUAACAUUCGUUUGAUCUCUCACCAAGCAAAUGCUCAGCUUCUUCAAGGUCACCGCUCCGAUUCGACCAUGGAUGCCUAUCCAUCAUCCUCAUCAGUCCGUCCAAUUCCAUUGCCACUUCCUUCAUGGUUGGCCGAUCUUCGCCUUUCACUCUCAGGCAUUGGUUUGCCAGCAUCGCAACUUCCUUAAUCUCUUCUGGGUUCCCAUUGUUCAGCACCAUCGGGUCGAUGAUUUCAAACAGCCUCUCGCUCUUUAUCGCAGAAGCAAAAUACAAGGACAAGUUCAUCUCUUUCUCAGCCCGCUCAAAGGAGAAGGCCCUCAGUCCAGUCAGCAACUCAGCCAACACGACCCCGAAGCUAUAGACAUCGCUCUUCUCAGUCAACUGGCUCGAGUGGAGGUACUCGGGGUCCAAGUACCCACGCGUGCCUUGAACCAGCGUGUUCAGCUGUGUGCCGUUGAGGGGGACUAGCCUGGAUGCUCCAAAAUCAGCGACCUUUGCGGUGUAGUUUUCAUCCAACAAUAUGUUUGUGCUCUUUAUGUCUCCGUGCAAAAUCUGAGUGGAUGCAUCGGAGUGCAAGUACGAGAGCGCACCUGCGGUCUCCCCUGCAAUGCGCAGACGAGCCCUCCGGGAUAAUGUGGACUCGUGGCCGCACUUGUGUAUGUGGUCAGAAAGGGUGCCAUUGGUCACAAACUCGUAGACUAAUAACGGGACCUCCGUCUCGAAGCAACAACCGAUUAGCUUAACCACAUUGCGGUGAUUAAUUUGGGAGAGGAUGAUCAGCUCGUUGAUGAAUUCUUUAACCUGACUUCGGGCCAAAAUCUUGGCCUUCUUGAUGGCGACAACCCUGUUGUCUACUAAGAUCCCUCGGUAUACAGUUCCCUGGCCUCCCUGGCCUAGGAUUCGGCUUUCAUGGUAGUGGUCCGUGGCCUUCUUGAGAUCUCGGUCGGUGAAUAUUCUCACAGAUUCAAUGGAGCCUUUGUGCUCAGAACGAAGUCUCUGCAACAGUUCGUGGCCCCCAUUUUCUUGGAAGAACUUCUCUCUCUGUCUCCUGAUUUUUCUUUCUCUAAGCCCCCAAUAUAACCAGGAAACGGCCAAAAGAACCAGCAGGAAGCUUGUGCUCACGCCUAGUAAAAGACAUUAUAUUCGGUGAACAAACACAUUAGUUGUCCAUCACACUACAUAUGUUCUCAUAACCAAGAAAAGAAAAGAAAAAAACAGAAUCGAAAUUUGCUUGACUCUUUCAUUUUCAUUACUCAAACAAUCUUGUGUUAAUUUACUUCUUUGUCCUAUUUUCUUAUUCUUCUCCAUCAACUUGAAGCUUUCAUUAAGAAAAACCUUGAUAAUAGCAAAAUAAACCUAAAUAUUUAAUUAUGCUGAGAGUAACUUAUGAUAACAGGAACGAUUCAAUGCAUCAAGUGGAUAAAACGUGCUUGAUUCUUUUUCAACAACAGAAGAGCAAGUGGUUGAUUUUGUUAAUAUCGAAUUGAAUAACUUGAGAUGACGACACAGGUAUAUAAUAUCAAUUUAAUCCAUGGACACAAUUAAUUCAAAGAGAAAGAUUUACAUCCGAAAAAUCUCAAUAACUAAUAGCAAAAGAUGGAACAAUGGCAUAAUAACAACAUUUAAAGAAGGUGAAUAAAUUACAAGAUAAAAGAAGCUUUUAUAUGAUGAAAAAGUUUGAGCAAUGUGUACGACUUACUGACCUAGCACGAUGUCCAUUGAGCGAAACCUCUUUGUAGGAGUACAACCGUUGCCAUCUUUUUUUCCAUCUCCUCGGGAUCCCUUCGGACAUGAACAAUUAUACGUUCCCGGCAAGUUUGUACAUAUUCCAACGCAGGGUUGUGAAAUCACGCAUUCAUUGAUAUCUGGAGGAAUAUAUUCCAAAUGGAAGAAGCAAUCCAACACCAUUUCAAUUGGAAGAAACUUGAAAAAGUAAAUAGAAUUCCAUGAUUUGGCAACACUUUCAAUUUUGAGAGGACACGUCAAGUUAAUUUGCUUUUUCUGAGAUUGUGAUACCUCACCACACUUUUUAAGUGAUAGGUCAUUAUCUCAAGAGCCUAAGCGUAACCGAGCAUUUGAUCUUUGUUUAGAAUAGAAGAUUUAAGAAUUAUCCAACAAAAUUGUGCCAUUACUAAUUAGAAUAAUACAUUACAUAGAAAAAAAUUCAAAAAUAAUUGUCUAUAAAUACAGAAUAAUGCUGGAUGUAUUAACAUCGGUAGGUGAAACUGAUUUACAAGCUAACUUUACCGAUUCAUAUUGAGGGUUCAGUAUGGACCGUUUAUAAACUCAAUUUCACUCGACUGAUUCAGUUUAUAAAACAAUUGUACGGACUAAACUUAAGAGAGAAGAAUGUCUAGCUAUAUCUGGAAUGAUAGCUGUGAAAGUUAACAGAUUAUUACUAAGCGCUUCAUAGGUCAUAUUAAAUUUCAAGCAAUGAAAAUUCGUGCAUCUGAAAGGAAAAAAAAAGGUAUGAUUGUGUUUAACGGCCUAGAUUGUUAUGAUUUUUAAGAUUAUAAAUGUUACGUGACUAAUAGGAGAAUCGUUUGAAACAUGUACCAUUCAUCAAGUCAAAAUUUGGUCCUCUGACUUGAAGUUUCUAAGAAUUUCUUUCUCUGGGUUUUUUAUGCAAUUGGAUCCAUUUAACAUGGUCGCCCUUAUGGAAAUAAUGAUCCACGAUUCUAUACAGGAGCACUCGUUCGGAUGUGAGGUGGGUCUAAUGAAAAGAAGGGAAAAGGUACCUUGACAACCGUUUUGGAGAUAGGGGUUCCCUUGAAAACCCUUCAAGCAGUGGCACUGGUAGCCAUUUCCAUUCUCAGCAUCUGUACAAUUGGAGUUCUCUCGGCACAUGUAGGUCGUUGUAUUCUUCUGUGCAUCAUCGCAUGUUUGAUUUGGAAUUAACCAAUCGACAACUAGAGGGACCAUAUCAAAUGGCGGCUCGCGCAGAUUGUCCGUAGAGAAGCUAAAGAAGCCGUCUUGGGCAACGAAAGCGUAUCCGCACGGAUUGAAAUCAGAGAUGCCGAGAUGAUUGUUGUAGCUAGCGACAGAGAUGUUGUAUCGGUAGGCGUCUCGAGGAAUGCUAGUCUCGCAGCAACCGAUGCCCGAGCACGACCCAUUAAUCACGUCCAAGUCGCUGUGGCAUGAGGACAAGCACCCCGUCACAUACGUGCUUCCGCUGAAGGUCGCGUACGUGUCGCAUCCCACGGCGAUAAAUUUGUUCUUGGCAGAAGAUAUGGGGAAUAUGGGAAGAGAGAAGUAAGGAUCAUUAUUGUUCAAGGAUGUUCCGGACGAAUCAUAACAAUCUUUGGCUACAAACAUCGUUACACUAAUCUCGUGACUCUCCAUAGAUAUAUCGAGUACUCGGAAAUAAGAAUCUUUACUGUACAUAUGAGGAGUGGGAGGAUCAGUCGAGUCGUUGCAAAACAUGAUGAAAGACUCUGAUUCUUCUUUGAAGUAGCAGUCGUUGCCGGCAUCAUUCAUCCCGAAUGGGUACGCGAAGGUGAGGUUGCCACAUCUGUUCGCGCAUCCGGGCUUUGUUGUUUGGACUACAUCCGCAGUAACUACUGAGAAUAGAGCCACCAAUGAGCACAACAGCAGCACAACUCUCAAGGGAAGUCUAUGGAGCAGCAUGGAUCCACCCAUAUUCUUCCCGAAAUGAGAUGAUAUUUUGCAACGAGAUGAUGAGCUUCAUAGCCCGAUGACAACCUUUAUAAGCGAUGAUGGAGCUUCUGGAAAGCUAAGUAGUAUAUGCAUUAUUCAUAGUCCCCACUAUAUUGACUGUCUUCACGGUGAUUACAUCAUUACUAAUCAAUCAUACGGUUUUGUCCACUCUCUAUGGCUCUUCACUAAAGAAGCCUUGACAAGCCUGUCGCGAUUCACGUUGUGGCGUCGCAAUCAUUCGUAGGAAUUUCCAAACUGACUUGCAAAUAAUAAAAGUCGUGAUUAGAUAGAUAUUUUUUUUCUUUUCAAUCUCAGAAUUAGUUUCGACGGGUGGUGCUCAUAAACUAUUGCAUGCACAUCUCUAAUGUAUGAACUCCUUAAAUAUUUGUACAAAUAUCAACACCGUAUUUAAAUCUUUAUGUACAGAGUAAAAUAUUUCAAUUUAUGCUAUGUACAAUAAAAAAAAAUAGGUACAUCGAUGGUAAGUACUAAAGAUUAGUUAGAUAAAGCAAGAAACUGUUGAUUCGGGUCAGUUCGAAUUUGAAUUUGAAAAUCAAAACAGCACUAGACAACCCAAAUAUAGAAGAUGAAUGAGAACGAAGUUUGCGGUGUUUAGAUAUGAUUUGCUAAGUAAAAGGACUUCAAGAGACCAAAAUUGAUUUUGAGAAUUUUCUCAGAUUCGCCUAUAAAGUUUCAAGUAAAUCCUAAAUCAAUGCGAUCAGUUUUCUUGGCAAUUUCUCACGCACGAGAGUAUGUCUCAUCAGGGUGCUUUCAUUAUCCUGCCAAGACUUGAAAAGUCAAGCAAGUAUGAAGCGUAUGCAAUGGGAGAUCACAACGCUAAAAUUCGUUAAAGGACUCAUUGCCCUCAAGGAAAACUUAAGAGGUUUUAUAAUACAAAAUUAUCAAGAAAAAAAUUCUAAACCUAUUAUACUNNNNNNNNNNNNNNNNNNNNNNNNNNNNNNNNNNNNNNNNNNNNNNNNNNNNNNNNNNNNNNNNNNNNNNNNNNNNNNNNNNNNNNNNNNNNNNNNNNNNNNNNNNNNNNNNNNNNNNNNNNNNNNNNNNNNNNNNNNNNNNNNNNNNNNNNNNNNNNNNNNNNNNNNNNNNNNNNNNNNNNNNNNNNNNNNNNNNNNNNNNNNNNNNNNNNNNNNNNNNNNNNNNNNNNNNNNNNNNNNNNNNNNNNNNNNNNCGAUAGGUCACAUCAGAAUUUGUUACUGCCUGCCAACUUUGAUUGCGUCAUUGAUAGAUGCAGGGUGCUUUCAUUACAUUUCCAAGACUUGAGAAGUCUAGCAAAUCAACAGUAAGCGUAUGCAGUGGGGGAGAGAUCACAACCCCAAAAAAGAGAAUGAGAAAGAAGAAAAAUCAACAAGAGCAGAGUGGUUUGAGCUGGGGAUUGUCUACAUGAAAUGUGUUUCAAGUUGGAUGGAUUUUAUAAUCUGAAAAUUUGUAUUUUCCUGUUUCUAGUCUGUAUAUAUGCAUUCUAAAACAGAGUAACCGGUAGCUUCAAAAUAAUUAAUCAACUAGCUUCAAAGAGAUAAAAUAUCAAAUUUUUUAAUUGUUGUGUUACAAAAUUAAGAUGUUGAAAUAAGAUUCCGUUAUGUACUUUUAAACUACGAAAAGAUACGUCGCAUGUGGAUAUCUUUUUCCUUUUUCUAGGCUAACAUUUCCAACUAAUAUGGAUUGUGAAGGGAACAUUGUCCAAAUAGUCCUAAACCAAUUUAGUCCUAAACUUUUCAAUUUUGCCAAUUGAGUCAUAAAAAUUUUCACAUUUUGCCAAUUCAAUUCUAAACAUUUUUCACUUUUUGGCUAAAAAUUACUAACGUGGACAACUGGUGCUAACGUGGCACUUUUUAAAUAAUUUUUUUUGAUGUUUUUUUUAAUGAUUUUUCUACUUUUUUUUUUUUUGGUUUUGGAUCUACUCGGCAAAGGUUGUCGGCCAACCCUCGCCAGCCACAAGUGAGGCCAACGAGCGAGAGCUGAUCAACCCCUACCAACUUCUGGGCGAGGCGCACAAGCCCUUGCCUAGAAUACGAGCUUGUGACACCCUNNNNNNNNNNNNNNNNNNNNNNNNNNNNNNNNNNNNNNNNNNNNNNNNNNNNNNNNNNNNNNNNNNNNNNNNNNNNNNNNNNNNNNNNNNNNNNNNNNNNNNNNNNNNNNNNNNNNNNNNNNNNNNNNNNNNNNNNNNNNNNNNNNNNNNNNNNNNNNNNNNNNNNNNNNNNNNNNNNNNNNNNNNNNNNNNNNNNNNNNNNNNNNNNNNNNNNNNNNNNNNNNNNNNNNNNNNNNNNNNNNNNNNNNNNNNNNNNNNNNNNNNNNNNNNNNNNNNNNNNNNNNNNNNNNNNNNNNNNNNNNNNNNNNNNNNNNNNNNNNNNNNNNNNNNNNNNNNNNNNNNNNNNNNNNNNNNNNNNNNNNNNNNNNNNNNNNNNNNNNNNNNNNNNNNNNNNNNNNNNNNNNNNNUUUGGAUAUUUUCCCAAUUGUGGUCGAUAUGCAUUUGUGGAGAAUUAUCAGCAUCAAGAAUUUAAUUUUUCUUUUCCUUUUUCUGGUCCAAUGACUGUAGUUAUUAGCUUAUUUUAAGCUGUGGAGUUAACAACGGCAGGUCCUGGAGACUUUCAUGAGACGAUUCCACUACAAAUCCUUGUGUGACGAAGUCUUUGUGCGGUGUGGUGCGAGUUUAAAUUUUCCAAAUGCACGAUUUAUUUGACAUAUAUUUCUUCAUUCUUUCGUCGUUGCUCAUCCGAAAAAACAGGCCAUUGUGGGCCAGAGACUGGUGCACAAUUGUCACAGAAGAGCUGCUCUUACUUUCCUAAUAAUCCGUGGGAAACAAUAAGUCUUGGUCUUCUCCUUUCCCAAUUGAUUUUUAUAGUAUGGUACAUUGGGGAUGUUACUUCUGCGCAGGGCAAAUUUUUUCUUUCGAGGCGUUGAUUCAUGCAAAAAGUGAAAGUUGAUAGCGAAAGGAGAAGACCUAACCUCUCUCUUUCAUCAAGAAAGAGACUUCUUGUUUAACUCUAUAUUUGAACAAUUCCAAAACUUAAUAAUGCACCUUAACUCUCAGUUGUCGGGCAGCAAUUAUCAAUGAAAAAGGCACACUAGUUCGUAAAUUUCAUCAGUUAAUUUACAGUAAUAUAUAAUUAUCUUCGGCAAUGUCUCUCUACAAAUCCUUAGAAUUCUUUGGAGAGACUAAUUGAAAAUCCCAACCGCCAACGUAAUUGGACAAUGCAUUGAGAGAUGAUGUGCAUCCAAACUCAAUAACAUAUUAAUGAGGGCUUUGACACUCUCCAUCAUAAGCAUCUACAAACUUUUCAAACGGGUUCUUUGCCAACUAAUAAGCUAAGUACCAUUGUCAAAUUUCCAAUAGAAAUCUAGCCGCAGGAAAUUUUUUCAACACUCACAAAUUGACACAUGAUGCCUACAUGGGCAGGUCGAAUUACUUCGAUAAUCUAAGUCUAUCAGUAAGAAAAUCGACAUUAUUUGGAGUCUUUCCUUGGGUAAUAGUAAAAAUGCAUCAGUUGAUAACAGAGCCUAAAUCUGGCUGGUCCAGCCGAUUUGAGAAGACAAGUGCAACAUCUCCAACAAGAAUUGGAGCAAUCUUGAUUGUUAAUGUCAUGCCCCGAACUCCGAGCGCACGCACAUCUCUCGGCGGUCGAUUAAAAAUUUGCGACGUCCCAAGACGCGUCACUAACCCAUUCUUUUUAUCUUUCAAUUAAGCAAAUACACCACCCAGUCAAAUUUGACCAAAAAUCACUAUAGUAUAUAAUUUUUAUAAUUUUUGGGAAAAGGCUAAGUGAAGGCGGUCGGUUUCCUUGGCAAUUUCUCAUGUGCAACAAUGUAUCUCGUCUGGAGUUAUUGCCCACCAACUUUGGGUGCAUCAUUGAUAGAGAGUAUAAAUGAGACAGGAUGCUUACUGCACCAAGACUUGAAAAGUUAAGCAAGUACUAAGCGUAUGCAAUGGGAGAUCACAGCUUGCACCAAGACUUGAAAAGUUAAGCAAGUACUAAGCGUAUGCAAUGGGAGAUCACAGCUUGCACCAAGACUUGAAAAGUUAAGCAAGUACUAAGCGUAUGCAAUGGGAGAUCACAGCUUGCACCAAGACUUGAAAAGUUAAGCAAGUACUAAGCGUAUGCAAUGGGACAUCACAGCUUGCACCAAGACUUGAAAAGUUAAGCAAGUACUAAGCGUAUGCAAUGGGAGAUCACAGCUUGCACCAAGACUUGAAAAGUUAAGCAAGUACUAAGCGUAUGCAAUGGGAGAUCACAACUAGAAGUGAUUGGUUCUCGGAUGAUUUGGUUCCCACCCCAAAAAUCGAGAAUUGGACCAAAAGGAUUCUAAAACCAUGAAUCGAACCAGUGCCCCUAAAACUGAACCGACCAAUCUAGUUCAGUUCCUACGUGGAUCAUGGAACUGGUGGCAUGUUCAUUUUUUUAUUUUUUUACUGUUAUUUGUCAUUAAAGUUCAAGACAAAUUGAAGAUGUUCUUGAUAACCAAGACAUUUCUACAAUCAGCCAAUUACGUGUAGCAUUGUAGGUUUCACAUAAUUUUUACAAUCAGCGAAUUGAAGAUGUUCUUGUCAUCUUACUCACAUGCAUGAGUGAAAUAGGAGUUGUGAGACUUGUGCUUGUCUGCAUGCGUGAGUGAAGUCCGAAAUAUGAGAUAGAUUAGGGUUUUUUUUACAAAUUAAAGGAAAUUAAAAAAAAAAAUUGGUCUAACCCAUGUGGGCAAUCCCAUGCCUGAAAUUGGGAAUCAGAUUGAAAUUCACUAGUUUCAAUUUUAUAGAAUUGAGAACUAGAUCAGUGCCCCCAAGAACUGCCCAAAAUUGGCUGAUCUAGUCCCAUUUAAGUGGCUCCUUUUGCUUACCCCUAGUCAUAACUCUAAAAUAGAAGAAUGCCGAAGAAAAAUCAUGAAGAGCAAACUGCUUUGAGCUGGCGAUUGGUGAUGGGGUUUACACUCCUAGGAGUGAAAUUUCUAUUGCAUUCUGGAAAAGAAUAACGCAUAUUUCAGAGUGAUUAAUCAACUAGUUUUAAAGAGGUAAAAACUAAACAUUUGCCAUUGCCGUGCUACGAAAAAUAAGAUUCUUAGAUAACAUUUCAUUCUAUACUUUUACAUUAAGAUAAGAUACGUUGAACGUAGGUUUGUUUUUUUUUUUUUUGUUUUUUGUUUGCCUAGGAUUUCUAAUUAAAAAUAUGGACUGUGGUGAUACGUAUUUGUGGAGAAUAAUCAUUCCAAGGAAUUUAUUUUUCCUUCCAUCUGGUAUCCGUGUUGUUAAUCUUUUGUUGCAUUUCCAUAAUUUUGAGGACACCAUCUUGCUGACAUCGUGGUAACGAAGAAAAACGCAAUCAUUAUUGCCAAAAGUCAUUUUGAAGAAACUAGGCUAAUCGAAUUAGGAGCAAAAUAGUGUCUCAUAUUGGACCUUAGUGUAAAUGUGACUUAAACUGGAAAAAGUAAAAAAAAAAAAAGUAUAUAAUCUAUUGUCAUGAUACCAAUUCAGCUCUUAACCUUUUAAAUAAUCAAUUCAAUUCUAAACAUUUUCAUAUUGAUACCAAUUUAGUCCAUCCGACCAAUUUAAGCUGAAAAUUGCCAAUGUGAACGCCAGCUGUGCUAUGUAGCAUGAUCGAUACUGGCGUGGAUAUUUUUAAUAAUAUUUUAAUAUUUUUUGAAUUUUUAAAAUCUUUUUUGCUUUUUCUUUUUUUGACCUCCCUUUUCUUUGCUUUUUCUUUUUGCUAGUGGCCAUUGCUAGCCACCGACCAUAGCCAUGGUCGGCGAGGGUUGGCCUUGGUUGGCCUCACCACCAUAGCCAUGGUUGGUGUGGCUGGCCUUGGUCGACCUCACCGACCACAAGCAAUGGUUGGCCUCGCUGGGUCGCCCUUGAGCGAGGGCAAGCACCGAUCGUCCUAGUGAGGCCCCCUCGCCAGAUCUAACGACCAACCAUCGCAUAGAGGGCGCGGCUAGUUGGGCCUCGCCAUCACCCACGUGGGGCUCACCAAGCCUCAUCCUCGCCCAAGCGAGCCUCGACGAGGCCGACCCUUACUUAGGCGAGGUGCAAUGAGGCCACCCUGGCCUAGGAGAUGGUCGGCCUCCUCAAAUCUAGCGAGGGGGCCUCACCUAGCCACACCUAGACGACCGACGCUCCCUCUUGACCACACCCUCGCCCAAAGAAAUUACCAUCGGAUAGUUGCAUACAUGUCGCAUUGCUAUGUAUACAAAGAAAUUACCACUAUGCAAGGCGCCUAUUUAAGCAAAAACAUACGUUCUUCAUUCAAAUUAUUUGAUGGCAAAUUGAAUAUUAGUAUUGUGUUGCUAAUUGGAGAGCUUACCUUGUACUCUAACGAUUAUACCACAUAUAAAUAGAUAAUGUUUCCUUUCGACAGAUUAGUUCUAGAAUAUAUAGAAUUAAUGAGUGUAAUAUCUUUUAACACACUGUCAUAAGGCUUUGUGGCACAACGUCAAUUAGAUAUAACAAAUGUGACUGUCCAUCAACAAAUUAACCUAGCCCGAACCAGUCAACCUACCUUAGCUAAAAACUAUUGAUUCAGGUUGGUUCCGUUUCGAUUUGAAAUCUGAAAAGAACAAAAUCUAACCAACCUAUAUAUAGCAGAAGAACAAAAUUUGCAGUGUCCAAAUCUACACAAUAGAAAACACAAUCCUCAAAUCAAAUUACAUUUUCCCGUUCAAAGUAAAACCACAGAUAUGGUCCGAGAUCUGAUCAUUGCUAACUAAAAGGACUUUGGGAGUCUGAAAUUGAUUUUCAGAAAUUUCUGAUGGUCGACUGAAAGUUCCAGGUAAAUGCCAAGUCAAUGGGGUCGGUUUCCUCGACAAUUUCUUAUGUAGCACAGUAGGUCGCAUCAGAAUUUGUUAUUGCCCACCAACUUUGACUGCGUCAUUGAUAGAUGCAGGGUGCUUUCAUUACAUUGCCAAGACUUGAGAAGUCUAGCAAAUCAACGGUAAGCGUAUGCAGUGGGGGAGAGAUCACAACCCCAAAACAAGAGAAAGAGAAAGAAGAAAAAUCAACAAGAGCAAAGUGGUUUGAGCUGGGGAUUGUCUGCAUGAAAUGUGUUUCAAGGUGGAUGGAUUUUAUAAUCUGAAAAUUUGUAUUUUCCUGUUUCUAGACUGUAUAUAUGCAUUCUAAAAAGGAGUAAUCAGUAGCUUCAAAAUAAUUAACCAACUAGCUUCAAAGAGGUAAAAUAUCAACUUUUUUAAUUGUCGUGUUACAAAAUUAAGAUGUUGAAAUAAGAUUCUGUUAUACACUUUUAAACUAAGAAACGAUACGUCGCAUGUGGAUUUUUUUUUCCUUUUUCUAGGCUAACAUUUCCAGCUAAUGUGGAUUGUGAAGGGAAAAUUGUCCAAAUAGUUCUAAACCUAUUGCACUUUUGUCAAUUUAGUUAUAAACUUUUCAAUUUUUCCAAUUGAAUUCUAAACAUUUUCACAUUUUGCCAAUUCAGUCAAAAACCUUUUCACUUCUUGCCAAUGGAGUCCAUUCAACCAAUUUUGGCCAAAAAUUACUGAUGUGGAUAACCGGCGUUGACAUGGCACUUUUUAAUAAUAUUUUAAAAUAUUUUUAUGGUUUUUUUACUCUCUUUUUUUUUGGAUCUAGUCGGCAAAGGUUGUCAGCCAACCCUCGCCAGCCACAAGUGUUCGUAAAAUUCUAAACGCAAAUGAAUGUGUCGAACAAGUAAUAUAAUGACAAGAAAAAGUAUCAUCCCUUGAAGAUUGAUGAUUAAUAAACUAAUUAAAUACUAAAAUAAAUUAAUUCUAAAAUUUAUCUAACAUAUCAAAAUAUAAUUUAGAAUAAAUUAAAAACAAAAUUUGAAUACUAAAUGCAGUAAAUCAAUAAGAUAAAUAUGUUAGAGUAUCUAAUUUUACCAUAACCACUAGAUAUGAAUUUCAGAUUGUUGUGGGUUCAAGAACGAUAUCAAACAUGUGAUAGCGGAAUUUCCUAAUCUAUUUAGCAAACCCACUCAGCUUAUUAAUCCACUAUAUCUCCAUGUGAAUUAAAAUAAACCUGAGUGCAUUAAAAACUAUGAAUAUUCCUUGGCUUACAGUGAGUCUUUUAGAUCACCUUAUCACCGAAAGUUACACAAAUAACGCAGUAUAUCUCUAUCCACAUUUAAUUCAUGGUUAUAUAUUAUAAUGAGCAAUUGCAUAUUAUCACUUCUCAGUCUCAAAUAUAUACAUCAGAUCAUUCAAGUGGUGGCCAGUCACUCAAAAGCAUUAAGCACAAUAAUAUAUAACUCACAUGAAUGAAAUCAAUUGCAAAACAUAAAAAUCAUGAAAUUCACAUCAUUCUAGCUAGGCUACAAUGUAGCCCUAGCAAAAGAAAACUAGAACAUAGUAGAACAAGAAAUAAAAAUAUAAAUUAAACUUAGCAUCUUGAAUCAAAGAACGAGAAUUCUGUCACCACUUUUGUCUUUUCUUCAAAAUACUUGAAAAAAUCUCAGAAUAAUAAAAAACGAUCGAACAAAAAGCCUAACUUCUCUCUCAAUGGCUCUCAAUGUUCUCCCAUUUUGAGGAUAUAUCCAAGCUCCAAGCAAUUGCGCAUAAAAUCAGGGAGUAGAUCAGAGGAUUCUGAUUUGAUAUCUAUCUUCCACUGCUUCUUGAUUUGAAUUUGUGAUUUUUUUGCCAUUCUUUUCCUUAUAUUCUCCCUAUCUCAUUAUUCUACAUAAACAAAGAAAAUUCAAAUAAUCAGAAGAAAAUCCAAAUAUUUUCUUAUAGAUAUCGCAUUAAUUGUUGCCUAAAAUAGGUAAAAUAACUCUAUUUUUAUAGAGUUAUCAAACUCUCAAACUUAACAUUUUGCUAGUCCUCGAGCAAAAUCAAGACAUAACACAUACUCAAGCUAACAACCUCCUCCAUGACAUCUUUUCAUAAUUGCUCAAAUUCGCAAUUCAAAGGAAAACACAAAUUUCAUCCAAACAUUGAAAUUGAUUUAUAAGUUAAGACCAGUUCUAACUAUGUGAUCCAAAUGUGUGUGUGAGAGUCUCAUCUUUUUUUCUUUUUUUUUGAAUUAUAUGCAAUCUAGAUAAAUUCACAUUGACAUGCAACCUCUAAAAAAUUCUCAAUAAUUAUGACCAAAUCUCAUAGGUUUGCUUAUCAUUCCUCUCUCCACUAAUGUAAAUUAAUUAUCCAACCAAGAAUCAAUAUGACUUUUCUCUAUUUGUAAUGUAAAUAUGAGCUAAAGAUGAGAUAACGGUAAUUUUAAGCUCAAAUCACCCAUCAACACGUUGAUUUCUAGGAUCUAAUUAGAGCCAAUGUCACUUCCAAUUUCAUUCCUUCAAGAUAAUUUUUCUACCAUCAUAUAUCAUUAUUCUUUUUUUUCCUUCUCUUUCUUUUUUUUUUAAAAUUUUUUUUAUGGUGGAGUUUCUCCCAAAGACCCUCCUAAUAUAACAUGAACAUUUCCAACACAAUAAGUAUUCAAAAGGCUCACUCAAUUAAAAGUUGGAUAAGGAACAUAAAAUCAAAUUUUCUUUUGACAAUACACCCCAAACAACCAUAGCAAUCACUUCUCCUUUUAUUUUUUACUUCUUUUUUUAUACUCCAUCCUUCCUCCCAAAUUUCUAUUAAGCUCAAAUAAUUUUUUAUCCAAAAAAAAAAAAAUCAACGUGUUCAUAGGGCAUGGGACAAUGAUAUAAUUUGAUAACUACUAGGUUAAAUUUAUAUGGGUGCCAAUGAAAAAUUGGGUAAUAAUUAAAGCUCAACGGGGUGACUGGGGAUAAAUAAACAGGUUAGCUUGAAAGGCUCAAUUGAUCCAAAAAUUGCCUAAAUCAUUUUUUCAGUUAGAUUUAGCUUAGGAUUUCGCCUCAAGAGAAAAUCAAACAAAUUCUAAAAUUUGGGUGAAAUUUAAGAAAAUCACAUACUUCACAUGAAAGUUCUCUAGAUUUACACAUAGGGAAAAAAAAAAAGGACUUUUGGGGCCCAAUAAGUGACCCCCAAAAUCACAAAUUAAAGUCAUUUCACCCUUUUUUCCCAACUUUGUAUGAUUGGUAAAAAUUCAUAACUAGAAAGCCAAUCCCAAUAAAAAAAUUACCCAAAAAAAUUUGUUUCCCCCCCCCCCCCCCCCCAAAAAAAAAACUUGAAUGAAGUAGUGUCUUCAAUGCGAAUAAUAGAAAUAGGAAGAAGAAAACUCCCAUGGUUGUAGGAUAACUUCAUAGAUGACCUUGAUGGUUAAACUCUUGAAAGGUGAUCCCUAAAAAUAUUAAUUUGGAUAAAAUAGACAAAAGUUAAUCUUGUUUUUUUGCAAAACAUAAACUUAACAAUAAAUAAAAAUAAAACAUAAUUAAAAUGCUUGGGUUGCCUCUCAAGAAUCGCUUGCUUUAUAGUUUUUAGCCAAACUAUCUCGGAUGUCGCUAUUCUAGAUAAUGAAGUUCAAUGGUGGUCUUAUGCUUGUUGUAACCACCUUCAAAGUAGGGUUUCAAAUGUUGACCGUUCACCCUGACUGUUCCCUUAGUGUCAUGCUCAACUUUAAUUGUUCCAUAUGGGAAUACCUGUGUAACUGUGAAAGGACCAGACCAUCGAGACUGCAACUUUCCUAGAAAAAAUUUAAGAUGAGAGUUAUAAAGUAAGACUUUUUGAUCAAUUUUAAAUGGCAAAAGAACGCUUUAAGUGCCAAAAAUUGGCACAAAGGGACACUUAACAACUUAGAAUUUUCACAGGCCUCAUUGCGAAAUUCCUCCAAUUCAUUCAGUUGCAAUAAUCUUUCUUCACCUGCAGAUUGCAUGUCAAAAUUUAGGAAUUUCAAUGCCCAAUAUGCUUUAUGCUCUAAUUCCAUUAGUAAAUGACAAACCUUCCCAAACACUAACCUAAAAGGAGACCUCCCAAUUGGAGUUUUAAACACUGUUCUAUAGGCCCAAAGUACAUCAUCAAGUUUUAUUGAUCAAUCUGUCACGCCCUGAUCCUCGGGCACGUGCACAUCCUUCUUGGUUGGUCGGUUCUAUAAUGCGAUAUCCUAGGACUAUGUAUCGCCGACCCUUUCAUUUUUAAGCACAUGCGAAAGCAGUUAUAAUCCCUAGACAAUAAAACGAUGGGAUAGAAAAGCAAGGCUAUAUUUUUCAUAUUGAAACUUAUAACCAAACUUUUAUUCGAAAUACAAACCAGAGUACUUUACAACUUUUCACAACUUUUUACUCUAACUUUAUUAACAUCAAGACAAGAUUCGCAAAAGAGGAUAGGAUCUCAGUCCUCAUUCGGAUCGUACUUGAGAUGCCUCUCGAUAGUAUCUUCUUCUUCCAAAAAUCCUUCUCCUUAGGUUUUCCUUCAGAGUUUUCCUUCUCAGAUUCCUCCUCCUCAGCUCCUUAUCAGGGUCCUGAAAUGUUUUCCCCAAACCGGGAUGAGACUACGUCUCAGCGAGUUCUACCCCACUAAGACUCAAUGAGGGAACCAAUACACUACUCGGUUGCCUAAGCACAGCACGAGUCAGAGGACUUACCUUGGCCUCAGUCUCAACCUGCAAUUCAAGGUUAUAUACAAACGCUUCACAAAUCAUAACGAACAAUCAAUCAAAUCACGAUAAUCUGAUCAAAUCAUUGAUCAAUCGAACUAGUCGAUUACAUGUCAGAUGGACCAUUCCUGAUCAUUGAUUCCACACCAUAUAACCUUCCAUCGAGCACUUGGUCACAGAGCCACAUCAAUGCUCUCGGGCGUCAAGUUCGCCAAUGUGACGUAAAUAAGAAAUGGUCUACGUGCGUUCUUUAAGGCGCCGUUUUUGUGCAGUGAUAUUCCUCAUCACGAAACCACGCCCGUCAUAGAUCACAGACAGUCUAUGCUCGUUCUUUAAGGCACCGUUUUCGCACAGUAAUAUCCUUAAUCACCGAACCACACCUGUUUGUACUUCGUACUUGAUCGGUCUCAGCCAAUAGAAUUUUCAAUUAGUUCUCGCCACUCUCUCCACUUACAGCUCAACAAGGUAUUCAAAAUGCUAAAUAGUCAUACUCGGUCAACUACCAAUCAAUAAUUCAAUUUCAAUCAAUUUAGGGUAAAUCUCUGAAUAUCACAAUUUAUUUAAUUCCCUACACAUAGAGCUCAUUAAAUAAACAGACUGCGCCACGACAUUAGCACGAGAUUUCGAUUGUCAGCUACCCAGCUUAAUUUCGAAAAAUAAAUAAUUCAUUCAUUAAUUUCGAAAUUAAUAAUUAAUUACAAUAAAUCCAAUUUAGCUCAAAUCGGAGCUCAAUUAAAUAAAUGGACUUCACCACAAUUAUUAGCAUAAAAUUCUGAUCAUCAGCCAUCCUAGUUGAAUUUUCAGAAAAUAAAUAAUUAAAUAAUUAGUUCUAAAAAAUAAUAUUUAAAUGCCAAAAAUUCCACUUAGGCCUGAAUUGUCAAAGCCCGAUUAGGGUCGAGAAGAAUCCGGGGCUACCCUCAAUAAAUAGUAGAUCACGUCUACUUGCUAAAUACACAUUCAAUUUAUCUAAUUUGCAUCACAAUUGACUAAUAAACACUAAUCCAUACUAAUCUAACCGCCUAAACCUAAUUAAUUAAAACUAAACAACCCUUAAGUGUAAUUAGUCCGCUAAGCAAGGAUUAGUGAGAUUACUCACCGGAAUCGCGUGCAAGUCGGACCAAUCCGACGGGGACGACGCGAGGAACAAUAAACCUCAAAGCAGGUCUCGGGUUCGGGGCCCGGAAAUGGCCCAAAAGCGGGCCCGAAGUCGCUGGAGACCCACUUCGCAACUUGCUGGGUUGCUGCAAAACAGAGGGGAAAAAGAGAUGGUUGGGGGCAGCAAGGGGUCGGGAGAGUGGGUAGAGCUUCGGUGAGGCUGGACGGUGGGCAGAGGGGGUCGGGCCACGGCCUAAGCUAGCCGAACAAGGUUGGACAGAGGCGGAAGUCACGCGGGGGAGGGAUGGUAGCGAGCGGCGGGCGCGCUGGCGUGCGCACGGUGGCAAGCGGUGGACGCACGGGUGCAGGUGGCAAGACGGGCAGUGACGACUUCGGCAAGCUGCUGCUGCUCGGCUUCUUCCGCUUCUAGUUCGCUGGUUGCACAAAGAAGAAAGAAAAGGAGGGGUUCGGUCACGAGGGGGAGAAGAGAGAGGAGAGAGAAGAAGAGAUAAGAGAGAGAAUAGAAAGGGUUUGACUAGUCAAAUGGGGAGAGAGAAGAAGCCAAAUUGAAUUUGGCAAGGCAAGUGUUCGGUGGGGGAGUGUCUGCACGAAGUGGGAGGGGAGAGGAGAGAGAAGAGAGAAAGAAAAAGAGAGAAAAUGGAGAGAGAGAAAAAGAAAUAAAAUAAUAGCCUUAUUCUUUUUUUUUUUUACUUUUCUCUUUCCCUUUCCCUUUCUAUUUUCUUUUGAUCUUCGAUUUUUCCUCCGAUAAUUUCUUUCUUGAAAUUUCGGACUCGUCAAUAAAUUGACAGACGAUGAGACGGUCCUAAAAAUGAAUUGUGACACGCUCGAAUAUUCGAUUCCCGAAACCAAUUUAAAUUUUAUGGUUAGAAUCGAUCAGACGUGAUUUUAGUCCAAUCCAACUAAUUGAGUAGCUUUUAGGGAUUUUACUGUAGAUACAUCCCUUAACGGCUUCACCCAAUAGGUUAGUUAACUCGUGAGUAAUCAGCUCAGAGAAAAAGGACCAUAGGCACAUUGACGACAUGCCCAUUUCACUUUAUCGAAACGGGGUCGAAUUUCAGGAUGUCACAACUCUUCCCCUCUUAUAAAAAUUUCGUCCUCGAAAUUUAAACCAUUACACACUUUUCUCAAAAAGGCGGGGAUACAAUUCUCUCAUCGACUCUUCAGUCUCCCAAGUCACUCCUUCAGUGCCGUAGUGUUGCCAGAGCACUUUGACCAACGGAAUGGUCUUUGUACGCAAAACUUGCUCUUUACGAUUGACAAUCUGAACCGGGCUUUCAACAUAUGACACCCGGUCAUCCACGUCCAAUUCCUCAAAAUUGAGUACGUGGGUCGGAUCAGGCUCGUACUUCCUUAACAUCGACACGUGAAAGACGUCAUGCACUUGCGCCAAUCUUGGCGGCAACGCAAGAUGAUACGCUAGGUUUCCGAUUCUUUCAAGAAUCUCAAACGGACCUACGUACCUCGAACUCAACUUGCCUUUCUUACCAAAGCGUGAAGUUCCCCUCAUUGGUGACACUUUCAGAAAAAUGUGAUCACCGACUUGGAAUUCCAAAGACCUUUGACCCUUAUCUGCAUAACUUUUCUGCCUGCUCUGUACUGUCUUUAAUCUGUCUCUGAUCUUUGUCAUGGCAUCUACUGAUUGCUGAACCAAGUCAGGCCCGUUAUCUUCCUUUCUCCGACUUCAUCCCAACAUACUGGAGUUCUGCAUGCUCUGCCAUACAACGCUUCAAAAGGAGCCAUCUUGAUGCUCUGCUGAUAACUGUUGUUGUAGGCGAAUUCCACCAGAUGAAGCUGAUCUUCCCAACUUCCUUUGAAGUCUAUUGCACACGCUUUCAGCAUGUCUUCAAGAGUCUGAAUUGUCCUUUCAGACUGACCAUCCGUCUAAGAAUGAUAUGCCGUACUGUACUGAAACUUUUUACCUAAAGCAUUCUGCAAGCUCUUCCAAAAAGCAAUAGUAAACCUCGGGUCUCUAUCGGAUGUUAUCAUAACCGGCACUCCAUGCAUACGAACCACCUGACGCACAUACAUGUCUGCGUGUCUAUCCAGACUCAGGUCCUUUCGAACUGCAAUGAAGUGAGCCGACUUUGUCAGCCUAUCGACCACUACCCAAAUUGAAUCAUUUCCUUUUUGACUCCUUGGUAGUCCAGUCACAAAAUCCAUUGUGAUAUGCUCCCAUUUCCACUCUGGGGUCGCAAGAGGUUGCAGAAGUCCUCUCGGCUUGCAAUGCUGGGCUUUUACUUGCUGACAAGUCAAACACUUGGCGACAUGCUUGGCAAUGUCUGCCUUCAUACCUGACCACCGAUAGUGUUGGCGUAGAUUCUGAUACAUCUUAGUGCUUCCAAGAUGAAUGCUAUAACUGCUACGAUGUGCUUCAGAUAAAAUUUCUUCUCUAAGCUCUAUAUCGUCAAGUACAACCAAAUGUCCACGGAGCCUUAGUACACCAUCAUUAGAAACCUGAAAAUCAGCCUUUCUUUUAUCGGUAUCCUCUUGAAGAAUUCUCUGUACAUCUGGAUUUGUCAAUUGGAGUUGCUUGAUUCUGACUUGGACAUCCGGUUCAAUUCUGAGGGUGGCCAUAAGACUCAAGAGGUGGCCUACCUCAAAUUUGAAUUCCGAAUCCCGAGCUCUCUUGAUUAAGUUUCACUCCUUAACCAAGAUCCGCACCACUGAAGACUUCCGACUCAAUGCAUCGGCGACCUUGUUCGCCUUUCCCAGGUGAUAUAGAAUAUCACAGUCGUAAUCCUUCAGCAAUUCCAUCCAUCGGCGUUGUCUCAUGUUCAACUCCUUCUGAAAGAACAAAUACUUGAGACUCUGAUGGUCCGUGAAGAUUUGAAACUUUUCUCCGCACAAGUAGUGCCUCCAAAUCUUCAACGCAAAUAUUAUGGCUACAAGUUCUAAGUCAUGUGUUGGAUAAUUCAAUUCAUGAGGUCUCAACUGCCGGGAAGCGUAUGCAACGACUCUGCCAUGUUGCAUUAACAUGCAACCCAAUCCCCUAAAUGACGCAUCACUAUAAAUCUCCAAUCCUCUAGGACCAGAUGGAAUCGUCAGCACAGGUGCGGUAGUCAGCUUUUCCUUCACCUCUUGGAAACUAGCUCGCACUUGUCUAUCCAUAUGAACUUCUCGUUUUCCUUCAUGAGCUUUGUUAGAGGCGACGCUAUCGAUGAGAACCCUUCCACAAACCGUCUGUAAUAACUUGCUAACCCCAGAAAACUUCUGAUCUCUAUCACUGUUAAUGGUCUCGGCCACUUAAUCACGGCUUCUAUCUUGCUCGGGUCGACGAGGAUUCCUUCUCCGGAAAUCACAUGACCUAAGAACGCAACACGAGUCAGCCAAAACUCGCAUUUGUUAAACUUAGCAUACAGCUGAUGAGUUCUUAAGGUCUAGAGUACUACUCUUAGAUGAUUCUCUUGCUCUUCAUCACUUCUUGAAUAGACCAAGAUGUCAUCAAUGAACACGAUCACAAAUUGAUCCAAAUAUUCCUUGAACACUUUGUUCAUCAAAUCCAUAAAGGCAGUUGGAGCAUUCGUCAACCCGAACAGCAUCAAUGUAAACUCGUAAUGGCCAUACCGGGUACGAAAUGCCAACUUAGGGAUGUCCUCCUUCCUAAUUCUCAGCUGAUGAUAUCGUGUCCUCAAGUCGAUCUUCGAGAAUAUCGACACUCCUUGUAGUUGAUCAAACAAGUCAUCUAUCCUCGGCAAUGGAUACUUAUUUUUUAUCGUUACUUGAUUGAGCUGCCGAUAGUCGAUGCACAAACGCAAUGAACCAUCUUUCUUCUUAACAAAUAGAAUUGGUGCUCCCCAAGGUGAUGCACUAGGACGAAUAAAUCCUUUAUCCUGUAACUCUUGCAUCUGCACCUUCAGUUCUUUCAACUCAGAUAACGCCAUCCGGUAAGGUGCCUUCGAAAUCAGUUCUGUCCCUGGUGCUAGCUCAAUUACAAAUUCAAUCUCUCUUUCUGGCGGUAACCCUAGCAAUUCUUUUGGAAAGACAUUUGGAAACUCUUGAACCACUGAAAUAUCUUCCAUUUUCAACUCCUCAACUGUCGUAUCCAUGACAGUUGCAAAGUACCCUCGGCAACCCUCGUCUAACAAACGAGUUGCUUCCAGUGACGAGAUUAAGGAAAUUGAAGGUCCUCCUCGAUUCCCGACAAACUCAAAGCUCUUACCCCCUGAUGGGUCAAAUUGAAUCGUCUUGCGAUAGCAGUCCAUUUUCGCUCGUUGAUUGGUGAGCCAGUCCAUGCCAAUUAUCAAAUCAAAAUCAUACAUGGCUAGGACUAACAAGUCAAUUUUCCCCACUCGCUCACCAAUCUCUAACUUGCACCCCGAACAUCCUAAAAUAGCAAUAACUUUAUCUUUCAAGGGUGUAGAUAUGCAAAUUAUCGACUUCAACAAUACAGGACUCAACCCUAGCAUCCUAACAUAUUGCUCGGCAAUGAAGGAAUGGGUUGCUCCCGAAUCAAACAAAGCAUAAGCAGGUUGGUCGUUGAGCGAGACCAUACCUGUGAUCACGCCAGGCGCAGCUUUUGCUUGACCUUGGGUAAUCGCGUACACGGGGCCUUGAACUGGAGGUCUCUGCUAUCCUCCUUGUGGUGCAUUUUGAGGGGCAUACCCUCCUAUCUGUCUCAUCGGUGGCGGUGGCGGCAACUGAGGUUGUCCUCUCUGCUUCUUUGGACAAUACCUUGCAGUGUGGCCCUGCUGGCCACAUUCGUAACAUGCUCCUGUUCUGGCUGGAUACGGAGUUGUCCCGUGUUGUCUUCCACACGAGCAACAAGAAUUGACCCUAUUAGGCAUCGGUCUAUUGAAUCCGCUUCUCUCGAAGGGUGGAGCAUUAGGCCUACCUCCAAGCAUGGGUCUCUUCCCUUGACGGAUAUUCUCUCGAUGGGAGCCAAACCUCGAUCCAAAUGAGGUAGCUUGUUCAUUCAAUCCUCGCUCUAUCAUCUGGGCUCGACGAUAAACCUUCCUAUAAUCUUUCAAGUCCCAUGGUAGCAGAGGUUGUUUCAAUUUAACACGAAGACCGCUUUUGAACUUCCAAGCUUUCUCUUUAGGGUCUUCUAUCAGCUUAGGAGCAUACUGUGAUAGUUCUGCGAACUUGACCCCAUACUGGUCAACUAUCAUGCUCCCUUGGCAGAGACAGUGGAACUCUUAUAUCUUUUGUUCCCAAGCAGUAUUCGAAAAGUACUGAUCAUUAAAGGCUCCAAGGAAGGUGUCCCACACUUGGACCCCAUACUGGUCAACUGUCAUGCUCCAUAUAUUAGCGUUACCUUGAAGUUGGUACAUAGCUAGUAACACCUUUUCGUCCUCAUUGCACAUCAGAAGUGCAAAUGCCUUCUCCAAAUCUUGUACCCACAGAGACACGGCCUCAAGGUCUCUGGUACCAAUGAAUUUCGGCAGAUUCAUUUUUAAAAACUGAUCCACUAACUGGUGAAUCGGCCUCCCAUCGGCUACAACUCCUGGUAGUAUUUCAGCGGGAGCGACGGUAGGUGGAACUGCAGGUGCUGCGACAGCGGCGGCUUGAGCAGUAGCGAUAGCUAUGACAGCAAUGGCAGCGUUGGCAGCAGCAGUGGCGGUAGCUUCAACAGCGGCAAUAAAGGUGGCAGUUUGAUCUCAGGCCUGUUGCCUCAUCAUCUCCCACAUAGCAUCUAGAGCCUGGUUGAUUCCGACAGUUCCUUGCUCACCCAAGACUGCUACCCUAGCACCAACAGGAGGUGGUGCUACUGUAGCAUCUACAACAGGUGGAAUCAUUCCACUCGUGCUAGCCUCUGCUGGCGCUCUACCUUGGCCACCUCAGGCACCAACUCUUGUCGGCGUCCUAGUCCGAGUUACCGAGGACAAGGUCCUCUGCCUAGGAGUUCUCGGCUCCUGAUCGCUCAUGGUGUCAUUUUAAUCUACUAACACCUACUUCCAAUUCAACACCGAAUUAGAAACAGAGCGAUUCAAACAACAAGCAAUUUUAGCACUCAACUAACACAAACAUGCACCAGCAUGAAUUUAAAGGCCUUUCCUACUUACUAUCCCAUGGUCAACACUCCUUAUCACUCCAAUCUUGAACUAAGCUCUGAUACCACAAAAAGGGGAUGUCACGCCUCGAUCCUCAGGCACGCGCACAUCCUUCUAGGUUGGUCGGUUUUAUAAUGCGAUAUCCCAGGACUAUGUAUCGCCGACCCUUUCAUUUUUAAGCACAUGCAGAAGCAGUUAUAAUCCCCAAACAAUAAAACGAUGGGAUAGAAAAGUAGAGCUAUAUUUUUCAUAUUGAAACUUAUGACCAAACUUUUAUACAAAAUACAAACCAGAGUACUUUACAACUAUUCACAACUUUUUACUCUAACCCUAUUAACAUCAAGACAGGAUUCACAAAAGAGGAUAGGAUCUCAGUCCUCAUCCGGAUCAUACUCGAGAUCCUUCUCGAUAGUAUAUUCUUCUUCCAAAAGUCCUUCUCCUUAGGUUUCCCUUCAGAGUUCUCUUUCUCAGAUUCCCCUCCUCAGCUCCUCAUUGGAGUCCUGAAAUGUUUUCCCCAAACCGGGAUGAGACUACGUCUCAGCGAGUUCUACCCCACUAAGACUCAAUUAGGGAACAAAUACACUACUCGGUUGUCUAAGCACAGCACGAGUCAGAGAACUUACCUUGGCCUCAGUCUCAACCUGCAAUUCAAGGUUAUAUACGAACGCUUCACAAAUCAUAACGAACAAUCAAUCAAAUAACGACAAUUGGAUCAAAUCAUUGAUCAAUCGAACUAGUCGAUUACAUGUCAGAUGGACCAUUCCAGAUCAUUGAUUCCACACCAUAUAACCUUCCAUCGAGCACUCGGUCACAGAGCCACAUCAAUGCUCUCGGGCGUCAAGUUCGCCAAGGUGACAUAAAUAACAGACGAUUUACGUGCAUUCUUUAAGGUGCCGUUUUUGCACAGUGAUAUUCCUCAUCACAGAACCACGCCCGUCAUAGAUCACAGACAGUCUACGUGUGUUCUUUAAGGCGCCGUUUUCGCACAGCGAUAUUCUUAAUCACCGAACCACGCCUAUCUAUACUUCGUACUUAAUCAGUCUCAGCCAAUAGAAUUUUCAGUUAGUUCUCACCACUCUCUCCACUUACAUCUCAACAAGGUAUUCAAAAUGCUAAAUAGUCAUACUCGGUCAACUACCAAUUAAUUCAAUUUCAAUCAAUUUAGGGUAAAUCCCUAAAAUAUCACAAUUUAUUUAAUUCCAUGCAACGUAGAGCUCAAUAAAUAACGGACUGCGCCACGACAAUCAGCACGAGAUUUUGGUUGUCGACUAACCCAGCCUUAAUUUCUGAAAAAUAAAUAAUUAAUUCAUUAAUUUCGAAAAUUAAUAAUUAAUUACGAUAAAUCCAAUUUAGCUCAAAUCGGAGCUCAAUUAAAAUAAAUAGACUUCACCACGAUUAUCAGCAUAAAAUUCUGAUCAUCAACCAUCCAUGUUGAAUUUUCUGAAAAUAAAUAAUUAAAUAAAUAAUUUCAAAUUUUAAAUAAUUAAUAUUAAAAAUUCAAUUUAGCUCAAAAUAAAGCCCGAUUAAAUAAACAGACUUCACCAUGGUCAUCAGCAUAAUAAUCCGAUCACUGGUCAUCCUAGUUGAAUUUUUGAAAUAUAAAUAAAUAAUUAAUUAAUUCCGAAAAUUAAUACUUAAAUGCGAAAAAUUCCACUUAGGCCCGAAUUUUCAAAUUGAAGCCUGAUUAGGGUCGGGAAAAAUCCUGGACUACCCUCAAUAAAUAGUAGACAACGUCUACUUGCUAAAUACACAUUUAAUUUAUCUAAUUUACAUCACAAUUGACUAAUAAACACUAAUCCAUACUAAUCUAACCGCCUAAACCUAAUUAAUUAAAACUAAACAACCCUUAAGUGUAAUUAGUCCGCUAAGCAAGGAUUAGUAAGAUUACUCACCGGAAUCACGUGUAAGUCAGACCAAUCCAACGGGGACGACGCGAGGAACGAUAAACCUCAACACGGGCCUCGGGUUCGGGGCCCAGAAACAGCCCAAAAGCGGGCCCGAAGUUGUUGGAGACCCACUCCGCAACUUGCUGGGUUACUGCAAAACAGAGGGGAAAAGGAGAUGGUUGGGAGCAGUAAGGGGUCGGGAGAGUGGGCGAAGCUCCGGUGAGGCCGGACGGUGACCGGAGGGGGUCGGGCCACGGCCUGAGCUGGCCGAACAAGGCUGGACAAAGGCAGAAGUUACGCGGGGGAGGGAUGGCAGCGAGCGGCGGGCACGCUAGCGUGCGCACGGCAGCGAGCGGUGGUCGCACGAGCGCGGGCGCGAGUGGCGAGACGGGCGGCGACAGCUUCGAUGAGCUACUGUUGCUCGGUUUCUUUCGCUUCUAGUUCGCUGGUUACACGAAGAAGAAAGAAAAAGAGGGGUUCGGUCACGAGGGGGAGAAGAGAGGAGAGAGGAGAAGAUAUAAGAGAGAGAAGAGAAAGGGUUUGACUAGUCAAAUGGGGAGAGAGAAGAAGCCAAAUUGAAUUUGGCAAGGCAAGUGUUCGGUGGGGGAGUGUUCGCACGAAGGGGGAGGGGAGAGGAGAGAGAAGAGAGAGAGAAAAAGAGAGAAAAAUAAAUAAAAUAAUAGCCUUAUUUCUUUCUUUUUUUUUACUUUUCUCUUUCCCUUUCUCUUUCUAUUUUCUUUUGAUCUUCGAUUUUUUCUCCGAUAAUUUCUUUCUUGAAAUUUCGGACUCGUCAAUAAAUUGACAGACGAUGAGACGGUCCUAAAAAUGAAUUGUUACACGCUCGAAUAUUCGAUUCCCAAAACGAAUUUAAAUUUCAUGGUUAGAAUCGAUCAGACGUGAUUUUAGUCCAAUCCAACUAAUUGAGUAGCUUUUAGGGAUUUUACUGUAGAUACAUCCCUUAACAGCUUCACCCAAUAGGUUAGUUAACUUGUGAGUGAUCAGCUCAGAGAAAAAGAACCAUAGGCACGUUGAUGACAUGCCCAUUUCACUUUAUCGAAACAGGAUCGAAUUUCAGGAUGUCACAGCUUUCCUAGAGGCAUUCACUGUUUUUUUCUAAAAUUCUCUUGAUUUCCCUAUUUAAAAGCUCUACUUAACCACUAGUCUAAGGAUGAUAAGGGGUUGCAACCUUAUGCGUGACUACAUACUUACUCAAAAGUGCUUCAAAUUGUUUGUUGUAAAAAUAUAUCCCCUUAUCACUUAUAAUUGCCUUAGGAGUGCCGAAUCGGGUAAAAAAAAUUUCUUCAAAAAUUUGACCACAACCUUAGCAUUAUUUGUUGGUAAUGCUACAGCUUCUACUCACGUAGACACAUACUCCAUAGCCACUAAAAUGUAUAAAUUUCCAUAAGAAGGUAUAAAGGGUCCCAUAAAAUCAAUACCCCAAAUAAUUCACACACAAUAAUGUUGUUUAAAGGCAUCUAAUUUUUUCUUGAAAUAUUUCCAGUUCUCUGACACCUAUCACAUGAAGCUACAUAAGAGUAUGCAUCUUUAAAAAAUGUAAGCCAAUAAAAUCUAUAUUGUAAAAUCUUAUCUGUAGUUUUGUUGGCACCAAAAUGACCACCUGCCUCUCCAUCAUGACAAUGAUGUAGAAUGUUUGUCUUCUCUUUGCCUAGAACACAUCUCCUUAUGACUUGGUCUGCACAUACUUUAAACAAGAAGGGUUCUUCCCAAAAAUAAUUUUUAACAUCAGAAAAGAAUUUUUUCUUCUAUUGAUAUGAUAAUUUAGAAGGAAGAACAUUACUUACUAAAUAAUUUACAAAGUCAGCGCACUAGGGAAUUUUUGUGGACUUAAUGAAAAAAAAUUUCUCAUUAGGGAACUCUUCCAAAAUUGGUCUUACCUCUUCUUUUGAAUUUAGAAUUCUUGAUAAGUAAUCUGCAAUUAGAUUUUCAAUCCCCUUCUUAUCUUUGAUUUUCAAAUCAAAUUCUUGCAGCAAUAGAAUCCACCUGAUCAACUUGGGUUUUGAUUCUUUCUUUUCAAGCAGAUACUUAAGAGCAAAGUGGUCAGAAUAAAUUAUAACUUUUGAGCUAAUUAAAUAAGAAUGGAAUUUGUCAAAAGCAAAAACUACCGCCAAAAGUUCAUUUUCUAGUUAUUGAAUAAUUCAAUUGUGCACCAGACAAGGUUUGACUAGAAUAGUAUAUGGUUCAAAAAAUUUUAUUCUUCCUUUAUCCCAAAACAGCUCCUAUUGUAGAAUUGCUAGCAUCACACAUCAGUUCAAAAGGUAAAUCCCAAUUUGGUGCUGCCAUAAUUGGUGCUGACAUUAACUUCUCCUUUAAAGUGUUAAAAGCCUGCAUGCAUUCAACAGGAAAAUUAAAAGUAGCAUUUUUUUUUCCGAAAGAUUAGAAAGAGGUUUAGCAAUUUUUGAAAAAUCUUUUAUAAACCGCCUAUAAAAUCCUGCAUGCCCCAAAAAUCCUCUGACAAGUUUCACAGAUGUUGGCGGAGGCAAUUUUACAAUGACCUCCACUUUGGCUCGAUCAACUUCUAUUCCGUUUUGAGAAAUUUUAUACGUGAGCACUAUUCCUUCCUGCACCAUAAAGUGACACUUCUCCCAAUUCAAAACAAGGUUAGUCUCCUCACAUCUUUGUAAGACCAAAGCCAAAUUAUUUAAACACGAAUCAAAUAAUAAGCCAAAAGCGGAAAAAUCAUCCAUGAAAAUCUCAAUAUAUAUUUCAACCAUAUCAGAAAAAAUAGCCAUCAUGCAUCUCUGAAAAGUAGCUGGUGCAUUACAAAUACCACAGGGUAUUAUUCUAAAAGCAAAAGUACCAUAGGAACAAGUGAAAGUAGUUUUCUCUUGAUCUUCUAGUGUAAUAGGAAUCUGAUUAUACCCCGAAUAUUCAUUAAGAAAGUAAUAAAACUUAUGUCCCGCGUGUCUUUCUAACAUCUUAUCAAUAAAUGAUAAGGGAAAUUAAUCUUUUCUAGUGACAUCAUUCAAUUUUCUGUAAUACACACACACACACACCACCCAGUAGCUGUUCUAGUUGGAAUCAAUUCAUCAUUGUCAUUUUUCUGAACAAUCAUACUACAUUUCUUUGGCACAACUUGUACAGGACUUACCUAAGAACUAUCAGAGAUAUGAUAGAUGAUACCUGCAUCAAGUAGCUUAAUUACCUCAGCUUUCACUACUUCUUGCAUCUUCGGGUUCAAACGCCUCUGAGGUUGGAUAAUAGGUUUAUAUUGUUCCUCCAUCAAAAUUUUGUGCAUGCAAAUUGAAUGACUAAUUCCCUUGAUAUCAGCUAUUUUCCAUCUAAUUGCACCCUUAUGUUCUCUUAAUAAUCUAAGCAGUUUCUCCUCCAUCGAAUCUAUCAAAGAAGAAGAUAAAAUUACCGAUAAUGAAGAAACUCUAUCUAAAUAAACAUAUUUUAAAUGAGAGUGUAAGGGUUUGAAUUAAAAAAUUAUAGGCUCUUCAAUUGAUGGUUUAAGCUUUGUAAUGUGCUAUCCCAUCUCCUCAAAAUUAAUUGCCUUUUACCUUGAAUAUGGUGGAAUUGCCUCCAUAAAAUUUGCAUGCUCCUUUAUCUCCCCAUUUUGAAUAUCUCCGUCCCUUGGUUGUAUCAGACAUACUUCAAGUGGAUCUUUAAAAAUAUUUUCCUGAAAAACCUCAUUCACCAACUUGUCAAUUGUCUCAAUUCUAAAACAAGAAUUAUCAUCAUAUGGAUAUUUCAUUGCUUUAAAAACAUUCAAUGAAACGAUAUCAUCUUGAAUUCUGAGAAUCAACUUCCCUUGUACAUCAAUAAGAGCUCUUCAUGUUGCUAGAAAAGGUUGACCUAAGAUAAGUGGUACCUCAAAAUCUUCCUCCAUGUCAAGAACUAUGAAAUGUGCAGGAAAAAUAAAUUUGUCAAUUUUUAGCAAAACAUCUUCCACAAUACCUCUCAGAUAUUUAAUUGAUCGAUCAACCAGUUGAAGUGACACUGUGGUUGUUUUUACCUCACCCAAUCCUAAUUUCUUGAAAACUGAAUAAGGCAUCAAAUUAAUACUUGCACUUAAAUCACAUAAUGUUUUUUUAAAGUAAGAAUCCAGAAAUAGUAAAACUCCUAAGAUCUUUUAAUUUUGGAGGCAAUUUGUUUUGUAGGAUGGCUGAACACUCCUCGUUUAACUUCACAGUUUCAUAAUCCUCUAGUUUCCUUUUGUUUGCCAAAAUCUCCUUCAAAAAUUUUGCAUAACUAGGUAUUUGCGCUAAGGCAUCUACAAAUGAAUGUUAACGUGCAAUUUUUUAAAUACAUUAAGAAAUUUAGAAAAUUUCUUAUCUAUUUUGUGCUGCUAGAGUCAUUGAGGGAAUGGAAUUAGCAGCACAUAUGGCUUGGGAUUAUCUGGAAAAAGUUUACUCUUGCUUGUCUCCUUUGAUUGUUUAUUGAUCACAUCUUCCUUGUCUCUAAUAAUCUCUUGUUUGACAAAUUCUUCUCCCACUUGUUUAGCACUUCUCAAGGUAAUAGCCUUUAUGUUUUCAAUUGGAUUUUUCUCUGUAUUGCUCGGCAAAGAACCUUGCUGUCUCCCUGACAUCAUGCUUGCUAACUGACCCACUUGCAUCUCCAAAUUUCUAAUUGAAGCCUCUUGGUUUUGAAAUCUCACAUCCAUGCUUUUGAUGAAGUCAUGAGUUGUGUUAGCAAGUUUGGUGACUAUAUCUUCCAAAUUUGACUCUGUAUCUUCUAAUUGUUUGAAUCCCGGUGGUCUCGUCACAUUCUGAUUAUUCCAUGAAAAAUUUGGAUGAUUGCACCAUCCCAGAUUGUACGUAUUGGAGUAGGGAUUAUUCUAUGAUCUGUUAAAAUUCCCAACAAAAUUAGAAUUUUCACUAGAUUGUUUAAAAGUAUUACCUACCUAACACGCUGUGCUAACAUUUCCUCCACCACAAAAAUCACAUGUCAAAUUUUGAAUUUUCAUGAUUGAAAUACUCAUAUUAUCUAGCUUUUUGUUGAGUGCUUCAAAUUGUGCAGCAAUUGCAACAAAAGCAUCCACUUCGUGAACUCCGCUAACUUUUUGCAUUAGUAGUCUCUCAGUAGGCAAAUAAUAACUAUUGGACGCCAUCCCCUCUAAUAGAUUGUAGGCUUCUUCUGGUGUUUUAUUAUUUAGAGUUCCUCUUAUAGCUGCAUCAAUCAUAAAACAGAAAUUUGUACUAGAGCCAUUAUAAAAAUUUUGUACCUGCAUCCAUAUGGGUAGUCCGUGAUGUGGGCAUCUCCUAAAAAAUUCUUUGAACUUUCACAUCCUUCAUAUAAUGAUUCAUUAUCCAUUUGCAUAAAAUUAGUAAUAUCGUUACGCAUCUUCGCAGACUUUGCAGGUGGAAAGAACUUACCAAGAAAUUUCUUAGCCAUAUCAUUCUAUGUAGUAAUUGAUCCUGUAGGAAGAGAAGAAAGCCAACUCUUAGCUUUGUCUCUAAGAGAUUAUGGAAAUAAUCUCAAUCUAAUAGCAUCAUAUGUAACUCCAUUAUAUUGAAUGGUAUCACAGAUUUCAAGAAAAACAUCAAUGUGAGCAUUUAGAGCAUCGCUUGGUAGCCCAUUGAAUUGCACCGAUUGUUGAAGCGUCUGAAUGAGUGACGGCUUGAUCUCAAAGUUGUUUGCUUGAAUUGCCGGUCUUCUAAUACUUGAUAUGGCGCCUUGAACUGUUGAUGCAACAUAAUCUCUUAAGAGUUUACGUGGAUUUUCAUUAUAACCGUCUGCCAUCUUCUUAGCGUGAUUUCUCUGUUCUCUUAGUCGCCUUUUGAAUGUACGCUCGAUUUCUAGAUCAAGCUCAGCAAGUUUCCCUUGUUGGCUGUCAUAAACUAAUGUACACCCUGAAAAAUAAAACAAAACAAAAGUUAGAUUAAACUUAUAAUUAUCUGGUAUCAAUAUUAAUUAGUAUUAAACAAACGAUCCCUGACAACGGCGCCAAAAACUUGUUCGUAAAAUUAUAAACGCAAGUGAACGUGUCGAACAAGUAAUAUAAUGAUAAGAAAAAGUAUCGUCCCACAAAGAUCGAUGAUUAAUAAACUAAUUAAAUACUAAAAUAGAUUAAUUCUAAAAUUUAUCUAACAGAUCAAAUUAUAAUUUAGAAUAAAUUAAAAAAAAUUGAAGACUAAAUGCAGUAAAUCAAUCAGAUAAAUAUGUUAGAGCAUCCGAUUUCACCAUAACCACCAGAUAUGAAUUUCAGAUUAUUGUGAGUACAAGAACGAUAUCAAAUAUGUGAUAGCGGAAUUUCUUAAUCUAUUUACUAUCCUAUCUCUAAGUAUAGCAAACCUACUUAGCUUAUUAAUCCACUAUAUUUCCAUGUGAAUUAAAAUAAACAUGAGUGCAUUAAAAACUAUUAAUAUUCCCGGCGUACAAUGAGUCUUUUGGAUCACCUUAUCCCGAAAGUUACACAAAUAACGUAGUAUAUUUCUAUCCACGUUUAAUUCACGGUUAUAUAUUAUAAUGAGCAAUUGCAUAUUAUCACUUCUCAGUCUCAAAUAUGCACAUCUGAUCAUUCAAGUGGUGGUCAGUCACUCAAAAACAUUAAGCACAAUAAUAUAUAACUCAAAUGGAUGAAAUCAAUUGCAAAACAUAAAAAUUAUGAAAUUCAUAUUAUCAUGGUUAGGCUAUAUCGUAGUCCUAACAAAAUAAAAUUAGAAUAUAGUAGAACAAAAAAUAAAAAUACAAAUUAAACUUAGCAUCUUGAAUCAAAGAACGGGAAUUCUAUCACCACUUUUGUCUUCUCUUCAAAAUACUUGAAAAUCUCUAAAAAAAAAAAUGAUCUAACAAAAAACCUAACAUCUCUCUCAAUGGCUCUCAAUGUUCUCCCAUUUCGAGGAUUUAUCCAAGCUCCAAGCAAUUGCACAUAAAAUCAGGGAGUAAAUCAGAGGAUUUUAAUUUGAUAUUUAUCUUCCACUGCUUCUUGAUUUGAAUUCCUGAUUUUUUUGCCAUUAUUUUCCUUAUAUUCUCCAUAUCUCAUUAUUCUGCAUAAACAAGAAAAAUUCAAAUAAUCAUAAGGAAAUCCAAAUAUUCUCUUAUAGAUAUCGCAUUAAUUGUUGCCUAAAAUAGGUAAAAUAACUUUAUAAAAAUAGAGUUAUUAAACAAGCGAGGGCCAGCAAGUGAGAGCUGGCCAACCCUCACCAAUUCUGGUUAGGGCACACAAGCCCUCACCUAGAAAUAACAAAGCCUGUGAUGCCCUCGCCAAAUCUAGCUAGGCGAGGGCUUGGCAACCCUCACUAGCUCCAAGCAAAGGGGGUGACCUCGGUUGGGGCCUUUGCCUGGCUAGAUCUAGCAAGGGCGACAACCUCACUCAAGGCCUUUGCCUGGCAUGCCCUCACCUUUGCUAGCAAGGGCAUCGCGACCCUCACCCAAAGCUCAUGAAGGGCACAAUGCCCUCGCCUAGAGUUGGCGAGGGUCGAUUGGCCCUCUCUUAUGGCUGGUGAGGGUUGUUAACCCUCCCUUGUGGCCAACGUUGGCCCUCACCUAUGGCUGAGGCCACCAAAUUUGAACCCCAUAAAAAAAGUAAAAAAAUAAAGAAUCAUAAAAAAAUUCAAAAUAUUAUUAAAAUAUUAUUUUUAAAGUGCCACGUCAGUGCCGGCCAUCCAUGUUAACAAUUUUCAGCCAAAAUUGGCUAAAUAGAUUGAAUUGAUAAGAAGUGAAAAAGUUUAUGAUUAAAUUACCAAAAUUGAAAGAUUUAUGAUUGAAUUAGUAAAAGUGUAAUAGGUUGAAGACUUUUUGGAUAAUUUUCCCGAUUGUGGUUGAUACGCAUUUGUGGAGAAUUAUCAUCAUCAAGAAUUUAAUUUUUCUUUUCCUUUUUCUGGUCUAGUGACUGUAGUUAUUUGCUUAUUUUAAGCUGUGGAGUUAACAAUGGCAGGUCCUGGAGACUUUCAUGAGACUAUUCCACUACAAAUCCUUGUGUGAUGAAGGCUUUGUACAGUGCGGUGCGCAUUUAAAUUUUCCAAAUGCAUGAUUUAUUUGACAUAUAUUCCUUCAAUCUUUUUUUUUAUUUGGUAAAUGGUAAUGAUGUAUUGAGCUUUAACCCACAAAUAUACAAGAUCCGGCACCACAAAACUUGCACUCAACAAGACACAAACGUCUCAUCGAGUGAAAGGGCGCCGGACACAAAACACCGCAAACUGGUCAACUCAAGCAAGUGCCGAAACAGGAAGCCCAAGAAAAUAGCCAUGCAGGGCCGAGACAACAAACUAAAAAGACAGACUAACCAAAAGGCCAUGCAGGGCCAAGAAGAACAACCCGCAAAGCUAGACUAAGGCGACCUAGGCGGUCGGCAUAGGAGAGCUGAAGAUAGACGGGUCAAGGCCCCAGUUUCUUUGUAACCUCCUAUUUCUCAGGCAAUCUUCUACGCUUUUGAAAGUUAAGGCUUUAUCCUUUACAACUUUAAUAAGAUGCUUCUUGAUAGCCGCAACUAAUAUUCCUUGAAUCUUUCGUCGCUGCUCAUCCGGAAAAACAGGCCAUUGUGGGCUAGAGACUGGUGCACGAUUAUCACAGAAGAGCUACUUUUAGGGCGCGUUUGGUAAUGAUUCUGUUCCUGAGAACAUAUUCUGAUCAGAAAUGAUUCUUUUUAUUCUGUUCUCGGGAACAAUUUCUAAACAUUUUAAGCCAUUUGGAAAGUGUCCAAAAUUUCUAAUUCUGGAAUAAAAUUGUGUUUGGUACCGUGCUCAUUGAAUCUAUUCCAAAUCAAUUUCUUUUAAUUUUUAAAUAAUUUUUUUCAUUUUUUUCUUUUUUUUUCAAUUUUUUUUUCAUUUUUUCCUUUCUCUCUCAUGUUCUUCUUCUUUCAGUGGCUAGUCACUGGACCGACGACCAGCCAAACGAGGGUCGGUGACCUCGCUAGAGCGUCAUCAACCCUCGGUGAGGUCGGCCCGGCAGCUGGGCGAGCUCGCUUGGCCACUAGUAAGCUCGCCGAUGGUGGGCUUGCCUUUGGCGAGCUCGCCGGUGUGGUUGCUAGCAACUGGCGACAAUGGUGACGGACAGCAACCACAGGAUGGCGGUCAAUGAAGAAGAAGAAAAGAGAAAAGGGAAGAAGAAAAGUUGGUUUUGAUUCUUAGAUUUGUUCCCGGAACAAGAAUCAAUUUUUUUUUCAAUCUUAAUUAUGCACCAAAUCUACUUCUGGGAACAAAAAUUUUGCCAAACGCGAUUCUGUUCCCAAACUGAUCCCGAGAACAAAAAAUCAGAAUCAAGCACUGUUUGGAUGGUUACCAAACAAUGGCUUACUUUCCAAAUAAUUCGUGGGAAACAAUAGUAAAAUUGUAUCAGUUGGUAACAGAGCCUAAAUAUGGCUAGUCUAGCCGAUUUGAGAAGGCAAGGGCAACAUCUCCAACAAGAAUUGGAGCAAUCUUGAUUGUUAAGGCCUAACGAUCCCCACCCUAACCAAGAAGAGGAGAUUAACACUUUCUAUGAUGUUUAUUUUUUACGCAGCUUGUGAAGUGGCUCCUUUGCAUCGCUGGUGUUGGAAUCGCGAUUCUAAUGAUUUCGAUGUUAAAGUAGACAUUUCAAACUUCCAAGGCACUUUUCCAAAGGAGGUAAGGAAGUCUUGAUCAAAGCAGUUGUGUAAGCUAUUCCUCAGUACACCAUGUCUAUCUUUAAAAUUCCGAUCUCACUGUGCAAAUCUAUUGAAUAGAAGGUGGCUAGAUUUUGGUGGCAAUCUCAAGGAAACAAGUCGGGCAUAAAUUAGCGAAAUUGGGACAUUCCCUUGCUUCGUGGUAGCUUGGAUGAUCAAACAAUCGACGAAAUCCUCAAAAUUCAUAUCAGGCCGCAAUACACACAAGAUCAACUAAUUUGGAAGGGGCAAUCAAAUGGUAUUUAUACUGUUAAAAGUGACUAUAAUCAAAUUAGAUCAGGAGAGAGCAGAGUUAGUCAACAUCUGGCUUCAUCCUCCUUUCAACCUCUAAAACGACUAUGGACAAGCAUUUGGAUGGUGCUGACUACUCCCAAAUUACGUAUCUUUCUAUGGUCUUUAUGCCAAAACACUCUAGCAACUGGCGAAAAUCUAUACUAUCAACAUGUUAUAACAGAUCUUAUAUGUAGGUUAUGUCGAGACUGUUGUAUUUCUACAGUCCCUAAAUCUAUAGAACAUCUACUCUUACAUUGCCCUUGGACAACUAACGUAUGGUCUCAUCUGCAGCUACAAUUCAAUGUUCAGCAAGUUCAUGCGCAUCGGUUCGAUGUCUGGCUACUGCAAAUAUUAGAUAAGGAGAACAGCUCACAGGUUCUUGUGGUAAUUGUUUAUGUUUUGUGGCACAUCUGGAAAGCCAUAAAUGAUUUUUUUUUCCACCGGAAAAUCCUCAACCCAAAUCAAGUUGUAUUUGCUGCUCUCACCCAUGCCUGAUCUUACCAGAGCUACCAUGUGACCUUGCUACAACAUAGUUCAAAGAAAUAGUAUCCAGUUGGCAACCAGAGAGGAGAUCGAAGUCAAGCUGCUAAUAAAACCCUUACCGUCACAGGCUAUGCUCGACCCUGUUCUAGGGCGCCACUGAAUCGACACCUUCAACGUCCACCUUCAGAACAAAUCUAGCGUCCCCCUAAUCCUGGUGUGUUGAAGAUAAAUAUCGACGCUUCCUUCCCUACGGCCUUAAACGAAGGUAUUGUCGCUUGUGUUUGCCGUGAUUCCUCAAGUAAGUUGAUCGAUGGCUUUGCCCGGUGCACCAUCUCUGUUUCACCCCUGCAAACAGAAAUACAAGCCCUCAACUUUACACUCCAAUAUUUGCUCAACAAAGGAAGGAAUCAACAUCAUCUCCUUUUAGCAUCCGACUAUCUAGCAAUGGUAGAGGCACUUCAAGAACCUAGCCGCACACCGUGGGAGAACAGAGCUCUCUUUGCUGAGGCUGCGGCGCUGCUUCAUCUUUUCCAUAACCUGCAAAUGCGACACUGCAGAAGAGAAACAAACUUUGCGGCCAACUGGGCCGCAAAGGGCCAUGGACAAAAUCUUCUCCCCUAUAACUGGGCCAAGUUCCCCCCUCCUGCUAUUUUCGAUCUUCUAAGUACUGAGGCGUUAAACUCCUGUAUUUUUGCUGAUCGUGUAUGAAGUUUUUCACCUUUCCGAUAAAAAAAAAAAAAAACUUCCAAGGCACUAUGCAUUGGAAGACUUCAUAGAUUGGCUCGACAAAAUUGAGCAAGUUUUUGAUUAUGAGAAUACGGUGGAGAAUCGAAAGGUGAAGCUUGUGGCCAUCAAGCUUAGAAAAGCAUGCUUUGAUUUGGUGGGAAAAUCUAAAGUGUCAAAGAACUCGUGAAGGAAAGCAGUGUAUCGAGACAUUGGAUAAAACCAAGGAGCUCAUGAGGAAGCAUGUCUCAAAAAAAAAAAUUGUCCAAAAAGUCCGAGAUCUAUUGUACAACGGCUUAUUUAGCUCUAAACAUUUCAAUUGUGCUAAUUUAAUCUUAAAUCUUUUAAGAACUUAUUGAUAUAGUUUUAAACAUUUUAGUUGUGCUGAUUUAGUCAUAAAAUUUUUGAUGAUUUGUUAAUUUAAUUCUAAAUAUUUUGACAGCUUGCCCAUCUAGUCAUUUUGACCAAUUUUGGUUGAAAAUCGCUAAUGUGGAUGUCGGCCAACCACUGGCCAUCCUAUAUGGCAUAGCCAAUACUAAUGUGGACAAAUUUUGCAAUUUUCUUCUUGUCUUUUUAUUUUUUUUCCUUUUUCUUUCCCUUUGGCUUGUGGACGAUAAUCAGCGAUGGCUGACAAUCGACCACAAGCAAGGGCCGAUGAGGGUGCUACAGCCCACAAUGGAUCUAGAGAAGGCUUACUCGUGGCCUGGGAGAAGGUUGCCCUCAUCAGAUUGAACAAGAGCUCGACCUUUGCUUGACCACAGGCCAAAGAGAAAGAAAAGGAUAAAGAAACAAAAGGUAAACAAAUGGAAAUUUUUUAUUAAAAAAAUGUAAAAAUUAUCCACGGUACACCUAGGAUGGUUGCCCGUUGCCGAGUGUCCAUGUCACUAUCGUGACCUCUCUUUUGACGUUUGGGGAAAAAAGAAGAGGUUUAGGAGUAUUCACGAGGUAGGCCAAUGGCCCUGGAUUAAGUGCAAACUCUCCCAAGCCCAUACCUCAUGCGACAUUGGAUUUUAUAUUUUAGUUCUUAACAACAUAUGUAUUUCUAGGAGUCGUCACUAGCUUAUUUGGAUCGAUUAGAAACCAAUCAAGAUGCGAGAGUGUUGUCUCGAUUCCUAUGCAACCAGAGAUUUCUAGGAACGGGGACUUAUUUACACCAAUGUUUCUAUUAGCGUUUUUGCGGUACUGCUAACUUGACUAAAAAUGAUCUUUUUAUGUGAAAACUCAAUUUUUGACCCAAAGUUGACUUUUGAUGAAAGGAUUGACCAAAAAGUUAACUCAAAAAUCAACCAUUUGACUUUUCUAGUUUUUAAUUAAAAGAAUGAAUAGGAAGGUGCUUAAUAAUGACAAGACAGAAGAAAAAAAAUGAAAACAACACUUUUUUGUUCAAAAACCAAGCUCUAUUGCAAUUGGCAACCCGAACCUUGAGUUUUUAUCUUUAUCGAUGCGUCAAGUAAAAAUCAAGUGUCAACAACCUUAAAAAAAGUUUGGUUACCAAGUUGGUGAAUAGAGGGGUAAGAAUCUCGGACAAAUUAUUAGCCAUAUGAUUAGUCAAAUCAUUUUGUGUUCUUCAUACAUCCUCCUCACGGUGGCCAAUACUGUUGAAUUUGGGUCAAAUCCCUCCCCUAAUCCUUGGUAAAGUUCCAGGGGAUAUCACCAAAAUUCAAGCUCAAAUUGACAUCAUCAAUUGGGUCUACCUCUUGGUUGGAAUUUUCAAAACAAGCGGGCCUUUCUCCCACACCUUGCAAGGACUGAUUGUCCUUGCCAAUGGUAGUGCCACUCUCCUUGUUCCUUAUUCUUGCCAUAGACACCUCCUAGGAAUGGACCAUGAUGGUUCCACCGGAUGUGCCAAAAAAAUGUUAACAACUUCCUUGACAAAUAUCUUUUACCGAAGAGGCAAAUCUUGGGCCUUUUUAUGUAAACUAGGUUUUGUGUCAUUUCAAAAAGGAAGCGACUAGUCUUACUCUAUAGACAAUAAAGAAAAGGAUAAAUAGGAGAUAAAAUGUGCGAUAAAAUGUAAACGUGCAAUAACAAGAUAGUCAAAAGAUAAAUGUUCUUGUGUUUUAGGAAAAGGGUCCUUUACAAUUGUGUUUCUUUGGCUAUUUAUAGUUAAUCUCACAAGUAACUGUUCUUUAGCACUUAUUAUCUUCAAUUUCGAAUCACUUCUGGAGACUUUGGUACCACGCCAAUAAUUGCAUCACCUUAUCCAUAGUGUCAUGGGCACCAAACUCUCAAAGUUGUCUUCAUUUUUAUCGCUUUGAGCCGGAGCAAUUACUAAUUCCAACUCCUCGGUAUCUCUUGUAACCGGCUAUUCUUCUCAUGACUUGGGCUUAAUGGGCUUUCCUCUUUUCUAGGCCCAAUGAGCUAAUUUUCGCGCCAACAUCAGUUAUCCAUUAAGUAUGAAGUUUUGACAAAUUAUACCACAAGCAAUGCAUCAGGACAGGUGAGUCCCUAAAAAAACUAAUAAAAGCAGCAAACCGAAACCGAGCGGUUUCGGAUGUGAACAAUGAAAAGAACUAUGUUCAGCAAAAAAAUCAUCGUAACGAACAAAGAAGUUCUUAAGAAGCAAUUAUAUUUUGACAAGAAAAUGCAGUAAUACUGUGUCAGAAACCGAAUGUUGUAUCAAUAUACAAGAUUGUACCGAAGGCUAGCAACUUUUGGUACUAGUUCAGAACCUAAGGAUAUAAUCCUUCAAUCCUAAGACUUAAUAGGAUCCACACAUCUCCGGUCAAUCGAAGUUCAUCAUGAAUGGUUACCGAAUUUGUUGACACCUAAAUUUUGACGAUCCUAUCAUUCAUUUAUUGCAUAAAAAUUAGGGACUAAACUUUAGCCCCUAAAAAAAAUAAUAAAUCGCAUUACAUAUAGUUAUUAGGAGCAUAUCUCAAUAUACUUGCAUAGUUAUGGACUGGUAGCGGAUGGGCUUAAGUUUUGAACAUAAUUGCAUUGAAUCGGGUUGGCGGCGAAUGAACUCGGGUAAAUGGUUUUGAGCUUUAUUGAAGUUAAGUCUGCGGAAAGUGAAAGAUUGGAGUAAGCUUCAUAAUAUAACCAAGUUUGAUACGAAUUUGGGAAAGAUUGAGCACAUUUUUCACAUGGGAUCUUAACAAGGCAUGAAAAAUCUUUGAGGAAGAAUAAAUAUCUUUAUUAAUAGAAGAUAAUCUCGGUCAACUUGGUGCAGAGAAGUGUGAUAUUUCUACGCAAAAAUCUACCAAAUUAAAGAUUGGGACACAUAUUUCUUGUUUUAAAACAAGAAAGAGUGCACCGAUAAAGAAAAUUUCAUGCGUCCUACGCAUCCAGGGGCGUGAGCAGAAAAGAAAAGAAUUCGUGGCCGAAAAUCAUGAAUAUAUGGUCAAGUGGGAGUAUUCACGCAUUUGAGGAAAGGAAGGAAUAAAAUAUAUUAUAUUGGGUCCUUUCCUUUGAAGGCCUUGGUUGUCCUAUAAAUAAGGAGAACGCUAACACUGUUGUGGGGGGUCGGCACUUCUAUUCUAAAAGGCACGUUGAGAGAUUUACACGUGAGAGAGAGAGAAAAGAGAAGGAACUCUCUCUACCGAAUCGAGGAGCCCCAUGUUGUGCGAGGUCCUUUGCCGCAACGUCACACCCGAGCCGCCUAAGUUACCGUCGCUACACCGUCUUUGCUGCGUUCCCCCCUGCAGCAACGAUGGACUCGCUGCUGUGACCUCUUUGCCUUUUCGACGAGCUGCUGAUCAGGUGCCAACCUCCUACUGUCAUGACCAAGCCUCGACAAGCCCAGCUCAACCGAGAUGUUGAUGGAGCUACUGCCUUCCUCGCGCUCAACUGUUGCUUGAUUCGCUGUUGCCCCAAUGGGAUCGUAAUUUCUCCUUGUCGCAAUCACUCGAGUAGCCCUCGCAUCCCCGACGAUCCAUGAUCUGCUGCUUUUGCUAUACCACGAACUAGCACACCCCAGGGACGCUUGAACCACUACAGCCUAGUUUGGAGUCGGCGAGGACUCUCGCAAGUUCCAUCUAGCCUGGCGAUGUCCUGAAGUGUUUUCUUUUGACUCACCAACAAUCACCAAACAGGCUUUUGCGCUUUGUUCGUAUUCAUUCUUUGCAGGUUUCGUCGGAGUCCAAAGAGGCCAACAUCUCCCGACUAGCAUGAAUACCACGUCAUAUACUGUGGCCACCACUUGCAAGCCUGGAGUCCAUAGUCAAAAGAGUCGCUAGAUUUUUGAUGAAAUAAGUCUAAGUGGUGAAUUGGUCUUCUACGGGUAUUGUCCAUAAGUGAAAAUACAAAAGCAAAAAUUGUCAAAGCUUCCUCUCUACGGCGUCACCUCGACGUCUUCAACUUUAGAUGAGUGGUCCACUAUGAUCCAUCUUGGGCGUCCUCGUUGCCGCCGGUCACCCGCCACACUGUGUUGCUCGCCGCAUGCCGUUGCUCACACUGUCGAGCAUUGCAAACCACCAUCGGUCACCAUUCGUGAUCCAUUGCCCGGCGCUCAAAUUUGGAAAGUUAUUGUCACAAUUAGGUAAUACUCCUUACUCGGUGCCAUUGAAUAUUUUAUCGCCUAAUUUGUCUAUCUUAUAUCCAUUAAGCAUAUUUGAAUGAUAGGCAUAUCUCUCAAUUAAGGUGUAUUGCCCAAUUCGCAACCACACCUGGGUUUUUUAUUUCAUCUAUAAGGCUUUAGAUGAAAUAAUUAAUCAAGCGGAAAUAAAAUUGAUAUUUUGAUCUUUAAGGCUUAAGAUCAUUUAUCGAUUAUUAUCACUUAAUCUGAAUGGUGUGUGAUAUCUUUGAUGAUUUUGAAUGGUCUAUCUUGUCUCGAUUGCUUUAUUCAUCUUGAGAUAUGUUUAAGUUAGAAUAUUGCAUGUUUUAGGGUUAUUUGCAUAUUUAGAUUAAGCAUUUUAUUUAUCAUGAAUUUUCGAAAUAAAAAAAUAAAUUUAGGAUGUUAGAUUGUCGUUUCAUUAACCUAAAUUGCAUGUUUAAUUAUUUAACAAUUUUAAUUUCGAAUUUAAAAGAAAAAAGAAAAAAGGAAAACAUAGAAUUAGGGCAUUCUUUGCAUGUCAUCACAUAUUAGGAUAGAUUGCAUGCUUAUUAAGUAAAUAAAAAUCAUGUGCAUGUCAUAUAGCAUUAGGUUCAUGAAAUGUAUGUCAUUUAAUAAUUAUUGCUAGGUCUAUUUAAUUAGAAAUUACAUGUCAUUAGAAUUAGGUCAUUUAGUUAAUAUUGCAUUGCAUAUUGCAUGAUUUUCAUUAAUUAAGUGAAAACAAAAUAAAACGAAAUUGCGUGUUAAUUAGAAACAAUAUCUAGGGUUGUUGAUGUGGAUUUUAAUUUAACAUUGUAGAUGCUUUCGUUGCUUUGAGGUAAGUUUUUGCAAUUUAUUUAUCGUUUAUCUAGGUGUUAAAUUGGUGGAUUGCGCACUCGCAUAAUCACCUCACAUGUUAGGGAAAUAGAUAUAAAAUCAAAUGGUACCGAAAGGGCAUUAGAGGAAUCUAGUGUAACCUCCCCGUACUCAUAGUCUCUGGUUCGUAGGAGUAAAGUAAAACUCCCGUUACUUUACUUGGGUUUCUAAUCGACCCAUCAAAAAUAGAUUAGUGGCGACUCCUAGAUAAAAUCUAUCUGUAUGUUAAAAAACUUGAACCUAAGUCGCGAAUUGGUAUAGGCUUAGGAGAGCCCGAGUUAAGUCUAGGCUUAACAAUCCAUUAGCCAAACCCUAGGUGGUUUACACUUGGUCGCGAUAAAAUUAGAUUGCUGCUUCUUGGCUUUCGGUAGGAAUUCCUUUUUUUUUCAGUUGAAUACCAGAAGUGGUGCACAUGGUACUCUUGCGCCAAAUUAAGAAACAGAAUUCAAUGGACUCGAAUUCGCUGAAAUANNNNNNNNNNNNNNNNNNNNNNNNNNNNNNNNNNNNNNNNNNNNNNNNNNNNNNNNNNNNNNNNNNNNNNNNNNNNNNNNNNNNNNNNNNNNNNNNNNNNNNNNNNNNNNNNNNNNNNNNNNNNNNNNNNNNNNNNNNNNNNNNNNNNNNNNNNNNNNNNNNNNNNNNNNNNNNNNNNNNNNNNNNNNNNNNNNNNNNNNNNNNNNNNNNNNNNNNNNNNNNNNNNNNNNNNNNNNNNNNNNNNNNNNNNNNNNNNNNNNNNNNNNNNNNNNNNNNNNNNNNNNNNNNNNNNNNNNNNNNNNNNNNNNNNNNNNNNNNNNNNNNNNNNNNNNNNNNNNNNNNNNNNNNNNNNNNNNNNNNNNNNNNNNNNNNNNNNNNNNNNNNNNNNNNNNNNNNNNNNNNNNNNNNNNNAUUAUGAUGUAGUGGAAUGGGCUUUGACAUUUUUUUCUCGAACUACGUAGAUGGAAGUAGACUGUUAUGUAGUAAGUAGAGAGGAUCUUGCCUCGUUUGAUCUGUGUUGGUCUUGUUACUGGCUGAGCUCCACUCUUGUAAAGCAUUACUUAUUCUCUGUUGAGAUAAAAGGCUGAAUCUGAGGAAGUGGAUCAUUCCCUUGGUUGUUUUUGUCUUCCCGUUACUCGAUACACCCUUCCAUCACAGAGCUCCCUUCACUUUGCAUUUCCUAUAGACCUCCCCUCCAAGAUCUCAAAAACCCACUCAGAAAGAUUAUAGCCAGCAGUAAACUUCAUACCUACAAAUCAGAGGAAUGGAAGGUAAAGAAGAGAAUGAGUUGUGUCAGGCUGCCUUAUGUAAAAGCCUGGGCCAUCUGUGGUCAGAGAAUGAUGUAGUCGAAGUGAUCAAAGAAAUCCCCCUAAAAAAAGGGAACAAUGCAAUCAGACCAUUUUCGGGAAGCUAUUUUCCAAACCAAAUGUCAACUUCCAAGUUUUUCUUCAAAUUAUGAAGAAAGCAUGGAGAAUAGAAUAGGUGAUAUGCACACAAAAGGAACCAGUUUUUUUCUCAUUCGUUUUUUCAAUCGGAGGAAGAAAAUGAGAGAGUUAUGAAAUCCGGGCCCUGGUCUUUUGCCAAUAAUCUAUUAGUACUUAAACAAUGUGAACUUGACAUUCCAGAGCACUGUUAUGAUUAUUCUCAAAGCGCUUUUUGGGUGCAUAUGAGAGGGAUACCCCCUGGGUGGAUACUAGAAGACGUGUUUACUGAUCUAGCAAAAAAGGUAGGCAAAGUUCUGGAAAUUCAGGUGGACUUUAAGGGAAACGGACUACAGAAAAGUGGAAAAGUAAAAGUGGAAGUGGACUUAUCAGCUCCACUAAAAUCAAGGGCUAUUCUAGAUAUUGGAAACAAGAAGCUAUGGGUGGAGUUUAAAUAUGAACGGCUGCCACACUAUUGCUAUUCGUGUGAAAAAAUUGGUCAUUAUGCUACUAAUUGCGAAGAAAUCCCGUAUGAGCAAACAGCAUGGGUUGAAAACAAAGCAAGAAAAUAUGGACCAUGGCUUAAGGCAAAAGUGUAAGACCAUAGCCCCCACCGGGAAGCAAUCUAUGGCAAACUAGAAGAAGAAAUUAUUGUGGAAGAAAUGACACUAGAAAUUCCUCUUAUAACCUACGAAAUGGACCUAGUGGCCAGAGAUGAAAUCGACAACUUGGCAUCCCCAAAUCGCAACAAGAAAAGGGCUGAAAACUUAAAUGUGCAGGAGGCACCAAAAGAACCAGCAUACACAACUAUGAAGAUUACAUAUCAUAGCAAAUAGAUUAUGUGCUUCAAAACUAAUAGGCGGAUCCUCUCAAAAGUUGGGAAAUGCAGCAAAAAAAGUAUGAAGGUGUAGAGGGCGAAAAAACAGAAAGGCAUAGCAGAACAAACUCCCCUGUUGAUUGAUGAGAUGGAGCUCUUGGAGACCCUUAUCCAGUUGAUCAAAUAUGGUAAUGAAUGGGCUGUGGUGACUAGUCCUAAUAAGCCACUGGCGACGAUAUGAAAAUCAUAAGCUGGAAUUGUCAAGGGCUGGGCAAUCCCCUAACAUUCUAGGAGCUAAGAGCUCUAGUAGCUCUUGAAAGGCCCAACCUGGUCUUCUUGAUGGAAACAAAGAACAAAGCAACGAUGGUGGAGGUGUUAAAAGGCAACUCAACUUCCAAAAUCUAUUCCUAGAAAAUCCUGCAGGAAUUGCGAGAGGUUUAGCAAUUUUGUGGAGUGAGGAAGUGGUGUUAAAGGUAAAUGACAGCUCUAAAGAAUUUAUGAUUGGAGGCAGAGAUCCAGAUAGUGGCUAACAAAUGAGGAUGACUUUUCUCCAUGCAUCGACGAACUUCAUGGAGAGACUAAAGCUAUGGCAAAAGCUGAAGGAUUUUCAAUUAUCAAAUCAUUUACCGUGGAUAUGCAUGGGAGAUUUUAAUGAAAUUUCAUAUAUUUGGGAGAAGGUGGGGAAAAGAGAAGCUGAUAAUCAUAGAAUAGCAGCGUUUCAAGAUUUAUUAAAUGAGUGUUCCCUAAUGGAUAUGAACAGCAAAGGCUGUGCUUACACGUGGGCAAACAACCGGGAAGGGGAGGCCCUUGUUAAAAAAAGAUUAGAUAGUCUUAUGCACACUGGAAUGGAGAAUUACCUUUCCCGCAGUCAAAGUACAGGCUCUACCAGCAAUUGGCUUGGACAACACCCCUCUUCUCCUGGUAUUGCACCCUAAAAGUAAGAAAAGGAAGAGGGAAUUCAAACUUGAAGCAUACUGGUUAGAAGAUCAAGAGUGUGGAGAGAUUAUCAAGAGAACUUGGAACAAAACGCCAUUAAGCCAGAUAAGUUUCUAUGAAAGUCAAUGAUAUUUCUACGGAGCUUGUUAAAUGGAGCAAGGAAAAAUUCGCCAACGCACGACGUCAUAUCAAGGAGCUAAACAAAGAAUUAACAGAGAUGACCAACAAGAAUUCUGAAAAUUUCAGCAGGAAGGAAGCACAUAAUAUUAUCGACAAGAUAGACAAACUAUGGAAACAAGAGGAAAAUUUUUGGGGGAUGAGAGCACGCAUCAAUUGGCUGCAAUGGGGAGAUAGGAAUACCAAGUUCUUCCAUGCCACAACUGUAUAGAGAAGACAAAGGAAUAGAAUUACAAUGCUGCAAAUGGAAUAUCAAAGCUGGUGUAGGGAUUCGGCAGCACUCAAAAAACAUAUAGGGUCUUUCUAUCGGAACUUAUAUAAAUCGGUGGGUCCUAGGAACUAUCAACCAAUCCUAAACUAGUGUCCCAGUCCAGUAAGUGAGGAAAUAAAUGAAAAUCUGAUGGCAAAUAUUACCCUUGAAGAGGUGAAAGAUGUGGUUUUCCAACUGGGCUCUUUAAAGACCCUCGGGCCUGACGGUCUAAAUGGGCUUUUUUAUCAACAAUCUUGGGAGGAUAUUAAGCUGGAUUUGUUCCAACUAGUGCAGAAUUUCUUUGAAACAUGUAUCAUCGACCCCCUCCUCAACAAAACACACAUUUCCUUGCUACCAAAAGUAAAAAACCCAGAAAAUAUAGGCCAAUUCAGACCUAUUAGUUUGUGCAAUGACAACUACAAAAUCAUCUCAAAAGUUAUGGCAAACAGACUAAAGAUUUGGCUUCCAGAGAUCAUAGAGCUUGAAGAGAACGCCUUUGUACAAGGGAGGCAAAUACAAGAUAAUAUUUGUGGCAUCCCAAAAUUCAUGGCAACCUCUAAUUACAUUAAAGUCUAUGAAUAGAAAGUUUCAGGCGAUAUUGAAACCUGGGAUAAUGCAAGAAAAGCCUAUGACAAAAUCAAAUCAGACUUUUUGAGGGAUUGUAUGCUGAAAAUGGGUUUUUAUGAGCGGUGGGUAUCUCUAAUCAUGCAACGUGUUUCGAUGGUGUCCCUAAGUGUGAAAAUAAAUGGGGAGCCUAUUUCAUAUUUCACCCCUUCAAGAGGAAUCAGACAAGGUGACCCUCUUUCCCUAUAUUUAUUCAUCCUAGUAGCAAAUGUUUUGACUGGGAUGAUGAACCAAGCCUUAAAGAAUAGAAGCAUUAAAGGGAUAAAGCUAAACAGGUUCUGCCCUACACUGUCUCAUUAACUCUUUGCUGAUGAUGCCAUAUUUUUCUUAAACGAGACUAUAGUAGAAUGCCAAAACUUAGCAAAUAUUCUCAACCAGUACUGUUUUGCAUCGGGCCAAGCCAUUAAUCUAAACAAAUCAGGGGUAUGUUUCAGCAGGACUUGUCCGUUAUUUCUGAAAAGAAACUUAGCACAAGAACUUAAAGUCCCAAUAAUAGAAAAAAUAGGGAAAUAUCUUGGAAUACCAACAGAAUGGGAUCACUCAAAGAAGGAGAUGUUUGCAUGGAUUCUAACAAGAAUAAACUCGAAGCUAGAGGGAUGGAAAGAAAAAUUACUAUCCAAAGCAGGUAAAGAAAUUCUGAUAAAGAGCGUUGUACAAACCCUGCCUCAUUAUGUGAUGUCAGUCUUUAAAUUGCCUAUCUCUAUUUGCAAAACCAUAGAAAAAAGAAUUGCUUCAUUUUGGUGGCAGAAAAGCGAUUCAAAAAGGGGCUUGCAUUGGAAAAAAUGGGAAACAUUAAAAACCGGGAAAGAUGAGGGAGGUUUGGGGUUCAAAGAGUUGAGAAAUUUUAACACAGCAAUGCUCGGCAAGCAAGCUUGGCGAUUAUCCAAAACCCCUUCAGCUUUGUGGAGUAGAAUUUUGAAAGGCAUUUAUUUUCCAAACGGAGACUUGUGGAAGGCAAGAAAAGGGCAAGGACCGUCUUAGGGAUAGCAAAGCAUUUUAACAGGGAGAGAAGCCAUAGAAUUAGAGGUUAAAUGGUCAGUUGGGGAUGGCCAAUCUAUUAAAUACAAGAAGACAAAUGGCUAAAGUCUGGAGUGCUUGGAGGCCCAGCUAACCAAAAUGAACCAAUUAUGGUGGCAGAACUUAUCAAUGAAGACUCGCGGGUAUGAAAGGAAAGUUUAAUCCUAAAUAUUUUUGAAGAACAAACAGCAAAUGAGAUACUUGCGAUACCCAUUAGCCCGUCCUCGAAGGAUGAUUAUCUAGUAUGGAUAGGUAAUAAAUUAGGGANNNNNNNNNNNNNNNNNNNNNNNNNNNNNNNNNNNNNNNNNNNNNNNNNNNNNNNNNNNNNNNNNNNNNNNNNNNNNNNNNNNNNNNNNNNNNNNNNNNNNNNNNNNNNNNNNNNNNNNNNNNNNNNNNNNNNNNNNNNNNNNNNNNNNNNNNNNNNNNNNNNNNNNNNNNNNNNNNNNNNNNNNNNNNNNNNNNNNNNNNNNNNNNNNNNNNNNNNNNNNNNNNNNNNNNNNNNNNNNNNNNNNNNNNNNNNNNNNNNNNNNNNNNNNNNNNNNNNNNNNNNNNNNNNNNNNNNNNNNNNNNNNNNNNNNNNNNNNNNNNNNNNNNNNNNNNNNNNNNNNNNNNNNNNNNNNNNNNNNNNNNNNNNNNNNNNNNNNNNNNNNNNNNNNNNNNNNNNNNNNNNNNNNNNNNNNNNNNNNNNNNNNNNNNNNNNNNNNNNNNNNNNNNNNNNNNNNNNNNGAUUUAUAGUGGUUCGGCUUAUUCCAAGCCUACGUCCACUCUUCCGCACUGACAGCCCACCGGCUGGAUUUCACUAUGAACAAAAGAGAAGUUACAGCACAGUUUUUCCUUGAUUUCACAAUGUAGAAGUUCUACCACAUUUUCUCAAGGUUUCUCACGAAUAUAGACUCUAUUUUGUUUACACGAUUUUGCUCAAUAAAUGAAUUGACUAAGAACAAGGAGCUUCAGACUUUGGAAUUCUUCUAUUGUGCACUCCCUCGAACAACUGAAACGCCUUCCUUAUAUACUCCUUCAUGCCAUCAUACUCGUUGGCACUUACCAAAGGAAUUCCUCCAAUCUACCCAUUGGAUGGAAUCAAUUAGGAAGAUCAUUCGAGCUAUUAAAGGAACAUGUCGAUAGUCCAUCAAUCAUGUUUGCCCAUACAAUCAGGAUCUCAGUUUCCAUAAGUAGAUACUUCCAAGUAUACUUUGCCACUCAUCAGAUCCUUAAUCUUCGAAUCAAUUAUGAUCAAAUAAAGAAUUCCGUUGUGUCAUAUCCAGCCAAGAGAUCUUCUCCAGUCGAUAAGGCCACAUCCUUAAUGAAACAUCCAGUUCUGGAUAACCUUUCUUCAACGGAUUAGAAACUGUCAAUGAGGAUAGACUUUGAGUCUUGAGUCUAGCUGUCCGGAGGUCUUCAGACUUUAAACAGCAGAGUCUGCAAGCCUUCAGACUAGAUUGAUGGAAACGUUUUGUCAACUUCAAACACUUCAGAGGAUUUCUCCAACAAUCUCCCCCUUUUUGAUGGUGACAAAAACUUUCCUGCAGAUUUAGAAACUUUGACCUGCAAACAUUUCUCAAACACAUAUGCAUAUCUAUAGAGAUAAAUGACUAAAUGAAUNNNNNNNNNNNNNNNNNNNNNNNNNNNNNNNNNNNNNNNNNNNNNNNNNNNNNNNNNNNNNNNNNNNNNNNNNNNNNNNNNNNNNNNNNNNNNNNNNNNNNNNNNNNNNNNNNNNNNNNNNNNNNNNNNNNNNNNNNNNNNNNNNNNNNNNNNNNNNNNNNNNNNNGCCAAAAGUUCGACAAAGUUGGAGCAAAUUUGGUUCAAAGUUUUUCAAGUCUCACAACUCUCCCCCUUUUUGUCAGAAUUAAAAAAAUGAGAUGAAAAUGAAGUCAAGGAUUCUUUGGAACACGAACAAGCUGGAAAUCUCCCAUCGACUGAACGAUGCUUUCCAGCCUUUUUAAGUCUUCCUUCAGCUGAGCAACAUCCUCACCCUUAGCAUUAGCCUGAAUCUGAAGAGAAAUGGCUUGGAUUUGAUCAUUUAAUGAACCCAAAAAGACUUGUCUUGCAUUACACACCUUCAAUAACUUCACCUCCCCUUUUUUCUCUCCUGACCUUCAUCUCCAAGAGAAUAUCCAUCACUCUGCGAAAGUCUGCUGAAUUGUCAGUCUACGUACUGGCGUUAGCACGAUCUGAUGGAGUAAAUGCAGACGAUGGUAUAUCAGCAUAAUCACGCAGAUUUGGCGAAGAAACCUCAUGACCUUCCUCAGGAAACUGAGAGGCAUAAAUAUCCUCUGGAUCUGCUGGGGAUCGACUGACUCCCUCACUGGUUGCAGGAUUUGAAGUCAUUCCUCUUUUCUCUUGGUCUCCCCCUGUGUUCAUGCCUUCAGGUGGAGAGUGCUCCUCAUGUUCUUCUUCUUCUUGAUCUCUUUUCUCUUCUUCUUCUUUUUCAACUCUCUCUUGCUUAGCAUCUCUUUCUUCUUCUUCUUCUUCUUCUCUUUCCUCUGUUUCUUUUUCCUCUGCUUCUUUCUCUGCUCUUUCUUCUGUCUAUUGUUCUGACUCUUUCUCUGGAACAGAUUGACUGAGAUUCUUCAAAGCAGAAAUAGUGAUGUUUUCCUCAUCAUCGUCAUCAUCAACGAGAACAGCUCUUCUUCUCUUGGAUGGAGCAUCCAUGGGUUCCUUCCCUUUUCUUUUUCCUGCAGAAGAGAAUUGAUGAGAUUUGACUGGAGUCUUUUCCUUAAAUUUCUCCAAUGCCUUGCUUAGUUCCUUCAGACGCAUCUUGGUCACCAUUUUCAGUCCUACCACCAUAUGAUCGCACGAUCGAGCACAAAGAAUUUGCGGAGGCUGAAUGUUCAGAUGGAGAAUGACGCUGCUGAGAAUGUUGUGGGCUCUGCUGCUGAUUUGGAGACACUUCUUCUUAAGUGAGAUCGAAGUGCGUAAGCCCCUCACUCAUUCGCCGUGGUCCCCUGCUUGCGAUCCUCGAAGACUUUCUUGAAGACGACAUCUUUCUUAGUCUUUGAAAGAUUCCUUGCUUGACUUUCCCAAGAAAGAUGACAACUUUUUCGAAAAUUAAACAAGAGAAGAAAACAAGAAUGGAAGAUCGGUGCUUUUUAGGGUUUUGGAGUCAAGCGAAGAGUAACCAACUGUAUAUAAGACAGUCGAAAGAAGGGGAUAUCAAUCGUCGUAAUGGAAAGUGAAAAUAUACCUUUAAAAAAAUAACUGCAUUUUUUGAAAAAUGGUCAUUUCAAAAUAACUUCUUUAUCUAAAGGAAACGAUGCAAUAAUCUCGUCAAUUAAAGAUAGCGGUUGAGAUAACAAUAAUCAACACAGUUGAUGAACGUACCUUUUCAAGAUGAGAUUAGAGAGAGAAUAACUUAUAGUCAAAGUCUUGCAGUCAAAGUCUUAUAUGCCUGAGUCUGAGAGUCUUUAGACUUUAACUUCUUCGAACCUCAAAAUGUUGAGUCUGGAACGGAUAAUUUCAAAUUGAUUUUUCUCCAAAGGCUUUGUAAAUAUAUCCGCCAGUUGGUUCUUUGAAUCAACAAACUGAAUCGUAAUUCCUCCAUUUUGAACAUGAUCUCUAAUGAAGUGAUGUCGAAUCUCUAUAUGCUUUGCUCUUGAGUGAAGAAUUGGGUUUUUGGUAAGAUUGAUAGCGCUGGUGUUGUCACAUUUAAUCUCCGUGCAUGAAUCUUCAAUUCCAAAAUCUCUUAGCUAUUGUUUUAUCCACAGAAUUUGUGAACAGCAACUUCCAAGAGCUACAUAUUCUGCUUCUGCUGUAGAAAGAGCUACUGUACUUUGCUUUCUUGAAAACCAAGACACUGUCCUGCCUCCAAGUAGUUGACAUGUACCUGAGGUGCUCUUUCUAUCAACUUUGCAUCCGGCUAAGUCUACGUUUGAGUACCCAAGAAGAGUAAAGUCUCCCCUUUUUGGAUACCAGAGACCGAAGAUUGAAGUUGAUGCAAUAUAUUUGAUAAUACACUUUGCAGCAUUAAAAUGUGAUUCUUUAGGGUCUGCUUGAAAUCUAGCACAAAUGCAAACACUAAACAAAAUGUCAGGUCUAGAAGCAGGAAGAUAAAGAAGUGAACCGAUGAUACUCCUGUAUAACUUUUGGUCGACUUUCUUUCCUCCUUCAUCUUUAUCUAUCUUCACGGAACUUGACAUUGGUAUAUCAGCCUUUUUGCAAUUGUCCAGUCUAAACUUCUUCACAAUAUCAUUAGCAUAUUUUUCUUGAUGAAUAAAAGUUCCUUCCUUCAAUUGUUUCACUUGAAGUCCAAGGAAGAAGGUUAACUCACCCAUCAUGCUCAUUUCAAAUUCACCCUGCAUAGUCUUAGAGAAUUUCUUACAUAGACUUUCAUUAGAGGAUCCAAAAAUAAUAUCAUCGACAUAUAUUUGAACAAGUAGAAAACUCUUGCUUUCUCUUUUAAUGAAAAGAGUAGUGUCUACUUUACCUUUAACAAAUCCAUUUUCAAUUAAAAACUUACUAAUCUGUCGUACCAAGCUCGAGGAGCUUGUUUCAAGCCGUAUAAAGCCUUUUUGAGUCUAAAAAUUGAGUUUGGUUUCCUUGGAUCUUCAAACCCAGGUGGUUAUUCCACAUAGACUUCCUCUUGGAUGAAUCCAUUUAGGAAGGCACUUUUGACAUCCAUUUGGAAUAACCUGAAAUUCUUAUAACAAGCAAAAGCAAGUAAUAAUCGAAUUGCUUCUAACCUUGCUACUGGUGCGUAAGUCUCGUCAUAGUCUAUCCCUUCUUCUUGUGUGUAUCCCUUGGCCACGAGUUUUGCCUUGUUUCUUAUGACUUUUCCUUUCUCGUUCAUCUUGUUCCUGAAAACCCAUUUAGCUCCAAUAACAGACUUACCUUUUGGUUUAGGAGUCAAUUCCCAUACAUCAUUAAUACUGAAUUGCCUGAGCUCUUCUUGCAUAGCUUCAAUCCAGCUUUCAUCAGAUAAAGCUUCUUCUAUGCUUUUGGGUUCUAUUUCAGAAACAAGAGCCACAGCACUAGACUCUUCGCGCCUUUUGGAUCUUGUGCGAAUUCCUUCAUUGAUGUCGCCAAUAAUAAGAUCUUUGGGAUGACUGGACUUAUGUUUCCAGUUGCUGGUUAAUUUGUCAGAUUGAUGGUCACUUCCUUCACUUCAAUCUUCAAUAGUCACUUGUUGCUGGUCCUUCAAAGUCUGAGUUGUUUUAGACUUUAUAGAUUUUGGAGCAGGUUCAAAUUCUUCAAGAUGAGUCUAAAUGGAUUCAUUUUGCAUAGAGUCUUGGAAUUUAACAUUCAUUGAUUCUUCCACUGUUUGAGUCUUCUUGUUGUAGACUCUAUACGCUUUGCUUGAGAUUGAAUAUCCAAGGAAGAUGCCUUCAUCUGACUUUUCUUCAAACUUACCAACUCGAUCAUUUGCAUUUUUCAGUAUUAAACAUUUGCAUCCAAAUACAUAAAAAUAUUAAACAAUAGGCUUCUUUUCUUUGAAUAAUUCAUAGGGGGGUUUUUUCCAGAAUAGGCCUUAGAAAAACUCUAUUUAUAAUGUAACAUGCUGUAGAAACUACUUCAGCCCAAAAACGUGAAGAGAUGUUACUUUCAAUUAAAAGAGUUCUAGCCAUUUCUUGAAGAGAUCUAUUCUUUCUUUUCACAACUCCAAUCUGCUCUGGAUUAUAUGGAGAGGAGAAUACAUGCUGAAAACCAGAUUCAUCAUAGAAUUUUGUAAAAUCAUGAUUUUCAAAUUCACCUCUAUGAUCUGUUCUUAUACUCGAGAUAACAUAUCCUUUUUCAUUUUGAACCUUUUUAGCAAACUUUUCAAAGUAAGAGAAAGUUUCAGACUUACUUGCCAAGAAAUAUACCCAAGUAAAUCGUGAGUAAUCAUCCACAAUUACUAGGCAGUAUUUCUUACCUCCAAUGUUUUGUGUUUUGGUUGGUCCAAAAAGAUCCAUAUGCAGAAGCUGCAGUACACGGUUAGUGGAAACUUGAUUUAUUGGUUUAAAGGAAUUUCUUACCUGUUUUCCCAAUAUACAUGGUGUACAUAGAUCAUACUUUUGGUAUGAUAAAUUGGGUAGACCACGAACAAGCUUCUUUGCUGAGAUUUUGGCUAUUUGCUUCAUGUUGACAUGCCCAAGCUUUCUGUGCCAUAAGUUUGCUUCGUCUUGGAUUGAGAUUAAACAUUGUGAUUCAUCUGGUUUCACAUCCAAGAGGUAGAUAUUUCCAUGUCUUUGAUCCAUGAAUGACUGAGUAGAAUCUUUACUAAUUCCAGAACAUAUUCCCUCUUGAAAGUUGAUUUUGAAACCAAUAUCACAUAGCUAACUAAUACUGAGCAAAUUGUAAUUGAGCCAUUCUACUAAGGAAACAUUGCUGAUUGUGAGAUUUCCAAUCUUUACAGUUCCAAAUCCCACAAUUUUUCCUUUGCCGUUUCCUCCAAAAGAGACUUUUCCACCAUUUACUUGAACAAUCUUUAUGAAGUAAUUUGAGUCUCUUGUCAUGUGUCUUGAGCAUCCACUAUCCAUAUACCAUUUUACCUUUUUCUUGAUAGUGACCUGCAUUUAAAAAAGAAACUCAAACCUUCUUUAGUACCCAUAUUUUCUUGGGUCCAUUGGUGUUAGUUUGAUAUACGGUUUUUGCCCAUUCCUUUUUAACAGGUUUCCAAAUCAUGGGACAUUCUUUUUCAAAAUGAUCUGCACUAUUGCACUUUGAGCAUCUGAGAGCAUUGUGACCAACUGGUUUUACAAAGAUCCUUUUAAAAUGAUUUUUGUAAGCAUCUCUUGUUGGUCUUUGUUUGAUUCUUUCUUUCACUUUAGGAAAAUCAAUUAAAGGAAUGGUUUCAGCAGUCAUUCCCAAACCAGAUUUAUUGAAAUAAGAUCUUUGAACAGAGAGAAUUUUUUCCAGUUUCUCAGAUUCUAUAGAAAAUCUUUUGGAAAUAUUUGAGAUAUCACAUUUCAAGAAUGCAUUUUCUUUUAAAAGAUUGCCUUCACUUUCUUUAAGAGAAGAAGCAUUCUUGUCUAAACAUUUCACUUUUUUCUUUCAAAAUAUUUUCCUGUUGUUUUAGAGCAGAAUUUUCCUUCUUGAGUUCGGAAAUUCUUUUAAGAGAAGUCUUAAGACUAAAACACAAUUCAUCAAUAUACUUUGAAACCUUAAUAGGGAUUUUGAAGUUACUUACCUCAAAUUCGCUUUCUGAGUCUGAAUCUGUCUCGGAAUUUGAAUCCGAAUCCGAUUGAGCCAUUAGACAUAUAUUGGCAUAUUCAUCAUCACUUUCUUCCCACCCCUGUAUCACUCCAGGUUUAAGCUUUAAGAGCUUUUCGGUACUUUUCAGUUUUUCCUUUCUUCUUCCUCAGAAGAGGACAGUUGGGUCUGAUGUGUCCCUUUUUCUUGCAUUCAAAGCAGACUACAUCUUUGUUUGAUUCAUCAUCCUCAACAGACUUAGUCUGUUGCUUUUGAAAACUNNNNNNNNNNNNNNNNNNNNNNNNNNNNNNNNNNNNNNNNNNNNNNNNNNNNNNNNNNNNNNNNNNNNNNNNNNNNNNNNNNNNNNNNNNNNNNNNNNNNGCUUUCUGAAUCUUCUUAUCAUGAGAGCAAGUUCCUCAUCAUCCAUAUCGUCUUCAGAAUCUGUAACAUCAAAAUCAUCAUUAGAUUUUAAUGCAAUGGAUUUCUUACCUUUAGGGUCUUCGUCUUCAUUGAUUCGUUCCACUUCAUAAAACUGAAGAGUCCCAACCAACUCAUCAACCAAAUAGUGGCAUGAUUCUUUGGGUCUCUUUGAUUGAGGUCUUUAUGUGAUUCCAAUCCUUGGAGAGUCCACGCAGCAGCUUGUUUACUUUCAUGGGAUCAAAAAUUGGUUGACCUUGGUUUUCAAGACCAUUCACGAUUUCUGUAAAGCGACUGAACAUAUCCGUUAUAGAUUCUCCUGGUUUCAUUUUGAAGACUUCAUAUUGACCGAGGAGAAUGUUGAUUCUAGUCUCUUUUACUCGAUCGGUUCCUUCAUAGGUAAUAUGUAAUCUAUCCCAGACUUCUUUAGCUGUAACACAAUAAGAUAUUCUAUUAUAUUCAAUAGGGGAUAAAGCACAAUAUAAAGAAUAAAUUGCUUUUGCAUCAAGAGCUUGUCUCUUGACUUUCUCUUCCCGAGUCAUUUCACUAGACUCAACAACAUCUUUUCCUCUUUCUGAGACAGAUGCAGCUUUAGGAAUGAUUUCUUUUUCUACAACGUCCCAUUCUAGAGGAUCCUUUGAUCUUAGGAAUGCUUUUAUCUUGUUCUUCCAUAUGUUGUAAUCCUUUCCAUCAAAGUAAGGUGGUCUGGUAUUGCUUUGCCCUUCUACCAGUCAUGGAGCCAACAUACUAGCCAUGGAUCUUUAACUCUGUUGCAAAUGGACGAAAAAAAAUUUGGGUAGAUCCACAAAUCAACAUUGAGAUAGCUAGUAUAAGCACCUAGAGGGGGGUGAAUAGGUGCACAAACAAUUUCUCGAGAUACGGAAGCGAUUCUAGGCAAACGAUAGAAAGGAAAAUGCGAUCAAAGCGAAGUAAAGGUUAGGGAAGAGAGAAAUGAACACAAGAUUUAUAGUGGUACGGCUUAUUCCAAGCCUACGUCCACUCUUCCGCACUGACAGCCCACCGGCUGGAUUUCACUAUGAACAAAAGAGAAAUUACAGCAUAACUUUUCCUUGAUUUCACAGUGUAGAAGUUCUACCACACUUCCUCAAGGUUUCUCACGAAUAUAGACUCUGUUUUGUUUACACGAUUUUGCUCAAUAAAUGAAUUGACUAAGAACAAGGAGCUUCAGACUUUGGAAUUUUUCUAUCGUGCACUCCCUCGAACAACUGGAACACCUUCCUUAUAUACUCCUUCUUGCCAUCAUACCCGUUGGCACUUACCAAAGGAAUUCUUCCAAUCUACCCGUUGGAUGGAAUCAAUUAGGAAGAUCAUUCGAGCUAUUAAAGGAACAUGUCGAUAGCCCAUCAAUCUUGUUCGCCCAUACAAUCAGGAUCUCGGUUUCCAUAAAUAGAACCUUCCAAUUAUACUUUGCCACUCAUCAGAUCCUUAAUCUUCGAAUCAAUUAUGAUCAAAUAAAGAAUUCCGUUGUGUCAUAUCCAGCCAAGAGAUCUUCUCCAAUCGAUAAGGCCACAUCCUUAAUGAAACAUCCAGUUCUGGAUAACCUUUCUUCAACGGAUUAGAAACUGUCAAUGAGGAUAGACUUUGAGUCUUGAGUCUGGCUGUCCGGAGGUCUUCAGACUUUAAACAGCAGAGUCUGCAAGCCUUUAGACUAGACUGAUGGAAACGUUUUGUCAACUUCAAAACACUUCAAGAGGAUUUCUCCAACAAACAUCAUUAGAAACCCAAGCAACAUAACAAGGUGUGAUCAGUGGCUAACGGAAGUGUUCGAAAGAAGUGACAUCUCACCUGAAAGAGAACUAGUUGCUACUGUGCUGUGGAAUAUCUGGAAGACCCGAAACAAUUUCAUUUUUUGAGCAAAGCGUCCCCAACCAACUGAUCUUGUAGAUCUCGCAAUAGCACAACAAAAAAGUUUUAGCAGAUGGCAGAAUCAAAAAGGGCAAAAACCCACAACCCGAAGCCUACCGAUUAGAUGGACGCCACCGGACAGAGACGAGAUGAAGCUAAACGUCAACGCCUCAUGGACUCUGGGCGAUUUCCUAGGUUUGGUAGCUGGGAUUGGGUGAGAUCCGUCGGGUCUCGUGGUUGAGGGCUUCGCAGUGCAGAUACGGGCGUCUUCUCCUCAACAAGCAGAAGCCCUAUCUUUGCUGCAUGGUUUCAUGUACUAGAGAGGAAGAGAAGCCGUGCACGUGGGCACAGGAACUGUUCAAAGUUGCAGAUGGGUGCUCGAAAGUGACAGUUCAACUUUGGUGGAAGCUGUGAUGGGUCGGGCCGAAACAUCAUGGGACUUGAAGGAAAUUGUGGAACAGUGCAAAGAAGAAUUAUGCCUUUUCAAAUCAGCAAGGGUAGAAUAUUGUCCUCGCGAGGCAAACCAAGCGGCAGGUUGGCUAGCUAACUCUCACCAAACCAAAAAUGUCCCUAUAAAUUGGGUGACUUUUCCUCCUGUCUCCCUUUCGGAAAUUCUAUGUUUAGAGUUUUACCCAUCGUUGCCUUGUAAGGCUCACUUAUUUUCAUGAAUGAAUGCAAUAUCUUUUUUCGACCAAAAAAAAAAUUCUAAAUUCCCAAUCCUUCAAAGAGAACGUGCUGAAAUAUUUGGCUCGAAGGAUUUACAUCAAUCAUUUUCAAUUCCCCAUUCUAUACUGAUCAAUCAUUUUUUUUUAUCACCUCAACUCUAAAUUUCUAAUCCUUCAAUGAGAACGUGCAAAAACCAGAAGAAUUUCAUUAUAAACCACAUAAGUACAUUUACGCGAUUAAAAUCGAGAGAUAUUUACUAACUGAGCUUCUGUAAGCUAGAAAUUAUGAGAACCCUUUUUUAAUUAUCUUCAUACGUGAGCUUUCUAGCGUUUAUGCUCCAAAAAAUGAGAUCCAAUUUCUUUUCAGGAAGGCAUACACAGAUAAGUAUUUCUCUCCUCCGUGAGAGCUUCUCCAUUAUCCUUACUCCUCAAACGGGCUCUCUAUAUUAUCAUGAGUCAUUUCCAUGUGCUUUCUAUUUUAGUUGACUAGUCCCCUCGCCAUUGUUUCAUCCCUUUAGUAUUCCUAUCACUACACAUUGCCCCUAACAACCAUUCGACGAUAUUUCUGAGUCGAUUCUCUGCUGACCCAUUUCUUUUUUUCUCCUUACAGGAUGGCUGCAGAGGUUCCAUUUAACAUCCCAAGCAUCUCUGCCAGACGAUCUUCUGGGGGGAUCAAAUUGGACUUGGAGCAAGUUGAUGAUAAGGAUGCUGAGAUGGUUUUGAAUGGAAGGAUUUUGUCGGAGGAGGAAUGCUCGAGUCAAGCUGCAUAGCUAAUGUUUUAAGGAAUGCCUAGGCUGGUAUUGGUGAGAUUCCCAUAACCCCUCAAAUUCAUAGGACAUAAGGAAUGGAGGCAUUCCAGCCCAAACAUACUCCCAUCCUCGCCUCAGCAUAGAUCGUGCCAAAAUGAAAAAUGAAGUAACAUGCCUGCCCACGCAGGACUAGGACGCUGGUGGUGGGCCGAUGCUGGACCAAUGCUUUUGGCAGCGGUGGUGCUCCACGAUAUAUCGGCCUCCGUUCAUUCCAAUUGCGGGUGCGGUUCAAUCUGGAUUGCGGAUUGCUUCUUCAGGCCCCAGGCAAUGCCAAAAAAUGGCUUCGUGAAUCGACGGAGCAGACCUCCCACGGCCAUGACUAUGAAGUUCGCCAGCCUCAUGAGAUCGCAGAUCUCCGUCGGAGUGAAUCAACACAGGUUGCGACGUCCAUGGCCCUGGUUCAUGACCAUAGCUGAAAUUAAAUGAGCGGAAACAACAGCUUCCAUUCCUAUUCUUACAAAAACAGGUCCGGUAUGAAAAUUUAAUGUAAGAACACACGUUUGAUAUGUUAUUUUUAUAUAUUCUUACACCUCAGUCUCUUUAUAUACUAUUCGUGUUUAUUAAAAAGCGAUUAAAUAAUCCUUUUAGGAUUAUCAUCUUAAUGAAUGGGAAAUUAUUGAAGUAUAGAUAUUUGUUUCAGUUGAANNNNNNNNNNNNNNNNNNNNNNNNNNNNNNNNNNNNNNNNNNNNNNNNNNNNNNNNNNNNNNNNNNNNNNNNNNNNNNNNNNNNNNNNNNNNNNNNNNNNNNNNNNNNNNNNNNNNNNNNNNNNNNNNNNNNNNNNNNNNNNNNNNNNNNNNNNNNNNNNNNNNNNNNNNNNNNNNNNNNNNNNNNNNNNNNNNNNNNNNNNNNNNNNNNNNNNNNNNNNNNNNNNNNNNNNNNNNNNNNNNNNNNNNNNNNNNNNNNNNNNNNNNNNNNNNNNNNNNNNNNNNNNNNNNNNNNNNNNNNNNNNNNNNNNNNNNNNNNNNNNNNNNNNNNNNNNNNNNNNNNNNNNNNNNNNNNNNNNNCCCCUUCUUGAGUUUUACAUUAGUAGUCAUCUCAAGAGUAGAGGAUUAUGUAGUUUGUUUUGUCGCUGGAGUAUCUAUUUUAUCCAUACUAAUAAGAAUUGUAUACCGAUACAAAAAACAAAAAAAAGAUUAAUACUACAAAAAACUCAAAAUUGAUAUAUUUAUAACAAAUUUAUUCCAAAUUUUUUUUUUAUUAUUAAAAAUCCUAAAUUGGUACAAUGACAAUAAAUUUAUCCUCCAUUAAUUUUCAUUAAAUUAAAUUAAUAUCAUGAAAAAACAAAAAUUGGUACGCCUUUAUAACAAAUAGAGAAUAAGACCCCACAUUAAUACACCAAUAAAUUGUUAUAUGUCAUUUAACUUAUUAAUUUGAUGAUAAAAUUUAAUAAAAACUCAUAGAAGAUGAAUUUGUCACAGAUGUAAUAGUUGAAGGUCUUUGGCAAUCAAAAAUUUAAUUUGAGAUAAAUUUAUAAUAAGCGUAUCAAUUUUUGUGGUAUUAAUCCAAAACUAUUUCCUUUUCUUUUUGAAAACAAGAGAACUAUUUACCGACCAAAAAAAAAAAAAAAACUAUAUGAGAAACCUGACGUUAAGGGUGAAAAGAAACCUGAGCAGUAUCCACUGCAGCCACCUCAAGUUCGUUUCCUGACUAAGAUAUUUCACCCCAAUGUGCACUUCAAGGUAUAAUUUGUUUGUAUAGGAAUGCUUAUUGAUGAUAACUUAGUUGGAACUAGUUGCAGUGCAUGCGAAUAGGUCAAAGGGUGAACUGAUUUACUGUGUUGUUUGGCGAUCAAUGUUUCUUCUUGUCAAUACUUAUUAUGUUCAGAAUCAGAAACUUGAAAGAGUUGCUAGGUUUAGGGUUUUGUUUUAUUUGGCACUUGAAAAUAGAUAGAGGUGCAGAAGCUGAGAAUUGGAGACUUCUUUGACACUUUGUCAGGAAACAGUCUUGAUCCUUUUUUUUUUCCAAAUUCUGUUUCCAGAGAAUCUCUGCAUGAAUAGAUUUUCUGAUAACUACUAGCUUGGGAAAGUCAACAGAGAUACCUGAUGCAUAAAUAUGAGAUGCUGUAAAUGUUUGUUUGACUAAUAGAUUGACAUUUUAAUUUACUUUAUACAGACAGGGGAGAUAUGCCUUGAUAUUCUGAAGAAUGCAUGGAGUCCUGCCUGGACACUUCAGUCUGUUUGCAGGGCUAUAAUAGCUCUCAUGGCCCACCCUGAGCCUGACAGCCCACUAAAUUGCGAUUCAGGUAUCAAUGAGUUUUUUUUUAAAAAAAAAAAUAUAACAUCUGUAUCUAAAAACUCAUUAUUCUUUCAUUAGUACAUAAACCUCAACCAGAAAUUUCCUUACCUAAAUUCUUUGUAACGCCUAUUAUCUAAGUGACCUGGUGUUUAAUAUUUGUUGCUUGCACCUCUUGCAAGGAGUGCAUACUCGUAUGCUUGCAUGUUCACUGUUUCAUGAUAAAAUGUGGCAGUCUCGCUUCCUUAAUAAUAUCUAGUUGAAUGUUGUCUUACUUACAUUUAAACUAUGCAGAGUCAGGGCCAAGAGCCAAAAGUUGGUAGAGUCACCUUUCUUGGUAUAAAAAUCUUGAUUCGGGGUUUCCUCCACCUUCCCACCUUGUGAAUACCAACAACAAGAACAAGAAGCCAUUGCACUUUAUGGAGUAAUAUUUCCUCUCCUCAGCCAAAAAGAGAAAAAUGAAAUUCCCUCUAUACCACCUGGUUAGAGGAAAAGAGCAAAACUUUAUAGCGUAGUUCAUAUGAGAAUAAUCAUACUCCAUCCUCCUUGAUAUUGACAUAGACUAGUUGUAUCAGUGACGAAGAGGAGUGCCCUUGACAUCUUGCGGGGAUUCUUGAUAGGCUGCUUUUAGAACGAGGUGCAAGAGUGUCUUUGAUUGAACUUUUCUGGAAAUAACAAGGGUGAGACCUUUGUAAUCGUUUGACAAGUAUUGAGAGAGAGCGUGAGAUUUCAGUGGGAAUCUUUCAUGCUCCUUUUUUACAUUUUGUUUCCUAAUCCUAUCUCAAACGAUACUUCAUCUCAAAUCUUUAUUUCCAAUGGUCAGUUUGUUGGAUCGGAUAUAUAGGACAGUAGUGCUGCGACAAGUGAUAAUAGUUGGAUGUCUUUGCCUCGAUUGAGUAUUCACAUAAACACGUUCUGUUGUUCUGUCAAUUACGCAUGAGAUUCUGGGGAUUAGAUGAAUUAGGUAUGAUAUGAUGCUUCGAUUUCAACUCAAACUCUAUCUGUUAAGAACCUUGAGAGCUAUUCAUCUUAAUCAUUCAUGCAGUCAAGCAUUCUCAGGGUUUGUUGAUUGCCUUCCGGUGGGCCAAUAUAUUAUAUGGCAUCAAAGAGAUAAUUUCAACAAUGAAGUGCUAGAGAAUGGUAAUAAAGAACAAAUGCUUGUACUUGUUCAAUGUAACAGUUGAUGGUUAUUUUUUUCCUAAUGUCCUGGUCCUGCUUGUAAUGGUCGUAGUGUAUUAGAAGAGAGAUCAUGUUUUCCUGAGGUAAUCCUUCAGAUGAGAAUGUGGGGCCCCUGGGCAGGACUGCCUGCUCUGCAUGAAUCCACUGUUGUGUUGGUCAUGUUCUUAUACUGCUGUCCUUAAUACAACUCUUCACUCUGCUCGACCAUGUGUGGUGAGGCAAACCUCUCAUUUCCUUUUAUUUCUCUCUAGGCAGCUCUCUUGCUCAUGUUGCCGCUGAGCUCUUGGAAUCAUCUUUGAUGGGAAUUAGGCUCCUUGAAAGGCUAACUGUGAGAUAUCUUGUCUGAUUACUCAUGGGAGGAAAUAAAAGAUUAAAUAAAAGAAGCUCUCACUCAUCUGACAGGAAUUGUUCACAGCAAGUGAAAGAAUGAAUUUUGGUGCAGCUAAGAAGAUGAGAAUUAUAAAUAAAGCACAAUUGCAGAGACUAUCAACAGUUGAUCUUCCUGAAUUUGAAUGAAAUUUAAAAGAAAAAUUCCCUUGGGGGUUGCCAAACUUGAAGGAGGUUUGUAGUUAACAUUAUUUUCUUUAUGUCGGGUUCGGUUGAAGUGAGUUUAUAUCCCCACCUCUCUCUCUUUCUCUCUCCAGGGUAUAUCCAUAACUCAUAGGUGUGGAACUUCUUCCUAGUAGUCAUCAGAAAUGCACAUGCUAAAUCUCAUAAGAAGGGAUGGCAUAUUAGUUCCAAUUUGAUCUUGUAAUCCAGGGAUGAAUGACUUCUACGUCAAGGAUUAGCUUUGAAUGAUGACUUGCAGCGUGUACUUGCCAAGCAUGAAGUCAUUGCUUCUGGAAGUUCAGUUCAGGCUGAGAAAACCCCGCCGGGACCUUCUGGCACCAUGACCGAUGUCAAAGGUCCUCUACUUGAUAUUGUAGAUAACAGCACAAAGCCUGAUGAAAGGUAACUGGUUCAUUAGUCAUGAUUGCAAUAUAUAAACCCCAAAUACUUGUUCUGUGGCAAAUUAUGAAGUUCAGCUGAAGUCUAUGAACUGAGCAGUGCUACUCUUAUGAUAAGUUGAUAUGGAUAUUUUUCGCUAAUUUUCUGCUGUUUGGUAAAACUUGGUGGAUAUUUAUACAUUGAGGCUCCAUUUGUUUCAUGAAAAAUGACUGGUUUGGAAAAUUUUUGCUGAAAAUGACCAUUUAUAUUGCUUAUAGAAAGGAACGAAUGAAAAAUAUUUUCAUCGUCCACGAAAAUGUUUAGACACAAAUUGUUGUCGACAAUGAGAACAUUUUCUGUUGACUAAUUAUUUUAAGCAAAACAAGCUAUUGGUGAAAAUGUUUUCCAAAUCAUUUAUUUUCCGCAAAACAAACGUAGUGGAAAUUUAUCAUCUGUCUUUUGAUCCUCCAGUUGUCAAGACCUUGUCUGGUGCAACUUUCUUCACAGCAGAUUUGGCUGUGAAAAAGGUGUGUCUGCAGCUUUUAUGGACUGUUUGUCAAAUUCUUUACUGCUGUAGUGCCCUCAAAAUUGCAGCAGUCAUAACAGUUUCGAGAAAACUGCCUUGCCCAUUUUUGAGGUGUUGCAGCUGUAAAGGAUAUAUUCCAAACAUAGAAGUUACAGUGCUUCACAGCACAACCACCACAUGUGCUACAAUGCAGACACAGGCCCACAGCUUUACCAGGCAGAUCCUUAGUAGUACUAUUGAUGUGAUUUAGGUCUUGAGAGAAGAAGAAAGGAGAGAAAGGGAGAAAUGUACCAAUGCAUCUUGUACAUGUGCUCAGUAUAUACAUGCAAGUACAAAAUGAUUGAAGCAUGCUGCACUAAACAUUUAUCUUGUGGCUUAAAUUGAUCUAAGAUCUCAAAUAUUUGCUCUUGAAACUUUGUGUCUAAAAGGCUGAUUAAACUUUGGGAGAUUGCUGUCCAACAUUGUGCAUUCAGUUCUUGAGUUCCGAGUGUUUCUAUGUCUCCCAAUUUGCUCAUAGGAUCGCUAGGGAUCAUACUUAAAAAGCUAGUCUAGAUUGACAAGAGAGCAGCCAUUUUUUUGGGUUAAACACCUGCUGUCUCUCUCCACUUAUUACUUGAGAUUUACAUAAAGAUCGGUUCUGUUAGUGUUAUACAGAAAGAAAUUUAUUUGAUACAGGAUAAGCAUGAGUAUACAUAAGAAUUCGGAUUUUCUAUAAUAGAAUGUAAAAUGAAGUUAUCACGACUUCAUGCAAAUUCUAUUCUAAUGGAAAAGAUUUACGUGGUAGAAUAAGACCAUUUAAAUUACAGACUUUGCAUAAAUAUUAUAUUUAAUAAUUGAAUUUUGUUAUAUUUUUGUGCUAUCUUGUGAAAGUUAAUAUGAAUAUUAUACUUGUUCUUGUGGAUGUGAUACUAUAUAAUCACUUAUUGAUAAUUGGCAUUUAAAACCUUAAUAGACUAAUAAUAAGAUACAAAAAAAGUUCCAAGUUCAGCAAACACCCAGGAGAGGGAAGUAAAACUGAAAAUCAUGUACAUAUGUGCAUUUUUACCUAAAAGUACCAGUAAUUUACUAUUAGAGGAUCGGUGAUGAUCUUGAUUUAAAUUUUUAACUAUUGAACACCAGUUUCUGGCCAAUUGAGCUAUAAGAAGUGGGAUUUUCUGCAGGUCAACAUCAAGUGCCGGUACAGGGUCCAGCUAAACUUGAUCCAAAAACGGACCUUCUCAGUGGAGAGGACUACAGCUCUCCUAAAGGCAGAGACUUCACUAGCACUAGUGCCUGUUGGAUACCCACAGGCAACUGCAUCUUAGUCACAGCAGAAUGCACUUGUUCUUUUCGAUGUGUUUUCGAACAGUAACAACAAGCCCAAUACUAUCAAUACCCAGAGUGGCUAUCCAACUACACAAAGCAAUCCUUCUACUCCUCAAUUCCAACAGCAGCAGAAUCUGCAAGCUCCACAACUUGGGGUUUAUGCUAAUGGCAACAUGCCAAACAUGGGAUCGAACGAGCAUGAUCAGUCACCUUAUUCUCAAAGCUCUGUUCCUGUUUGGAAUGGCCAUAUUGCGCAGCAGCAACAGCCUCCCUCUCCUGUCUAUGGUGCACUUCUGCUUCUUCAUCAGUACCUGACAUUACUUUCUUGGUGAUGCGUAUUUUGUCUGUUGGCUUGUACUGUACAACCUUAUUUGGCAUGUACUAGGGGCAUGCUUGGUAUUCUUUUCCAGAUUACUGAGUUGCUAUGAGACUUAAGUCCUUUUGGUGAGCGUUGACCUCUUCUUUGUGGACAUAGCUGAACUCCUAACAAACAAUCUUACAAUCUGUUGAGCCUACAGUUUUGUGGUGCUUCGCAGGUGCUCAAACUAGUGAUUCGCUACCACCACCCCCUUGGGAAGCUCAGUCAGUGGAAAACAGUCAGGUGAUGGGCACUCAGUACCCCCAACCAAUGCAAGGUUCACAGGUGGUCGUCCUGCAUGCACAACCUGCACUGAGUGGAUUGCAUCUCCAGGCACCUUAUCCAAUGGGAAUGAGCAAGCGAUGGGCAUGUACUUGCAACCAGUCGCAGGUGGCCACAUGCCAUUGCUGAAUAGCCAGGUUGUUCCGAUAAACCAAAUGGUAGGACUUAC